ACUUAUACAAUUCGAAAGCAAAGUUCGAAGUCCUGGCUGCCUGGCUCUUCCUUGGAGAUGGAAGUUUUUGCACUUCCAGAAAUAUCGGGAACAUAAAGUCCAUGUGAUCUUUUGUGCCUUUAAAAUUUUGGAUCGUUUCCUAAUGGAAAUCUGUUCCAGUUUUAUUGACAUCAGAAAUCCUAUCUCCUGUAGUCCUGUUAUUCAGCGUCUGAGUGGAGCUAUAAAAUUGAUCUUAUCAUUGAUGGUGUGUUUUAUCGUGUCGUGUUGCAAGCACAAGAAUUCAAAACAGUUCAAAUUUGCUGCAGAUGUCUUAAAUUCGUGCAGAAUCCAAGCAGCUAAUGGCACCGCCUAUCUAUAGUGUUAAAAAGGUCAAAACAUACAGCUGUUUUGUUAACAACUGAUUCACCGCCGCCAGCUUCAGAGGCGACACCGCCUCCAAAUCCAACAUAUCCAGCGCAACAUACGCAUUUUUGUCACACUUAGUUCUUAGACAUGUCGUUUUUUAGUGGGCCAACAUUUUGCUCCAUAUAACAUAGCCGGCCGGAUUGCUGUCGACAUAAAAUUCGAAGUAUGUAUUAUAUAUAUAUAUAUACUAGGUCAGUGCCCGUGCGUUGCAACGGAAUCAUAUAAUAUCACGAUAACUUAUGAACAAAUGCGUAUUAUACUGUGAUGAGAUGGAGGAUGACAUUCUCGAGCUGUCCGGGAUGACGUCGAAGCGAAACUCGGGCCACAGUCGAGCACUGAGCCCGCGAUGUGAGGUCGCCCGUCUGCGAGGCACGCGAGGUGGAGGGGGCAGUCUCAGGGAGGGGCACGCGGUCGAGAAGGUGUACGUCGGAGCCGGUGGAGGGAUGACGCAGCGGAAGGUAGAGCAGCGUCGGGGUCGGUGUCCGACAGAGCUUCACGUUGCGGCGGUGGGAGGGAGAGGCAAGUAUAUGCAUGUGCGUGCUACAGAAUCAAUAUGAUAAAAUACAUUGAUAUUGCGAAAAACCUAAUUGUUAUUCUAUACUUUUGUUAGCAUCACUAAAAGUAGUAGUAAGGUGCACAUACGUUGCUAUGAAAUCAAUAUGAUAAAAGAAUCUUGCUAGAAAAGAUCCAAAUUCAAAAAGAACAUUUAGUGCAAGUGAAAAGUCAACCUUUUUUAGAACAUUGGAACAUCAGAAUGGCAGGGAUAACAAUAGUAAACGCAACACUUAUAAAUCAGAAAAGAAUGACAGGGGUGAAUUUCAACACAAACAUUACAUAAUUGUUGUCGUAGAGGAUCUUCUAUACAUAAUCCAACAUACAUUUGUCCAAAGCACUUAAGAAAAAAGUGAGAUAAGUAGAUGUUUCCAAAAACAUGAUCAUCAACAACACACAUGUGACAACUCAUAAAUAAUUAGCCAAAGAUGAUGAAUUAAUCAAGUAGCAUGGUAGGAGUAGGUUAUUUGAUAUAUAGAAAAAACAAUAUAACAUCUAGCUCUCCGUGGUUUGAGGUUCCAUGAAAAGUACCCACCAAUUUUUUAUUUAACAUAUGUUAGUAUACACUUGAACUAUCGAGCAUCAAGUAAAAAGUAGAGAUAGUACCUAUGUUUCUUGGAGAUCGAGCAACAAAAGAUGCUAAAAAGGUGUCCAACGAAGACACUCCUGUGUUGUGCCAUCCUAGAAAAGUGGUCAUGUAAUGGGCUCAUAUAUCUACAAACAAAUAAGAGAAAAUGCUUGUUCAGAAGGCAUAAACCAAAGGCUGGUCAAUAGCCCUAAAUUUUAGAAGUACAAACCUUAGAUUUCUCUUCCUAUUCCUAAGGAGUACAUAGAAGUUCUGUUGUAGGAUUUGAUAUUGAUGUAUCUUUUUGUUUUUUCCUUGUUUUAUCAGUCCCAGUGCUGCAAUGCCUUCUUUUUAUCUGAAUAAUAUCUACUUAAGGAUUAAUAUCUGAAUAAGCAUGCAAUGGUAGCCAAGUACACAUGAAUGCUGUGAUGCACUCUCGCUUUAAUGUGAAGAGUCGAUAAAUUGAAUCAGCAACCAGAAGCGCAUAAUACACACCUUUUCAGAUAGCUUCUGAAUCAGAUUCAAUGUAACGCUCUUUACAAAAAGUGUUACAUACUUUUCCAACUCUAGGAACUGCAGAUUUGGAUUAGCGCCGAGUUAUUAUUAACAAUCUGAAGCAUAAAAAACGGUAAACUUUACAACAUCCCUAAGCAGACAAGGGGUUGAGAGCAUCAGUUCCCUAUAACAGUUACAUCAUUUCAGAGCAAUAACAAUUACAUUGUGCAGUAGCACUACCUAUGUCAUUCUCUACGCAUAACUCCCACAAGUGAUUCACAGCAUAAGAGCUUUGUCCAAACUGGGAGCUUUUUGUCUUCAUUUGUUAAUAAAUAGAAACACAAUCAGUACAUUCUUUGACGGAAGAAUAAUAAAAACACAUAACCUCACUAAGUUCAUAAGAAAAGAGCCUUCAGCAUACAGCUUUGUGUCAGGUAAAGGAACUCCCCAAAUGCAUCACAUGACAUACUUACCAAAUCAGCCUGAACAAAAUAGGUGCAUCAUCUAUAAGCAUCACAAGGACGCUAACAUACAACUUAUUUGUCUAAAUUGGAGAAGGCCAACAUUUAUAAGCACAACAAGUCUUACUGCACAAACUCAGUGCUUGUACGAAAGCAGAACCCUCAGUUGUAUGCAUCACAGGGAAGUCUGCACAAAAUUAGUGCACAAAAUUAGUGAGUGAACCAAAUAGUGCCAGCAUGUAUAAGCAUUACAGGUGUUACUGCACACACUUAAUGCCUGUAAAAAAGUAGGGCCCUCAGCUCCAUGCAUCAUAGGACAGACCGCAACAUCCAUUACCUUUACUUUUAGGUUUUCAAGGUUGUGACAACUCCUUAGCAAGGUAAACAUGAACAAAAUGGGCCUACUCUCGACAACGCUUGAGCAUAAUCUAUGUCACUAUAGUGAAAUAUCUUUUUUCUUGUAUUGUUUAUUAACAAAAUAAUGUGAUUGGUGCUUUUCUCUAUAGGGAAAGCUAACUGAACGUAUUUAUAAACAAACUUAUCAAUCAAAUUAAAUGUACACGUACCUAUUUUAGAGAUAUUCAACUCGUUUCUUCAUUCUAAACAAACACUCUGAACAAGCAUAAUAGCAUACUUCUAUCUGAUUGGACCACACAAAGUCCAAACAACUAUAGAAAGUAAAUCGGGAGACACAGAUAGUAAUUGAUGACUCUAGUUUAGAACAUCAGUUUUGCAGAUAAAGGGAGAGUGGAGAGAUUAUGUUUUUUCAUGCACCAGACUUGGGGCGAUCUUGAGCUUGUUGGGCAAUGGUUGUGCGGGCGUGUCCUUGGCCUCGCAGGUAGCUCGCUUGGCGAGGUUGGUCUGGCACCGCUUCCCAGGUAGUUCCCCUCAUUGUUGUGUAGCGUCAGGCACAUCAUGCACUCAUAGCCAUAAAGAAGCAGAAUAAGUGCAUAGAUUAGAGCGAAUCGAGAUGGGACUUCGAAGACGCUAGGAUUCAAUUGUCUUGCAAGCAAAGAGUACAAGAUCAUAGAAAAGCCAUGCAUUACUUUGCUGUCCUUCUAGACAACAAUUGUCCUGGAUAGAAAACAAAUAUAUAAAAGUGGAGAGAUCCGAGUUAUGAAAUUUCACAUAUUAAUGGUAGGACCAUUACCUCCAAGAAUACAAAGUAGGAACACAAAAAACAUUCUAGCAUUAGUCAUCACACAUGGACCAAUUGUAUGUCGUACCAGACCUGUGUUUCAUUGCGCAAUGAGAGCCUUAUUUUCUCAAGUCCUCCAACUAAGUGCUAGGCAUUCUAGAUGGGUCUCUAAACAGGUUCACUAAUUUUAAAGUCCAUAGCAUAGAAUCAUGAAAAAAAAAUAUAACUAUCCACAUUCUAGAUUCCUUAAAGUACAAUUUAGUAAUCAAGUAGAUGUACUUUCAGAGAUAGGAGUGGUGUGCUUACUGGAUUAAGUAGUUUGAGAACUAAUUAUAGAGAUGAGUGCCUUGCAUACCAGAUUGAGCAGUCCGAGAAGAAAAUUUGUUUAUUGUUUCUAUAGACAGUUGUAUCUUCUUUCUUGGAAACUAAAUAUAACAUCCUAAAGAACGUGUCAUAUGAUCAAGGUUUCAAUUCUGUAUUAAAAAGAGGAUAGCAUAUAGCAGCAUGCCAACAUAUUACCUAUUCUCAUGUCGAAGGAAGCAAGGUCCCAUAUUCCUGUGCCAACAUAGACAUCAUGCCCAUUUGGAUCAGCAGCAGCUGCAUUUAUUGGUGACUCACCAAAAUCAACAAAGAUGGCAGGUCUUCUUUGCAAUGUAAUAUCAUAUAAGUGGACCUAAAAAAGGUAAAGACCAUUCCCAUAUAAGCAGUUGCGGCCAUUAAACAAAGAUGGGAUAUAUAAUAAUACAUGUUGGAGAGACCAUCCCUUUCAUCAGUUCUAGGCUAUCAGGCUUGUCAUUGCGCUUCCUCAGUCCAUGCGUUAAUCCUGCAAAAGUAGAAGUCCACUUAUACAUAGCUCAUGAGAGAUGAACUGAAUGGAAUCGCUGGUAAGGAAUACAAGAUAACCAGGGAUCACCUUUCAUCGAAUGCUUAAACCAGAUCUUCAACUCAGUUUUAAAUUCGGGUCGAUUAUGAUCUCGCUAUGCUACUUAUAUUAUACAAAUUAUGCAUCUGCUAGCUGCUCACUGAGCAAUGUCACAAGCCUAAGAACCCCACCAUAACAGCAUGCCUGGAAAGCAGCACCUCUGAUUAGAAUCUGUAAUCUGGAUAAGAACUUCUGGGUAGAAAUAGAAACGUACGGAGUAUAACAUUGUUAUUAUGUAGCUGUCUGAGCUUCCUCAGUUCGCAAUGACAAUGUCAUCCCUCAUCAGGGGCUGAUACUCAUUAGGUAUUUCGGCCCUCACCUGCACAUGUAGUUCUCUGACAAAGGAUCUGAUAAGAGGGCCACUGGUGUCAGGGACAUGCCACAGUGCCACACCUACACGGUUGCCCCUUAAUUCUGAAAUGGUGAGCACCUUAGAAGUUAGAAGAGUAGACUCACAAACUCAGUACGCAUGGAUUAUGUGCCAAUGAACAAGAUCCAUUUACCCAUAUGCAAUUCUCAAUGCAAAUGUCAUUUCAGUGACGUUAUUUAAUUAAAAAUUUUACAGCAUAAUACAAUUAUUACAAUGAUUUCAAGAUUUGCUAAGAAUCUACAAUUGAUUAGGAUGGUAAAUGUUGCCCCAACUCCUGAUAGAAACAUGCCAGAAGUUCUCACAAAAAAAGAUCUGGACCUCACUAUGGUGACUGGUGGGUCCAAAAUAUGAUUCUAAUAUAAUCACUGGAUAUUUUCAAUAACAUUUUAAAACCCAAAAUAUAAAGGGGUUAAGUAUAUAAAACCAGGCAUAUAAGUCCCUUGUAAUAAUUAAUAAAUAGUUGAAUAUAUUCAGAGUAACAGCAUAACUGUGCAGCAUUAGCAAUAGUUGCCAAAUCAUGUGUGCAUAAUGUGUUCACUGUGCUCAGUUAUCCAGAUAGCGUUGCAGAAUACAUGCAUAUGAUUACAUGAGUAACUGCAUAUGCAAUGAAGCAUAAGACAAAUGACAUGAACAUAAAUCGAAACAUUACUGAACAUAUAAUAAAAAUGCUACACAUAACUUAGCAGAGGAUCAGGUGUUUGAUCUGUGAAAGCAAAAUACAAGACGACAAAAAAAUCUUCAAUAAUUACCAGUGCUAGAGGAUCAGGUGCUCGAUUUUGUGGAAGCACAAUACAAAACAAUAGAAAAGUCUUUGACAAUUACCAAUAGCCUUCCACACCUAAGACAUAAAAGUAAAUGACAAGUCACAGACAGACUUACACUUAGAGCAAGAAGUUGAACUUUUGGUUUCUUGUGGCCAAUCCAUUUCUUCAGUGCCUUGACGACAUCUUUUGAUUGCCUGUUACAAGCAUGGAUAUGAAUAAUCAAUAACAUAUAACCGAAAUACAGUAGGGCAAAGCAAACUAAAUAGGCUUCUUUUUCAGUGGAAACGAGCUGAGCAUAAGUUACCUAGUAGAAUGUUUGAUAUUCAGUCCCAAUUCUUGGCCAUGAACCAAAUAAAAACAAAAUGCAUCAUUAGUUUGAAUCAAUUGCCAUCAGAUUUAGAUGCUCAAAUAUAUUGUCAUGUGCUAAAUCAAAACAUUUGGACUGAAAAUAUGGAAACCAGAGUACAAUAUCUUCCCCAUAUUCCCAAUGGUCUAACUCACUGUUGAUUCGGUUGUGCGCCUCUCAUGUGCCUAAAAAGAAACCCACAUGACCUAGUGGUUAGCUGCUAAGAAAAAAUCGAUAAGGAAAUUGUUACUGUUUUUGAAAUGGGGGGAAGGAAACUAUUAGUGGUACAUGUUUUCCUUGUGACCAUGGAUUCAAUGCAGAUGAAAGAGCUAUCAUGGGUCCUUAUGCCUUUUGAGUUGGCCCACCAUCACUUGAGCUCUUAUUGCCACCGUGUAAGCAGUUAAAAGAACAAGAAGGAAAAACAACAUUUAUCACACUUUGAAUUGAUUGUGGAAUCAGGAUCCAUGAGGGCUGCUUUUGUGAAAAAUUACUCACCAUGACAGCGAAGAACUGAGUGUCUGAGUGCUCUUGCUCUUGCUCCGUGUAGACUUCUUUAUAGACUUGAUCACAUCCUUCGUAUCCUUGAUGUGAGUAACAUGACAUAGAAAAUUAACACACCAUCGAUAGUAAACAAAUAAAACGCCCUUUCCAAAUGUGGCAACCAAUGCGCCAAGACUUAUGCGUGACAAGAAAAACGAUAGUCAACUGGCAGCGAGAAACUGGUACCUCUUCUAGAACCCUAUCUCGUGUAAUAAAACAAUUCUGAGCGUAAAGAUCGCGCUUUUGAGCACAAAACUGCAGUCCACAAGUAAGAAAGAACCAUUGCGCCUAGCCCGAAGGAGGAAGAAGGGGGAGAUGUAGGGGGUUGAUUACGUUACCGAGAUAGCUGUGGUCUGGUACUGUCACAGGGUGUUCAUGAACUUUUUAAUCUACAUAUACAUUAAAGUGAUCUUCAGUAGGUAUAAAAAGAAAUAAAGGUCAGCACAAGAACAUGUAUUAUUUAAAGUGCAUCAUACUUGUGACAUAAAGGAGAUUAAUGAGUUGGGGGUAGCAUGAGGGGAGUACAUAUUGUUGUACCCUAUUUCCUUGAAUUUGGCAUCCAAAUAGUCCUACAAUAAUUUGACAAUAAAAUAUUCAGACAUCGUUGAUAGAACACUUAAAAGUUUCCUAGAAUAAGAGGAGCAUUCAAAUGUAAAGCUAAAUAAUAAGUCAAAUGGCAUGUUCAAUUAAAAACAGGUUAAAUUUCUCUGUAAACCAAGUAACACACAUUUUAAAUUCAUGCAAACAAAUAGUGGAGGCAUGGAGCUAUUUUAGUACAGGGCUCUGAAAUAGAUGUCUGUAGACAUGUCCAAUUUAAUUGAACAGCGGUGUAAAGACCUUUUCAACGCAUCGAUGCCUUUUGCUUCCUCUCCAAAGAAACCAAACCUCCAUACCAUAAUCACAGUUAGUCAAAUAUGCAAGGAGCCUCUCUAGACUGCAUCAACAGCGGUGUGUGUGGUCGACGAGAACUUGGCCAGCGUGGCGCUGGUGCUUCUGGAAGUCAUGCUGCAACGGCGCCCCGGCAACCUUUCGGUAGAAGCUUUAGAUGUUGGCACAUGCAUAUCAUUGGAUCCUGACCUCAAACUGCAAGUUGCAGUAGAGUUACAAUUGUAUGGAUGAUGCCAUCAUACAUCAAGACAAUAUGAAUACUUUUCUUAAGCCAUAGGGCGAAAUAACAGACACACCGUUUAUUGCUGCCAGGCUCCUUGAAGACAUCAUUGGGCUCCUUGAAAACAUCAUUGGUGUUCACAUAGCUGCCCACUUCCACACUGCAAAAUAAGGGGAAAAUCAAUUAGCAGUUCCAGCUGUAAAUGAACUUUCUUUUUCCUAUUUGCUACUACCUAAGUUCAACCAAAUAACAUGUAAGGCAUUGAGCUCUGCCCAUAUGGGGUAGACUGCAUUCAGUAAUAAAAAAAGGCAGCAAACAACAGAAUCACUGCACAAAGUUGAUUCUAAAAGUGAUGGAAGAACAUAAAGUUGAUAAUUUUCAUGGAGUAAGAUGUACUACACAAACAAAUGAAAGAACAAAUUAGAAUAGUGACACCAAAGAAUUAUGCUACCACAUUGUCUUUAAUUUUACCUCAUCUCUGAACAGAGGAAGUAUUAAGUUUUCCUUUAGAACAACCUGAAAGUGACCAAGAAGAAACAAAUCAAGGCUAAAUCACAAAUGGCAUGCUGGUUGCACUGAGGAAUCUAGUUUGGUGAAUCUUUUUAAAUUCUAGUACAUUUUCUUGUAACCAGUUCAUGAAAGAUGCUUUCAACAAAAUCCAUCUAAAUUAGAAACAGAUUGGUGGUGAGGUAGUUAUGGGCUUAAGGCCGUACACACAACACAAUGGUGCACUCAAUCUAACACAGUGGUUAAAACUCAAUAGCUAUUCAGACAAGAUAAAAUGGUUUAUGAGCCUUCAAUCUAAUAAUAAAGACAUGUCCCAAUACCCGUGCAGAACAUAUACAUCAACCACCCUUCAACUAAAAGUACCUAAUGAAGAAACAGUGCAAAUCGCAUUAACACCUUGACAACAAUUCUGCGUAUAAGCUAGUCAUAUUAAUCAGAGCUAGGCAGUACAGAGCAUAGCAGCAGCAGCAGCGAAGAGAUCCAGCCAUGUACACUACCAAAAAAACAUAUCCGAGAUCAGUUUUUAGGAUCAACAGUAUAGAUACAAGACCUUACUAUGAAUAGACGAGCUUUUAUUUUCUACUUGUGGACUGAGUUGCUCCUCUUGCGGAAGUCUUGAAGGACGAAGGCAAAGUAUUGGAUAGAGGUUGUGUUGCAUCACUUGGAUUGCUCAUCACAAAUUCACACAGCACCAGCUUGGUUUUCACAUUUGCUUCCAUCAUUUCAUCGCCAUUGUCGUAUAUGUUAUAUCUGUAAAAGAAAAAAAAGAAUGUUGAACAUCUGCAUUUAAUGAUCCUACAUUUCAAAACUCAUAUGCUUCAUCAGGAUCACCAAUUUCAGGGAAUGGCUGUAUCCUAUGACCUUUCAGAUAUUCUUUAUCAAUGUUGCUUUUCAGAUUUUUGUCACAGAUGCCAUUGAGCUCACCGUUGUCCGUGAAAUCAUGUACACCGUGAUCUAUGGAACACAUGAAGAGAAUUAGACCAGCAGAUAAGCAAAAGAUAGCCUCUAACAAGAACCAGGACAAAUGGACAACUUAUACUAAAUUACUCACAAAUAUAAAGAUGGACCAAUAUUAUUUUAAUAAGAUUGAUCAAAUAGUAGGUUGGACCUGGCUAUAUUGCAAAUACGUUAAAAACAAGAUCAUCAUACUUGAAAUCUGUGUUUUUAACGCUCUGAUUGUAUAUAGCAAUCGUUUAACCAAAGUUUUGUUAAAAAAUGCAGAUCAUCGUUUGCCAACAUAAACAAACUCUGAUUGUUUAAACUUCCAGAGAUAAUCCAUGAGAAAUAUAAUCAUAAAAUGGUAAAGGAACUGUAAAUGUUGACUACCGUCUAGUAUAACAAGUCCCCCUCCAUUUAUUAAACUACACACAACCAAUUUGCAACAGAGUUUUGGCUUUCAGAAGGCAACUCCGCAGAAUCUAACCUCUUCAUUGUUAUUAUUUAUUCCCCUUUUCCGGGUACAUUAAAUUCAAUAAACAGAUACACAUUAUCUGUGGCCAUAAAGUGGGCUAUAAUGGACAAACUAUAUACUGCAAAGGUAACCGCCCUUUUUUUUGAACCAAUUGAAGAGACGAACUACAUUGUAAGGCUGGAGAAGUACUUACUCGUAACAGCAUCAGUAUCAAAUGAACUGAGCAUUUGAAGCUCCUUCUCCACAACACUCAGGUCUGAAUCAUCAUCUCCUCGUCCAGGAUCCCUCUGCAUACCACAUUCAAACAUAAUAUCUCCACUCUGCUUCAAUUGAAACCCAUCCUGCGCACAAUCAUCCAUUAUCUCUGUCCGAUCAUCCAUGAUCUGGUAUCUCCCAUACACAGUAGAGCUUGAGCUCCUGGCCACAUCAAGGCCGUCAUUCUUGAGUCCCUCUCCACAGCAACCGCAGAGUGGCGAUGAGCAUGUGUACACCUCAGCGCAACCCUCUCAUCGGUCACCACCGAUGUGUUCAUGACGGUGGUUAUGGCCUGCACCGAGCUUGCCUAUUUCUGUCUGCGCUGAGGCACCACCGUGAGCAUCCAGUACAAACUUGUCCUCCUUGCGUUCGUCGUCCUCAUCGUCCAGCUUGCUAGGGAAGAGGUGAUCGUCGUAGAGCCAGUCCUCCUGGAAGAAGAGGUCGGUGGUGUCGUACUGGCGCGCUGUACCAAACUCCAUCUCCGAUGAAGACAUGUCCGACUGCGAGUGCCUCGGCGACCAUAGCCCAUACGGAUUCAACAGCCCUACAGUCGGCAAAAUAGAAAGGGAAUUUUCGUUCAGAAUUGGUAAAAUGUGCAGAAAAUUUGGCACCAAACAAAGCGCAGAAACGGAAACGAAAGUGGCGGAGCCGGAGAGGUUUAACAGCUCUCCUACAAAAUCGAAAAUCGAUCGUCCUCUUCUGGAUGGGGUCUAUCACAACAGCAACGGCUCUGGGGUUCAAAGCUUCAAAACUCUGCACAUUUAUAUAUUGAACAAAUUUAGGCCUACGAGUGCAGUGUUUGGCACUAUAUAGGAUAUAAGAUAUAGAACAGAAGCACAAAAGGUAGAUAAGAGAAGAACAACUCCAGUGAGUUGGGAUCAAUAAUUAGCUAAUGUCACCCAUUUUUCUUUUAUGAAAAAACACGCGGGUUAACUGAACUACCAACAAGAUGAGUUCAUCCACAACUUUCAGGGUGAUGGAACCUACAUAAUGAAGGUAGUGAAAUUGAAAACAGGCAAUAGGGGGAUAGAAGGGGAGAAGCUGUCUGGUGCCUACAGUUGAUCAAUUAUAGUACAACAUAUCAUAAUAUCAUAUCCAUACUUUAUUAAAAAAACACAUCAGUGUUUAUAAUGAUGUUGACAUGACAUAUAGUACAAUGUAAUGACAGCAGCUAUCCUGUUUUGAUAGACCAUUCCAAAAGAUCCUUUUAGAGAACAAGUGGAUUUGCAUAGACCUGCUGAGUAUUGAUAUCGACGCCUGAUAGCCAGCAUCCGAAGCCAGGAUGUGAGUGAUACCAACCUACAACCAUUUCUGGCCUACAAAAGGGGGGAAAUAUCACAUACUUGUUUUCCUACAGAAUAUAACUGAGUUAAAACAAUAUUGAUUAAUACUAUGAAUGCUAGAUCUCCAUGAACCUGAUGGCGUGGCUAAGACUGAAGUCGGCGAUCUUGAGCACCAUGGUCUUGUGGUCCUUGAGAAGGAUGUGCAACUUGAGCUCCCGGUGCAGCACCUUGGGGUCGUGGACGAAGGCCACGCUGUUGCAAAGCUGGUACAUCAGGAUCUGCGGACACAAACGUGGAUUAGACAUUCGCACAAACACCUGGCGUGCAGGGCGUUGGGAUGGAGGAGGAAGGGCAGAAAAUCGCGUAGACCUUCAUUGUGGCCGUGUGGAUCUUCUCGUGGUUGCUUCGUUGCCCUCGGAUGAACUUCUGGCGGCGCUCUGGUGUGUACUUCCUAGCAGUGGAUGAGGCGGAGCUGGAGAGCGUGAGGCGGAGGUUACCUGGACUUGGAGGUUGAGGGGGGAGCGGGUGAGCGGCGACUGGGUAGACCCAGGUCUCGCACGAUCUGGGAGAAGACGGCGGGGCAGACCAGGUAGCGAUGGUGAGGCGGUCGGCUUCCGUGCUGCUGAGCCCGAGCCAGGAGGCCAAGGCCGAGGCCGGCUUGACCGUCUUCUUCUCCGGCUCCUCCGCGGGGGACGACGGGCGGGCGUAGGGCGCGCGCUCGACGAGGCGGUCCUUGCGCUUGGGGUGGGGCUGAGUGGCUGACCGAGCGGUUGCGCUGAGGAAGAAGACCGCUCUCCCGCCUGAGGGUCGCGUCGCAGGGAGACGGCGACCAGGACGCGCCCGGGGCCGAGGUGCCCACCCCACACGAUGCACCCUCUCGCAGCAAAUGGGCCGUCCGCGCGACACUCAGCAAAUGGGCCGCGCGGGUCCAAGGGAUGAUGGGCCGAGGAAGAACCGCUCUCCUGCUGUCUUGCAACAAUUUAGUACCAUACUGGCUACUAAAGGAGACAUGGCGCGGCUUAUAAGCGUUGGCGCGGACUUAGCAAUACGAACUCGGUUAGUGGCUGAAUUGCUUAAGUUCUACAUAAUAUUUUUGCCGAAGACCUGUGUUUCGCACGUAUAUGGCAGAACCGGUCAGAGGCAGAACGGUCAAAGGCAGACUACUAUUACUUACUUAAUAAGUAGUAGAGAUAUAUAUAUAAAUCUAUUGUCAUUUAUUUAAAUAUAGACAUAAAAGUUAAUAGCUAAAACAAAAAUUAAUUUGCCUAAGGACCAACUGAUCCGUUUGCUUCCUUUGAUGCAAACAAGGUAUGCAAACUAGUUGAGUUUUGCCCUAAUAAAAUCAAAGAUUUUGUCUUGCUAUGACUUGAAUUGCAACUCGAUAACUAUAUUGAUGAUAUGAGAAAGGAUGAUCAUGGUUGGAUACAGUGCUAUCCACGACGGAGUCAAGCACGAGAAUAUCCGUGACAUCGGAGGAAGUCGGACAUUUUAUGCUACCACAUGCACAACCUGUUGGAUGGCCACAUCCACGAGUUGCUAGAGACGACCUUAGGGCCUGUUUGGGUGAAGACUUCUAAAUUUUACUCUCAUCAUAUUGGAUGUCAGUUAGAAGUAUUGAAUACAGUCUAAUUAUAAAACUAAAUACAUGGAUAAGGACUAAAUGGCAAGACAAACCUAUUAAUCCUAAUUAGUCCAUGAUUUUACCACGUGAUGCUACAGUAAUCAUGAUUAAUUAGAUUUGAUAAAUUUAUCUUGCGUAUAAUUAGUUUUAUAAUUAGACUAUAUUUAAUGUAAAUAACGUUCAAACUCUGAUGUUACACUACGCCAGCUAUAGACAUUUUCGGCGGCCAACUAUUUUCGGCGGCAGAAGGCUGCCAAAAAAAUAAACCGAAAAUAAGGUUUAUUUUCGAUGACCGCGCUCUGGCUGCCGAAAGUCUACUGGGAUUAUUUUCGGUGGCCCCAUGCGGCUGCCGAAAAUAAGCAAUUUUAGAGAAAAAAUAUGAAAGAAAUGCAAAAAAGCAGUAAUUUCAACAACAAUAUAAUCACAAUAAUAUGACAGAAAUAGUAAUAACAGAAUUACACACAUUUAACACAAAAUGUCACAUAUGUUCACAAAUACAUCAUAGUUCACCAAAAUACCACCAGAGUUCACAAUUGUUCACAAAUACAUCACUUAGUCCAUUACAAAAUAACACAAAGUUCACAAUUGUUCACGACAAAGUCACAAUUAAGUACAAGAUUCAAACCAUCACAUAUUUGGGUCGUUUGAGUUGUAACCACUACCUCUAGAAGCGAACAACUCGUUCACGAAGUCGUUUAACUGGUUUGGAUUCUAAAGAAAAAAGAAGAUAUUAAUAACGACAAUGUUUACAUGCAUGUCCGCUAUUCAAAUAAAUUGUCUGUAAAACUAACCUCUCAUGUAGUAGCUCCCUCCCCUGCAUAAGCUCCUCCUGAUGUUGGUAUCACCGGUGGUAGCGUGUUGUGGCCCAUAACCUCAGAUCCCUACAAAAUCAAAUUUAGUCAAGAUUUGAAAGGUUAAUACAAACGACAAGUCUAAACUAAAUUGAAGCACCUGAGGUGAAGUGGCGGAGCAUGUAAAUCCCCACUGAGGCAUCGACGACUGAAAUUGAGGGGAAACGAAUGGUUGUUGUUGUGCCUGCUCUGGAAACCAUGACUGUUGCAAAUACAAUAUAUUAGUUAUAGGACAAAUAUCGACCGUGUUGAGAAUAAAUAAGACACUCACGUUCAUUGCUUGUUGCGCCUGUGUGUUGUAAGCAGCCACUACAGGAAUCCUGAAGAUUCCUGUCGGCCAGGUUAACUCCCGUCGGCCUUUGCUUCGGUCGACGGGACUUAGUUAACUCCCGUCGGCUACCUACCAGCCGACGUGCAUUAAGUUAACUCCCGUCGGCCCUAACACAGGCCGACGGGAAUAAGUUAACUCCCGUCGGCUCUGACACAGGCAGACGGGGAUUAACUUAUUCUCGUCGGCCUUUAACCUGAUCGACAGGGAUUACUGUUUUAUGAGCCCAGCGGAUAGCCCGCGCGGUCUCAUUUCCCUCUACUCUCGCGUUUCAAACCACCGCCUAUUAUCUAUGAAGAUAAUUCAGCUUGUGUUGUUCAUAUGGAUACAUGUUAUAUUAAGAGUAAUAUUAAUAAACAUAUUUCUCCUAAAUUGUUUUAUCCCCAUGAACUUUAGAAAAAUGGAGAUGUAAACAUCUUGCAAACAAAGUCUUGUGAUAAUCUUGCUGAUUUAUUCACAAAAUCUCUAUCAUACUCCACGUUCCAGAAAUUUGUUGAGGGGAUUGGUAUGAGAAGGCUUAAGUGCUUGCAAAGUUCAGGGGGAGUAAUUCUCCGUGAUAUUUGACCUAUUUUGAACCAUCAUAUUACACUCUUUUCUUUGUAUGAGUUUUUGCCUUUCCGAGGUUUUCUCAUCCAAAGUUUUUAACGAGGUAAUAUCAACUAAGCUAUAUGCUUCAUCAUUGACUUUUCCCCACAGGGGUUUUUAUGCAUGAUGAUUAUAAGCAUAUUGUCCUUUUGGGAGUUCAAGUGAGAUUUUCUUGUUAUCCAAAAGGCAUUGUGUACUCCUUAUUUUUCCAAGAGGGUUUUGAGGAGAUAAUAUAUUGGAAGACAGUUUGCAGAUGAUCAAAUGGAUUUGGAUUGAUCAAGGGGAGUGUUACAAAAUAUUGUGUACAAGUGAUCAAUCCCCCUCCCCUGAUAGUUUUCUCCCAAGAGACACACCCCUUGGGAGACACUGCAUCCAUUGUAUAUAAGGGAAUUCUAUCUGCAAUAAAGAAAGAAAGCAAUCACUUUCUCAUUUUCUCUGUCUCAAACAUUGUUGCCACUGAGUACUUCAAUAGUCUCCACGAUAAGCGUGGUUGAAGCGUCCCAAUCCUCUGGGACUCAAAUGUGAUACAAUUACUAGUUCCAGGAGGCUAGUAAACACAUUUAUAUAUCAGAUGAUUCCAGAUCUGCUUAAACGAGACAAACCUAUAAAGGUGGCGAUCAACUUUAAGAGUUGGUCCACAACUCAGGAUAUAUCAUCAGAGUGGGGCUGAAGUAGCCCGAUAUACGCAGCGAAGCAAAUCAGCGGUCCAACAGCCAUAGGUAAGGUUGGGAAUAGGCGUAACUCUUACCCGAUCAGGGAUCUCCUUCUCUGAAAAACAACAAAUAAGCAAGGUUGAGUACUUACAUACUCAGCAGCCCACCUUCACCCGCGGAAUGGGGAAAUCAGAUAUAAUGCAUGGUAUAUGUGGAGCUCAGGAUAUUUUGCAGAAAUAUCAAUAUUUGAUGUAGGGUUAUUUUGUAAAACAUUUUAUAUUUUUCAAAGCGUAUCCUCUCCCAAGGGAGCAGGAAGUUUUUCAAUAUAGAACAAAACCCCCUGGACUAAACCAUCUAGGUAUCUCAGCAGUUUCCCACUGGUUUUCAUUUUCAAAAAUAGCAACUGGACUUCCCGUCCACCAUAGCUCACGGCUCAACCGCCGGACCUUUUAAAACCACUUUUCAAAAGCAUUUUUUGGAAAACAAAACACUAAUUGCCAAAUCCAUGCCAUGACUCAUCCAUAUCCGUGGACGCGGACUAUUCGAAUAGGUUUUCAAACUCUGCGCAGAGGUGUACACUUUACCCACUAGUCCGAUUUCUGCAAUCUCGCCGUCGUGAGAUCCGAAUGCCGAAUCUCUCUCUCUUUCCUUGCAUGUCCUUACCUUAACGAUUAUACCGGAAGGAGUCAGGCCACCACCAUGCCCAAACUAGACAAAACAUCCCCCCUCCUUAUCCUCCCGGUGCUCCCCAGCCAUCAUAGCCCUGGGGUUCGGACCGUACAAGUUCAGAUUGAGUGACUGCCCAUACAGUCUCGAGUGGUUAUACUUGAUAAGAGUAUAGGUAAGGAGUGAUGACAAACCGGUUCUUAGGCGAGAGGGACAAUCCUUCAUGCUUACACCUAAACCAGCUGAGCCAUCACCUUAGGCCCUCCUCUAAACCAGGGAGUCCCUGACCAUCCCGCUCAAAGGUGAUAAGGGUGACAACCCUUCAUCAUACCCAUUUUGAAAAGCAUUUUCUUUCGAAAACUCACACCUUUUCUCAAAUCAUUUGUAACAAAUAUGUCAAGGAGUAUAAAGAUUGAUUGCGGCAAGCGGUUGGGUAGCCAUAAUAACUUGUCUCAAAAUCAUAUGAUGCAUAAAAUAACAGGCUGAGGGUUGUGGUUGAAAAAGCAUAGGUAAUUUAUGCAUGAAAGGAAUCCAGUGAGCUUGUCGUGCUUAUCCGGCGAAAGGGGUGAGAGCUCGCGGAACUGGCUUCUGGCUCCACUGCCUGGCGUAGACUUGCAGAUCUGGCCUUCACGAGAUGGCAACGCUCCGAUAACUAUGCAACAUGAACAAGCAAACAUACACACCAGCAAGUAUAUCAACAAAUAUUUAGUAUAGUGGUCAGAAUAGCGAUAUAUGGAUGGGUAGAGUCUUGAGCAGAAUCUGUGUCAUGUGGUGUUGUGAUAUUACUGAUGGUGGAACAGAGGUGCUUACCAGGAGGGUGGAUUGGAGGUGAAGCGACACUAUGCGCGUAGCCAGCAAAGCGGAGUAACUGAGUGGGUGGGGGUUUGCCUUGGCUGAGGGUGUUGAGUGUGCGGGGAGGGAGAGGAUAGUUGGGUGUAUUUAUAACUGGGUGUAUGUGGUGUAGUACAGUAGAGUUCACUGUUGGUGAGAAUAGUGACGAGUGAAUCGACUGACUUAGUCUGAACAGGGAAAUUAUAGGCAGAAUACGGGACAAGAGUAUUUUGGGAGUUUUAUGGAAUAUGAACCAUGCUUAAGGUAUGUCAUGGUUGGAUAGGGAAUAAUUUGAUAAGAAUUCAGAAACAAGAAUUAAUGGAAUCUGAGUUUGGAAGCCUGGUUCGAAAGAAUCUCAAAGUUAAGCGUGCUCAACUUAGAGAAAUCUGGAAUGGGUGACCAGAUGGGAAGUUCUUACUAGAAGAAAAAUCACAGUCACUGGAGUUCGUAUGACUGGAAUAUUGGUCUGGCAGGUCUUAGGUGAGCUGGACAGCAUGAUGGAUGAGUAGUUGAAAUUUAGGGUGAUCGGAUGAUCAAUGAAUAAUAACGAUGAAUAGUAACGAUGAACAGUGACGAUGAAAAAGUAAUGAUAGAUAUCAUCGAUGAAUAGUAAUGAUGAUGAAUAUUAACGGUGAAUAGUGAUGGUGAAUGUUUCGUAUGAACGAACGAUGAACGAUGAAUAGUGACUAUGAAUGAACGAUGAAUAGGAACUAUGAACGAAUGGACGAACGAUCGAAUGAUCGGACAAAUGAACGAUCGGAAUUUUGGCAGCAUAACGGCUGAACAAAGAUUAUUUGGACGAACGAACAGACGAAUGAUGAAUAGGGACUAUGAACGAACAAUGAACGAUGAAUAGGAACUAUGAACGAACGGAUGAACGAUCAAAUGAUCAGACGAACGAACGAUCGGAAUUUCGGCAGCAUAAUGGCUGAACAAAGAUUAUUUGGAUGAACGAACGGACGAACGAUCGAACGAUCGGAUGAACGAACCAUGAACGAUCGGACGAACGAACGAACAAACUAAGAACAGGUGGACGAACGAUCGAAGAAUGACCAAACGAUCCUUGUGCUAGUGUGUGCUUGUGUGGGAGGUGGAGUGGGCGUGUGUGUGGGGGGGAGGGAGAGUUGCCAUGAAAUGGCUUGGGGUGUCUUGAGAGGAGGCCCUUGCCCCUCUAUUUAUAGGCUAGGUGGGGGUGAUUAGGGGGAGGAGGCGAGGAUUAGUGGGAGGAUGCGAGGAUUAGUGGGAGAUAAGCAUGUAUUAUUCAUGUAAAAGUGUAAUUAGCUUGUAGAGCUCACUGUAUGACACCGAAGGCGUACAUAUACGUAUAAGCAUGAGGAAAGUUAUGAAGAAAACAUUUGUAGGGACUUCAAAAAUGAUUCUAAAGGUAUUUCUCGGGAGGAAAAUACUUGGAGAAUUAUCGAUGGAAUAUUUGGGCAGUAAUUCUAGAAAGAAUCAGAGGGGGAUCACUGGGGAAAUAUCUGGGCAGUAUUUCUGGAAAGAAUUUGAGGGGGAUCACUGGGAAAUAUUUGUAGGAUAUUUUGAGGGGGAUUUUGGAGAGAAUAUAGACCUCUAUAUUUUAUUUGUUGAGAUCAACUCGCAAACAAACAUUUUGAAACAAAAUCUAAAAUUCAUUUUGAAUUUAGAGCGAGUUUGAGAAAAUUUCAAGAUUUGAAUUUUUGGGAUGCUACAGAACUACCCCACUUAAAAUGAAUCUCGUCCUCGAGAUUCGGCUUAGAAGGGUUAUGGGUAUAGCUUUACUUCAACUACAUAUCUUCACUUUGUAGACUCUUCGAGGAGAUGGAACUUCAACAAGAUCUAGCAUUUGAGGAGCGUCCGGUUACCGAUUGCAAACGCUGAUUCUGGCUACUCAAGGUCAUCUUCAGGCUUCUAGCUUUUGCUUGGCAGCUAGCUUAUUUAAGAAGCAUCGAUGCCAACACGCAAACCUUCCUCAUACAAACUUAUCCAUAGAUCACUUCCUUGAUUGGUCUUCUAGUGCUUCAUCAACAAAACUUGGGUGGCCACUUCUCAUCCGGAAACUUAUAUGCUUGAAUGAUCUGGUCCUCCACAAGCUUGCUACUGGCCUUCUUCUUUUUCUCCAUAGCAGGAACUUUACUGGAACACUACCCCACUUAAAAAUAAUGAGGGUAUAUCUCUUGAAUCUUGGGGAUUUGAACUCCUUGAAGUACCUCAUAACAAGGGUGUUAUGGGGCCUUCUUCUCCUGUUGCUGCUUGAGCAGGCUGCAGAGAGAUGACUGACAUAGAGUUGAUUUUGGGAGAACCUUCUUCUCAUCUUCUCUUCUUUAUUUUUCUUUUGUCUUCUUACUGCCUCUUUCUUUCUCUUUGCUCUUCCCACUGGAGGAUUCUAUCAAAGAGUAUUACCAUCACACAAAGGAGGAAACCAAAGACUAUGAACCAUGUACAACAGUCUUCAACCCAAGAAUCACCAAGCAUUAUGAUCUUAGUGACGAGAGAGUGGAAAAUGGAGUUGCUUGCGAUUUGGCAGAGGGGAUUUUAUAGGUGUGUGCUUUGCUUUGAGCGAGAUGGGAGUUGAGGGAGCUGGUGGGGGUCUUAUAGGCGAGUGGGGGUGCUCGGGUGCGGAGUGGCGGUGAUGGAGCAGGUGACACGAGGCAGCAGGUGCGAUGGAGGGGGGCUGUUGCCGGCGACGAUGGCGGUGGUGGGUGUGCUGCAAAGGGGGCAUAGGGCGGUAGUGGUGCGCAUGGAGGUGGGGCACGCGUAAGUAGUGGGGUCGAUGACUCUGAUGUUUGUGGUCUCUGGUUCCAAGAAUCUUUGCCUCUCUGUAUGGUAAUAACUUCUUCUGUCCUCUUUUUCUGUUUGCUUUGACUCAGGGGCAGUGCUUUGAUUCUCAUGGUCGGUCCUUUUGACUGAGCACCUGGACAUGUUCCUCUGUAGCUUAUUCUAGGCUUCAAGGGUAAGCUUCCCGGUAUCUUCUUGGGUAAGGUGCUUUUCUCUUGAGAUGGGUUAAGAUGAGAAUGGAAGCAUAAGGUGAGGAUUAGCUCUAAUUUGUGUUCUAUGUUUUUAGAGAAAACCUUUCUUUUAAGACAGACGGAAAGAAAACUGAAAGGGAAAUAGGGUUUAACCUUUUCCUAUAAAUAAUUUUGGUGGUUGAAUGCCCAACACAAAUAUUAGACUAACUAGUUUGCUCUAGAUUAUAUUCUAUAGGUGCAUAGAGGUUCAACACAAACCAAUAAAAAGUUUAAAGAAAGGGUUCAAAAAGAAAGGAGAAAAGAAACCCAAGUAUGCCCUGGUCUGGCACACCGGACUGUCCGGUGUGCCACGGGACAGUGUCCGGUGCACCAAGACCGUACAACUCCAAACUCGCAACUCUCGGGUUUUCUCCAGCGCCACUCCGCUAUAAUUCACCGGAUUGUCCGGUGUGCCACCGGACUGCACUAGCGGAGCAACAGCUCUCUAGCGCAACGGUCGACUGCACAGUGCCCCUGACAGCGCUACAGUUCGCGGCAGAAGUCAGAGCAGAGGUCAGUGGCGCACCAGACACUGAAUAGUGCCUGUCCAGUGCGGUAUCGGACUGUCCGGUGCCACCAGGGUCAGUGCUCCAAUGGUCGACUGUGUCAGAACCCUAAUGGUUGGGUGACGUGGCUGGCGCACCGGACUGUCCGGUGCGCCCAUCGACAACAGCCAUCCCCAACGGCUGUUUUGGUGGUUGAGGGCUAUAAAUACCCCCCAACCACCACCACUCCAGGCAUCCAAGUUUCCAGCACUCCACAUUCAAUACAAGAGCUAGUGCAUUCAAUAUUAGACACAAUUCAAAAGAAUCAAAGCCUCUCCAAGUCUCAAAUUCACUCCAUACACCUAGUGACUAGAGAGAGUGUUUUGCUCGUGUUCUUUGAGCUCUUGUUCUUGGAUCGCUUUCUUCUGCCUCAUUCUUGUUCUCUAAGUGACUUGUAAUCAAAGCAAGAGACACUAAGUUUGUAGUGAUCCUUGUGGGGUCUAAGUGACCCGUUUGAUUAAGGAGAAAGCUCACUCGGUCUAGGUGACCGUUUGAGAGAGGGAAAGGGUUGAAAGAGAUCUGGUCUUUGUGACCACCUCAACAGGGACUAGGUUCUCAAGAAUCGAACCUCGGUAAAACAAAUCAUCGUGCCAUCCACUUUAUUUCUUGGUUGAUUUGUUUUCGCCCUCUCUCUCGAACUCGAUUUUAAUUCUAACGCUACCCCGCCUUGUAGUGUGUGCUUAAGUUUGUAAAUUUUAGAUUCCGCCUAUUCACCCCUCUCUAGGCGACUUUCAAUUGGUGUCAGAGCCGGGUACUUCAUUUGAGUCUAACAACUCGAAGUAAUGUCGAGAGAUCACGCCAAGAAGGAGAUCGUGACCGGCGGUGACAAGCCCACAAGCCACGGGAAGGCUCCAUCAAGGGAGUCCGACAACAAAGUGAAGGAGGGAUCCCCUUCACACGUCAAGUCGCAUCGGAGUGGCGACAAGAAAAAGAAAAUGAAGAAGGUGGUCUACUACGAGACCGAUUCAUCAUCACCUUCUACAUCCGACUUCGACGCGCCGUCCGUCACUUCUAAGCGCCAUGAGCGCAAGAAGUAUAGUAAGAUGCCACUUCGUUAUCCCCAUAUUUCUAAACGCACCCCUCUACUUUUCGUUCCAUUAGGCAAACCACCAUUUUUCGAUGGUGAGGAUUAUUGUAUGUGGAGUGACAAAAUGAGGCAUCACCUAACAUCACUUCACACAAGCAUAUGGGACAUUGUUGAAUUUGGAGCGCAGGUACCAUCGGUGGGAGACGAGGGCUACGACUCGGACGAGGUCGCCAAAUUCGGCACUUCAACUCCCAAGCGACUACUAUACUCCUCACCUCUCUAUGUCGAGAGGAGUAUAAUAAAGUGCAAGGAUUGAAGAGCGCCAAGGAGAUUUGGGACAUGCUCAAGACCGCGCACGAGGGAGAUGAGGUGACCAAGAUCACCAAACGGGAGACGAUCGAGGGGGAGCUCGGUCGGUUCGUCCUCAACCAAGGAGAGGAGACACAAGCCAUGUACAACUGGCUCAAGACCUUGGUAAACCAAGUGCGCAACCUCGGGAGCACCAAAUGGGAUGACCAUGAAAUGGUCAAGGUUAUUCUAAGAUCACUCGUUUUUCGCAAUCCUACGCAAGUUCAAUUAAUACGUGGUGAUCCUAAAUAUAAGCUAAUGUCUACCGAGGAAGUGAUAGGAAAGUUUGUGAGCUUUGAAUUGAUGAUCAAAGGCUCCAAACAAAUCAUCAACUUGGAGCAAGGCGGCACCUCCACACCCGAGGUGCAACCCGUCGCAUUCAAGGCAACGGAGGAAAAGAAAGAAGAGUCUACAUCAAGUAGGCUCCCCAUCGACGCCUCCAAGCUUGACAAUGAGGAGAUGACACUCAUCAUCAAGAGCUUCCGUCAAAUCCUCAAACAAAGGAAGGGGAAGGACUACAAGCCCCGUUCCAAAAGGGUGUGCUACAAAUGUGGUAAGCCCGGUCAUUUUAUCGCUAAAUGUCCUAUGUCUAGUGAUAGUGAUAGGGUGACGACAAGAAGGGAAAGAGGAAGGAGAAGAAGAAGUACUACAAGAAGAAGGGCGGUGAUGCCCACGUGUGUCGGGAAUGGGACUCCGACGAGAGCUCCACCGACUCCUCCGCCGACGAGGACGCCGCUAACAUCACCGUCAACAAGUGUCUUCUCUUCCCCAACAUCGGCCAUAAAUGCUUCAUGGCAAAGGACGGCAAAAAGAAGAAGGUAAAAUCUAGAGCCUCCAUAAAAUAUACAACAUCUAGUGAUGAGGGUAGCUCUAGUGAAGAUGAAGAUGAUUUGCUUACCCUUUUUGCCAAUCUUAACAUGCAACAGAAAGAAAAAUUGAAUGAAUUGAUAGGUGCUAUUCAUGAGAAGGAUAAACUCUUGGAUAGCCAAGAGGAAUUCCUUAUUAAGGAAAGCAAAAAGCAUGUUGAAGUUAAAAAUGCUUAUGCUUAGGAGAUAGAAAAAUGUGAAAACUUGACUAAAGAGCUUAGCAUUUGCCAUGACACUGUUUCCAACCUUAGAACUGAGAAUGCUAAUUUAAUUGCUAAGGUUGAAAAGUUAAAUGCUUGUAAUGAUUCAAUUGUCAGUCUUAGAAAUGAAAAUGCUAGUUUAAUUGCUAAGAUUGAUAAAUUGAAUGAAUAAAUUUCUAGCCUUAGAUGUGAGAAUGAUAAAUUAAUUUCUAAGGCUAAAGAUUUAAAUGUUUGCAAUGAUGCUAUUUCCAAUCUUAGAAAUGAGGAUACUAUUUUACAUGCUAAGAUUGAUGAAUUAAAUGCUUGCAAACCAUCUACAUCUACUGUUGAUCAUGUUUCUAUUUGUACUAGAUGUAGAGAUAUUAAUGUUGAUGCUAUCCAUGAUCACCUUGCUUUAAUUAAAUAACAAAAUGAUCACAUAGCUCAACUAACUGCCAAAAUUAAUCAUCAUGAGAUUGAAAAUGAAAAAUUUAAAUUUGCUAGAAGCAUGCUCUAUAAUGGGAGACGCCCUGACAUUAAGGAUGGCAUUGGUUUCCAACAGGGUAGCAAUGUCAAGCUUAAUGCCCCUAAGAAAUUGUCUAAUUUUGUUAACGGCAAAGCUCCCAUGGUUCAGGAUAAUGAGGGAUAUAUUUUGUAUCCUGAAAAUUAUCCCGAACACAAAAUUAGGAGAAUUCAUGCUAGUAAGUCUCAUAAUCUUUCUCAUCAUGCUUUUAUGUAUAAGAAUGAGGCUUCUAGCUCUAGGCAAUCAACUCAUGAUAAAUUACCUAAAAAGAAAACUCCUACUGCAUCAAAUGAACCUAAUAUUUCGUUUAAAACUUUUGAUGCAUCAUAUGUGCUUACUAACAAAUUAGGCAAAGUAGUUGCCAAAUAUGUUGGGGGCAAACACAAGGGGUCAAAGACUUGUGUUUGGGUACCCAAGGUGUUUGUUUCUAACGUGAAAGGACCCAAGACUGUUUGGGUACCUAAGAACAAGGCCUAAAACUGUUUUGCAGGUUUAUGCAUCCGGGGGCUCAAGCUGGAUAAUUGAUAGCAGGUGCACAAACCAUAUUGAUAGUCGCCUAGAGGGGGGGUGAAUAGGGCGAAACUGAAAUUACAAAUAUAAACACAACUACAAGCCGGGGUUAGCGUUAGUAAUAAGAAACGAGUCCGCAAGAGUGGGUGCAAAACAAAUCCCAAGCGAAUGAGCGAGUGAGACACGGAGAUUUGUUUUACCGAGGUUCGGUUCUUGCAAACCUACUCCCCGUUGAGGAGGCCACAAAGGCCGGGUCUCUUUCAACCCUUUCCCUCUCUCAAACGGUCCCUCGGACCGAGUGAGCUUUUCUCUUCUCAAAUUAACCGGGAGCAAAACCUCCCGCAAGGACCACCACACAAUUGGUGUCUCUUGCCUUGGUUACAAGUGAGUAUUGAUCACAAGAAAGAAUGAAAGAGAGAAAGCAAUCCAAGCGCAAGAGCUCAAAUGAACACGACAAAUCACUCUCACUAGUCACUAGGGCUUUGUGUGGAAUUGGAGAGGAUUUGAUCUCUUUGGUGUGUCUUAGAAUUGAAUGCUAGAGCUCUUGUAGUAGUUGAGAAGUGGAAAACUUGGAUGCAAUGAAUGGAGGGGUGGUUGGGGUAUUUAUAGCCCCAACCACCAAAUGUGGCCGUUGGGAACCUGUCUGUUCGAUGGCGCACCGGACAGUCUGGUGCACACCGGACAGUCCGGUGCCCCCUGCCACGUCAUCACUGCCGUUGGAUUCUAGCCGUUGGAGCUUCUGACUUGUGGGCCCGCCUGGGUGUCCGGUGCACACCGGACAUGUACUGUUUGAUGUCCGGUGCACCAGUAUGGGCGUGCCUGACGUCUGCGCGCGCUGCGCGCGCAUUAAAUGCACCGCAGGGAGCCGUUGGCGCCGCAGGGAGCCGUUGCUUCGCUGGCACACCGGACAGUCCGGUGCACACCGGACAGUCCGGUGAAUUUUAGCGGAGCGGCUGCCGCGCGAACCCGAGGCUGGCGAGUUCCGGAGACCGCGCUUCCUUGGAGCACCGGACAUGUCCGGUGCACACCGGACAGUCCGGUGAAUUAUAGCGCGCCGGCUUCCGAGAAUUCCCGAGGGCGAAGAGUUUGAGUUGGUGUCCUCUGGGCGCACCGGACACUGUCCGGUGCACACCGGACAGUCCGGUGCCUCCAGCCAGAGGUGCCCUCGGUUGCCUCAUUGCUCCUUUGUUGAAUCCAACACUUGGUCUUUUUAUUGACUGAAUGUGAACCUUUACACCUGUAUACUCUAUACACUGGGGCAAACUAGUUAGUCCGAUUAUUUGUGUUGGGCAAUUCAACCACCAAAAUUAUUUGGGAACUAGGUGUAAGCCUAAUUCCCUUUCAAUCUCCCCCUUUUUGGUGAUUGAUGCCAACACAAACCAAAGCAAAUAUAGAAGUGCAUAAUUGAACUAAUUUGCAUAAUGUAAGUGUAAAGGUUGCUUGGAAUUGAGCCAAUAAAACUACUUACAAGAUAUGCAUGGAAUGUUUCUUUCUUAUUUAGCAUUUUGGACCACGUUUGCACCACAUGUUUUGUUUUUGCAAAUCCUUUUGUAAAUCCAUUUCAAAGAUCUUUUGCAAAUAGUCAAAGGUAAAUGAAUAAGAGUUUGCAAAGCAUUUUCAAGACUUGAAAUUUUCUCCCCUCGUUUUAAAUGCUUUUCCUUUGACUUAACAAAACUCCCCCUAAAUGAGAUACUCCUCUUAGUGUUCAAGAGGGUUUUGAUAUACCAUUUUUGAAAUACUGCUUUCUCCCCCUUUUGAUAUACCAAUUGAAAAAUACUUUUGGAAAGUACUAAGUUUUUGAAAUUUGUGGUGGUGCGGUCCUUUUGCUUUGGGCUCAUUUCUCCCCCUUUUUGGCAUGAAUCGCCAAAAACGGAAUCAUUAGAGCCCUCGAAGUAAUUUCUUCCCCUUUGGUCAUAAGUAAAUGAGUUAAGAUUAUACCAAAGACGAAGUCCUUUUCUUGGAGCGAUGGCGAAGGAUGAGUUACGGAGUGGAAGCCUUUGUCUUCGCCGAAGACUCCAAUUUCCUUUCAAUACACCUAUGACUUGGUUUGAAAUACACUUGAAAAACACAUUAGUCAUAGCAUAUGAAAGAGAUAUGAUCAAAGGUAUAUAAAUGAGCUAUGUGUGCAAGUUAGCAAAAGAAAUUUCUAGAAUCAAGAAUAUUGAGCUCAUGCCUAAGUUUGGUAAAAGAUUGUUCAUCAAGUGGCUUGGUAAAGAUAUCGGCUAAUUGAUCUUUAGUGUUAAUAUAAGAAAUCUCGAUAUCUCCCUUUUGUUGGUGAUCCCUAAGAAAAUGAUACCGAAUGGCUAUGUGCUUAGUGCGGCUAUGCUCGACGGGAUUGUCGGCCAUUUUGAUUGCACUCUCAUUAUCACAUAGCAAAGGAACUUUGGUUAAUUUGUAACCGUAGUCCCGCAGGGUUUGUCUCAUCCAAAGCAAUUGCGCGCAACAAUGACCUGCGGCAAUAUACUCGGCUUCGGCGGUGGAAAGAGCGACCGAAUUUUGCUUCUUUGAAGCCCAUGACACCAAGGAUCUUCCCAAGAACUGGCAAGUCCCCGAUGUGCUCUUCCUAUUAAUCUUACACCCCGCCCAAUCGGCAUCCGAAUAACCAAUCAAAUCAAAAGUGGAUCCCCGAGGGUACCAAAGCCCAAACUUAGGUGUAUAAGCCAAAUAUCUCAAGAUUCGUUUUACGGCCGUAAGGUGGGAUUCCUUAGGGUCGGAUUGGAAUCUUGCACACAUGCAAACGGAAAGCAUAAUGUCCGGUCGAGAUGCACAUAAAUAGAGUAAUGAUCCUAUCAUCGACCGGUAUACCUUUUGAUCCACGGACUUACCUCCCGUGUCGAGGUCGAGAUGCCCAUUUGUUCCCAUGGGUGUUUUGAUGGGCUUGGCAUCCUUCAUUCCAAACUUGCUUAGGAUGUCUUGAGUGUACUUCGUUUGGCUGAUGAAGGUGCCCUCUUGGAGUUGCUUCACUUGAAAUCCUAGAAAAUACUUCAACUCCCCCAUCAUAGACAUCUCGAAUUUCUUUGUCAUGAUCCUACUAAAUUCUUCACAUGUAGAUUCGUUAGUAGACCCAAAUAUAAUAUCAUCAACAUAAAUUUGGCAUACAAACAAAUCAUUGUCAAGAGUUUUAGUGAAUAAAGUAGGAUCGGCCUUGUCGACUUUGAAGCCAUUAGUAAUAAGGAAAUCUCUUAGGCAUUCAUACCAUGCUCUUGGGGCUUGCUUGAGCCCAUAAAGCGCCUUAGAGAGCCUAUAGACAUGGUUAGGGUACUCACUGUCUUCAAAGCCGGGAGGUUGCUCAACAUAGACCUCUUCCUUGAUUGGUCCGUUGAGGAAGGCACUUUUCACGUCCAUUUGAUAAAGCUUAAAGCCAUGGUAAGUAGCAUAGGCCAAUAAUAUGCGAAUUGACUCAAGCCUAGCUACGGGUGCAUAGGUUUCACCGAAAUCCAAACCUUCGACUUGGGAGUAUCCCUUGGCCACAAGUCGAGCUUUGUUCCUUGUCACCACACCAUGCUCAUCUUGCUUGUUGCGGAAGACCCAUUUGGUUCCUACAACAUUUUGGUUAGGACGUGGAACCAAGUGCCAUACCUCAUUCCUCGUGAAGUUGUUGAGCUCCUCUUGCAUCGCCACCACCCAAUCCGAAUCUUGUAGUGCUUCCUCUACCCUGUGUGGCUCAAUAGAGGAAACAAAAGAGUAAUGUUCACAAAAAUGUGCAACACGAGAUCGAGUGGUUACCCCCUUAUGAAUGUCGCCGAGGAUGGUGUCGAUGGGGUGAUCUCGUUGUAUUGCUUGGUGGACUCUUGGGUGUGGCGGCCUUGGUUCUUCCUCAUCCUCCUUCUCUUGAUCAUUUGUAUCUUCCCCUUGAUUAUUGCCAUUAUCUUGAGGUGGCUCAUCUUCUUGAUUUUGUCCUUCAUCAACUUGAGCCUCAUCCUCAUUUUGAGUUGGUGGAGAUGCUUGCGUGGAGGAGGAUGGUUGAUCUUGUGCAUGUGGAGGCUCUUCGGAUUCCUUAGGACACACGUCCCCAAUGGACAUGUUCCUUAGUGCGAUGUACGGAGCCUGUUCUUCACCUAUCUCAUCAAGAUCAACUUGCUCUACUUGAGAGCCAUUAGUUUCAUCAAACACAACGUCACAUGAGACUUCAACUAGUCCAGUGGACUUGUUAAAGACCCUAUAUGCCCUUGUGUUUGAGUCAUAACCAAGUAAAAAGCCUUCUACAGUCUUGGGAGCAAAUUUAGAUUUUCUACCUCUUUUAACAAGAAUAAAGCAUUUGCUACCAAAGACUCUAAAAUAUGAAAUGUUGGGCUUUUUACCGGUUAGGAGUUCAUAUGAUGUCUUCUUGAGGAUUCGGUGAAGAUAUAACCGGUUGAUGGCGUAGCAGGCGGUGUUGACUGCUUCGGCCCAAAACCGGUCCGGUGUCUUGAACUCAUCAAGCAUGGUUCUUGUCAUGUCCAAUAGAGUUCGAUUCUUUCUCUCUACUACACCAUUUUGUUGUGGCGUGUAGGGAGAGGAAAACUCAUGCUUGAUGCCCUCCUCCUCAAGGAAGCCUUCGAUUUGAGAGUUCUUGAACUCCGUCCCGUUGUCGCUUCUUAUUUUCUUGAUCCUUAAGCCGAACUCAUUUUGAGCCCGUCUCAAGAAUCCCUUUAAGGUCUCUUGGGUUUGAGAUUUUUCCUGUAAAAAGAAUACCCAAGUGAAGCGAGAAUAAUCAUCCACAAUAACUAGACAGUACUUACUCCCGCCGAUGCUUAUGUAAGCAAUCGGGCCGAAUAGAUCCAUGUGUAGGAGCUCCAGUGGCCUGUCGGUCGUCAUGAUGUUCUUGUGUGGAUGAUGGGUUCCAACUUGCUUUCCCGCCUGGCAUGCGCUACAAACCCUGUCUUUCUCAAAAUGAACAUUUGUUAAUCCUAAAAUGUGUUCUCCCUUUAGAAGCUUGUGAAGAUUCUUCAUCCCAACAUGGGCUAGUCGGCGGUGCCAGAGCCAACCCAUGUUAGUCUUAGCAAUUAAGCAAGUGUCGAGUUCAGCUUUAUCAAAAUCUACCAAGUAUAGCUGACCCUCUAACACUCCCUUAAAUGCUAUUGAAUCAUCACUUCUUCUAAAGACAGUGACACCUACAUCAGUGAAUAGACAGUUGUAGCCCAUUUGACAUAAUUGAGAAACGGAAAGCAAAUUGUAAUCUAAAGAAUCUACAAGAAAAACAUUGGAAAUAGAAUGGUCAGAAGAUAUAGCAAUUUUACCAAGACCUUUGACCAAACCUUGAUUUCCAUCCCCGAAUGUGAUAGCUCGUUGGGGAUCUUGGUUUUUCUCGUAGGAGGAGAACAUCCUUUUCUCCCCAGUCAUGUGGUUUGUGCACCCGCUGUCGAGUAUCCAACUUGAGCCCCCGGAUGCAUAAACCUACAAUACAAUUUUAGUUCUUGACUUUAGGUACCCAAAUGGUUUUGGGUCCUUUGGCAUUAGACACGAGAACUUUGGGUACCCAAACACAAGUUUUUGACCCCUUGUGCUUGCCCCCAACAUAUUUGGCAACUACUUUGCCGGAUUUGUUAGUCAACACAUAAGAAGCAUCAAAAGUUUUAAAUGAAAUAGCAUGAUCAUUUGAUGCAUUAGGAAUUUUCUUCUUAGGCAACUUAGCAUGGGUGGAUUGCCUAGAACUAGAUGUCUCACCCUUAUACAUAAAAGCAUGAUUAGGGCCAGAGUGAGACUUCCUAGAAUGAAUUUUCUUAAUUUUGUCUUCGGGAUAACCGACAGGGUAUAAAAUGUAACCCUCGUUAUCCUGAGGCAUGGGAGCCUUGCCCUUAACAAAAUUUGACAAUCUUUUAGGAGGGGCACUAAGUUUGAUAUUGUCUCCCCUUUGGUAGCCAAUGCCAUCCUUAAUGCCAGGGCGUCUCCCAUUAUAAAGCAUGCUACGAGCAAAUUUAAAUUUCUCAUUCUCUAGGUUGUGCUCGGCAAUUUUAGCAUCUAGUUUUGCUAUAUGAUCAUUUUGUUGUUUAAUUAAAGCCAUAUGAUCAUGAAUAGCAUUAACAUCAACAUCUCUACAUCUAGUACAAAUAGAUACAUGCUCAACAAUAGAUGUAGAGGGUUUGCAAGAAUUAAGUUCAACAAUCUUAGCAUGAAGAAUAUCAUUUUUAUCCCUAAGAUCGGAAAUUGUAGUUUUGCAAACAUCAAAAUCUUUAGCCUUAGCAAUUAAAUUUUCAUUUUCUAUUCUAAGGCUAGCAAGAGAAAUGUUUAAUUCUUCAAUCCUAGCAAGCAAAUCAUCAUUAUUAUAUCUAGGAUUGGGAAUUGAAACAUUACAAACAUGUGAAUCAACCUUAGCAUUUAAGCUAGCAUUUUCAUGUCUAAGGUUGUCAAUCAUCUCACGGCAAGUGCUUAGCUCACUAGAUAAUUUUUCACAUUUCUCAAUUUCUAGAGCAUAAGCCUUUUUAACCUUAACAUGUUUCUUGUUUUCUUUAAUUAGACAUUCCUCUUGGGAAUCCAAAAGGUCAUCCUUUUCAUGAAUAGCACUAACCAAUUCAUUUAAUUUUUCCUUUUGAGCUAUGUUAAGGUUGGCAAAAAGGGAACGCAAAUUAUCCUCCUCAUCACUAGCAUUAUCAUCACUAGAAGACUCAUAUUUAGUGGAGGAGUUGGAUUUAACCUUCUUCCGUUUGCCGUCCUUUGCCAUGAGACACUUGUGGCCGACGUUGGGGAAGAGGAGUCCCUUGGUGACGGCAAUGUUGGCGGCGUCCUCGUUGUCGGAGGAGUCGCUUGAGCUCUCGUCGGAGUCCCACUCGCGACAAACAUGGGCAUCGCCGCCCUUCUUCUUGUAGUACCUCUUCUUCUCCUUUCUUCUCCCCUUCUUGUCGUCGCCUCGGUCACUGUCACUAGAUAUAGGACAUUUAGCAAUAAAAUGACCGGGCUUACCACACUUGUAGCAAACUUUCUUGGAGCGGGACUUGUAAUCCUUCCCCCUCCUUUGCUUGAGGAUUUGGCGGAAGCUCUUGAUGACGAGCGCCAUUUCCUCAUUGUCGAGUUUGGAGGCGUCUAUUGGUUGACGACUUGGUGUAGACUCCUCCUUCUUCUCCUCCGUUGCCUUAAAUGCAACGGGUUGAGCUUCGGAUGUGGUGGCAUCAUCAAGCUCGUUGAUCUUCCUCGAGCCUUCGAUCAUGCACUCAAAACUCACAAAAUUCCCGAUAACUUCCUCGGGGGUCAUUUUAGUAUAUCUAGGAUUACCACGAAUUAAUUGAACUUGAGUAGGGUUAAGGAAAAUGAGUGAUCUUAGAAUAACCUUAACCACCUCGUGGUCAUCCCACUUUACGCUCCCGAGGUUGCGCGCUUGGUUCACCAAGGUCUUGAGCCGAUUGUACAUGUGUUGUGGCUCUUCCCCUUUGCGAAGCCGGAACCGACCGAGCUCCCCCUCAAUCGUUUCCCGCUUGGUGAUCUUGGUGAGCUCAUCACCUUCAUGCGCGGUCUUGAGUAAAUCCCAAAUCUCCUUGGCGCUCUUCAACCCUUGUACUUUGUUAUACUCCUCUCUACUUAGAGAGGCGAGGAGUAUUGUUGUUGCUUGAGAGUUGAAGUGCUCGAUUUGGGCCACCUCAUCCUCAUCAUAGUCCUCAUCCCCUACGGAUGGUACCUGCGCGCCAAACUCAACAACAUCCCAUAUGCUUUUGUGGAGCGAGGUUAGAUGAAAUCGCAUUAAAUCGCUCCACCUAGCGUAAUCUUCACCAUCAAAAGUUGGUGGUUUGCCUAAUGGGACGGAAAGUAAAGGUGUAUGUUUGGAAAUGCGAGGGUAGCGUAGGGGGAUCUUACUAUACUUCUUGCGCUCUUGGCGCUUAGAAGUGACGGAGGGCGCAUCGGAGUCGGAGGUCGAUGUUGAUGAAGUGUCGGUCUCGUAGUAGACCACCUUCCUCAUCCUCUUGUGCUUGUCGCCUUUCCGAUGCGGCUUGUGGGAAGAAGAUUUUUCCUUCUUCUCUUUGUGGUGAGAAGAAGAUUUCUUCUCCUUCCCUUUGUUGGAGGAGCUCUUCUUCUUCUCCCUCCUUUUGGUGCGGGACUCUUCCGAUGAAGUGCUCCCGUGGCUUGUAGUGGGCUUUUCGCCGGUCUCCAUCUCCUUCUUGGCGUGAUCUCCCGACAUCACUUCGAGCGGUUAGGCUCUAAUGAAGCACCGGGCUCUGAUACCAAUUGAUAGUCGCCUAGAGGGGGGGGGUGAAUAGGGCGAAACUGAAAUUACAAAUAUAAACACAACUACAAGCCGGGGUUAGCGUUAGUAAUAAGAAACGAGUCCGCAAGAGUGGGUGCAAAACAAAUCCCAAGCGAAUGAGCGAGUGAGACACGGAGAUUUGUUUUACCGAGGUUCGGUUCUUGCAAACCUACUCCCCGUUGAGGAGGCCACAAAGGCCGGGUCUCUUUCAACCCUUUCCCUCUCUCAAACGGUCCCUCGGACCGAGUGAGCUUUUCUCUUCUCAAAUUAACCGGGAGCAAAACCUCCCGCAAGGACCACCACACAAUUGGUGUCUCUUGCCUUGGUUACAAGUGAGUAUUGAUCACAAGAAAGAAUGAAAGAGAGAAAGCAAUCCAAGCGCAAGAGCUCAAAUGAACACGACAAAUCACUCUCACUAGUCACUAGGGCUUUGUGUGGAAUUGGAGAGGAUUUGAUCUGUCACACCCGGCUUUAAGGAACAAAGCCAGGUGCAUCUCAUACAUGCGCCAAGAAGACAACAUAUAUAAUAACAGAGUGUAUAGAGAUAAACGUCAAUAACAUCAGAGUAUUUAUUACAUAGCGGAAGACUUAUUACAAAAUAAAAGAAUAAACAUAAAACGAACUAAGGAUCGUUGGCGCCAAUGUCAACUGAGAAACGCCACCUAGAUUGAAUCGAACUCCUCGACUUGUGGCUCCUCCUGAACCACCUGCUCUUCUCCUGUGGGGGGGGGGGGGGUGUGAGACAGCAAGGGUGAGCUCACACAUGAUCAUCGCUCAACAAGUUGUGGGGAAUAAUGUGACAUGAACUCACCAAAGAUGGGAGCUCAUGUGAAGUGUAAGGCUGAUCAAUGAUAGGGGUUAAAGCUGAGCAUUGCUUUUAAGUAGUUGGUCAAAAUUUUAUUAGCAGUUACUAAGUGUAAGUAAAUACCAAACCUUAAAUAAAGUAAUUGAACAAAUUAAUAAUAAACCCAUGCAUAUGCAAAUGACAAAAUUGAAUUUAAGUUCCAUAAUUUAAACAUCAGAGAGUCCUGAGCUGCUCAUGACCGUGAGCUCGGCUAGUAUACCAGUUUUACACUCUGCAGAGGUUGUACCCUUUACCCACAAGUCAUGCUACCCAUCUGCCAAGGGGUCGCGAAUCCCAUACACCUCUACCUAGGAAGCGCGGCAGGGCAACACUACGAGGCCUUUACAAAGUUCCACUAGCUUCCGAAAACCCGCUACAGUUUAUAGGAAGUUCCAAUGCAGGGUUCCUGGCUGACUGCCAUCGCAGCAAAAUCAACCAGGGACCUCCCUACACUGACCACUCCCCUACUGCCCUUGCCCCUUUCGGGUAAGGUAGUCUUCCACUAGCUUUCCUAAUUAGUCAGCCAAGGGCGUCCCAUUAAACCCUUGUGGUGGCACGUGGUUCUCAAGUUAAGCUCUAUGUUCCAAUUAACAUUAAUGAUCUCAACAUGAACAUAAAUAGAAUAACAAAAAUAAUUGGAACAUAGAUAUAAUAAAUGAUUAUCCCAAAACCAUGUAAAGCAAUAGCAAACUACCCAAGUGAUUCAGGGGUAAACAAGGUAAUGAGAUAAACAAUCUAGGGUGACCUAUUGGGUCCCAUCAAAAUUAACCUAUGCAUGGAUAAAUGAUAUUAAAGAAUAUUAUUGGGUAAAAUGUGGUCAAGGGCACAACUUGCCUUCAAUGAGCUCCUGCUCAGCUACUUCAACCUGCUGCUCACCAGGAUCCUCGGCAAUGGGCUCUUCUACUCGCCACAAUACAAACAAGCACAGUGCAUAUAGAGAAAUUAACAUUACACCAAACAUGUAAACAAAAUACACAGUGAUAUUCUACAUAAUAAAAUAAAAUUCUAGGAGCAGGAAUCAUAAUUUUUGGAGUUAUAGAAUUUAAGUUAUGGAUUUUCAAAGGUUUUAUGUGCUUUAAAUAGGAUUAAGUGGUAAAUAAAUUCCUUACUGUUUUCAUGACAUAACAGAGGCUCUAGGUGAUAGAGAAUAAAAAUACAAAAUUUUAGGAAGUGGAAUGGCUCAAUUUGGAGUUAGUAUGAAUUUUCUAUGAAUUGUUGAAGAUUUAGCACUUAUUUUUGUAUUAAAAAUACAUUUUCUAAUUCAUUUAUUCAUUUUAACCUGUCACUGGACUGGGCCACCAUUUCUGUGAACUACAGGGGCUUCGGAGUAAAACUCCGCAGACACAGAGCACAGCUCUCGUGGAUGGCGGGUUGAUUCUCUAGAAGCCCGAGGGCUCUUAAGCAAAUUUACAGAGACAAAGGGGUAAGGGCUGACUUCGGCCGUCCGAUGGAGGAGGAAUGGCCCAGAUUAGAUCACCAAGGCAUUCAAACGGUACACAACUUCUACGGUUGGAUCUCAAUCCGACGUUCAGCAGAUAAUACGGCUAAGGUCACAUCCUGACCGUCCGAUCUAGAGUCUGUGGCUCAGAUUCAAAGUAGCCACGACCUACUCACACCCGACCGAUCCUAACCCAACGGUCCAGAUCCAUUCGCACGAAAGGGUACGCGACUUCUAAUCUCCAUCGUUCGCUCAGAUCAAACGGCAGAGACGCCAUCUUCCUCCUCAAUGCCGACGGCGAGGCCACCCCAGAAACCCACGGCGGCGCACAGGUUCCGGCGAACAACGAUUUCGGCCCCCAGUGGUUCAUAUCGCAAUUAACUUCACCUACGCAAUGCGGAGUUCAAAGCGAAAUUAGUGGCGAGGUUCUCACCCAGAAUAUUGUUGUAGGUGAGGCAGUCCGCGACGACCCGGGGCGCGGUGCUUCCCCCGCCGUCCGCCGUGAAAUUCCCCGCGCUGCGACAACGCCAAUCAGCCGUGGCGAGCUCCCAUUCGUACCCAGUAUGGCCCGGCGAUGUUCCCGCGCCCGCACCGGACUGCUGUGCCUCUUCUCUCUCACUGACGGCGGCGCUGCUUCCAAUACCUCACUGGUGGCGACGAUUUUUUUGUUCUGAGGAAAGAAAUCCACGCGAGAGAGUAGCAGAGGGGAAGAAAUAGGUCACGGGAGCUCCCCUUUAUCGCCCGAGGUCCGAGUUUGUUAGGAUUCCGAAAUCCUAGCUCUCACCCGUGGUGCUCGCGAUGCGUCCAUGGUGGAGGUCCGUGUCGCGCGGCAAGGAGAUCGCUUCCAAAGAUUUCGUAGACUUCUGGUAGCGAAGAUCUCGUCCGAUCCAACGGUACUAGCCCAGCCGUGGUGAGCGGAGGAGGGAGAUGAGGUGGGCGGAUGGAAGAGACACAAUGCCCAGGUCAAAUUGCUGCUGUGCGGGGAAAGAGGAGAUCGAUCCGACAUGUGGGACCCGCGUGACAUUGACUGAACGCGCACGCAACGCAGAGAGAAGGGCUGUGCAGUGGUGUUGGGGAAUGGGCCGGUUCCAAUGAAUUGGGCCCAAUGCGCAGGAUGUCCCCUUUUAUUAUUUCUUCUAUGUUUUCCUUUUUUUUCUCUUUAUCUUUUGAAUUCGAAUUUAAAUUCAACUAUGAAUGUGAAUUUUGUACUCAAAGUAAAGGUAGAUCUUGAUCUUACUAGUAUGGAUAAAGUUUACAUUUUUAUAAAUUUUGUUUUGUAUUCUAUAGUAUUUCUUUUCUUCCUCUCCCUCCAUAUUUUAAUUUCCACAUUUAGGUCUAAAUUCCCACUUUGAGUAUCAAUGUCUUUUCUAUAGAUUUUUAUUAUUAUAUGCACACACAAAAUAAAAUUCUCAGCAUGAUGCACAUAUUGUCUUAGGAUCAUUAGUUAAUUAAUUACUUUUAUGGUAAUUGUUCACAGGUAUUAAUGAAUAAAGGUAACAUAUAUAGGGAAAAUAACCUCAUUUCUUAUGUUCUUACAAAUUUGGGUAUUACAAGUCCUACCCCCCUAAAAAAUAAUCUCGUCCUCGAGAUUUAAGAAGAACUAGAGAAAAGGUGGGGAAAAUCUAUGCGAAGCUCUUCUUCUCUUUCCCAAGUUGCUUCAUCUUCACCGUGGUGACUCCAUUGCACUUUGCACAUCUUUAUCACCUUAUUUCUCGUAACUCGAGUCAAAGUAUCCAAAAUCUUGAUCGGGUACUCCGUGUAAGUCAAAUCACCCUGAACACUGAGCUCUUCCAUUGGUAACUGUUCCUCGGGCACACGGGGACACUUCUUUAGUUGAGAUACGUGGAACACAUUAUGCACAUCCGAUAGGCUAGCAGGUAACUCGAGUUGGUACGCCAUCUCCCCAACUCUUCUAAAGAUCAGGAAUGGUCCAAUAUAGCGAGGGGACAAUUUGCCCUUAACCUUGAAUCUCCUCAUUCCACGAAGUGGUGACACCUUGAGAUACACAUAAUCUCCUUCUUCAAAUUCCAGUGGUCUUCUUCUAUUAUCAGCAUAGCUCUUUUGCCUGGUUUGAGCCACCCUCAAAUUCUCUCGAAUUAUACGAACUUGUUCUUCUGCUUCUUGAAUCAAUUCAGGCCCAAAGAAUUGUCUUUCUCCAGUCUGAUCCCAAUACAAAGGAGUCCUGCACUUCCUCCCAUAUAAAGCUUCAAAAGGUGACAUCUUCAGACUGGCCUGAUAGCUAUUGUUAUAUGAGAACUCAGCAUACGGUAGACUUUUAUCCCAACUUCCUCCAUGCUGAAGGGCACAUGCUCUCAACAUAUCUUCCAAUACUUGAUUAGUCCUUUCAGUCUGUCCAUCAGUCUGAGGGUGAUAAGCUGUACUAAAAUUUAACUUUGUACUCAUGUUCUCAUGAAAGCUUCUCCAAAAUCUUGAGGUAAAUUGUGAACCUCGAUCAGACACGAUCUUCUUUGGUACCCCAUGUAAACACACAAUCCGAGCCAUAUAUAACUCUGCUAGUUGAGAACCUUUAUAAGUAGUCUUCACAGGAAUAAAGUGAGCCACUUUAGUCAAUCUAUCUACAAUCAUCCAUAUAGCAUCAUAUCCUUUCUGGGUGCGAGGCAAUCCAGUAAUAAAAUCCAUACCAAUCUCUUCCCAUUUCCACUCGGGUAUCUUCAGUGGAUGCAGUAGUCCAGCUGGCCUCUGAUGUUCAGCCUUAACUCUUUGACAUACAUCGCACAUAGCCACAUGUGCAGCUACAUCUCUUUUCAAUCCAUACCACCAAUACUUCCGUUUCAAAUCCUGAUACAUCUUAGUACUACCAGGAUGAAUAGAAUAAUCCGAGUCAUGGGCCUCCUUUAAAAUAGUCUCUCGAAGGCUUUUAAUAUCAGGAACACACAUCCUGUCCUUGAACCAUACAGUGCCUUGCUCAUCUUCCGUAAAUUCCGGAACUCGACCUUCAGUAAUAAGAUCCUUAAUCUCUCUUAUUUUAGCAUCCUCAAGUUGACCUUUGCGGAUUUCUUGCUCCAAAGUAGGUUCCACAUCAAUAGUAACUCCUUCAGUAUGAGCGACUAUCCCCAGGUUAAGUCUCCUGAAAUCCUCAACAAUCUCAUCGGGUAGUUGGGCAACAACAGCUGAAUGAACAUGCUCCUUUCGACUCAAGGCAUCUGCAACCAAAUUCGCCUUGCCCGGGUGAUAGUGAAUCUCCAAAUCAUAAUCCUUAAUAAGCUCCAACCAACGGCGUUGCCUAAGGUUGAGAUCCUUCUAAGUGAAUAUAUACUUCAAACUCUUAUGAUCCGUAUAUACUUAACACUAGGUCCCCAUGAUAUAAUGUCUCCAAAUCUUAAGCGCAUGCACAACAGCUGCCAAUUCCAAGUCAUGAGUGGGGUAGUUCAAUUCAUGUUUUCGUAACUGACGCGACGCAUAGGCGAUCACAUGUCCUUCUUGCAUGAGCACGCAUCCUAAGCCUUGGCCACACGCAUCACAAUAGAUAUCAAAUCCUUUCUGUAGGUCUGGCAUAACCAAUACUGGUGGCGACAUCAAUCUUUUCUUCAAUUGAUCAAAGCUGUCUUGACACUUCUCGUCCCACUUAAAUUCUUUUCCUUUCUCCAAAAGUGAAGUCAUAGGCUUAGCAAUCUUAGAAAAUCCUUCAAUAAAUCUCCGAUAAUAUCCCGCUAAUCCCAAGAAACUCCGAAGCUCAGUAACUGUAGUGGGUACUCUCCACUCCAUUGUCUCCUUAACCUUAGCAGGAUCCACUGAAAUUCCUCCAUUAGAAAUAAUAUGACCAAGAAAUGGCACCUCGCCUAUCCAAAACUCGCACUUGCUAAACUUGGCAUAUAGCUGGUUAUCUCGUAGCUUCUGUAGCACCAAUCUCAGAUGUUCCUCGUGAUCACUAUCACUCUGAGAAUAAAUAAGAAUAUCGUCGAUGAAUACCACGACGAAUCUGUCCAAAUAUUCCAUAAACACCUUAUUCAUCAAGUUCAUAAAAUAAGCUGGGGCAUUGGUUAAUCCAAACGACAUAAUAGUAAACUCAUAUAAUCCAUAUCGAGUCGAGAAAUCCGUCUUGGGAAUAUCUGAUGGCCUAAUCUUCAUUUGAUGGUAACCCGAUCGGAGAUCAAUCUUCGAGAAUACACUUGCACUUCUCAUCCGAUUAAAUAAAUCCUCAAUGCGGGGUAGUGGACAUUUGUUCUUUACAGUGACAUCGUUAAGGGUCCUAUAAUCCACACACAUCGCUUGCGAUCCUUCUUUCUUCUGUACAAAUGGAACCGGCGCUCCACAAGGUGAAGAAUUCGAACGAAUGUACCUAGCCUCUUGUAACUCUAUUAACUGCUUCUUAAGUUCUUUUAACUCUUCUAUAGACAUCUUGUAUGACCGUUUGGGAGUAGGAGUAGUCCCAGGUAAGAGAUCAAUGACAAACUUAACUUCCCUAUCUUGUGGUAUCCCUGGUAACUCCUCUGAAAGACAUCCGGAAAAAUCCCUAACUGCACGGAUGUUGUCACCAUCAAACUUCCCAUUUACUAAGAAUGUCGCUAGUCUGGUGGCGGUAGUUACUACAAUUCCAACUUUAAAUUUUUUUCUCCUUUGGAUCUGGUGAGUUCUAUGGUUCCUUUAGCACAGUGUAUAGACUGCCCUUCUUAACCAUGACAUACCAAGGGUCACAUCUAUAGUGCUCUCUUCUAACAGUAUAGGGGUAGCCCAUCGGGGUUAGAAAUACAAGGUAAGAAAGGAAUAAUUGUAGACAAGGCGAGUAAUUACGAGAAAUGUUACUGCGGGGGAUUUAUUAGUUAAGUAGAUUGGUGCGUUAUCUACUAAAGCUAAUACAUUACCUUAUGGUGGUACAUGCUAAGAUGCCCGUCUAUACUAUUUCAAUCAACCAAAGAAGCAAAUCAGGCAUUGAUCAUCAGAACAAUCAACCAACAUUUUUAAUAGAGAAAAUAAAUCUUUUUUUUUCUUAGGUCUCCUAUCUCUUAAAAAGAUCAUAGUGGUAGGAUUCCAAGGUGUGAAAUCCAUCUUGUCUUAGAGUAGAAAAGAUAAGAUUAACCAGAGUAGAGUAGCAGAAGGUGAGACAAGAUCAAGAUGAGAUAAGUAUAGAAUGAGUCAGAGUAAGGUAAGUAAGUGAGGGUUGUCCAUUUCUAUCUAGGUUUCGUCCUACAGUCAACAUUUCCUCUGAUACCACUUCUGUCACACCCGGCUUUAAGGAACAAAGCCAGGUGCAUCUCAUACAUGCGCCAAGAAGACAACAUAUAUAAUAGCAGAGUGUAUAGAGAUAAACGUCAAUAACAUCAGAGUAUUUAUUACAUAGCGGAAGACUUAUUACAAAAUAAAAGAAUAAACAUAAAACGAACUAAGGAUCGUUGGCGCCAAUGUCAACUGAGAAACGCCACCUAGAUUGAAUCGAACUCCUCGACUUGUGGCUCCUCCUGAACCACCUGCUCUUCUCCUGUGGGGGGGUGUGAGACAGCAAGGGUGAGCUCACACAUGAUCAUCGCUCAACAAGUUGUGGGGAAUAAUGUGACAUGAACUCACCAAAGAUGGGAGCUCAUGUGAAGUGUAAGGCUGAUCAAUGAUAGGGGUUAAAGCUGAGCAUUGCUUUUAAGUAGUUGGUCAAAAUUUUAUUAGCAGUUACUAAGUGUAAGUAAAUACCAAACCUUAAAUAAAGUAAUUGAACAAAUUAAUAAUAAACCCAUGCAUAUGCAAAUGACAAAAUUGAAUUUAAGUUCCAUAAUUUAAACAUCAGAGAGUCCUGAGCUGCUCAUGACCGUGAGCUCGGCUAGUAUACCAGUUUUACACUCUGCAGAGGUUGUACCCUUUACCCACAAGUCAUGCUACCCAUCUGCCAAGGGGUCGCGAAUCCCAUACACCUCUACCUAGGAAGCGCAGCAGGGCAACACUACGAGGCCUUUACAAAGUUCCACUAGCUUCCGAAAACCCGCUACAGUUUAUAGGAAGUUCCAAUGCAGGGUUCCUGGCUGACUGCCAUCGCAGCAAAAUCAACCAGGGACCUCCCUACACUGACCACUCCCCUACUGCCCUUGCCCCUUUCGGGUAAGGUAGUCUUCCACUAGCUUUCCUAAUUAGUCAGCCAAGGGCGUCCCAUUAAACCCUUGUGGUGGCACGUGGUUCUCAAGUUAAGCUCUAUGUUCCAAUUAACAUUAAUGAUCUCAACAUGAACAUAAAUAGAAUAACAAAAAUAAUUGGAACAUAGAUAUAAUAAAUGAUUAUCCCAAAACCAUGUAAAGCAAUAGCAAACUACCCAAGUGAUUCAGGGGUAAACAAGGUAAUGAGAUAAACAAUCUAGGGUGACCUAUUGGGUCCCAUCAAAAUUAACCUAUGCAUGGAUAAAUGAUAUUAAAGAAUAUUAUUGGGUAAAAUGUGGUCAAGGGCACAACUUGCCUUCAAUGAGCUCCUGCUCAGCUACUUCAACCUGCUGCUCACCAGGAUCCUCGGCAAUGGGCUCUUCUACUCGCCACAAUACAAACAAGCACAGUGCAUAUAGAGAAAUUAACAUUACACCAAACAUGUAAACAAAAUACACAGUGAUAUUCUACAUAAUAAAAUAAAAUUCUAGGAGCAGGAAUCAUAAUUUUUGGAGUUAUAGAAUUUAAGUUAUGGAUUUUCAAAGGUUUUAUGUGCUUUAAAUAGGAUUAAGUGGUAAAUAAAUUCCUUACUGUUUUCAUGACAUAACAGAGGCUCUAGGUGAUAGAGAAUAAAAAUACAAAAUUUUAGGAAGUGGAAUGGCUCAAUUUGGAGUUAGUAUGAAUUUUCUAUGAAUUGUUGAAGAUUUAGCACUUAUUUUUGUAUUAAAAAUACAUUUUCUAAUUCAUUUAUUCAUUUUAACCUGUCACUGGACUGGGCCACCAUUUCUGUGAACUACAGGGGCUUCGGAGUAAAACUCCGCAGACACAGAGCACAGCUCUCGUGGAUGGCGGGUUGAUUCUCUAGAAGCCCGAGGGCUCUUAAGCAAAUUUACAGAGACAAAGGGGUAAGGGCUGACUUCGGCCGUCCGAUGGAGGAGGAAUGGCCCAGAUUAGAUCACCAAGGCAUUCAAACGGUACACAACUUCUACGGUUGGAUCUCAAUCCGACGUUCAGCAGAUAAUACGGCUAAGGUCACAUCCUGACCGUCCGAUCUAGAGUCUGUGGCUCAGAUUCAAAGUAGCCACGACCUACUCACACCCGACCGAUCCUAACCCAACGGUCCAGAUCCAUUCGCACGAAAGGGUACGCGACUUCUAAUCUCCAUCGUUCGCUCAGAUCAAACGGUAGAGACGCCAUCUUCCUCCUCAAUGCCGACGGCGAGGCCACCCCAGAAACCCACGGCGGCGCACAGGUUCCGGCGAACAACGAUUUCGGCCCCCAGUGGUUCAUAUCGCAAUUAACUUCACCUACGCAAUGCGGAGUUCAAAGCGAAAUUAGUGGCGAGGUUCUCACCCAGAAUAUUGUUGUAGGUGAGGCAGUCCGCGACGACCCGGGGCGCGGUGCUUCCCCCGCCGUCCGCCGUGAAAUUCCCCGCGCUGCGACAACGCCAAUCAGCCGUGGCGAGCUCCCAUUCGUACCCAGUAUGGCCCGGCGAUGUUCCCGCGCCCGCACCGGACUGCUGUGCCUCUUCUCUCUCACUGACGGCGGCGCUGCUUCCAAUACCUCACUGGUGGCGACGAUUUUUUUGUUCUGAGGAAAGAAAUCCACGCGAGAGAGUAGCAGAGGGGAAGAAAUAGGUCACGGGAGCUCCCCUUUAUCGCCCGAGGUCCGAGUUUGUUAGGAUUCCGAAAUCCUAGCUCUCACCCGUGGUGCUCGCGAUGCGUCCAUGGUGGAGGUCCGUGUCGCGCGGCAAGGAGAUCGCUUCCAAAGAUUUCGUAGACUUCUGGUAGCGAAGAUCUCGUCCGAUCCAACGGUACUAGCCCAGCCGUGGUGAGCGGAGGAGGGAGAUGAGGUGGGCGGAUGGAAGAGACACAAUGCCCAGGUCAAAUUGCUGCUGUGCGGGGAAAGAGGAGAUCGAUCCGACAUGUGGGACCCGCGUGACAUUGACUGAACGCGCACGCAACGCAGAGAGAAGGGCUGUGCAGUGGUGUUGGGGAAUGGGCCGGUUCCAAUGAAUUGGGCCCAAUGCGCAGGAUGUCCCCUUUUAUUAUUUCUUCUAUGUUUUCCUUUUUUUCUCUUUAUCUUUUGAAUUCGAAUUUAAAUUCAACUAUGAAUGUGAAUUUUGUACUCAAAGUAAAGGUAGAUCUUGAUCUUACUAGUAUGGAUAAAGUUUACAUUUUUAUAAAUUUUGUUUUGUAUUCUAUAGUAUUUCUUUUCUUCCUCUCCCUCCAUAUUUUAAUUUCCACAUUUAGGUCUAAAUUCCCACUUUGAGUAUCAAUGUCUUUUCUAUAGAUUUUUAUUAUUAUAUGCACACACAAAAUAAAAUUCUCAGCAUGAUGCACAUAUUGUCUUAGGAUCAUUAGUUAAUUAAUUACUUUUAUGGUAAUUGUUCACAGGUAUUAAUGAAUAAAGGUAACAUAUAUAGGGAAAAUAACCUCAUUUCUUAUGUUCUUACAAAUUUGGGUAUUACAUGAUCUCUUUGGUGUGUCUUAGAAUUGAAUGCUAGAGCUCUUGUAGUAGUUGAGAAGUGGAAAACUUGGAUGCAAUGAAUGGAGGCGUGGUUGGGGUAUUUAUAGCCCCAACCACCAAAUGUGGCCGUUGGGAACCUGUCUGUUCGAUGGCGCACCGGACAGUCCGGUGCACACCGGACAGUCCGGUGCACACCGGACAGUCCGGUGCACACCGGACAGUCCGGUGCCCCCUGCCACGUCAUCACUGCCGUUGGAUUCUAGCCGUUGGAGCUUCUGACUUGUGGGCCCGCCUGGGUGUCCGGUGCACACCGGACAUGUACUGUUUGAUGUCCGGUGCACCAGUAUGGGCGUGCCUGACGUCUGCGCGCGCAUUAAAUGCACCGCAGGGAGCCGUUGGCGCCGCAGGGAGCCGUUGCUUCGCUGGCACACCGGACAGUCCGGUGCACACCGGACAGUCCGGUGCACACCGGACAGUCCGGUGAAUUUUAGCGGAGCGGCUGCCGCGCGAACCCGAGGCUGGCGAGUUCCGGAGACCGCGCUUCCUUGGAGCACCGGACAUGUCCGGUGCACACCGGACAGUCCGGUGAAUUAUAGCGCGCCGGCUUCCGAGAAUUCCCGAGGGCGAAGAGUUUGAGUUGGUGUCCUCUGGGCGCACCGGACACUGUCCGGUGCACACCGGACAGUCCGGUGCCUCCAGCCAGAGGUGCCCUCGGUUGCCUCAUUGCUCCUUUGUUGAAUCCAACACUUGGUCUUUUUAUUGACUGAAUGUGAACCUUUACACCUGUAUACUCUAUACACUGGGGCAAACUAGUUAGUCCGAUUAUUUGUGUUGGGCAAUUCAACCACCAAAAUUAUUUGGGAACUAGGUGUAAGCCUAAUUCCCUUUCACAUAUGACAGGGGAGAAAAGGAUGUUCUCCUCCUAUGAGAAAAAUGAAGAUCCCCAAAGAGCUAUCACAUUCGGGGAUGGAAAUCAAGGUUUAGUCAAAGGACUUGGUAAAAUUGCUAUAUCCCCCGACCAUUCUAUUUCCAAUGUUUUUCUUGUAGAUUCUUUAGAUUACAACUUGCUUUCUGUAUCUCAAUUAUGUAAAAUGGGCUACAACUGUCUUUUUAGUGAUACUGGUGUUACUGUCUUUAGAAGAAGUGAUGAUUCAGUAGCUUUUAAGGGAAUGUUAGACGAUCAGCUAUACUUAGUUGAUUUUAAUAGAGUUGAACUCGACACUUGCUUAAUUGCUAAGACUAAUAUGGGUUGGCUCUAGCAUCGCCGACUAGCCCAUGUUGGGAUGAAGAAUCUUCACAAGCUUCUAAAGGGGGAACACAUUUUGGGACUAACAAAUGUUCAUUUUGAGAAAGAUAGGGUUUGUAGCGCAUGUCAAGCAGGAAAGCAAGUUGGUGCCCAUCAUCUACACAAAAAUAUCAUGACAACGGAUAGGCCACUGGAACUACUCCACAUGGAUCUAUUCGGCCCGAUAGCUUACAUAAGCAUCGGCGGGAGUAAGUACUGUCUAGUUAUUGUGAAUGAUUAUUCUCGCUUCACUUGGGUGUUCUUUUUGCAAGAUAAAUCUUAGACCCAAGAGACCUUAAAGGGAUUCUUGAGACGGGCUCAAAAUGAGUUCGGCUUAAGGAUCAAAAAGAUAAGAAGCGACAACAGGAAGGAGUUCAAGAACACACAAAUCGAUGGCUUUCUUGAGGAGGAGGGCAUCAAACAUGAGUUCUCUUCUCCCUACACUCCACAACAAAAUGGUGUAGUGGAGAGGAAGAAUCGAACUCUAUUGGACAUGAUGAGGACCAUGCUUGAUGAGUACAAGACACCGGAUCGGUUUUGGGCUAAGGCGAUUAACACCACCUGCUACUCCAUCAACCGGCUCUACCUUCACUGAAUCCUCAAGAAAACAUCUUAUGAACUCCUCACCGGUAAAAAGCCCACUGUUUCAUAUUUUAGAGUCUUUGGUAGCAAAUGUUUUAUUCUUGUUAAAAGAGGUAGAAAAUCUAAAUUUGCUCCUAAGGUUGUAGAAUGUUUUUACUUGGUUAUGACUCAAACACAAGGGCAUAUAGAGUCUUUAACAAAUCCACUUGUAACACCCCUGGUGUUACUGUCACUAAAACUUGAACAUAACAUCAUGAGCAUGGGCAUAUCAUGUGUUUGUUACACCUAUUGUGCAUUCACUAGGUAAAAAUUUCAAAUAAGUUGUACUGAUGUGACUUGAGGUGUGAUUAACUCUAGGGUAGAGUGUCUAACCCUAGAUCAUGGCUUAUAGAUAUAAGUGAAGCCCAAAUAUGUGAAAACCUCAAAAGACAUGAGAAAUUAUCAUAAGAUAUCCUCUUUAAUGAACUUUAAUAACACCAAAACCUUAAAGUGCUAAAAACACUGAAAAGACCCUUGGAAAACCCUAAAUUGGAACCCUAGGGGGGUAGAUGUAAAUUUUGUGCACUUUUGGACCAAAGUAAAAAUAUAAAAGUAAAAGAGUACCUCAAACCCAAUAUCUUUCAUAUUGGAGAAUUUGCAAGUUGAAUAGUGGAGUUUGGACCUAUUUGCAAAAAAGCACCCUAUGAAUCAUAUGUGGCUAAGUCUGAAUUUCAGUUGAAUGGGAUCAACUUUAGAACUCUAUAUCUCUAAAUCCAUUUUGAUUUUGCCCUAGGUUAAUAUAGCAAACUUGUAAAGCUAAGAUAGGAGUACAACUUUGCUUAAGUAAUUAAGCCUUGGUGUUGUACAAAAAUAGGAGAUAAAUAGGUUUGAAGUCUGGCUGUCAGACCACCCUAAGACUGAAUACUGACUGACAGUGAGUUCUGAUGAACUUUGGACUCGAUUCUUGCUCAAGGGAAUGAGCAAAUGAGCAAGAUCCCUAUAGCAGAAUUGUAGCUAGAUUAUAGGACUACAACUUUGUUAAAGGUGGAUUAGCAAGUAUUACAUGGAAUUUCGAGAUUUGGGCGCUGCAAACUGCUCUGUCAGGCGUCUGAAUGGGGUUCUGAUGGUACAGUGGACUGAAAAAGAUCUCUGGUGCACUGAACCUUGCCGCCGGCGACCUUGCACUCGGAUUCGUGCCAGUGCCGCGAUUCACGCUCCGUUAAACGCAGAUAACGAUCCCCGGGUAAAAAGAUCUCGCUGUGGAUGAACUUGAAGCACAGUGGAUGCUCUGUCGCUCAUCCGGUUACCAGCGACGUGGUCGCGCGACCAUCAUCGUCGUACCGCCAUUCCUCGCGGUUAUGACAUGCCAUCAGCCAUCUUACCACGUCGCAAUUGAUCACAUUGCACAACCCAUCUAUCGGCCAAGAACUCGUCACGGUGAAAGCCACCAAUCCUUUGCGCCAGUGCUCUCCCCUCUCUCUGGCCACCAGCAAUUCCCUUCCAAAUUCGAAGCCGCCGCUCAAAGACUCUAUAAAUUGAUGUCCCAGCCUGCUCCGCUAAGUAAUUGUGCACCCAGUGAACCAGCCCUCACCUCCAAUCGUCCCCCACAGCUCCCCAAUUUGGGAUUUCCCCCAAAUCUGUCAAGAACACCGCAGUGUGUGAGCUCGCCGUGGUCAGCUCUCCGCAGGUCCGAUCAUACCUUCCUCGCUCUCGUUUCAACAUCCCUGUAUGCUGUAGAUGCUUAGCAGCCUGGCCAAUUGAACUAGAUCACGCUAGAUUACUAGAAACUUCUUGGUUUGUCCGUUGAUCGCGCUGUCACCGUGGGCAGAGAGAUUAGGGGCUAGAACCUUGAAAUUGGUUGAGGGGUAAUGAUCAUUAGAAAUCAAAUUAGGUGUUAACCGCACCGGAGCACCGGUAGUUGAGUUAUCCAGCCGGUAUGGGCUCGCCGGAGCCGCUGCUCCGCCGUCCACAAUUGUGGACCUCACCUUGUGAAGGAAUAGAAAGGGGAGGGUCUAUCUGCAUUUGUCAGUGACUCAAAGAAAUAGUGCUGCAGACUCUUUAUGGGUUUCUCAAAUACCCAGGGUCCUAUGUGUAAACCCGACACCAUGGGCACGCGCGGGCGCGCUUUCGCCUGUGCGUGGGCCGACUUGGGCUAAUUUCAGCCCAUUACUGUUUAAGCUUUCUCUUUUUCUUUUUCUGCCAGACUUAAGAAAUCCAUAGAAAAUUUUACAAAAAUGAUAAAAAUAUGAAACUAAUUUUGUUGGACUCCUAGAUUUCUCUAGUAUUUAAUAAAAAUAGUUCUAGGAUGUUUAGUCCAAACAAGAAAUUAAUCAGUAUUUAAAAGAGCUUAAACCUAUACCUCUAGAAUUUUAGGAAUUAUUUAAUAAAUCCAAAAAUCACCAAACUUUUUGGAUAAGUUUAAUAUGAUAUUUAGUUCCUAUGAGUGAAGUUUGACUUGCUUUGGACAUUGUUUGAUGCCUAAACCAAAAACCCUAGCUCCUUAGGGUAAAAAUGUCUAACCUUACUAAGAUACUGACCUAGACAAACCCUAGUUACCCUAGUGCACCGUGAAGGAAAGUUGUAUUCAAGAUACAACUUGAUACCUCUUUGCUAUUAUUGAAUUUUCAUAAGCAUUACAUGAGCAUUCAUGGUUAUAUAUGGAUAUAUAUAGAGAACGAGGAAGAAGUGACUGUUGAAGAGGAAGAAACUACUCCAUCAACAGAAAAUCCACCUGCCGGGAACUGUUUUUACUUUGACAUCUGUGGAACAGAGCCCGACUCUCCUACAACACAAGGCAAGCACCGGUGCAUUUUCCACCUCCUUGCUGUUUUAAAAUCUUUAUCACUUGCUUGAUGCAUUAGGUGAUAGGAGUUGUAUGCUAAACCAAUUGCUGCAUUUCCUUCCUUGGAACUGUUUACCAUUCCUUGAUUACCUAUUUUAUGAAAAGGUUUUCUAAUGCUUAGUCUUGCUUUAGAAAAACAAAAUAUUUUGUUUUUAACAAAAGAUGAUGCUUCAAGUGGAUGGGAUGUUUUCAAAAAUAAAACUUGAUGGUGGAUCUAUUAUGGCCACGAUGGGUUCAACAUCGGAAAAGAUGUACCUCUUACAGGUACCAAACUUUGGGUUUUAAAUAAUAAAGCUGAGACCGGGCGGGUGACUUGCACGAGAAGAGAGUCUCGGUGUAGUGUCUCCGUCUGAGUCGAUUAAGGACCGUCUCGAUGUAGGCUUGCUGAUUGAGGACCUUUUAACUGGUCACAUGCCUCAUCAUGGGUAAGCUUUGCCUCAGGCAGACUAAUACCAGAAAGGCCAACACGCAAUGGGAGUGGAGAGAUGGUGAGAGUAACGUGUACCCUCCGUGGCAAGAGGCUGGGCGAUGGUGUAUCUGUGCUCUCGGUUGGCGUGAACCCGGUCUGGUCUUAAGAAACCCGGUGGCAGUUGACAUAUGCAAGGGUUAAGUGCUACAUAUGUCGUGUGAUUGGAGAUCCUCAACUGGGUAUUAAUCGAUUCAGAUCGCUGUUACUUCUCGGACAUGAAGACUUGGUCACUACCCUACACGUAGCAUUCCAGUAAAACAAGAAGGGGCUGAUAAAGAAUGGCUAGUAUAGGCCAAGUGCUUGAACUAGGGUAGAAAGAACUCUAGUGGCAGGUAAUGACUAAACUUGCUAAUAAAACUGGAUUUUUAAGGAUCCACUAUUAGUAAGCAUUUUUGCAAACAUAGUCUUGAUUCUUGAGUAAGCCUUACCUUGACUCCCUUAAGCCAGCAUAUCCUUGAGAGUCUUUUAUUUUGACGGGUAAGACUUGUGAAAGUACACUCCAUACUCAGGGUUUUCGAACCCAUGUUGUUGUAGGUGGGGAAAUAGCAGACUUUUGCUGUUUUUGCACUAAGGUGGUGCCCAAGGAUGUGGUGCCCAAGGACGAACCUCAACAGUGAUGUGUUUGCGGGAGGAUGUUGGCCUCCCUUUGAAAAACAAUAUACUUUUAUGCGGGAGGGGUUUUUGCCUCCCGGGUUUGUAAUAAUAAUACUUGUGCACUCAUCUACCCUGGCUCUGUAAUAACUAUAACCCUCUUUCUAUAUUUUGAUGAAUGUAAAUUAAGUUAUUGUAAUUCGCUUCCGCUUAUUCGUUCCUCCGAUGUGUUGUAAUAACUGCGUGACGGUUGAAAUGCUCUUGGGCGAGGAAAUAGGAUACAAAUACCGAACUUGUCGAGUGAUUAUGUGCAUCUACAGGGUUGUCCAAGGUCCGUUGGACAAGGACAACUGUAGGUGGGCCUAAUGACUUGGGAGGUUCCGUCACAGCUGGUAUUAGAGCGAAAACCAUCUCUUCAGAUAUUAUGAAGCAUUUCAUAAAGAAUUUUCAAAUACUUAUCCAAGAAAAUUUCUUUCAUUCUUCCCUUGCCACUUUCUAAAAGCUCUCAUCUUGUAAGACCAGGUAAUAGAGUGCAGUAUAUAUGAAGUGGGAUCAACGAAGGUUGAUUCCGUAAUUUUUGGGUUAUGCAUGCAUCAUGUUAAGAAUCUACUAAUAAAUUUCCCCUCUUAUGGAGAUAUGGCACGCACAAGGAAAACUGCACGCAAAUCUAUGGGACCUUUUAGUGUGCCUCGUCACCAGUUAGCCCCCAGACAUGAAGGGAGCAGUAGUGGCUCCAACGACCCCAUUGGAGAUCUAGAAGCGAAGGUGGAGCAACUUCGUUCAGAACUACGCCAUCGGAACAGGGCACGGGAGCAGGACAGUCAGUGGAUAGCCGAACUGUCAGCUGAGGUCAGCCGCUUGAGGUUUGAGAUCUUGUAGCGGAAUUCGGCCAUCGACUGGGCCAUUAACUCGCGUUCGGUUGCUUGGCACCGUGAAGCCAAAGCCCAAGGUCGAGUGGAUGAGCUUGGCACGGUCCUUGAUAACCUGCAAGCAUACUUCAAUACAUUACAUGAAGAAGUUCAUAUGCUGUAUGCUCAACUGCACGCGGACAUGCCUUCCGACACUGCUGCAAUGGAAGUUGGACCCUCGGGAACAGCAAACGCAGGACCUGAAUGGGAGUUGGACCUUUUUAAGCCUCCUCCUACUAUGAACUUGGCUGACGAGCAGUCUCCUGCAGCAGACAGUGAAGCAACUCAAGACAAUGAAGACUAGACUAGUAUAGUUUAGAUAUUGUACUAAGUGUAAAAUAAGUACUGUAGGCAUGUUGUACGCUUGAGUCUGUAACACAACGUUUUGGUAAUGUAAAAUGAUGGUGUGUAUCGGCAUGUUAUAUUUUCCCAAAAUGUUUCUUUGCCUCAGAUGCCAUCAAGGACUCAUGUGCAGGACAGUGCGGGGACUUCCCAUGGUCAGGAAGACACACCCAACCCACCGCCUAUACCACCAACAUUGGCUGAGGCUAUCGCUGCCUUGGUCAAUGCUACCGUAGAUAAUACCUGAUUCUUACGUGAGAUGGCGGGUAAUCAAUUCCAGCAGCAAGGCGGAAGAGCUCCUCCACAGGGACCGCGUGAAACCUCAUAUCUAGAUUUUUCUGAAACGCGUCCCCCACUCUUCGUUAAAGCUGAAGAACCACUUGAAGUUGAUGAGUGGAUCAGGGUAAUAGAGCAGAAGUUCGGAUUAAUCCGUUGCACUGAAACACAGAAGCCGUUAUUCGCCGCUCAACAACUGAGAGGCCCUGCCAGUACAUGGUGGGAAAAUUUUGUGGCAAUUCAACCAGCCAGACAUCAGGUCACUUGGGAUGAAUUUAAGCUAGCAUUCCGUGAACACUAUAUUCCAAAGGGAGUGCUACACAUGAAACAAGAAGAGUUUAUGCGACUAAAGCAAGGGGGGAUACUGUGAUGCAGUACCUCAACAAGUUUAAUCAUUUAUCCCAAUAUGCAAUUGACCAAGUAAAAACUUACCUAAAAAAGAAGAACUGCUUCAUAAGAGGACUCAACGACCGGCUCUAAAGGAAAAUGGCUACCUGCCUAGAUCUUACUUACAGCAGAGCUGUCAGCACAGCGUUGGCAGUAGAAGCCAAGAAUACAGGCCCGAGAACAUCCAAGGGAUUUGGAGGUGACAGGUCCAGUCAGGGACCUGAGAAGCGACCCAGGUUGGUAAUCCGACCGUUCAAUCCGAAUCGUUCUUCGCCUCGUCCACCCUCCUACCCCUUCAAACAGCCUGUUUUCAUUCACCCUGCCACUGCCCCCACUUCUACAAAUCAGCCGACCCCUAGUGCUCGUUUCCCCGCCCUCCCUAGUUCCUCAACUGGCUGCUUCAACUAUGGGAAGUCUGGUCAUUUUAUCAAAGACUGCCCAUAUCCGAGGCAGAAUAAGUCUAACAAUCAGCAGAACUCUGGGAGCUCAAAUCAAGGCAAAGGGAACAUGGCAAAUAAUUCAGGGGGCAAAAAUGUUAAGAAGACUGGGCGAAUUUAUUACACUCAAGUGGCCACUACAAUGGAAGGAGAGCCGCUAAUGAUGGGUACGUUCCUUGUGGCCAAUCACCCAGCAGUCAUUCUCUUUGAUUCUGGUGCUUCGCAUUGAAAGGGAAAUGUGCCCUUGGGCCAUUUCUAAGUAUUUUGGUGAUUGAGUGCGAACACAAGUGCUUUUGUGUUAAUCUAUGCAAAGUGGUGGACAAAGUGAAAAUCAUGUCAAAAGGUAUGUUUCUAGACUUAGUACAUUGUUUUAUGGACUAAUGUAUUGUGUCUAAGUGCUGGAAACAGGAAAAUCGAAUUGGAAAAGAGAUGGCUUUGUACAGCCAAAGUCUGCUCAGUCUGGGUGCACCGAACUGUCCGGUGGUGCACCGGACAGUGUCCGGUGCUCCAGGCUGGCUCUGACGAACUUGCUGCUCUCGGGACUUCGACGGCGAUGUACGGCUAUAAAUCACCGGACUGUCCGGUGGUGCACCGGACUGUCCGGUGAGCCGUUCACAGGCGAACUCGUCGCUCUCGGGAAGCCAUCAACGGCGUACGACUAUAAUUCACCAGACUGUCCGGUGAGGCAACGGUCAGCCGGGGCAACGGUCGGCCGAGGAUUCCGCGCGUGACGCGUGGCCGGGCCAACGGUCACAUUGGGGCACCGGACUGUCUGGUGUGCACCAGACAGUGUCCGGUGCGCCAACGGCUCUCAAUCAACAACAGUCGACUUCGCCUAACAAGGAAACAAAUCUGCACCGGACAGUGUCCGGUGGUGCACCGGAUUGUCCGGUGCGCCAGGCGACAGAAGGCAAGAUCAGCUUUCCUGGAAUGCUCUCAACGGCUCCUAGCUGCCUUGGGGCUAUAAAAGGGACCCCUAGGCGCAUGGAGGAGCACACCAAGCAUACUCAAAGCAUUCCUAAGCACUGAGACUUCGAUUCCACGCAUUUGUUUCUUCGUGAUAGCAUCUAGAGCUCUAUUAGAGUUGUGAACUCAUCGGGUUGUGUUGCGAGCUCUUGUUGCGACUUGUGUGCGUGUUGACAUUAUGAUUUUGUGUCUUGUGUGCGUUGCUCAUCCCUCCCUUACUCCGUGCUUCUUUGUGAACUUCAAGUGUAAGGGCGAGAGACUCCAAGUUGUGGAGAUUCCUCGCGAACGGGAUAAAGAAAAGCAAAGCAAAACACCGUGGUAUUCAAGUGGGUCUUUGGACCGCUUGAGAGGGGUUGAUUGCAACCCUCGUCCGUUGGGACGCCACAACGUGGAAGUAGGCAAGUUUUGUACUUGGCCGUACCACGGGAUAAACCACUGUGUCUACCUGUGUUGAUUCUCUUGUGGUUAUCGUGUCUUGCAAGAACUUCUCUCUAGCCACUUGGCGAUUAUUGUGCUAACACUUAAUCAAGUUUUUGUGGCUUAAGUUUAAGUUUUACAGGAUCACCUAUUCACCCCCCUCUAGGUGCUCUCACGCAUACAUUCAUAAUCAAGGAAUUUGUGGAAAAACAUUGCAUUCCUUGCACUGAAUCAAGGGAAGGGUUUAUUAUUCAUUCACCCGGGGGACAAAUAUUUACUAAAGAAGUAGUCUUCCAUGUGCCAGUAACAUUAGCUGAACGGGAUUUUCCCACAAACAUGAUUGUUUUGAAAGGCCAAGAUAUAGAUGUAAUCCUGGGCAUGAAUUGGUUAGCCCAGCAUAAAGCUAUCCUCAACACUGACUUAAGGACUAUCAAGUUGAGCCAUGGCCAUGAAGAGGUUCUCUUGUCCAUCCCUAUAGCUAUCCUAGCCAAACCAUUUGGAUGGGUCUAUGAAUAUAUCAUACCAGACAUCCAGGAUAUUCUGGUAGUAUGUGAAUUUCCAGAUGUAUUUCCUGAAGAUUUGCUUGGAUUACCUCCAGAAAGGGAUGUAGAGUUUGUAAUUGAACUGAAGCCCGGUACGGCUCCCAUUUCUAGAAGGUCGUACCGAAUGCCACCUAAUGAAUUGGCGGAACUCAAAACUCAAUUACAAGAUCUACUGGAGAAGGGAUUCAUUCGACCCAGUUCAUCGCCUUGGGGAUGUCCCACAAUCUUUGUUAAGAAGAAGGAUCAAACACUCAGUAUGUGAGUGGACUACAGACCCCUUAAUGAGGUCACAAUCAAGAACAAGUACCCUCUUCCCCGGAUCGAUAUCUUGUUCGAUCAACUUACUGGAGCAUGGGUAUUCUCCAAAAUUGACCUCAGGUCGGGUUAUCAUCAGAUCCGUAUUUGACCCGAAGAUAUACCCAAGACCGCAUUUACUACGUGGUACGGAUUAUUCGAAUAUUUGGUUAUGUCCUUCGGAUUGACGAAUGCUCCCGCCCACUUCACAUAUCUAAUGAACUCGAUAUUUAUACCCGAGUUGGAUAAAUUUGUGGUGGUCUUCAUUGAUGAUAUUUUGAUUUAUUCCAAGAAUGAAGAGGAGCAUGCUAAACAUUUAUGGAUCGUAUUAACGCGCUUAAGGGAACAUAAAUUAUAUGCUAAAUUCAGCAAAUGCACGUUUUGGUUGGAAGAAAUCCAAUUUUUGGGACAUGUACUGUCUGCAAAUGGGAUUGCGGUUGAUCCCAGCAAGGUCAAGAAUAUUUUAGAGUCGAAACCGCCAACCACUGUACAUCAAGUUCGAAGUUUUCUUGGGCUGGCUGGCUAUUACCACAGAUUUAUCUCGGAUUUUUCCAAGAUUGUGAAGCCGAUCACAAGUCUAUUGAAGAAUGAUACAAAAUUUAACUUGUCCUCAAGAUGCAACGAAGCCUUCGAGCAGCUGAAGGUAUUAUUAACCACUGCUCCGAUAUUGGCUCAACCGGACAUUGAAAAGCCUUUUGAUGUGUACUGUGACGCAUCGAGCAGUGCUCUCGGAUGUGUCUUAAUGCAAGAGGGCCGGGUUAUAGCAUAUGCUUCAAGACAGUUGCACCGGCAUGAGGAACAUUAUCCAACUCAUGACUUAGAAUUAGCUGCUGUGGUUCAUGCCCUUAAAAUAUGGCGUCAUUAUCUACUGGGAAAUAUCUGCCAUAUAUAUACAAAUCAUAAAAGUUUGAAGUAUAUUUUUACCCAGUCAGAACUAAACAUGAGGCAAAGGAGAUGGCUUGAGCUAAUUAAGGAUUAUGAGUUAGAAAUCCACUAUCACCCAGGAAAGGCCAACGUGGUGGCAGAUGCGCUAAGUCGCAAGGCUUCUUGGCAUUGUCUUACAGCAAGGACCUCUGACAUCACGUUAUGUCAAGAAAUGGAGAAGUUAAACCUAGGAAUGAUUCAACAUGGAACCUUGAACCAAUUAAAGCUUGAGUAGAUUAUUCUGCAAAAGAUUAUUGAUGCACAAAGAAGUGAUAAGGGUAUGAAACAUAUUCAUGAGAAAAUAGAAGCCGGCUCAGGCCUUUUUCCUGAGUGCCUCUCUGUAAGGACCUGUUCGUGGAGUGACUACCCGGGAUAACAAUACAACCAUGAGGGUGGAAUGGGACGCCCUUAGCUGAUUAAUUAGAUGAACCUGGGGUGUAGCUGGCUUUGCCGUAGGGCCGUCAAUGGGGGCCGGGGCGUAGUGCUCGCUCUGCCAAGGUUGGGGUGCAGAGGUUCAUUCGAUUUGGUUUUUGUUAGUCACCCACCUUGGGGAGGUGUACUGUGUUUGUACGACUGGCGAAACCUAACGAGCAGCUAUGCACCAGGGGAGUCUUUGUAAAGGCUACGUAGUUAGACCCUGCUAGGUCACCUUGGUAGUGAUCAAUGGGGAGUCAUGAUCUCCAGGCAGAAUGGGAAUCACGACUUAUGGGUAAAGUGUACAACCUCUGUAGAGUGUUAAAAACCAGUAUAUUAGCCGAGCUCACGGUUAGGAGCAGCCUUGGGAUCCUCUUUGAUUAGAAGAACUUGGAUACUUUUAUGAUGAUGAUUAAGAAUGUUGGUUAUACAAUCUGAUCUCUGGUAUUUCCUCGUUUGAGGAAGUACUUUUGGGUAAUAACUGGGUUUAUUACUAAAAGUUGGCUCUACUAAUAAUAUUAAAUACUUGACUAACUUAAAAGCAACUGCUUGACCUCAACCCCACAUACAGCUAGUCCACUUUAGCCAAACGGGACAUUUGCUGAGUACGUUGAUGUGUACUCACCCUUGCUUUACAAACCACUCCACUCCAGGUUGUCCCCACUGUACCCAGUGCUCAGGAGGUGAUGCUGGCAACAUGGAGGAUUUCAAGGAGUUUGAGGACUAUGUCGAGUUCUAGUUCUUUCUUAGUGGCAACCCCCAGUCAGCUGCCUGUGUAGGCUUAGCAUCUACGUUUCGUAAUUCCACACUUUGAUAUUUAAGUUGAACAAUGGUUAUGUAUUAGACUACGUGGAUGUCUUGGACAUCUUGAUUUAAUAAAGUACCUUUCCGCUAUUUAUUUCGAGCAUUGUGUGAUGAUGUCUAAUUAUGUAAUCGCUGUGUACGUGAGUUUUCUGAUCCUGGCACGUACAUGGUUCCCAUUCGGUUUGUGAUAGUCGCCUAGAGGGGGGGGGGUGAAUAGGGCGAAACUGAAAUUUACAAAUAUAAACACAACUACAAGCCGGGUUAGUGUUAGAAAUAUAAACGAGUCCGCAAGAGAGGGCGCAAAACAAAUCGCGAGCAAAUAAUGAAGUGUGACACACGGAUUUGUUUUACCGAGGUUCGGUUCUCUCAAACCUACUCCCCGUUGAGGAGGCCACAAAGGCCGGGUCUCUUUCAACCCUUCCCUCUCUCAAACGGUCCCUCGGACCGAGUGAGCUUCUCUUCUCAAAUCAAAGCUGGGAACAAAACUUCCCCGCAAGGGCCACCACACAAUUGGUGCCUCUUGCCUUGAUUACAAUGGAGUUUUGAUCACAAGAACAAGUGAGAAAGAAAAGAAGCAAUCCAAGCGCAAGAGCUCAAAUGAACACGGCAAAUCACUCUCACUAGUCACUAGGGUUUUGUGUGGAAUUGGAGAGGAUUUGAUCUCUUUGAAUGUGUCUAGAAUUGAAUGCCUAGCUCUUGUAAGUGGUUGAGAAGUGGGAAAACUUGGAUGCAAUGAAUGGUGGGGUGGUUGGGGUAUUUAUAGCCCCAACCACCAAAUAUGGCCGUUGGGAACCUGUCUGUUCGAUGGCGCACCGGACAGUCCGGUGCACACCGGACAGUCCGGUGCCCCCUGCCACGUCAUCACUGCCGUUGGAUUCUAGCCGUUGGAGCUUCUGACUUGUGGGCCCGCCUGGGUGUCCGGUGCACACCGGACAGGUACUGUUUGAUGUCCGGUGCACCGGUAUGGGCGAGCCUGACGUCUGCGCGCGCUGCGCGCGCAUUAAAUGCACCGCAGGGAGCCGUUGGCGCCGCAGGGAGCCGUUGCUCCGCUGGCACACCGGACAGUCCGGUGCACACCGGACAGUCCGGUGAAUUUUAGCGGAGCGGCUGCCGCGCGAACCCGAGGCUGACGAGUUCCGAAGACCGCGCUUCCUUGGAGCACCGGACAUGUCCGGUGCACACCGGACAGUCCGGUGAUUUAUAGCGCGCCGGCUUCCAAGAAAUCCCGAGGGCGAGGAGUUUGAGUUGGUGCCCUCUGGGCGCACCGGACACUGUCCGGUGCACACCGGACAGUCCGGUGCCUCCAGCCAGAGGUGCCCUCGGUUGCCUCAUUGCUCCUUUGUUGAAUCCAAUACUUGGUCUUUUUAUUGACUGAAAGUGAACCUUUAACACCUGUAUAAUCUAUACACUUGGGCAAACUAGUUAGUCCAAAGAUUUGUGUUGGGCAAUUCAACCACCAAAAUUAUAUAGGAACUAGGUGUAAGCCUAAUUCCCUUUCAAUCUCCCCCUUUUUGGUGAUUGAUGCCAACACAAACCAAAGCAAAUAUAGAAGUGCAUAAUUGAACUAGUUUGCAUAAUGUAAGUGUAAAGGUUGCUUGGAAUUGAGCCAAUAAAACUACUUACAAGAUAUGCAUGGAAUGUUUCUUUCUUAUUUAGCAUUUUGGACCACGUUUGCACCACAUGUUUUGUUUUUGCAAAUCCUUUUGUAAAUCCAUUUCAAAGAUCUUUUGCAAAUAGUCAAAGGUAAAUGAAUAAGAGUUUGCAAAAGCAUUUUCAAGAUUUGAAAUUCUCUCCCCCUGUUUCAAAUGCUUUUCCUUUGACUAAACAAAACUCCCCCUAAAAGAGAUCCACCUCUUAGUGUUCAAGAGGGUUUUGAUAUACUAUUUUUGAAAUACUACUUUCUCCCCCUUUUGAACACAAUAGGAUACCUAUUGAUAAAUACUUUUGGAAAGCACUAAGAAUUUUUUUGAAAUUGGUGGUGGUGCGGUCGGUCCUUUUGCUUUGGGCUCAUUUCUCCCCCUUUUUGGCAUGAAUCGCCAAAAACGGAAUCAUUAGAGCCCUCGAAGUAAUUUCUUCCCCUUUGGUCAUAAGUAAAUGAGUUAAGAUUAUACCAAAGACGAAGUCCUUUUCAUGAUGCUCAUUUCUCCCCCAAAGAAUAGAGAGAUGGUUGGAGUGAUGGCGAAGGAUGAGUUACGGAGUGGAAGCCUUUGUCUUCGCCGAAGACUCCAAUUUCCUUUCAAUAUACCUAUGACUUGGUUUGAAAUAGACUUGAAAACACAUUAGUCAUAGCAUAUAAAAGAGAUAUGAUCAAAGGUAUUCAAAUGAGCUAUGUGUGCAAGCUAGCAAAAGAAAUUUCUAGAAUCAAGAAUAUUGAGCUCAUGCCUAAGUCUGGUAAAAGAUUGUUCAUCAAGUGGCUUGGUAAAGAUAUCGGCUAAUUGAUCUUUAGUAUUAAUGUAAGAAAUCUCGAUAUCCCCCUUUUGUUGGUGAUCCCUAAGAAAAUGAUACCGAAUGGCUAUGUGCUUAGUGCGGCUAUGCUCGACUGGAUUGUCGGCCAUUUUGAUUGCACUCUCAUUAUCACAUAGCAAAGGGACUUUGGUUAAUUUGUAACCGUAGUCCCGCAGGGUUUGCCUCAUCCAAAGCAAUUGCGCGCAACAGUGUCCUGCGGCAAUAUACUCGGCUUCGGCGGUGGAAAGAGCGACCGAAUUUUGCUUCUUUGAAGCCCAAGACACCAAGGAUCUUCCCAAGAACUGGCAAGUCCCCGAUGUGCUCUUCCUAUUAAUUUUACACCCCGCCCAAUCGGCAUCCGAAUAACCAAUCAAAUCAAAUGUGGAUCCCCGAGGGUACCAAAGCCCAAACUUAGGUGUGUAAGCCAAAUAUCUCAAGAUUCGUUUUACGGCCGUAAGGUGGGAUUCCUUAGGGUCGGAUUGGAAUCUUGCACACAUGCAAACGGAAAGCAUAAUGUCCGGUCGAGAUGCACAUAAAUAAAGCAAUGAACCAAUCAUCGACCGGUAUACCUUUUGAUCCACGGACUUACCUCCCGUGUCGAGGUCGAGAUGCCCAUUUGUUCCCAUGGGUGUUUUGAUGGGCUUGGCAUCCUUCAUUCCAAACUUGCUUAGGAUGUCUUGAGUGUACUUCGUUUGGCUGAUGAAGGUGCCCACUUGGAGUUGCCUUACUUGAAAUCCUAGAAAAUACUUCAACUCCCCCAUCAUAGACAUCUCGAAUUUCUGUGUCAUGAUCCUACUAAACUCUUCACAUGUAGACUCGUUAGUAGACCCAAAUAUAAUAUCAUCAACAUAAAUUUGGCAUACAAACAAGUCAUUUUCAAGAGUUUUAGUGAAGAGUGUAGGAUCGGCCUUGCCGACUUUGAAGCCAUUAGCAAUAAGGAAAUCUCUUAGGCAUUCAUACCAUGCUCUUGGGGCUUGCUUGAGCCCAUAGAGCGCCUUAGAGAGCCUAUAAACAUGAUUAGGGUACUCACUGUCUUCAAAGCCGGGAGGUUGCUCAACAUAGACCUCUUCCUUGAUCGGUCCGUUGAGGAAGGCACUUUUCACGUCCAUUUGAUAGAGCUUAAAGCCAUGGUAAGUAGCAUAGGCCAAUAAAAUGCGAAUUGACUCAAGCCUAGCUACGGGUGCAUAGGUUUCACCGAAAUCCAAACCUUCGACUUGUGAAUACCCUUUGGCCACGAGUCGAGCUUUGUUCCUUGUCACCACACCAUGCUCGUCUUGCUUGUUGCGGAAGACCCAUUUGGUUCCUACAACAUUUUGGUUAGGACGUGGAACUAAAUGCCAUACCUCAUUUCUAGUGAAGUUGUUGAGCUCCUCUUGCAUUGCCACCACCCAAUCCGAAUCUUGGAGAGCUUCCUCUACCCUGUGUGGCUCAAUAGAGGAAACAAAAGAGUAAUGUUCACAAAAAUGAGCAACCCGAGAUCUAGUAGUUACCCCCUUAUGAAUGUCUCCGAGGAUAGUGUCGACGGGGUGAUCUCGUUGGAUUGCUUGGUGGACUCUUGGGUGUGGCGGCCUUGGUUCUUCCUCAUCCUCCUUUUCUUGAUUAUUUUCAUCUCCCCCUUGAUCAUUGCCAUUAUCUUGAGGUGGCUCAUCUUCUUGAUUUUGCUCUUCAUCAACUUGAGCCUCAUCCUCAUUUUGAGUUGGUGGAGAUGCUUGCAUGGAGGAGGACGGUUGAUCUUGUGCCUGUGGAGGCUCUUCGGAUUCCUUAGGACACACAUCCCCAAUGGACAUGUUCCUUAGCGCUAUGCAUGGAGCCUGUUCUUCACCUAUCUCAUCAAGAUCAACUUGCUCUACUUGAGAGCCGUUAGUUUCAUCAAACACAACGUCACAUGAGACUUCAACUAGUCCAGUGGACUUGUUAAAGACUCUAUAUGCCCUUGUGUUUGAGUCAUAUCCUAGUAAAAAGCCUUCUACAGUUUUAGGUGCAAACUUGGAUUUUCUACCUCUUUUAACAAGAAUAAAGCAUUUGCUACCAAAAACUCUAAAGUAUGAAAUGUUGGGCUUUUUACCAGUAAGGAGUUCAUAGGAUGUCUUCUUGAGGAUUCGGUGAAGAUAUAACCGGUUGAUGGCGUAGCAGGCGGUGUUGACCGCUUCGGCCCAAAAUCGGUCCGGUGUCUUGUACUCAUCAAGCAUGGUUCUUGCCAUGUCCAAUAGAGUUCGAUUCUUUCUCUCCACUACACCAUUUUGUUGUGGCGUGUAGGGUGAGGAGAACUCAUGCUUGAUGCCCUCCUCCUCAAGGAAGCCUUCAAUUUGUGAGUUCUUGAACUCCGUCCCGUUGUCGCUUCUUAUCUUCUUGAUCCUUAAGCCGAACUCAUUUUGAGCCCGUCUCAAGAAUCCCUUUAAGGUCUCUUGGGUUUGAGAUUUUUCCUGUAAAAAGAAUACCCAAGUGAAGCGAGAAUAAUCAUCCAUAAUAACAAGACAAUACUUACUCCCGCCGAUGCUUAUGUAAGCAAUCGGGCCGAAUAGAUCCAUGUGGAGUAGCUCAAGCGGCCUGUCGGUCGUCAUGAUGUUCUUGUGUGGAUGAUGGACUCCAACUUGCUUCCCUGCCUGGUAUGCGCUACAAAUCCUGUCUUUCUCAAAAUGAACAUUUGUUAAUCCUAAAAUGUGCUCUCCCUUUAGAAGCUUAUGAAGAUUCUUCAUCCCAACAUGGGCUAGUCGGCGGUGCCAGAGCCAACCCAUGUUAGUCUUAGCAAUUAAGCAUGUGUCAAGUUCAGCUCUAUCAAAAUCUACUAAGUAUAGCUGACCCUCUAACACACCCUUAAAUGCUAUUGAAUCAUCACUUCUUCUAAAGACAGUGACACCUACAUCAGUAAAAAGACAGUUGUAGCCCAUUUGACAUAAUUGGGAAACAGAAAGCAAGUUGUAAUCUAAAGAAUCAACAAGAAAAACAUUGGAAAUAGAAUGGUCAGGAGAUAUAGCAAUUUUACCAAGUCCUUUGACCAAACCUUGAUUUCCAUCCCCGAAUGUGAUAGCUCGUUGGGGAUCUUGGUUUUUCUCAUAUGAGGAGAACAUCCUUUUCUCCCCGGUCAUGUGGUUUGUGCACCCGCUGUCGAGUAUCCAACUUGAGCCCCCGGAUGCAUAAACCUACAAAACAAUUUUAGUUCUUGACUUUAGGUACCCAAACGGUUUUGGGUCCUUUGGCAUUAGAAACAAGAACUUUGGGUACCCAAACACAAGUCUUGGAGCCCUUGUGUUUGCCCCCAACAAACUUGGCAACUACCUUGCCGGAUUUGCUAGUAAGCACAUAAGAUGCAUCAAAAGUUUUAAAUGAAAUGGCAUGAUCAUUUGAUGCAUUAGGAAUUUUCUUUUUAGGCAACUUAGCAUGGGUUGGUUGCCUAGAACUAGAUGUCUCACCCUUAUACAUAAAAGCAUGAUUAGGGCCAGAGUGAGACUUCCUAGAAUGAAUCUUCCUCAUUUUGCUCUCAGGAUAGCCGGCAGGAUAUAAAAUGUAACCCUUGUUAUCCUGAGGCAUGGGAGCUUUGCCCUUAACAAAAUUAGACAAGUUCUUAGGAGGGGCACUAAUUUUGACAUUGUUUCCCCUUUGGAAGCCAAUGCCAUCCUUAAUGCCAGGGCGUCUCCCAUUAUAAAGCAUGCUACGAGCAAAUUUAAAUUUCUCAUUUUCUAAGUUAUGCUCGGCAAUUUUAGCAUCAAGUUUAGCUAUAUGAUCAUUUUGUUGCUUAAUUAAGAUCAUGUGAUCAUGAAUAGCAUUAACAUCAAUAUCUCUACAUCUAGUACAAACAGAUACAUGCUCAACAAUAGAUGUAGAGGGUUUGCAAGAUUUUAAUUCUACAACCUUAGCAUGCAACAUAUCAUUUUUAGUUCUAAGGUCAGAAAUUGUAACAUUGCAAACAUCUAGUUCUUUAGCCUUAGUAAUCAACUUUUCAUUUUCUACUCUAAGGCUAGCAAGAGAUACAUUCAAUUCAUCAAUCUUAGCAAGCAAAUCAACAUUAUCAUUUCUAAGAUUGGGAAUUGAAACAUUACAAACAUGUGAAUCAACCUUAGCAUUUAAAAUAGCAUUUUCAUUCCUAAGGUUGUCAAUCAUCUCACGGCAAGUGCUUAGCUCACUAGAUAAUUUUUCACAUUUUUCUACUUCUAGAGCAUAAGCCUUUUUAACCUUAACAUGUUUUUUGUUUUCUUUAAUUAGACAAUCCUCUUGGGAAUCCAAAAGGUCAUCCUUUUCAUGAAUAGCACUAACCAAUUCAUUUAAUUUUUCUUUUUGAGCUAUGUUAAGGUUGGCAAAAAGGGAACGCAAAUUAUCUUCCUCAUCACUAGCAUUGUCAUCACUAGAGGAUUCAUAUUUAGUGGAGGAUUUUGAUUUAACCUUCUUUUUGCCGUCCUUUGCCAUGAGGCACUUGUGGCCGACGUUGGGGAAGAGGAGUCCCUUGGUGACGGCGAUGUUGGCGGCGUCCUCGUCGUCGGAGGAGUCGCUUGAGCUCUCGUCGGAGUCCCACUCGCGACAAACAUGGGCAUCGCCGCCCUUCUUCUUGUAAUACCUCUUCUUUUCCUUUCGUCUCCCCUUCUUGUCGUCACCUCGGUCACUGUCACUAGAUAUAGGACAUUUAGCAAUAAAAUGACCGGGCUUACCACACUUGUAGCAAACCUUCUUGGAGCGGGACUUGUAGUCUUUCCCCCUCCUUUGUUUGAGGAUUUGGCGGAAGCUCUUGAUGACGAGCGCCAUUUCCUCAUUGUCGAGCUUGGAGGCGUCGAUUGGUUGUCGACUUGGUGUAGCCUCCUCCUUCUUCUCCUCCGUUGCCUUGAAUGCAACGGGUUGGGCUUCGGAUGAGUCGCCAAGCUCGUUGAUUUUCCUCGAGCCUUCUAUCAUGCACUCAAAACUUACAAAAUGCCCGAUAACUUCCUCGGGGGUCAUUUUAGUAUAUCUAGGAUUACCACGAAUCAAUUGAACUUGAGUGGGAUUAAGAAAAAUGAGAGAUCUUAAAAUAACAUUUACCACUUCGUGAUCGUCCCACUUCUUGCUCCCGAGGUUGCGCACUUGGUUCACCAAAGUCUUGAGCCGGUUGUACAUGUGUUGUGGCUCCUCUCCUUUGUGAAGCCGGAACCGACCGAGCUCCCCCUCGAUCGUUUCCCGCUUGGUGAUCUUGGUGAGCUCGUCUCCCUCGUGCGCGGUUUUGAGUACAUCCCAAAUCUCCUUGGCGCUCUUCAACCCUUGUACUUUGUUAUACUCCUCUCUACUUAGAGAGGCGAGGAGUAUUGUUGUUGCUUGAGAGUUGAAGUGCUCGAUUUGGGCCACCUCAUCCUCAUCAUAGUCCUCAUCCCCUACGGAUGGUACCUGCGCGCCAAACUCAACAACAUCCCACAUGCUUUUGUGGAGCGAGGUUAGAUGAAAUCGCAUUAAAUCGCUCCACCUAGCGUAAUCUUCACCAUCAAAAGUUGGUGGUUUUCCUAAUGGGACGGAAAGUAAAGGUGUAUGUUUGGAAAUGCGAGGGUAGCGUAGGGGGAUCUUACUAUACUUCUUGCGCUCUUGGCGCUUAGAAGUGACGGAGGGCGCAUCGGAGUCGGAGGUAGAAGUUGAUGAAGUGUCGGUCUCGUAGUAGACCACCUUCCUCAUCCUCUUGUGCUUGUCGCCUUUCCGAUGCGGCUUGUGGGAAGAAGAUUUCUCCUUCUUCUCUUGGUGGUGAGAAGAGGAAGACUUUUUCUCCUUCCGUUUGGAGGAGUCCUUCUUCUUCUCCUUCCUCUUGGUGCGGGACUCUUCCGAUGAAGUGCUCCCGUGGCUUGUAGUGGGCUUUUCGCCGGUCUCCAUCUCCUUCUUGGCGUGAUCUCCCGACAUCACUUCGAGCGGUUAGGCUCUAAUGAAGCACCGGGCUCUGAUACCAAUUGAUAGUCGCCUAGAGGGGGGGGGUGAAUAGGGCGCACUGAAAUUUACAAAUAUAAACACAACUACAAGCCGGGUUAGUGUUAGAAAUAUAAACGAGUCCGCAAGAGAGGGCGCAAAACAAAUCGCGAGCAAAUAAUGAAGUGUGACACACGGAUUUGUUUUACCGAGGUUCGGUUCUCUCAAACCUACUCCCCGUUGAGGAGGCCACAAAGGCCGGGUCUCUUUCAACCCUUCCCUCUCUCAAACGGUCCCUCGGACCGAGUGAGCUUCUCUUCUCAAAUCAAAGCUGGGAACAAAACUUCCCCGCAAGGGCCACCACACAAUUGGUGCCUCUUGCCUUGAUUACAAUGGAGUUUUGAUCACAAGAACAAGUGAGAAAGAAAAGAAGCAAUCCAAGCGCAAGAGCUCAAAUGAACACGGCAAAUCACUCUCACUAGUCACUAGGGUUUUGUGUGGAAUUGGAGAGGAUUUGAUCUCUUUGAAUGUGUCUAGAAUUGAAUGCCUAGCUCUUGUAAGUGGUUGAGAAGUGGGAAAACUUGGAUGCAAUGAAUGGUGGGGUGGUUGGGGUAUUUAUAGCCCCAACCACCAAAUAUGGCCGUUGGGAACCUGUCUGUUCGAUGGCGCACCGGACAGUCCGGUGCCCCCUGCCACGUCAUCACUGCCGUUGGAUUCUAGCCGUUGGAGCUUCUGACUUGUGGGCCCGCCUGGGUGUCCGGUGCACACCGGACAGGUACUGUUUGAUGUCCGGUGCACCGGUAUGGGCGAGCCUGACGUCUGCGCGCGCUGCGCGCGCAUUAAAUGCACCGCAGGGAGCCGUUGGCGCCGCAGGGAGCCGUUGCUCCGCUGGCACACCGGACAGUCCGGUGCACACCGGACAGUCCGGUGAAUUUUAGCGGAGCGGCUGCCGCGCGAACCCGAGGCUGACGAGUUCCGAAGACCGCGCUUCCUUGGAGCACCGGACAUGUCCGGUGCACACCGGACAGUCCGGUGAUUUAUAGCGCGCCGGCUUCCAAGAAAUCCCGAGGGCGAGGAGUUUGAGUUGGUGCCCUCUGGGCGCACCGGACACUGUCCGGUGCACACCGGACAGUCCGGUGCCUCCAGCCAGAGGUGCCCUCGGUUGCCUCAUUGCUCCUUUGUUGAAUCCAAUACUUGGUCUUUUUAUUGACUGAAAGUGAACCUUUAACACCUGUAUAAUCUAUACACUUGGGCAAACUAGUUAGUCCAAAGAUUUGUGUUGGGCAAUUCAACCACCAAAAUUAUAUAGGAACUAGGUGUAAGCCUAAUUCCCUUUCAGUUUGCCUUCCAAAACCGGGUGUGACAUAAGUGGUAUCAAAGCCUUGUUAACUGUAGGACUGCUAACCUAGACUAGAAUGGUCGCCCUAAGGACUAUAGACCCUGUCGGCGUUUCAGACCCGGGGGGUCCCUGGACCGAUGAGUGAAAUUGUCGCUGCGUGCCCCUGUCCAGAUGGGUUGGUAUGGGAUGGAACACAAGAGGUGGGACAAGCCUUGUAUUAUCCUGCACCAGGGUGCUCGUAGUAGGGGUUACAAGCAUCGCAAGAGGGAAGAAGAGAGCCGGUCCGUCAGCCCGCCGUCCCCUCUGCGCGAGAGCCCUCCUUUUCUUCUUCCGCGGGAAGGCCCUGGACCUCCCUUUUAUAGAUGCAAGGAGAGGGUCCAUGUGUACAAUGGGGGGGUGUAGCAAUGCGCUAACGUGUCUAGCAGAGAAAUGCCUAAGCCCUGUGUACAUGCCAACGUGGCUGUCGGGGGAGAGCUUGAGCCCUGUAUACGUGAUAGCGUGGCCGUCGAAGAAGCGCCUGAGCCCUGUAGGAUCACAGCUAGCAGUGCGGCAAGGAUCCUGCUGAAGUCUCCUUGCUGCCGUAAGGGGUUGAGAGCCACCGGCGUCAUGGUUGCACGCGGGGCACCAUCAUUACCCGUCGCUGGGGGUAAGCCAGAUGGGACACCGGUCUUGUUCCUUGUAGCCUGAGCUGGCUAGGGAUAGAGUAAUGAUGUAUCCCCCUAUUGGCGCGGUCGGUCCGAACCCAAGGUCGGGCGAGGCGGAGACUUCUCUUGAGGCCGAGGCCGGGGUCGGGCGAGGACGCGAUUCCUCCCGAGACCAAGGUCGAGGCCGAGUCCGGAGGUCGGGCGAGGCGGAGACCUCCUCCAGAGGCCGGAGCCUGAGGUCGGGCGAGGCGGAGCUUCCUGUUGCACUCGAGGCCAAACUCGGUGGUUGAUCGUGACUUGUUGUCAGCUUCGCCUGGGUGGUUGGCACAGUAGUCAGAGCGGGGCGAGCGACGCUGCUUUCCCAUCAGAUCGGACAGUAAAAGGGGGGCAAAGUGACUGCGGUCACUUUGGCCCUGCCGACUGAGGCGUGUGUGUCAGGAUACGGUGUCAGACGAUCCUCGCAUUGAAUGCGCCUGCGAUGUGGUCGAUUGGUGAGGCGGUUUGGCCAAGGCUGCUUCACAAUGAAGCCUGCCCGAGCCGGGCUUCGGGAGAGCCGAGGGGGUGCCCGCUGCCUGAGGAGGCCCUCGGGCGAGGCGUUAACUCAUCUGAGACUACUGCUCCAGCCCGAGGCUGGGCUUGGGCGAGGUCGCGUCCCUUGGGUAGACAAAGCCUUGACUUGAACCGCGCCCGUCAGUUGGUCUGAGGGUGUUUACCAGCCGUGAUUAGGAGUGUUGGGGGUACCCCUAAUUACGGUACCCGACAGUAGCCCCCGAGCCUCGAAGGGAGUGUUGAUACUCGCUUGGAGGCUUUUGCCGCAUUUUUGGUGAGGGGACCGGCCUUUCUCGGUUUUGCUUUGUUCUGGUGGGUGCGCGCGAGCGCACCCGCCGGGUGUAGCCCCCGAGGCCUUGGAGGAGUGGUUUGACUCCUCUGAGGUCUUAAUGCUUUUCGUGGUGCCUCGGCCGGUCUGAUCGUUCCCUCAUGUGGCCUGGCCGUAGCCCGGGUGCAUGGUCAGGUUCCGAGUUAUCAAGCUGGUUUGUUGACGCUGUCAACAGUUUGGCCGUAGUCGGGUGCGAGAGCAGCCCCCGAGCCUCUGCACGGAGCGAGAGGACGAUCAAGGACUUUCCCGACUUUUAUCAUACGCCCCUGCGUCGCCUUUCCGCAAGGAGGAGGGGGGGGGAAAGCACCAUGUUGCCCUCGGAGGGCACCGAACAUGGUGUUUCCAGUGAGCUGCUAACGGGUGAUCCGAGUGGAUGCCCGUGCCCCGUUCGUUAGGGGUUGGCUGGUGGCCCAGAGGCGCGCUCCAAAAGUACCUGCGGGUGAUUCACCGGACCCGGACCCCUUCGACAGGGUCCGAGGGCUCGAUGCCUCCCUCUGGUGGGAUUCCAUUACAAAUUAUUCCCGCCGGUCUCGGAAAUGUCCUAGGGUACCUCAGGAGCGUAGCCCGAGCCUCGGCCAUGUAUCGGACGUACCCAGAGUCAUCCCUCACUCUGCGUGCUCUGGGGCGACUAUCGAACCCUUCCGAGGGGCCAGCCUUCGAACCCCUGAUCAGUAAUGGGCGCGGAGCCCGAGCGCCCUGGGGCGGCUGUCGAACCCUUCCGAGGGGCCAGCCUUCGAACCCCUGAUCAGUAAUGGGCUUGAAGCCCGAGUGCUCUGGGGCGGCUGUCGAAACCCUUCCGAGGGGCCAGCCUUCGAACCCCUGAUCAGUAGGAGGGCUUGGGGCCCGCUUCCUUCGCCAAGAAGGAUCCUUUCCGAAACAUCCCCUUUCCCAGUCCCUGUAGCGAGAGAGAGAGGAGGAGGGGAAUGAUAUGUAUUUAAAUAAGGUGGCGCACCUUUUCUGACGCGGUUAUCAUGGCGGAGGUGAAACGACGCCCGCCUCGCCUGCCAGAGGUGUCGCUUGCUCUGCCGGGGAGUUAAUGCGACGGGGCGGGCGACUCACAUGGCGCCCAUUGCGUGUGCGAGCCGUUCGAGGAAUGGGACACGGGCGUGUCGUCUUCACGCCGUGGGAGAGGGCUCUCUUGUCGCUUCAGGAGGGGACGCAAGCCUGCAGGCGAUCUGACCGCUGCUCCCGCUCGUCUGCCGCUGCCAUUACUGCCGGCCCAGUUUUGGGCCAUGCCGACCGCCGCGCCUGUCCCUGCAGUCGACCAACCCGUGGCCGUCACCUUUAAUUGGCACUGUUGGGUCAUGCGCAGGGCUGCCUCGAGUCUCGGUACUAGUUCCGCAGUCGAGGAGGCGCGACAUUCGGCGCAAGUGGCGGUGCGGUUCUUUGCACGUCGUAACCGGCGCGUUGGUUUCAUGACAUGCGGGCCCGCUUCCUUUGCGCUGGUCCACCGGAUGUGGUCGAAGCCGAAAGGGUGCACAGUUGAGGUGCGGUUGGAUGCCCAUCGCGUGGCAGUCCACCCUUUCGACCACCGGUUUCUGCAAAGAUGGGAGAGCGCUUGUAACCGUGGGACGUUUACAUGCCUUGUGUGCGGCGAUUCGCCUUCUUCGCGCUUCGGAUCAGCUCGUAUGACGUGUGGGACCCAGCCCUCGUGUCGUAGGGGGAGAACCCUGGAGCACGUCAGUGGAGACUUUGCCCGUGACGCUAGGGGGUGCAAGUGAGGAGGUCUGCCUAUAAAAGAGGAUCGAUCCCCCAGGCAGUGGCCAUGCCUUCGUUCUCCCCUCAUGCAUUGCGCCUUUCCACCUUUCGAGCCCCCCAGAUGGGGUGCACCAGCGUCGCCUUGCUCUUGCUGUCGUUGGAGGAGCGCGGCCUCGUGGAGAUUGGCGCUUCUUCAGCCAUCGCUCGGCUUCAAGGAUUUUCGUCGUGCAGCUCGGCUGCAUUCCCUCACCAAUGGUCAGUUUGGUGGGGAGAAGCAAGCCGGGCUGCGGCCUCCGCCCCGCCCUCAGCUUCAAGGAUCUUCGUCAUCCUUGCUGUGGCGGAGGGCGAGCCGAGUCGGGGCCUGCCUCUGUGUAGGCAGCGGCCCGCUCCUUCCCUCAGUGAUCUGGGGAGAAGGGCGUUCGCCGCCUGUGGCGCUGGCAGCUGCCGCGCGUCUGGCUCCCCGGCACAAGCGGCUCUGGCGUUGCUUCCGGUGUCGCCCCCACCGCUGGUCCUUGCUGCACCGCCGGAUGUUGGGGGGUCGCCCAACACGUCAUACGCCGCGAGGGCGGCGUUCGUGUUCUAGGACGGCCCCGUUCUCGUUCUCGUGGCGAGGGCGGGAGUGAGGAUCUGCCGGUGCGCUUUGGGGCGGACGCCGUACGUCGGUGCGGUGUUGGUGGGCAGGUGGCCGUCAUCGCUGAGGUGGUGGCAGCCGGAGGAGGUUGUCUCUGCCGACGAGACCGCCAGCGCCACCUGCACCCCGGACCUCCGUCUCUUUGGCUUUAAUGGCUGGUUCUCGUCCUUCAUGGGCGAGGGCCUCUCCGCUGCAGCGUUUGCCCUGAAGCCGUUGCUGCAGCUGUCUAGCCGCCUGAGACAGAGGUCGUUGUCGCUGCUGCUGGAGCGGUUGCCGACGAGCCACCCGGAGUUUGUUAUCCCGCAGGCCCUCCGGUGUGGAGGUUGUUCGUACCUGUGGGAAUGGAACCGGAGUCCCACUUGUAGGGGAAUAUACUGGGUUUUUGCCUGAGCAAAAUGUAACUGCUUCAAGUACUUAGACAUUUGUCGCAGGUCGGGAGAACCGCCGAGGAUUUUGCCGAUGUCUAAGUCUAUGUAGCAUAGUUACCCCGAGCAUAUGUAUUUGUUCUUUGUGGCUGUCGAGGCCUGAACAUUUGGGUAUUCGAGUAUAAAGCUGUGUUUCUUCCUUGUUUCGAGCACUAGGACUUGCCUGUCGGUGGCCGAACCACUUAACCGAGUGUGAGUUGCCUUGCGCGGAAGGUGACGAGUGAGGUAUCCGUAUCCCGGAGGCGUAGGAGUCCCUCGGCUCGGUCGGCCUUCCCGCUCUAGGCCUCUCUUGCUCAGUUUUUAGAACCCUCGGCUGCUCUGCGAUGAGCCAGAGCCAGAGGCAGCGGUGUUGGCACGGACAGAGGCGGAGUUGGCUCGAAAAGAGACUUCGUCGGCCCAGGAGCUGGCGGCUUCCUAGGCCGAGGAAGAUGUGGCAGCAGCAGCUGGAGCUUGGCCAAAACAUCCGCUGGCGCGGUGCUGGCGUCCUCCCUUCGGUGGAGGUCCUUUCGCCUGGGUCGCCGUCCGAGGCCGGGCCAGGUUCCGCCGAGGGUGGAAACAACACUGAGGGUGCUGCUGCUCCCCCUGUCGAUGCCGGAACCUGCGGGAACAGUUUGUCUGUAGCAUGCGCAUGUUUUUCGCGGCCGCUGAGGCCUAAACACUUUAUCGUCGUGUUAGAAAACUGCAUUUUCUUUCCUCUCGUUUCGAGCAUCACGACUUGUCUGUCGGUAGCAGAAUCGUUUAUCCAAGCGAGAGUUACUUUUCGUGGAAGGUGAUGAGUGAGGUAUUCGUAUCUCGGAGGCGUAGGAGUUCCUUGGCUCGGUCGGCCUUGCCGCUUAUGUGCACUCUCAUUUGGUCGUAGGAUUCCGUUAUCGAUAUGGUCGAGAAGGCACGAAAGUAAUUUUCUACCCGAGUGUUUGGACUUGUUCGGCAGCAGGAUCGCUUAUCCAAGCGUGAGUUACUUCUCGCGGCAGGUGAUGAGUGAGGUAUCCGUAUCCUGGAGGCGUAGGAGUUCCUCGGCUCGGUCGGCCUUGCCGCUUACAUGUACUACUGUCGUUUUUAGGAUCCCGCUAUCGAUACAGAAGUCGAAAGCACGAAGGUCAUUUUGGUAGAAAAUUUUUUCCGAGGAAAGUUUUGACGCAGAGGGGGUUCCCCCCUUCUAGCCCCCGAGGGAGGGUCGGGCUUUGCUGAGGCAAGGCCGACCCUUCCUUGACGGUUAGACUUUAUAUAUGUAAAGAAAACGAGGUACAUGAACGACUUAAAACAUAUUAAGGGUAGAAGUGACGUAGCUGUUGGAUGUUCCAAGCGUUGCUGUAGACCUCGCCUUGGUCGUUGGCCAGCUUUUAUGUUCCGGGCUUCAAAAUCUUGGCGAUGAUGAAGGGCCCUUCCCAGGGAGGAGUGAGCUUGUGGCGCCCUCGGGCGUCCUAUCGCAGACGAAGCACCAAGUCUCCCACUUGGAAGCCUAGGGGCCGAACGCUUCGGGCGUGGUAGCGUAGCAGCGACUGCUGGUACCGUGCCGAAUGUAGUAUGGCAACGUCCCGAGCCUCUUUGAGUUGGUCCAGCGAGUCCUCUCGGCUGGUCUUGUUGCUUCGGUCGUCGUACACCCUGGUCCUCGGGGAGCCGUAAUCUAAGUCCAUGGGGAGGACGGCCUCAGCCCCAUAGACUAGAAAAAACGGCGAGAAACCUGUGGCACGGCUCGGUGUCGUCCUCAGACUCCAGACUACCGAGGGUAGCUCUUUCAUCCACCGCGGUUGGCCAGUAGAAACCUUGUCGGAAGGCAUUUCCCACGAGGGCUCGAGGUGUUGCGUGGUGACCGCAAGCCCCUGAGUGUAUUUCUUGCAACAGCUCUUGUCCUUAGGUGAUGGAUAUGCAUCGUUGGAGGAUGCCCGAGGGGCUGCGAUGAUAGAGCUCCUUUUCAUCACCCAGCAAGACGAACGACUUGGCGCACCGAGCCAGUCGCCGAGCUUUGGCCUUGUCCAGGGGAAGCUCUCCUCGGAGGAGAUAUUCCAGGUACGGGGUCUGCCAGUUCGGAUUUGGCGUGACCCCAUUCUGUUCCCCCUCGACGGGCAAGACCUCCUCCUCGAUGGCCGAGGGUACCUCGGGCUCGACCAAGACCUCCUCGGGCUCGGCCGAGGGUACCUCGGGCUGGGCCGAGGCUUCCUUGGGCUCGGGCGUGUCGUCGAUCUUGAUGGAUGGUUGAUGUAGGUCUCUGGAGAAGACAUCCGGGGGAACCGUCGUCCGCCCUGAGGCUAUCUUCGCCAGCUCAUCCGCAGUCUCGUUGUACCGUCAGGCGAUGUGGUUGAGCUCCAGCCCGUAGAACUUGUCUUCUAGGCGCCGGACUUCGUCGCAGUAGGCUUCCAUCCUCCGGUCGCGGCAGUGGGAGUUCUUCAUGACUUGGUCGAUGACAAGCUACGAGUCGCCACAAGCGUCGAGGCGUCGUACCCCUAGCUCGACGGCGAUGCGCAGCCCGUUAACCAGAGCCUCGUACUCGGCCACGUUGUUUGAUGCCAGAAAAUGGAGGCGUAUGACGUAGCGAAGAUGCUUUCCGAGGGGUGAAACGAAGAGCAAGCCAGCGCCUGCUCCUGUUUUCAUGAGUGACCCAUCGAAGUACAUGGUCCAAAGCUUGGGUUGGAUCAGAGUUGUUGGUAACUGGGUGUCAGUCCACUCAGCCAGGAAGUCGGCCAAGACUUGGGAUUUUAUGGCCUUCCGAGGGGCGAAUGAUAUCGUUUCGCCCAUGAGCUCCACCGCCCACUUUGCUAUCCUACCCGAGGCCUCACGACACUGGAUGAUCUCCCCCAGGGGGAAGGAUGACACCACAGUCACCGGAUGAGACUCGAAGUAGUGUCGCAACUUUCGUCGUGUCAGAAUCACUGCGUAGAGCAGCUUCUGGAUCUGCGGGUAGCGGACUUUAGUCUCGGAAAGCACUUCGCUGAUGAAGUAGACUGGCCUCUGGACGAGUAGUGCAUGCCCUUCUUCUCGUCUCUCGACUACGAUCGCGGCACUGACCACCUGAGUGGUCGCGGCUACGUAGAUCAAGAGGGCUUCUCCUGCAGCGGGGGGCACCAGGAUGGGUGCAUUUGUAAGGAGCGCCUUAAGGUUUCCGAGGGCUUCCUCGGCCUCGGGGGUCCAAGUGAAGCGCUCAGCCUUCCUUAAGAGGCGGUACAGAGGCAAGCCUUUCUCGCCAAGGCGUGAGAUGAAGCGGCUCAGAGCUGCAAGGCAUCCCAUGACCCUCUGUACUCCUUUCAAAUCAUUGAUCGGUCCCAUGUUGGUGAUGGCUGCGAUUUUCUCCGGAUUGGCCUCGAUACCCCGCUCGGAGACGAUGAAUCCCAGGAGCAUGCCUUGGGGGACUCCGAAGACACACUUCUCGGGAUUGAGUUUCACGCCUUUCACUCUCAGACACUUGAAUGUCGUUUCAAGGUCAGAGUGGAGGUCGGAGGCUUUCUUCGUCUUGACAACGAUGUCAUCGACAUAAGCCUCGACCGUUCUGCCGAUGUGUUCUCCGAACACGUGGUUCAUGCACCUCUGGUAGGUGGCGCCUGCAUUCCUCAAACCAUAUGGCAUGGUAGUGUAACAGUACAUGCCAAAAGGUGUGAUAAAAGAAGUCAUGAGCUGGUCGGACUCUUUCAUCUUGAUUUGGUGAUAGCCUGAGUAGGCAUCAAGGAAUGACAGGGUUUCGCACCCAGCAGUGGAGUCCACAAUUUGAUCGAUGCGAGGUAGAGGGUAGGGAACCUUCGGACAUGCUUUGUUUAGACCAGUGUAGUCUACGCACAUCCUCCAUUUCCCAUCCUUCUUUCUUACAAGAAUAGGGUUAGCUAACCAUUCGGGAUGGAAUACCUCUUUGAUGAACCCUGUCGCGAGUAGCUUGUGGAUCUCCUCGCCUAUGGCCCUGCGCUUUUCUUCGUCAAAACGGCGUAGGGUUUGCUUCAUGGGUCGGGCUCUAGCUCUGAUGUCCAGUGAGUGCUCGGCGACAUCCCUUGGUAUGCCUAGCAUGUCCGAGGGACUCCACGCAAAAACUUCGGCGUUCGCGCGGAGAAAGUCAACGAGCAUUGCUUCCUAUUUGGGGUCAAGCUCAGAGCCAACCCGGACUUUCUUGCCAGCGUCAUUGCUGGGGUCGAGAGAGACAGACUUGACCGCCUCAACUGGUUCGAAGUUGCCGGCAUGCCGCUUCACAUCGGGCGCCUCCUAGGAGAGGCGUUCCAGGUCGGCGAUGAGGGCCUCGUACUCGGCGAGGGCCUCAGCGUACUCCACGCACUCCACGUCGCAUUCGUAUGCGUGGCGGUACGUGGAUCCGACGGUGAUGAUCCUGUUCGGGCCCGACAUCUUGAGCUUGAGGUAGGUGUAGUUGGGGACGGCCAUGAACUUGGCGUAGCAUGGUCUUCCCAACACCGCGUGGUAGGUCCCUUGGAACCCGACCACCUCGAAGGUGAGGGUUUCCUUUCAGAAGUUGGAGGGAGUCCCGAAGCAGAUGGGUAAGUCGAUCCGUCCGAGGGGCAGGAUUCGCUUUCCGGGCGCGAUCCCGUGGAAGGGUGCCGCGCUGACCCGGACCUCGGACCUAUCAACCCCCAAGAGUUCCAGGGUCUCGGCGUAGAUGAUGUUAAGGCCGCUGCCUCCAUCCAUGAGGACUUUGGAGAGCCUAACAUUGCCGAUGAUCGGAUCGACGAUGAGCGGGUACCUCCCCGGGCUUGGCACGAAGUCGGGGUGGUCGCCUCGGUCGAAGGUGAUAGGCUUGUCGGACCAGUCUAGGUAGACUGGCGCUGCCACCUUCACCAAGCAGACCUCCCGGCGCUCCUACUUGCGAUGCCAAGCCGAGGCGUUCGCCGCCUGCCCGCCGUAGAUCAUGAAGCAGUUGUGGACCUCCAGGAACUCUUCUCCCUUGUCGCCCUCCUUCUUGUUGUUGUCAUGGCCUUUGCUAUCUUCCGCCGGGGGCCCGGCCUUGUGGAAGUAGCGCCGGAGCAUGACACAUUCUUCGAGGGUGUGCUUGAUGGGACCCUGGUGAUAGGGGCACGGCUCUUUGAGCAUCUUGUCGAACGCGCUGGCCCCUCCAAGGGGCUUUCGAGGCUUCCUGUGCUCGGCCGCAGCGACGAGAUUCACGUCAGCGGCGUCGCGCUUUGCCUGCGACUUGUUCUUGGCCUUCUUCUUCGUGCCCCGCUGGGCGGACGCCUCGGGGGUGUCUUUCUUCGGCUCUCCCUGAGGCUGCUUGUCUUUCCGGAAGAUGGCUUCGACCGCCUCUUGACCCGAGACGAACUUGGUGGCAACGUCCAUCAGUUCGCUCGCACUGGUGGGAGUCUUGCGCCCUAGUUUGCUCACUAGGUCUCGGCAAGUGGUGCCAGCGAGGAAAGCCCCGAUGACAUCCGAGUCGGUAACGUUGGGCAGCUCGGUGCGCUGCUUCGAAAACCGCCGGAUGUACUCUCGGAGGGACUCCCCUGGCUGCUGGCGGCAGCUUCGGAGAUCCCACGAGUUCCAAGGGCGCACAUACGUGCCUUGGAAGUUUCCCGCGAAAGCCUUGACCAGAUCGUCCCAGUCGGAGAUCUGCGCAGGAGGCAGAUGAUCCAGCCAGGCUCGGGCGGCGUCGGAGAGGAAGAGGGGUAGAUUAUGGAUGAUGAGGUUGUCAUCAUCCACCCCUCCCAACUGGCAUGCCAGUCGGUAGUCUAUGAGCCACAGCUCCGGUCUCGUCUCCCCCGAGUACUUGGUGAUGGUAGUCGGGGCUCAGAAACGGGUGGGAAACGACGCUCGUCGUAUGGCCCGGCUGAAGACUCGCGGACCGGGCGGCUCGGGCGAAGGACUCUGAUCCUCCUCGCUGUCACAGCGUCCCCCACGCCUGGGAUGGUAGCCUCGGCGCACCUUCUCGUCGAGGCGGGCUCGACGGUCGAGAUGGUGGUGCUCGUUGCUAAGGCGAUCCCGGGCGGCAUGCGCCUCGUCCCGCGUGCGCUCGGGAUGGACCGAGGCUUCCCGCAUGUGUCGAGACACAUGUCGGGAGGGUGUUGCGCGAGGCUCCGAGGGGCACCCUCGCCUUCGGGAGGCAGAGCUUUCGGCUUGUCGAACCGCAGUAUGCUCUAGGAGGUUCUUGAGCUCGCCCUGGAUACGCCGCCCCUCGGUGGUGGAUGGCUCCGGCAUCGUCUGGAGCAGCAUCGCUGCUGCAGCCAGGUUCUGGCCGGUCUCGCUAACGGCCGGGGGCAGUGCUGCCCUGGCAUUGUCAACGACACGGCACUGGACUUCCUGGGGCUGAUGACACAUUCCUCCGGCGAGUGCCUGACCUACCCGCUCCUGCUCGAUGUUUUGCUGGAGCUGCCAAGUCACCCUGCUUCCUCGUCGAGCUUGGCCUGCAUCUCGCGGAUUUGCUCGAGCUGUGUGUCCUGACCCCCCGUAGGGACUGGGACCACAGCUAGCUCCCGCGGGAUGUCAACGCGAGACGUAGGCCUAGGGUCAUUCUCCGGCAUACCAAGGUGGUUGCCUUCAUCGAGAUCCCCCAGAUCGACGUGGAAACAUUCGUGACUCGGGCCAUAACCCUCGUUGACAAGGCUAUGGCCAUCAUCAGAGCAACCAGAGAGGUAGUAGUCACAUGCAUUCAUGAAGUCUCGCAUAGCACCGGAAUCAUGUAGUCUGGAGAAAUCCCAACCGGAGUCAGGAUCGUCCUCUUCCUCAGAACCCGGGGGCCCGUAGGUUGAGACGGUCGUCAGUCGUUCCCAGGAUGACCACAUAUGGUAUCCCGGGAGAUCAGGAUACGCCCUAGCGAAAGCGCUCACCGAAGCGAGGUCGCUUGGCGGAUCGAAACUGAAUCGAAAGGGCACAGGGUGGAAUACGGACGGUACCUCUCGGUCGAUAGACGGUGGUGAUGUCGCGUCGGAGCACACCGUUAUCUCAGGUACGAGGGUGACGCCUAGUAGGUCCUUCACGAGAGUGCUGGCGUCGUCAGUUCUCUUGUCGUCGGCGUAUGGCGGGGAAGCGACACCCGUCGUUGUCUCGGGCGCGAGGACAACGCCCGGCAUGUCCCCCGCUGGGGCGCCGGUGUCGUCGACUCGCUCCAGCGAGACAGCCGAUGAGGUGCUGCCUCCUGCCUGGCCAUGGUUGCCCCGUCUCUGCCUCCUCCGGCGAGGAGGGUGGCGGGGACGACCGGAGUGCUCCUCUUCUGCCGCGGGGAGAUGCUGUCGCCGAGCUCGUCGAAGACCAUCGCUGUCGUCGCGCCGCGAGGGGAGGAGUACCAUGUCGUAGCUGCCAUCGAGGGACAUGAACUCGAGACUCCCGAAGCGGAGCACCAUCCCGGGCUGAAGAGGUUGCUGAAGACUCCCCAUAUGGAACUCAACGGGAAGGCGUUCAUUAACACGCAGUAGGCCCCUACCUGGCGUGCCAACUGUCGGCAUUUCGGACCCGGGGGGUCCCUGGACUAACGAGUGAAAUUGUCGCUGCGUGCCCCUGUCCAGAUGGGUUGGCGUGGGAUGGAACACAAGAGGUGGGACAAGCCUUAUAUUAUCCUGCACCAGGGUGCUCAUAGUAGGGGUUACAAGCGUCGCGAGAGGGAAGAAGAGAGCCGGUCCGUCAGCCCGCCGUCCCCUCUGCGCGAGAGCCCUCCUUUUCUUCUUCCGCGGGAAGGCCCAGGACCUCCCUUUUAUAGAUGCAAGGAGAGGGUCCAGGUGUACAAUGGGGGGUGUAGCAAUGCGCUAACGUGUCUGGCAGAGAAAUGCCUAAGCCUUGUGUACAUGCCAACGUGGCUGUUGGGGGAGAGCUUGAGCCCUGUAUACGUGAUAGCGUGGCCGUCGGAGAAGCGCCUGAGCCCUGUAGGAGCACAGCUGGCAGUGCGGCAAGGAUCCUACUGACGUCUCCUUGCUGCCGUAAGGGGCUGAGAGCCACCAGAGUCAUGGUUGCACGCGAGGCACCAUCAUUACCUGUCGCUGGGGUAAGCCAGAUGGGACGCCGGUCUUGUUCCUUGUAGCAUGAGCUGGCUAGGGAUAGGGUAAUGAUGUAUCCCCUGUUGGCGCGGUCGGUCCGAGCCCAAGGUUAGGCGAGGCGGAGACUUCUCUUGAGGCCGAGGCCAGGGUCGGGCGAGGACACGAUUCCUCCCGAGACCGAGGUCGAGGCCAAGUUCGGAGGUCGGGUGAGGCGGAGACCUCCUCCCGAGGCCGAAGCCUGAGGUCGGGCGAGGCGGAGCUUCCUGUUGCGCCCGAGGCCAAACUCGGUGGUUGAUCGUGACUUGUUGUCAGCUUCGCCUAGGUGGUUGGCACAAUAGUCGGAGCGGGGCGAGUGGCGUUGUUUUCCCGUCAGAUCAGACAGUAAAAGGGGGGCGAAGUGACUGCGAUCACUUCGGCCCUGCCGACUGAGGCGCGUGUGUCAGGAUACGGUGUCAGAUGAUCCUCGCAUUGAAUGCGCCUGCGAUGUGGUCAGUUGGUGAGGUGGUUUGGCCAAGGCUGCUUCACAACGAAGCCUGCCCAAGCCGGGCUUCGGGAGAGCCGAGGGGGUGCCCGCUGCCUGAGGAGGCCCUCGGGCGAGGCGUGAACUCGUCUGGGUCUACUGCUCCAGCCCGAGGCUGGGCUCGGGCGAGGUAGCGUCCUUUGGGUAGAUGAAGCCUGGACUUGAACCGCGCCCGUCAGUUGGUCUGAGGUUGUUUACCAGCCGUGAUUAGGAGUGUUGGGGGUACCCCUAAUUACGGUACCCGACAGACCCCUACUCUUACCUUGACCUCAGUGUCUUUUCAAAAGUUGGUCAUCUUGACCAACUCUAUGUUGUCUACUUAUCUCAAAAGUUUUAUCUCACUUUUCUUUCUAUUUACUUUCUGGUCUCAUAGUUCUACUCUUACUCUUGUGCUUACGAUGUCUUUUGUAGAUGGCUCGUCUUAGGUGCACUGCACGUAAGUCUAUGAUCCCCUUUUUGCCUUCUCGCUUGGCGGAGCGUCCACUGCAUCGCACAGUGUCAGGUCAGUCCAGUCAUUUGGAGAGACUGCAUCGUCGCCUACACAGGAGCAGGAGCGCCGACGCCAGGAGUAGGAGCAGGACCAGGAGCAGCAGGACUCUUCCCCCUUGCCUCAGUGGGAGGUGGAGUUUGAGAGGUCGCCUUCCCCUGCACUUCAGCUAGAGAUGCCCCCUGCACCACCACAGGGCAUCCCGGCUGCUGGAGGAGACCCUGACGGAGACGGAGACGAUGACGACACCGGUGGCAAUUCGAGCCACGACACGGAGCUUUCGGAGGAGCCGGAGCUAGAGGGAUGGAUCGCUAGACCCAUCACUCGUGACGCCGCUCGCGGGUGUCACUUCCACGACGCUCUCGAUACCCUGUUGCAUCGGGCCUUCGACCGACACACCUAGUCUAUCGAGUACCAUUGUGUAGUCUUCCAGCAUCAUCGUGGGUUAUACCUGGACCAGUGGGAGUCUACUUGCUUGGUGCGCCGUCCGGACGGAUGAUCUCCGGGGUGCAGUGGCCUUCUCAUAGCACUAUUCUAUUACUGAGAGGGAUACUACCGAGGCAGCCAUGCAAGAUGCAGCACGACGAGCACUUUCUCAGUAUUGCUCAUUGUUCAGCGGGGUAGCUGAUGGCCUUGACCUAAAGUACUACCAUCGCCGUUCGACUGGCAGUGCUGGAAGUGUGAUUGUCUCGCCAGUUGGUGAGGGCAAUCCUAGACUGAGCAGCAUGGUCAACUUGGUCGUCGUGCUCAACACAGAGUUGGACCACACCCUCGAUGACUUGGGCAAGGUUCGGACGGAGGUUGCGGAAUUGUGUGCUGAGUGCGCUGCACGCCACUAUCUGGAUGGUGGUACUCCCACCCCUGUCGGGAUUCAGCACCCUUACCGUUCACCGCCCCUGUCGGGAUUCAGCACCCUUACCGUUCACCGCCCCGUGGUCGCUUCGACUAUGGUACCCCAGACUGCAGGACCCGGAUAGAUUUGGAUCCCUAGAUCGACAGAGUCAGAGUCUGUAAUGUCUUAGUCCAGUCAGUUUUAUUUAGAGUCAGUUUGCUUAUCUUAUGUUGGAUGCUUGUUAUGAUGAACAUGUACUGAAGUUGGAUCUUUGUAAUGAUUGUCACCAAGGUGUGGGUGUCCCCUGCAACUUGGUGUAGUUAUUAAUAAAGUCAGUUAUUUAGUUGGGUAAUCCAUUUAUAUCCACUUUCCUCUUUAUCUGAGAAGCUGUCGGUGAAGAUGGUCAAUUGUUCAGUGCUAUGAAGACUUCAUAUACAUCUUUUCUUAUGCUAAAAGACUGCAGAGCCAGAUUUGAUAUAAGUGUGUGAAUUCUGCAGAUGUCUGAGAACAGGCGUAGAGGUGUGAGGCGUGCUCAGCCAGAGCAGUAGGCACCCCAAGAAGAGGCAGCUCCGCAGCAGCAUUUGCCACCGCCACCCCUAAUGACCAUUGAGCAAAUGUUCUUGAUGCAGACACAAGCAGUUUAGGCAAUCGGACAGACCUUAGCAGCUAUGCAGCAGGCGCAGCAGCAGCCACCCCCGCCUCAGCCUCUAGUGCAAGUUCAGAUGCCACAAGUGCCCAGGGACAAGCGAGCAGAAUUCAUGAGGGGCCAUCCCCCAGUCUUUGCCCACUCUGCUGAUCCCAUGGAUGCGGAAGAUUGGCUACAUAUCGUGGAGCGUGAGUUGCACACUGCCCACUGCAACGAUCGAGAGAAGGUGUUGUAUGGUCCCUGACAGCUGAGGGGAGCAGCACAGUCUUGGUGGGAGUCUUACCUCGCCACCGAUGCCAACCCAGAAGCUAUCACUUGGGAAGAAUUCAGGGACAACUUCCAUCGCUACCAUGUGCUCGAGGGACUGAUGAUAGUGAGGAAGGAGGAGUUUCUCACCUUGAAGCAAGGUCCCAUGUCCGUCAUUGAGUACAGGGACAAGUUUCUGCAGCUGUCGCGUUAUGCCCCAAAAGACGUCAACACAGAUGCCAAGAGGUAGUACCACUUUCUGAGAGGAUUGGUUGACCCCCUCCACUAUCAGCUGAUGAACCACACCUUCCCUACCUUCCAGCAUCUGAUCGGCAGAGCAAUCAUGACUGAAAGGAAGCGUCGGGAGAUGGAGGACAGGAAGCGUAAGAUUGGUGGAUCUUAGGUCGGGAGUAGCAGUCGUCCUCGCUACUCAGGCAACCCACCUCAGCCAUUCAAGCAAGGUCACCAGCAUCAGCAUCAGCGUCAGAACCAGCAGCAGCAGUACCAGAGGCAGUUUCCUUAGCAGCAGCGGCAGUACCGUCAGAACAACCAGCAGGGAGGAAAUCAAUACCAGCGUCAGAACAUCCAGGCAGCCCGUCCUCCUGCCCUAGCAACCAACCAGAAAAAUCAAGCAGCGCUAGCUCAAGGAGGAAGUCGUGCAUGUUUCCACUGUGGGGAACAAGGCCAUUGGGUGAAUCAUUGCCCAAAGAAAGCAGCUCAGCAGCAGCCAGCUCCCAAUGCCCCAGUUAGGCAGAAUGCAAUGUAGCAAGGAGGCAACAACUAUGGGCAACCUCGUGCCCAGUAUGGAAAGGUGAACCACUUGGAGGCCGACACAGUCCAGGAGACUUCAGGAGUGGCACUAGGUACGUUUUCAGUCGAGUACCAUUCUGCAAAUGUGUUAUUUUAUACUGGAGCAACUCAUUCUUUUUGUGACUGCAUCAUGGGUAGAAUCACAUAAUAUAUCAGUAGUACCCAUGUAUCCACCUAUGAGGGUUAGUUCAGUUGGUGGAAGGACCCAAACAGAUAGAUUUUGCCCUAAUGCAAGAAUCCAAAUAAGGGGGAUAGAAUUCCCCGCUGAUCUAAUAGUUGUGGGUAACCAGGUUACAACUAUAGAUGUCAUCCUAGGGAUGAAUUGGUUAACCAAGUAUCAAGCCAAUCUUAGUUGUGACAAGAUAAUAGUGAAGUUGGUGUCCCCAUCAGGAGAAGAAGUGUUAGUAGAGUUGGUUUUGUCAGAACCCAGAAAAGGGAGUUGUCACCAAGUCACUGCCCACAUUGAGGAGAUUAAACCAUCAGAGGCUAUCAGUGUAGUAUUAGAUUUCCUAGAUGUGUUUCCCGAGGAGUUACCAGAUAUGCCGCCUGAAAGGAAGGUUGAAUUUGCCAUAGAGCUUAUACCAGGCACUGCCCCUAUUUCCAAGAGAGCCUAUCGAGUGUCCGGCCCAGAGUUGGUGGAACUCAAGAAGCAAAUUGAUGAGUUGUCGGAGAAAUGCUACAUCAGAUCGAGUACCUCGCCUUGGGUAGCCCCAGUAUUGUUUGUGGAGAAGAAGGAUGGCAUGAAGAGGAUGUGCAUUGACUACAGAUCCUUGAAUGAAGUUACUAUCAAGAACAAGUACCCCUGCCUAGAAUUGAAGAUUUAUUUGAUCAGUUGAGAAGAGCUAGUGUGUUCUCGAAGAUAGAUUUGAGGUCAGGUUACCAUCAGCUUCGAAUCUGACCCUCAGAUAUACCGAAGACAACAUUCAUCACCAAGUAUGGACUGUAUGAGUUCGCGGUCAUGUCAUUCGGUUUGACAAAUGUGCCAGCUUACUUCAUGUACUUGAUGAACAGUGUGUUCAUGUAACACCCCAGGUGUUUAUAUUCUGCUCGACAACGAGUAUGGAAUUAAGCACGUUAUAUCAGUGAAUGAAACAGAUACUAAAAUUUAAUCAUUUUCGCUAUCGCGAUUUUUAUAUCGUAUCUGUUCCAUCUGUCGUGAGUGCGACAUCAUUUUUAUUCGUCCGGGCUCUUCCUGAAUUUUCGUGAUGUUCGGAACGUCGUGUUCCGAAAAUUGGUGCGUCCGGUGAUUAUUUAAAAUUCAUCGCUCGCGCGAAUACGAAUUCGAAAAUUUAGUCCAGUCUUCCGAUUUCAUCCCAAACAAAUUAAGCCAAACUCGACAACUAAAGUUCUUGGUAGAAAAUAAUUCUGUCUCCUUCCGUCAGCUAAGAAGUCGCAUCCAUGGAAUUAUAAUUGAGAUUUGAUGCUCCACAUAAAUUAUAUGUUGACGUGCAAUCGGGUGUCGACUGCUGAUGAAAUCAUUUGAUUUAAAUCAAACUGAACACAGGCUGAAAUACUGUUGUUCACACCGUUCGGAUUUGUUCCGACGACAUCUCGCCCCGAUCCAAAACUUUGGAUAUAAAUAACGAAUGCAAAUUCAUCUAAUACCGAAGCCGAAAUCCAUUCAAUACGGUCUGUUGCUUCUUGCCUUGAUCCAAAUCAUAACCCUGAAACUCCGAUUAGAUUUCCGCGACUCGUGUCGCCACAAUUCAGACUGACGUGUGUUGAAUUUAAAAUUCGAAAUUAAAGCUGAGUCAAGCACGAAUUGUUAAAAUAAUACAGUAUAAAUUCUAAUCAAGAUAAAUCAUAGCCAUAAGAUUCAAACCGAAGAAAAUAUCUCUUCAUCUUCUCUUCUGCCGUUCAGUUCGUGGACGGAAAAAUUCCGCCGUCAUUCUUCUCAUGCGCAGCUGGCCAAUUCGGUUUCCUGUGUCAAAAUCUGAGAAAAAUAAUAUGUGUAGCCGGUUGUCGUCUAGCGUGUUGAUCUUUUUGUUGUCGCUAAAAAUCUCGAUCCACAAAUAUCUAAGAUUUUUCGGUAAAGAAAUUAAAAAUCUGAAAAAGAAAAUAUCUGCCGUCGCCCCUACUCAUGGGAUUCAUCCCUACGUUGAUUUUUGUUGAAGUGACCGCCGUCUGUUGAUAUUUUCACCGUCUUCCUCACGCACGCAGCUUCUCUGGUGUUUAUCCCUCAGCUCACGCGUCUCUCUCUCAGGCUUCAAUCUUCAGCCGGCGGUGGGAUAUUUUCCUUGGCCGCCGCUGUAAACACACGCGAUCACACAAGGUAGUUUAUCUCACGACGAGGCAAUUCGCUCGUUAUCUCAGACCGACGAUCAGGGAUCGCGGCCGCCGCCAGUUCGCUGUAUUCGUACAGCCUACUGUUCACCGAAUCGGACAAGGGUUUAUAUAUGAAUCUAUUACAAAUGGGUUCAAUUAUCCCAUUGUGGGCCGUAGUAUUUGACGUUGGGCUUUGGAAGACGUUUGCUACGUCUGGGCCGCCUUUCCGCUAUGGCGCCAGACCGGGCAUCCUCCUUCUGUGCUUCCUCUGCUCCCGCCAGGUUGCUGACAUCUCCUCCUCCUUUACAAUUGGCUUGUCCCCAAGCCGGUGCCGAUGGAAACUGCAUUCGUAUCUCCAGUUCAUCUUCCCACGUCGCCAGCGAUGCGGGCCAGCCGGACCAGCGCACGAGAAGCUGUGGGAUCACCUUGUUGCCGCGCCGAGUGAGACGGGAGUCGAGCACUUCUUCUGGGAUCUGCACUGCCUGUGACAGGUCAGGAAUAACAGAACUGACAGGAGUGUUUGCACCUAUCGCCGGCUUAAGUUGUGAAACAUGAAAGACAGGAUGAAUAGCACUGUUAGCAGGCAGGGCGAGCUGAUAGGCGACUGGAUUGAUUUUCUUGACAAUCUGGAACGGGCCGAAGAAGCGAAAUGCCAGCUUGUGGCUCUUGCGUUCUGCUACUGAGGUCUGGCAAUACGGUUGCAACUUCAGAUACACUUGAGCACCCACCUCAAAUGUCUGCUCUGAUCUUCCUUUGUCUGCUUGCCGCUUCAUCCUCUGUUGUGCACGUAGCAAGUGCAUUUUGACUUGUUGCAACAUCUCCUGCCUGGUGUGCAUCAAACUCUUCAGAUCCAAAACAGUGCACUGGUCGGCGGUGUCCAAGCCAAAGUGAGAUGGAGCAUGACCGUAUAGAACUUCAAAUGGAGAUUUACCCAGUGCUGAGUGGCAAGAAGUGUUAUACCAGAAUUCCGCGACAGACAACCAGGAUGACCAUUGCUUCGGACAUGCAUGAACAAAACACCUCACGUAAGCUUCCAGACAUUGGUUGACCCUCUCCGUUUGUCCAUCGGACUGCGGGUGAUACGCACUGCUAAGGCACAGCUUUGUAUCCGUUAGCUGGAACAACUCCUUCCAAAGUUUACUGGUGAAGAUGGGGUCCCUGUCUGAAAUAAUGGUGGAGGGUAAGCCGUGCAAUUUAUACACCUCCGCGAGAAACACCUUAGCAAUCAUCAGAGCGGUGAAGGGAUAGAUCAAAGGAAUGAAAUGCGCAUAUUUCGAAAAUUUGUCCACUACCACCAUGAUACAGCUGUACCUGCGAGAUUUGGGUAGGCCUAUUAUGAAGUCCAUGCUGAUGGUCUGCCAGGAGUGGUCCGACACAGGUAGUGGAACUAGCAGCCCUGGAUACUUGGCACGAUCAGGUUUUGCACUCUGACAGAUAUGGCACGAUUGAACAAAGGCCUUUAUCUGCUCUUUCAUCCCUGGCCAGCUGAAGAUGGAUUUGGCUCGCCUGGUGGUUACAGGAAAACCAGAAUGGCCCCCUAGAGCACUAUCAUGUAGUGCCUGCAUAACCUUCGUUUGAAGUGUUUCAUUAUGGCCCAACCAAACUCGUCCCUUGUGUCUGAUCACCCCAUCAGUCAACUCAUACGGAGGUAACUCACCUCCUGUUGCUAGCACUUCCAGUAUUUUCUGGGCUUGGGCAUCAUUCUCAUAACCCUGCAUAACCUCUUCCAACCAUUUAGGCACCACCGAUGAGCUAACCAACUGAUUUAAUGUGGCUGUGUCUUGAUCUAGGUCUGGUCGGCGCGACAAUGCAUCGGCCACCCAAUUUUCUGCUCCCUUUUUGUAGCAGAUCCGAUAUUGCAAUCCCAGCAACUUCGUCAGAGCUUUCUGUUGCCAAGGGGUGGACAACCGCUGGUCAUCCAGGUGUGUCAAGCUUUUCUGAUCCGUUUUGAUUAUAAAUUCUCGGUGCUGCAGGUAUGGGCGCCACCGAUCCACCGCGAAUAAAAUAGCUAGACACUCCUUUUCGUAUGUAGAUAGGCCCAGAUUUUUCGGACCUAAGGCCUUGCUUAUAUACGCUAUCGGGUGUCCCUCCUGCUGUAGGACAGCGCCGAUUCCUUUUCCACUUGCAUCAGUUUCAAUGGUGAAUGACUUACUGAAGUCAGGUAGAGCUAACACUGGAGCUUGGGCCAGGGUCAAUUUCAAAGUGCGAAAGGAUUCUUCUGUUUCGUCAGUCCAAGCAAAAAUGGUAUCCUUACGCAGCAAGUUGGACAAGGGACGACUGAUGAUGCUGAAACCCCGGACAAAUUUACGAUAAUAACCCGCCAUGCCGAGGAAACUUCUUACAUCUUUGACACUGGUGGGACGUGGCCACUCUUGUAUUGCUUGUAUCUUGGAUGGUUCUGUGGACAGCCCAGCUGCACUAACUAUGUGCCCUAAGAAUUCCAGACUGUCUCGGGCGAACUGACAUUUCGAACGUUUCAGUUUCAGUUGAUGCUGAUCCAACAGCUUGAACACUUGGUCCAGAUGAUCCACAUGCUCGGUCAGGCUCCUGCUGUAAACCAAGACAUCAUCCAGAAAAACCACGACACAUUUUCGCAACAACGGAGCUAAGAUUUUGUUCAUGAAUUCCUGAAAUGUGGCAGGUGCUCCCGUCAGGCCGAAGGACAUGACCUUAUAUUCGUAAUGUCCGUGGUGCGUCUGAAAUGCUGUUUUAUACUCGCCACCCUCUUUGAUCCGAAUCUGGUGAUACCCCGAUCUAUGGUCCAGCUUAGAAAACACCUGGGCACCAUUUAGUUCAUCGGUGAUUUCAUCGAAGAUAUGCAUGGGAAAGCGAUUCUUCACAGUAUAUGCAUUCAGCCGUCGAUAGUCCACGCACAAUCUCCAUUCGCCGUCUUUCUUCUUAACAAGCAGAACAGGCGAAGCAAACGGACUUGAACUCUGUUGGAUGAUGUCGCUGGUUAGCAUUUCUUGGAUUUGACUCUCAAUUUCAUCCUUUUGCUGCGGGGUGUAACGAUAGGGCCUGAGCCGAAAUGGUGGAGCUCCUGGCAGUAGAGGAAUUGAAUGAUCGACCAUCCUCUUCGGAGGUAGACCUUGUGGUGUUUGAAAUAGAUGUUGAAACUUGUGCAACAGCUCUGUUAUGGCUUCCGGUAACUCCUCUUGACUUUCUUCCUGCAGAGAUUGUAACUUCAGUAAUUGUUCCACUCCUUCCUGUCUUGCCAACGCCUCUAGUUGUGACAUGGACAGGGCGCUGCACUGCUGUAACUUGGGUGAAACCCCUUGCAGAUGUACCCAUGCUCCCUGGUGUUCAAAUUCCAUCCACUUUUCAGCCCAGUGGACUGCCAUUGGACUAUGCCCCUCUAGCCAGUCCAUGCCUAGGAUCAGAUCGUACCCACCCAGCGGCAACACCUUGAAGUCUGUACGGAACGUAGUUCCUGCACACAGCCAUAAACAGUUUUGGACUGAAUAUUUGCUCCACAUGAUACCUCCAUCGGCCACCUUUACUUUCAUCGGCCUAUCUAGUAACUUCACUCUUGGUAUGAUGCCCAUGAGAUGACUGCCGAUGAAGCUAGCUGAACUUCCCGAAUCAACCAAUAUCAGCACCUGUUGGCAAUGGAUCGAUGCCCACAAGCGAAUGGUUCGGUUACCCUCACUACCACUGACUGCUGCCACUGAAAUAGCCAGGAUGCUUUCAUCGACCCCUUGCUCUGCUGACUCUCCCUCCUCUGUACCCAGGUUCUCCUCCUCAUCGGCCACUGCCAUUGCCCACAUUUCUUCGACCAGGUGUAGUGGUACACUGUUGGAGCACUUAUGGGUGUGACCCCAACGCUCCCCACAUUUGAAGCACAACCCCUUCGCCCGCCUGUAUGCUUUCAAGGCUGUCAGCUUGUUAUCCUCAGCUCGGUUGCCACUGUUAACUGAACCUCGCCUUUCUUCAGAAGAGUUAUAGACCCUGGUAGCGGUCACAGCCGAGGGCACACCGGAGGAGUAAUGUGGCUUCAUAUUUGGCUUCAGGGUUGCACCAUGCUCCAUCUUUCUUCCAUCGCGCCUUCCCAUGUGCAGCAACACGUCCUCCUGCAACAAGGCGAGCGAGCAAGCAGUAUCGAGGUCGGGAGGACGUUGAAUCACAACAACAGAUUUAAUUUCAUCUCUAAGUCCGUCUAUAAAUCUAGUGGUGAUCAUGGUCGGGGUUAGAUGGUUUUCAUGGGCGAGCAGCUGGUGGACCAACUGAUCGAACAACUCAAUGUAUUCCCCCACUGAAGAGUUCUGUUGGAUGUGAUAGAAUUGCCUGAUAAGUAUACUGUGUUGGUCCCUCCCAAACCGAGUGGUCAAGGCUAGGCAUAAAUCAUCCCAGUUCAUUUCUCUGAUUCUAGACUCAACAGACUGCAGCCAAAACAAUGCUGAGCCCUCAAAAUGCAUGGUUGCUAGUCUGAUCCACCUUUCCAUGGGCACAAAAUAAAACUCAAAAUAGGUCUCACAACGAUGUUUCCACAAUUUAGGAUUGGAUCCGUCGAAUACUGGAAAGUUCAUCCCAGGCAUUCCAGAUCCCGAUCCCUGAGACCACCCUCCCAUGGAUCCACCCACUGACUGUUUACCAAACGACCCAAAUUCAAAUUGCAUAGGACCAUGGUUCAUGGAUUGGACCAUACCUCCGACCGGAGGAGGUGUCCGGGUCAUUUCCGACCCAGUACCCGAUCUCCGGUAUGGAUCAACAGUGCGGUGGCGAACUUGCCCAUGUACCGCCUCGCCAGAAGGCGCUCCCAGCUGGGUAGGAGCCGGUACACCAUCUUCCUUCAAUGCAUCGUUGCUUGGCGCGUCCAUCGGUUGCUUCUCGACGAACCGAUCAACCUUGCCUUGGAUCGUGAUCAGCACGUCGGCGAUCUCUCGUACCUUGGCCUCCACCUCUGGCUUCCACUUUCGGAACUCCCCUUGUUCGGCCAUCACAGUCUUCACGGUGGUUUCCAUGUUCGCCAUUGUUUUCUGCAUGUUCUCCAUCCUCCGAUGCGUCUCCCUGUUCCCUUCUUCAAGCUUCGCCAGAAUCUGCAUCACUGGGUCGUCGGGGCGCGGUGGAGCCAUCUCCGUCGUCUUCGCUUGGAGCCGUGUCCAGUGCUCGUGUGGUGGAUCCAGCUCUAGCUCUGAAUACCAAAUGUAAACACACGCGAUCACACAAGGUAGUUUAUCUCACGACGAGGCAAUUCGCUCGUUAUCUCAGACCGACGAUCAGGGAUCGCGGCCGCCGCCAGUUCGCCGUAUUCGUACAGCCUACUGUUCACCGAAUCGGACAAAGGUUUAUAUAUGAAUCUAUUACAAAUGGGUUCAAUUAUCCCAUUGUGGGCCGUAGUAUUUGACGUUGGGCUUUGGAAGACGUUUGCUGCGUCUGGGCCGCCUUUCCGCUAUGGCGCCAGACCGGGCAUCCUCCUUCUGUGCUUCCUCUGCUCCCGCCAGGUUGCUGACAGCCGCUGGCCGCCGCCGUUCCUUUGCCCUUAUCCGCUCGGCUGCCAUGGGUACAAAUCCAGCCGCCCAGCCUUCCUUAUUCUUUCCCCAGCCGCUUCUCUCCUCGCUGUGCCCCCUGGUUGUUGCCGUGCCGCGCGCUCCGGUGUUCUGCGUGCCUUCCUCUGCGCGCGCGCCUGUGACCUGCGCCGCGAACCCCGCCGUGGAGCUUCCCCGAACUCGCCCCAGCCCCUUGUAUCCCCCAUGGCCGGAGCUUCUUCCAGCUUCAGCUCGGCUCCAUCUCCCUGUGUCCGAUUUCUCUCUACUCCUCUGCCGACUGCCCACCUCCAUGGCCGGCUGUAGCUCCCAGCCAUGGCGUGCCCAGGCUCGGACUUCUCUCCAGCGCCCAGCCGAACGGGUCCUCCAGCGCGCGCUCUGCCUCUCCCUCAGCCCGUCGCAUCCUGCUGGUUCGCUGCUCGCCCUGUCUACGCGUCAGGCGAGGUAGUCAGUAGUCUCUGCUCGCCGGUCGAAUCCUUUGCGUCGCGCGCGUAGCGUGUCGUUGUUCCUGCGCGUGCUGCCGUGAAGUUCCCUGUUCAGUUCGCCUCUAUCGCAAACUCGUUAGCCACAAUUAUCUUAACCGCGUCAGCACGCGACUGUGGUCGUGUUCAUCAAAUUCGCCAACGCUUUGUUGCUGAUUCGUCUAUCGUCGCUUCGCGUGUUGUCGAGCCCGUCGUUUUCCCUGUCUUGUACGCGCGUGGUUUCCUGCUCGCCAGCGUGCCCUCUCGUCUCGCUCGGCUUUAAAAUCCCUAUCUCGUCGUCGACCUCGCCGCGACUUAGUUCGUCCGUCGUGCUGGUCACUGUUCCAUAUUGUGCCUAUUAACUCAGAUCCUACCCAAGCUCGUCGUUGCGUCGUUCACCAUCGAGUCGUCAAACACGUCAUCCUCUGCUCAAACCCCACCUCACCAGCUCGCUCCCGACUUCAGCUGAAAGUCAUCGUCGUGUCAGCAACAAAUCCUAAGAGGCGGAUGAAGACGAAGCUAGCAGCGUGAUAUUCCCUAAGCGCUCGACAAAUUGCCUGGAUCGGAAAACCACUACCGAUCUCGCGGACUCGUGUCAGCUGUGGAAACGGUAAGUUGAUAAAUUGUUUAGAAUGGUUCAAUCGUUGAAUAAAUUAAUGUGUUAGUGCGAGGCUUAUUAAGGUGCUCGAUAAAUUGCGUAAGUCACGAAACUCUCGUCGACUUCGCAGUUCUUGCAAUUAUCGAGCCAGGUUUAGUUAUAGCGAGUUAUUUCGCUAUUCCGGUCAAUUAGCUAAAUUAGUGUACCGAGUAGAAUUUUAGUAGGCAUGUGUGUUAAUAAAAUACUUUAAUCACUUAUAAAGAUGUAGUAUAAUUUAUAAAGCAAGAGAUAAGUUUAGAAUUCAAUUAAUUAAGUAGCUGAUGAGUUGUGUUUAGGCUAAUCAUGUUUUAAUUUGUUGUUCGUAAUGUUUGCAUUAGGUUCGUAUAAUUUAGAAAAGCGUAAUUAUUACGCGUAGUCGUAUAUCGAUAACUAGUAUUUCCGUAUGAACUUGUACAACGCCUCGCCGCUAGGUGUUUCACUAUCGCGUAGCACUAUUUAGGUGUGUGAUAUUCUCGUUGAUAUGCAUUCAUGUGCAUAAUGUAUUUCAUUCAGGUACGUUAAUUAAUCGCGCGAUGCGGAAGACAAGCCAAGUCGACCCCAAGCGCGGGCUACUCCGCAUGGUGAAGCUGAAGGACGAACCCAAGGAUGGAUGACCGGACAAGUGCCAAGACAAAGAAUGGUCGUCAAGUGCUCAUCGCCUAACCAACACUAACCUAGUGUUAUUCAGGCAAGCCCCGGUGCAUUUGCCACCUCCUUGAUGUUUUUAAACCUUUCUCACUUGCUUGAUGCAUUAGGUGAUAGGAGUUGAUUGUUAAAACAAUUCCUGCAUUACCUUCCUUGAAUUUGAUUACCUUCCUUGAUCACCCAUUUUACAAAAGAUUUUUGAUGCUUAGCCUUGCUUUAGAAAAACAAAAUGUUUUGUUUUUUACAAAAUAUGAUGUGGCAAAAGUGGGUGGGAUGUUUUCGAAAAUAAAACUUGAUGGUGGAUCCAUCAGGGCCUUGAUGGAUUCAACAUCUGGAAAAGAUGUACCUCUGCCAGGUACCAAACUUUGGGUUGAAAUGAUUAAGCUGAGACCGGGCGGGUGACUUGCACGAGAAAGAGAGUCUCGGUGUAGUGUCUCCGUCUCAGUCGAUUAAGGACCGUCUCGAUGUAGGCUUACUGACCAAGGACCCUUUAACUAGUCACAUGCCUCGUCAUGGGUAAGCCUUGCCUCGGGCAGACUAAGGCCAGAAUAAGAUAACACGGAAGAGGCUGGACGGUGGCGAGAGUAGCGUGUACCCUCCGUGGCAAGAGGCUGGACGGUGGUGUAUCUGUGCUCUCGGUUCGCGUGGACCUGAUCUGGUCUUAAGAACCCCGGUGGUGGGUUGACAUAUGCAAGGGUUAAGUGCUACAUAUGUCGUGUGAUUGGAGAUCCUCAGAUGAGUAUAAUCGAUUCGGAUCGCCGUACCUUCGCGAUCAUGAAGACUUGGUCACUGCCCUAUACGUAGAACUCAAGUAAAGAUAAAGGGUUGUUAAGAAAUUGGCUAGUGCAGGUCAAGUGCUUGAACUAGGGUAGAACGAACUCUAGAUGCAGGUAACUUUACCUAACCUGACAAUAAAAUUGGAUUUUAAGGAUCCACUUGUAGUAAGCUUUUCUGCAAAACAGAGUCUUUGAUUCUUGAUAAACCAUACCUUGACUCCCUGAUAACCAGCAUGCCCUUGAGAGUCUUUUCCUUAGUCGGGUAAGUCUUGCUGAGUAAUUUCGUACUCAGGGUUUUAUUCCCUGUUGUUUUUCAGGUUCUAACCUUGUGCUGCUGUGAUGGUGUUAAGUGCCGGUGGGCUCGGCCUUCUUAUAAGUCUAAGUAACCCUUCUAUACUUCUUAUUGAGGAUGGUCAUUUGAGCUAGCAUAUAUUUCAAACUUAUACUUUUGUAACCACUCCGAUAAAAUAAUGUAAAAUUUUUGUAACCUAUAAAAUUUGGUAAUAAGAUUUCCGCUGCAAAAAUAUUGGUGUGUGUGAUUUGUGUUACUUAAUCCCGCGGUUCUGGUUGAAAGUGGUUUAUCCGAUGUCCUUGGGGCAAUCGGACAGAUCCUGUUGAGUUAUCUGGUGCACAUGCAUGGUCGUCUGAGGUCUUUGGGACAAGGACAGGUGCAUGUGGGCCCAAUAACUUGGAGGUUCUGCCACAGUUCAUAGACUACCUCGACAAGUUCGUAGUGGUGUUCAUUGAUGAUAUCCUUAUAUAUUCCCAGAAUGAGCAAGAGCAUGAGGAGCAUUUGAGGAAGGUACUUCAGAGGCUACGAGAAUGUCAGCUGUAUGCCAAGCUUAGCAAGUGCGAGUUCUAGAUCAGUGAAGUCCUAUUCUUGGGUCACAUUAUAAACCGAGAGGGAUUGGCUAUAGAUCCGAAGAAGGUAACAACUAUCUUGGACUGGAAAGCACCAAAAGAUGUCUGAGGAAUCAAGAGUUUCUUCGGAAUGGCUGGUUAUUAUUGGCGUUUCAUUGAAGGUUUCUCCAAGAUUGCCAGGCCAAUGACAGCUUUGUUAGCAAAGAAGGUUGAGUUCAAGUGGACCCCAGCAUGCCAGAAGUCCUUUGAGACAUUGAAGGAGAAGUUGACAACGACACCAAUACUGAUUCUGCAAGAUGUUCACAAAUCAUUCUCAGUAUAUUGUGAUGCUUCGUACACCAGACUGGGAUGUGUGUUGAUGCAGAAAGGGAGAGUAGUGGCAUACUUGUCCCGACAAUUGAAGAUUCAUGAGAAGAAUUAUCCUACUCAUGAUCUGGAAUUAGCAGUCGUGGUUCAUGCAUUGAAGACCUGGAGGCAUUAUUUGUAUGGGCAGAAGUGUGAUAUCUACACGGAUCAUAAGAGUCUCAAGUACAUAUUCACUCAGUCAGAGUUAAACAUGAGGCAGUGAAGAUGGCUAGAAUUGAUAUGUCACACCCGGGUUUCGGGGCACCAAGACCUGGGCAUGAACAUAAUCACCAGGUGUGCUAGGACCAAGUCUCACACAUAUGAUGAAACAUGGCACAGGAUCGAAUGUCACAUCUUUACUAUAUAACAGGAGUUCUAUACAAAAUAAAUAAUUACAUUAUAAGGAGACAACGGUCCAGCAACCCAAAGUUGACUGGGAGACGACGGCCUAGACCUCUCACGAACACAUCGCAGCAUCCUCCAUGCGCCUCAUCCUGUGGUACCUGUUCUUGACCUGUGGGGGUGUGAUACAGCAAGAGUGAACUCACAUACGUUCAUAGCUCAACAAGUUGUGGGGAAUAAUGUGCAUGAACUCGCCAAAGGUGGGAGCUCACGUGAAGUGUAAGGCUUACCAAAGAGGAUGGUUGAAGCUGAGCAUUGCUUUUAAAGUUGGUCAAAAUUUUAUUAGCAAUUACUAAGUAUAAGUAAAUACCAGCCCAAUUAACUAGUAGAUCAAAAAUAACAACAUCACCUGCGAUGCAAUGCAUAUGACAAAUUGAAUUUAGUUCUAUAAAUUAAUCAUGUGAGUGUCCGAGCUACUCAUGACCGUGAGCACGACUAGUAUACAAGUUUUACACUCUGCAGAGGUUGCGCAUCUUUACCCACAAGUCAUGUUACCCAUCUGCCAAGAGACGGCCAAUCCCAUACACCUCUACCGAGGAGGCGAGGCAGGGUAACACUAUGAGGCCUUUACAAAGUUCCACUAGCUUCAGAAAACCCGCUACAGUUUAUAGGAAGCUCCAAUGCAGGAAUCCCUCGUCUGACCGUCAUCGCAGCAAAAUCAACCCGAGGACCUCCCUACACUGACCACUCCCCUACUGCCCUUGCCCCUUUCGGGUAAGGUAGUCUUCCACUAGCUUUCCUAGUUAGUUGGCCAAGGGCAUCCCAUUAUACCCUUGUGGUAGCACUAUUUUCCCGGGUGGUUCUCCAUGUUCCAAUUAACAUAAUGAUCUUAUCAUGAACAAUAAAUAACAGCUGAUAAUAAAAGAUAAUCAUGAAUAAAAUGUAUCUCUAUACCCAAAACCACAUAAAGCAAUAGCAGGUACUACCCAAAAAUUUAGUGGUAAACAAGGUAUAAAGAUAGUCAAACUAGGGUAACCUAUUGGGUCCCAUCAAAAUUAACCUAUGCAGAUCAUUAUGGUUAAUUAGAACAUGACUGGGUAAAAAGAAGUGAUCAAGGGCACAACUUGCCUGGGACUUGAGAUUCCAGGUACCAACUUGCUCUUCAUGUGACACGUGUCCUCACGCUAGUCGUAGCAAUACAGACAAACAGUGUAUAGGCAAAAUUAACAUCACACCAAACAUAAGAAUAAAUUGUGUAAUAUUAAUCUACGCGUUGCUAUGAGAUCAUGGGCUCGAGAAGCACUAUAAUCGGAGUUACAGUUAUUUAAUUAUGAUUUUCUGAAGUCUUAUGUGAUUAAACAGGAAAACUCAAUUCUAGGUCGUUUAUAAAUCAUGUGAGAAAGAUAAUCGAAAUAAUUAACUAACUUUCUCUUGAUCAAAUUAUACUUGAUUAGAAAACAUACUCUAGCUCCCAUUAUAAACAUAGACAUAGUAAUCUUUGGUUAGUGAGAUAAAUUUACUAAAUAUAGGAUAAAUAAAUGACUAAUAUAAAAGUAUAUGAUAUGAUAUAAUUAAGGUUAACACUGUGCAUGCAAUUUUAUUGCGAAGCUAAUGCAACUUGAAUGGAUCAAAUCAGAGUUAAAAUGAAUAAGUUAUGGAAUAAACAAGUUUCUAUGUAUUUUUUACACUUAUUUUAUAAAUUUCUAGGAUUUAUGGACUGUGGACGCAAAUACCAGAGGGCUCGGGGUUAUUUUUAUAAAUUCCAGGGCCCCGGUUGUAAGGGUUUCUCUAUAGUCGAGGACGGCGGGUUAUUUGUGGCAAAGGACAGGGGCUCUUAAGAAAGAAUGCCAAGCGAAGGGGUAUGAACAUUUCCCAGCCACUCGAUCUGAUCUGGACGGCCCAGAUCAGUCCUAUCAUUUAAAUGAACCGGUAUACACUUGGAGCCAUUGGAUUUCUAAUGGACGCCUAGGAUUUUAAAAUACCCAGCUCAACUCAUUCCCGUCGGAUCUGAAUCGAACGGCGCUGGUCAGUCCUAUGGCUAGAUCCGAUCUAAGCCACCCAUCCGUAAUCAGACGACCGAUGUUCUUCUUCCCAACCACCUGGCGCACGGUGAAGAUCCGCACCGACCAUUCUCUAUCCCUCUCUUCGCGCUAUUGUUCCAUGGCGGCGGACAGGUUCAGGCUAUGGGGUCCUUCUCCGCCCAACGACUUCAACGCAAGCAUCGAAGCUCGCCGUCGACCAACGAACCGAGGCCAACCAUCACGCGCUCGUUGAGGAUCCGCACAGGCGCACUAUCUCUCUCUCCCUGUCGGUCCGCGGCAGAAGCGCCCUGCCCAGCGGCGACCAAGCACGCCGGAGCGUAGUGCCCGCGCACAAAUCCCCACACGGACCGGUGCUACACGUACGGCGGAGUAGGACGAGCACAAGGGAGGGGAAAUUACCAGUGGAUAGAAGGGCAGAGGUGGCUAGCCACGGAAGCGUGCGGCAACAACUGGGCAUACAGCAGCGGCAUGGCGAUGAACAUCGAGCUCUGGGAGAAGUUUGCCAAGGCUUGAGUGAAACCCAGAGCAUCUGCCUACCCCCAGUGCCGCGACCGUAGAUGGAACGUUCCCAGUGCAGUUUUACCCCGCCGACGGUGGUGGCGACGCCGCCCAGCUCCAACUUCGGUUUUAUGGGUGGAGGGUCAUCGGAUGCGGCCGUUCUUAUAGUGCCCAGGUACGAGGUCCGAGUUGGAGUCCCACAUCCCAACUACACCGCGACAAAACCCCUCCAGUUCCCAGAAUCGCGCGCGUCUGUUGUGGCAGCGAGCUUUUUGCGAGGUUGGUGAUGAACCCGCCAGGUGGGACCCGUUCGUCGGCCACACACGCGAAGGGGGCGCGAGGAAGCAGGCAGCGCCCAAGAGGAGGGUUCAAGCGCGCGCGGGCCACUUGGGCCGAGAAAGACCCAAGCUGGGCCAAGCCAGGGAGGUUUCAGCCCGAGUGCUUUUAUCCUCUUUUUCCUUUUUCUAAUUUUAUUUCCUGCUUUGUUUCUCCUUUAUAUUUUAAACCUAGAAUAUGAAUUCAAAUAUUGUGGCGAAUUUGUACUAAAAUUUGUAUGUUUUGAACAUGACAUUAUGGGGUAGGUUUAUUUUCUUGUAAAUUUAUUUUGUCCUUCAUAACAUCGCUCUCUUUCUUCUUUUCUAUAUUAUUUCCAAUUCCCUAAAUUGUAAUUUUGGGUUAAAUCUAAAUUCUCAAAUUAGUAUCAUAUUUUCAUUAGUAUAUUUUAUUAUUAAAUGCACAAACAAACAAAACCUCAACAUGAUGCAAAUUUUAUUGAGGUAUUAUUUAUUUUAAACAUGUUUCCUAACAAUGAGAAGUCAUUACACAUAAAUUUGUAUUCCUCUCUUUAUUUUCUAAAGUUGGCUAUUACAAAUCCUACCCCCUUAACAGAAAUCUCGUCCUCGAGAUUUGUAAGAAAAGGGACAUAAAAGAAUUGGUUUAUGAUUUUAGCCUUUAAUCUCUAAUUGGUUCAAAAUUUCAGAAUCUCACAUUUUUUUGUCCAUAGAGUGUGACUAGGAGAGCAUGGGUCUAUAUGGGUAUAGGCAUUUUAUUAUGCAGGAUAAGAGUUAUCUUUAUAGCAUUUAUAGGUUUGGGAUAAGAAAGAGCAGGGUAAGAAAAGAUUCCAUCCAAGAUUGUGGAUCAUGAUUCCUCUAGCGAUCCAACUUGAUUUUGGAGGACUUGAGUUGAUGCUUAUUCUCCUUUGAUGUGGUUGGUCUUCUUUGGCCUUUAUUCUUGGAGUCGCCAUCCGAGUUAAGGGCAGAUGGCAAAGGACAUAUUGGCUCUAUUUGGAUCCUUCAAGCCCGGCUAGAGCUAGAGCUAGUUUCUAGCUCUAACUCUAGCCCAAACUAGCUCUAGCCCUCUACAUGUUUGGAUCCAAGGGCUAGUUUACAAUAAACCUUUCCUUAUCCGGAUUUAGUGUGGCAAACUCUUGUGUGGCUUCUCCCACACACAAACUGCACUCCUGGGUGCCCUCUGUGUCCUCGGAGCCCUCUGUGCCCUCGGUGGUGGCGGACGCGGUGCGCCUUGGCUGUUGGUGCGACGACGCGCUGUGUUGUUGAGCUGUUGACGACGGACGGGUGCUGCUGCGGCCGAGUUCGCCCGCUGACGAACUGUGUUGCCUGCCGCCGAGGUGGAGCCGUCGAAGAGCAGCUGCCGGGCGUAGGGUGCCGCUGCAGCUGCCCGCACGUCUCCGCCUCCGGCACGCGGUGGGCGAUACGGAGGAAGCACAGAGCCGCUGGCACGACCAUCGAAUAGACCAUCAGAGUCGGACAGGAUGUUGUCGUACAGCUGAAGCCCCGGGAAACCAUCAGUCUCCGGCGCCUGCGAGUUGAGGUCGAAGGCAUCGCCGUCCAUGGCAACGGUGAGGCUGCAUAUGCAGUAACAAAAUGAGCCAAUAACAGUAGAUAAAUUAGUAAAUUACAAUAGUCGAAAAUGCAUUCAAUAAGAAAUUAGCCAAAACAAAUCCGUUGUUUUCCUAUUCUACGUACUAUACUGGGAAAGAACACACUAUACUAGCUAGUCAUCAAUGUUUUGUUGCACUAAUUUUGAUUACGUACUGGUUAUGUGCACCACGCUGUAAUGAACACGUACAGACGCUGAGAAGGCUGGCCCAGAAUAGGGAGGCUGCAAGGAAAAGCAGGCUAAGAAAGAAGGUGAGUGAGUCGACAGCUGAUGACAUACAAAUAAAGGCUACACCAUGAUUUGAACAGAAACGAGUAGAAAAAAAUGACGAAGAAUUAACAUUGUUCCUUUUAAUUUCUUGACACUGUUCAAAUUCUUGUCCCUAUCAUCCAAUGUCAACGCAUAUUUAUUUUACUUCUCUUCACACUGUAAUGCAAACAGGCUUACAUCCAGCAACUCGAGUCCAGCAGGAUCAGGCUAGCUCAGCUCGAACAAGAACUUCACACUGCAAGAGCUCAUCAUGGAUGGCAAGGCAGGCAGACAGCUCGCCAUGGCCGCGGCGCCCUGCCCCCAUGCCCGCGCGCCCUGGCUCCUCGCUGCGGCGCCCUGCCCCUAGCCUGCGUCGACCCCAAGCCACGGCAGCGUGUCGACACUCAACCAGGGAGGCGACGGGCCCCAGCCAGGGUGGGCGGCACGUCCAUCCCCAGCCAUGGCUAGCGGCGCGGCUCCCCCAGCCAGGUCGCGGCGCGGAAUCAGCCCAGGGCGGGCGGCGCGUCCAUCCCCAGCCAUGGCUGGCGGCGCGGCUCCCCCAGCCAGGUCGCGGCGCGGAAUCCCACCCCCACCGGCCAUGCAUCAAGAACAGAGGGAGGAGGAGGCUGAGGGAACGGAGGGAGGCGACGGCUGACCUGGUCGAGGACGGCGGCGUUUCUUCCAACAAACUAGCCUCAAUAAUCACCCCUUGGUGGGGAGAGUUUUUUGGGGUGGGCUAGUUGCAAAAAACUGGCUCUAGCCCUCCUGUUUGGCUACUUUUGGGCUAGUUUGGCACAAACUAGCCCAAACUAGCUCUAGCCCUUGGAUCCAAACAGGGCCAUUGUUAGGAUAGCCGGGGUACACGAGGUAGGUAGAUUUGAACAGAGUUUUACUUUCCUUUUAGGACAAAUGGACCAAACAGCCUGUGACAUAGGUUAUGUUGUUGUUCACGGACGAGUUGGUAUAAGACAUUAAUUUAGGUUAAGUUAUGUUUGUAGAAACAGUGUCUAACCCAUAUCACCAGAUUAACUAACAUGUAAAUAACUCACAUUAGAUUGGAUAAUAUUAGAUUUGACAUGGGAUCUAGAUUAGUUUGGACAUAACUAGAUUAGACUAGUUUUAGUUAGAUAAAUCUACCAGGGUAGAAUAACAUAUUAUUAGGAUAUGAUAGAAUCUUUUGAGAUAGUAUGCACCAUAUGGUGUAGGUAGGUCAGAAUCUCUGUUAGGUUAAAACAGAGGGGUUUUGCAACUAUUGGGUGGUUAAGAUAGUUGCAUAUGGUCGGGUUGGUUGGUCGUGCUUUAGUGUAGAAUGAACUAAGAUAAAACAUGUUCUAUAGGAGUAGAGUCUCAUUUAUUUUACCACUAUCAACUGGUUAAGUGACUAUCCUUAGGUUAGCUCAACUUAAGGUUAGACUUCGUUAGGUUAGAUUAAUCCAUCACAUUAGAUCAGAUCUAGGUUAGAUUGUUAUGACUAGAUAAGAUCUCAUUAAUUUGGAUUAGAUCAUGGUUGUUACUUUAGGAUGAGAUAAGCAAAGUUGUUAGGAUAAGAUGAACCUAUCAAGGUGAGAUGAAUCUAUUGAGAUAAGAGAGAAUCUUUUAAGCCAAGAUGGAUCUAUAUGAAAUAGAUAUUCUAAGUUGUUUAGUUAUCUUAUGAAUUCUAUUUAUGUUUAUAUGUAUAUGCAGAUGUAAUUAUGGACAUUACUCCACAACCCAUCACACUCAAUCAAAAAUCCAAAUCAGACAAGUAUCAUAAGAACAAACACUCAAGUGUAUAGAUACCUAUAAAAUAGUUUUUUUUUGUUUUUUGUUCCUAAGAUUAGGUCUCCUAUUCCUAAAGGUCACUUUAGGUACAGGAUUUCAAAGUGUGAAAUCCACUUUUGUCUUUAGAGAGAAAAGGUAAGAAUAAUCAGAGUAAAGCGGAAAUAGAUGAGAAAAGAUUAAUGAAAGUGUAGAAAGAAUUAGAGCAGCAGAGAUAAGUAAUGGUUGUCUAGUUCUGUCUAGGUUUCAUCCUAUAGUCAACAUUCCUCUGAUACCACUUCUGUCACACCCAGGUUUCGAGGCACCAAGACCCGGGCGUGAACAUAAUCACCAGGUGUGCUGGGAGCAAAAGUCCCACACAUAUGAUGAAUCAUGGCACAGGAUCGAAUGCCACAUCUUUACUAUAUAACAGGAGUUCUAUACAAAAUAAAUAAUUACAUUAUAAGGAGACAACGGUCCAGCAACCCAAAGUUGACUGGGAGAUGACGGCCUAGACCUCUCACGAACACAUCGCAGCAUCCUCCAUGCGCCUCAUCCUGUGGUACCUGUUCUUGACCUGUGGGGGGUGUGAGACAGCAAGAGUGAGCUCACAUACUGUCGGCGUUUCGAGACCGGGGGGUCCCUAAGCCGACGAGUGAGUGUGCUGCGUGCCCUAGCCCAGAUGGGUCGAGCGCGUGGGCGAGCGCGAAGGGGGGAGAGGCGAGGUGGCCGGAGACGGGCGUGAGAGAGGUGGAAAUCCCGCGGCCUUCGUGUUCGUCCCGCGCCCAGGUCGGGUGCGCUUGCAGUAGGGGGGUUACAAGCGUCCACGCGGGUGAGGGAAGCGAGCGGCCCCAAGAGAGCGCCUGUCCCGUCCUCGGUCCCAGGCGGCCAACCCUCUCUAAGAAGGCCCUGGUCCUUCCUUUUAUAGUCGUAAGGAGAGGAUCCAGGUGUACAAUGAGGGGUGCAGCAGAGUGCUACGUGUCUAGCGGAGGGAGAGCUAGCGCCCUAAGUACAUGCCAAUGUGGCAGCCGGAGAGAUCUUGGCACCCUACUGGCGUGAUGUCGUGGCUAUCGGAGGAGCAACGGAGCUUGGCGGAAGGACAGCUGUCGGAGCGGUCGAGUCCUUGCUGACGUCCACCUGCUUCCGUAAGAGAGCUGAGAGUCGCCGCCGUCAUGGAGCUUGGGAGGCGCCAUCAUUGCCUAUCUGGCGGAGCUGGUCAGAUGGGACACCGGUCUUGUUCUCUGCGGCCCGAGUCGGCUCGGGGUAGAGUGGUGAUGGCGCUCCCUGUUGUCGUGGCGGGCCCGCGCCCGAGGCCGGGCGACGUGGGGGCUCCUCCGAAGCUGGGGUCGAAUCUGUCUUCCGUUGCCAAGGCCGAGUCCGAGCCCCUGGGUCAGGCGAGGCGGAAGUCGUUCGGCAGAGGCCAGGGCGGAGUUCGAGCCCUGGGGUCGGGCGAGGCGGAGUUCGUCGUCUUCCGGGGCCGAGCCCGAGUCCGAGCCCUGGGGUCGGGCGGAGCGGAGUUCGUCGUCUUCCGGGUCUUAGCCCGAGUCCGAGCCCUGGGGUCGGGAGGAGCGGAGUUCGCCGUCUUCCGGGUCUUAGCCCGAGUCCGAGCCCUGGGGUCGGGCGGAGCGGAGUUCGCCGUCUUCCGGGUCUUAGCCCGAGUCCGAGCCCUGGGGUCGGGCGGAGCGGAGUUCGCCGUCUUCCGGGUCUUAGCCCGAGUCCGAGCCCUGGGGUCGGGCGGAGCGGAGUUCCCUAUGGCGCCCCUGGCAAAGCCUGACUGCCUGUCAGACUCACUCUGUCGAGUGGCACCGCAGUCGGAGUGGCGCAGGCGGCGCUGCCCUUCUGUCAGACCGGUCAGUGGAGCAGCGGAGUGACGGCGGUCACUUCGGCUCUGCCGGGGGGCAUGCGUCAGGAUAGAGGUGUCAGGCCACCUUUGCGUUAAAUGCCCCUGCAACUCGGUCGGUCGGUGCGGCGAUUUAGUCAGGGUUGCUUCUUAGCGAAGCCAAGGCCUCGGGCGAGCCGGAGAUGUGUCCGCCGUUAAAAGGGGGGCCUCGGGCGAGACGGAAGUCCCUCGAGGUCGGCUGCCCGAGUCCGAGGCUAGGCUCGGGUGAAGCGUGAUCGAGUCACUCGUAUGGACUGAUCCCUGACUUAAUCGCACCCAUCAGGCCUCUGCAGCUUUAUGCUGAUGGGGGUUACCAGCUGAGAAUUAGGCGUCUUGAGGGUACCCCUAAUUAUGGUCCCUGACAGUAGCCCCCGAGCCUCGAAGGGAGUGUUAGCACUCGCUUGGAGACUUUCGUCGCACUUUUUUGCAAGGGGACCAGCCUUCUUCGGUUGCAUUUCAUUCCGGUGGGUGCGCGCGAGCGCACCCGCCGGGUGUAGCCCCCGAGGCCUCGGAGGAGUGGUUUCACUCCUUCGAGGUCUUAAUGCCUUGCGUAACGCUUCGGCUGGUCUGGUCGUUCCCUCAUGCGAACUGGCCGUAGCCCGGGCGGUCGGGGCCCAAGUUCUCGGGCUGGUAUGUUGACGCUGUCAACGGUUCGGCCGGAGCCGGGUUUGCGAGAGCAGCCCCCGAGCCUCCGCACAAGGCGAGAGGACGAUCAGGGACAGACUCGACUUUUUGCAUACGCCCCUACGUCGCCUUUCCGCAAGGAGGAGGGGGGGAGUGCGCCAUGUUACCCUCGAUGGGCACCGAACAUGGUGUCUCCGGUGAGCUGCAAGCGGGUAAUCCGAGUGGACGUCCGUGCCCCGUUCGUUGGGGGUCGGCUAGGGGCCCAGAGGCACGCCCAAAAGUACCUGCGGGUGAUCUGCCGGACCCGGUCCCCUGGCGACGGGGUCCGAGGGCUCGAUGCCUCCCUCCGAUGGGAUUCCGUUACAAGAUCGCUCCCGCUGGUCUCGGAAAUGUCCUAGGGUACCUCGGGAGCGCAGCCCGAGCCUCGGUUAUGUAUCGAACGUACCCCUGGUCAUCCCUCGCUCGGCGUCUGAGGCGACUGUGAACCCUUCGGGGGCCAGCCUUCGAACCUCUGAUCAGUAAUGGGCGCGGAGCCCGAGUAGCCUGAGGCGGCCAUGGAGCCCUUCGGGGGGCCGGCCUUCGAACCCCUGACCAGUAGUGGGUGUCGGGCCCACGCGAUCUGAGGCGACUGUUGAACCCUUCGGAGGGCCAGCCUUCGAACCUCUGAUCAGUAGGGGGGCUCGGAGCCCGGUUCCUUCACAGGGAAGGAUCCUUUUCGGGGCAUCCCCCUUUCCCGGUCCCUGUUGCAAGAGAUAGAGAAAGAGGAAAAAGGGGAAAGGAUACGAAAUCGAACGACGUGGCGUACCUUUUUUGGCGCGGUUAUUACGGCGAAGGCGAAGCGUCGUCCGCUUCUCCUGCCAGAAGCGCCGCCUGUCCCGUCGCGGAGUUAAUGCGACGGGGCGAGUGGUUGGCGGGGCGGCCGUUGCGCGUGCGCGAGCCGUUCGAGGGACGGCUAUUUCGCAUCGCGCCUUUUGAAUCCCGCGUCCGGUCCGGGCGGAGCGCUGGAAACGGUUUCGCCCUGGUCUUUAUAUACUCGGGAGAGAACCCGGCGACGGUUCUUCACUCCGCUUCCUGCCUCUUUCUCUAGGUUUUCGCAACCCGAGAGGCUUUGACCAGAGGAGAGGAAAACGCCCUCCCUGCCCCUUGCGCCGCCAUCCCUUCCGCCUUGCCGAUGGCUGACCGAGUAACCAUCAUCUCCCCGCGCGAUCCGUGGCCAUUUUCCACGGUGACGGCGAGCGAUCUGGAGGAGCUGGUUGGCGAAGGUUUGCUUCGCCCCCUCACCGACGGGCAGCGACCUGAGUGGAUUCCUCCCACGGGCGGAGUCGCUCCAUCCCCACCGCCGGGGUACGUCGUGAGCUUCAUCUCCUUCCACGAGCGGGGAUUCGGCGUGCCGACUGGCCGCUUCAUGCGGGCAAUCCUGUUCCACUAUGGGGUGGAGUUGCACAACCUCUCCCCCAAUUCUGUCUCGCAGGCCGCUAUCUUCGUAGCGGUGUGCGAAGGGUAUUUGGGGAUCGCUCCCCAUUGGGAUUUGUGGACCCAUCUCUUCCUCGCCGAGCCAUUCGCCUUGCCGACGGGGGAGAGAAGGGUCCGUGCAGCGGUGCGGGCCGGCGGCUGCACUCUCUUGCUGAGGCAGUCGCGGGCGUCGCAGUACAUUCCUGCCAUCCUUGCGUCCUCGAACAAGGGGUGGCAGCGCCGGUGGUUCUACCUCCGGAAUGACGGUGAGUUGCUCCCACCGUUCUCCCAGCGGGUAGUCACCGCCGCCACCGACUCCUGGCGCCACGGGACCCCGCACGAGAGACAGAAGAAUCUCGAACCUCUUCUCCAGGCCCUGAAGGAGUUGCGGGAGGGGGGACUCACCGCUGCGGGAGUGGUCGCCGCCAUCCAUCGUCGGAGGGUGCUUCCUUUGGGUUGCUCCGGGUUCUUACGAUCGGGUUUCUUUCUCCCCUUUUUUAGGAGGUGGGGUGGCACAAACCCUCCCGGCCACGGGUCCCGGAGGACGUGGUGGACCGAGCAGCGCGGCGGGUCGCCGCGGAGGAGAAGAAGAAGAAGAAGGACGCGGAGAAGGCCCGGGCCCGUGAGCGGAGGCGGGCUCGGGACGCCUUGGAGAAGCGCCGUCGCCAGCAGGAGAGGGACGGACUCCCGAGGGAGCCGUCGCCGAAGACGCCCGACGACGACGAUGACGAUGAUGAUGAAGAGGAGGAUGACAUGGCCGCCCGUCUCGGCCUCAGCCCCGGCUUGGGGUGUGGCCAGGAGCCAUCGAGCCAGCCCCCGAGCGGGCCGACUCCCUCAGCCCCCGAAGUUGGGGCGUCGGGGUCCCGGCCCGAGGCACGGGGGCGAUCCGAGAGGUCACCUGACCCCCCAGCCGGAGGAGCUGAGGUGGCUCCGGAGGGCCAGGUCAGGGCGUCCGUUCCCCAGGGGCCGCCGCUCGUGCCGGCGGCGCAUGGGGGUGACCCUCAAGUCAUCGCGGCCGUGCCCGAACAAUCUGCUUCCCGGGCGCCCAAAACAAGGGUGGCGCCGAAGGUGCCGGCGAAGCGGACCUCGGCGGCUGUUUCGGGAGCCGGGAUCCAAGAAGGCUCCCCCCAGGCGCGGUGGAUCAUGGCCCGAAGUGGGUGAGUAUCUCGGACUGUCUUCGUCUUGGCUUCCCAGUCAUAUGCUUCGGCUGUGAUUCUCCCUUCCUCUUCUUUUUUCUCUCUUUUUUUUAUAUCCAGCAAGCGAAGCCAUGGCCAGACUGACCUGGCGCCCCGGAAGGUCCUUAGGACGGCGCCGGACUGCGCGGCCAGCGCUGCCCCAGGUCUCGCUGUUCAGCCGACCCUUUCGCAGGGCGUUCCACCGCAGGGGGUUCGGGUGUCGCCUGCCUCCGGGGAGCGGGCUCCCGAGGCUGGCUCUACUGCCGAGGUGGCCAUUGCGAUAGGGGAGGCGGCCGACGCUGACGUGGCCCCGAGCCUGCCUGUCGUGCCGGCCACGCCGGCGCCGGCUGCUGCCGAAAUCGCCGCCGUCCCAGUCGGGGGGCGACCGGUUGCUGCCAGCGUCAGGAUGGCCGACGCGUCGGCGCCCAGUGCCUCAGAAGAGGUGGGCGUGGGCGCGCGAUCCGUCCAGCCGAGUGGGAGCCUUAUCGCUGUGCAGCGGAGCCCCGAGGCCCGGCGCCCGUCGCUCCGAUUCCGGACCCGCGAGGCCUCGGACCCUGUCUUCGUCCUCGACGAUGAACGGGAGGACCAGUCCUGGGAUGAGCUUUGCGAGUGUGUUGAAGCAACGGUGGGGCCGCUCCGGUCGUCGCUAGAGGUUCUCUACAGGGAUGUCCCCAAAAUCCUCCAGGUAACGGUUUCAGGCAUACCUUUUCCUUUCUGCGAGCGAGGCGUUCGUCGUGACGCCCUAUCUCCUUCCUCCAGGACCUGACGGAUCGGAGCGCCGCCAAGUCAUCAUUCAUCCGCCGCGAGGCCGAUGUCUGGGGCUCGCUGCGAUCCCUGAGGACCUCGCUUGCCGGGGCUACUGCGCGCCUUUCUCAGCAGGACGCCAAGGUUGCGGACCUCCAGUUGCUUUGCGCUGACCUGAGGGCCGAGGCGGCAGCAGCGCGCGCGGAGGCGCAACGGCAGCGGUCGGAGUUCGCCCAGGUCGUCGAGGAGCGGGACCAAUCUCGGAGCCGAGCUGCCGAGGCCGAAGGCCGGGCUGAGACCCUCGCGGCCGACCUAGCUGCAGCCCAGGUCGCGGCCUCGGAGCAGCGUGCCCGAGCCGGAGGUACGCCAUGGCCGUCCCUGAUUCUUAUUUUUUGUCGGUUUCCUCUGCUUGUGCUUGAGGUCUUUCUUCUGGUUGUUCGCAGAGCUUGAGUCCGCCCUUGAUGAGUCCGCCAAGGCGCUUGCCGAGGCGCUUGCCGGAACUGCCGAGCAGAGGGAGGCUGACCUCGCGGCCGUGUCCGAGGCCGUCUCGGACGUUUAUCGUAACCUCGGCUCCGGCGACGUUCCGUCAGGAAGCUCCCCUCAAAGCCGCCUUCAAGCCUUGGGUGAUCACGCGCGCGGCAGAGUCCGCGAGGCGCUACACCACGGCGUCAGGCGGGCCUUCGCCGUGCUCGCUUCCCACUACGUUGUGGACCUGGAGCGGGUUAGUGAGGGGUACUGUCUUCCUGACAAAGACGAAGCUGCCCUGGCAGAAGUCCAGCGGCUUGACGCGGUCGCCGCGGGUCCGAGCGCGGCGCUGGCGACCACCUUCGAGGCGGAGAUCCUUCCCCCUGUGCCGUCACCGGAGGCCGAGAUGGACCUUACCGACGGCGGGGACGGUGCUGAGGGCGCGGCUCCUUCCCAAGGCGGCGCCUGAUUCUUGUUGGAAAAAUUUCUUGUUGGAUGUGCGUCUUACCGUGGCCGCUGAGGCCUGAACACUUUGUCUUUCUUGCAUGAAGUCGUACUCUCCUUUCUUCCCAUUUGCGUAUCCGUCCUAGCUUCGCCAAUAAUAGGGUGGCUUCCCGGGUUGGGUCAUUCUUCAUGGCAGGUGAUGAGUGAGGUAUCCUUAACCCGGAGGCGCAGGAGUUCCUCGGCUCAGUCGGCCUCGCCAUUUACAUGUACCCACGUUCGCUCCCCGAGACCCUGCUUCUGGCAUAGCCAGGAGAACGCAAGAGGCCCCUUUUUUGAUUGAAAAUUUUUGACGCGGAGAAGUACGCCCAAUCUUGACGCAGAGGGGUUCCCCCUUUUUAGCCCCCGAGGGAGGGUCGGGCUCUACCGAGGCGAGGCCGACUCUCCCUUGAUGACUGAGGCGCAGAGGCUGCCUGACGGGUCGGACUCAGGCCCGAACAUCCAGCGAGUGCUCGGCGACAUCCCUCGGUAUGCCGGGCAUGUCCGAGGGACUCUACGCAAAGACGUCGGCGUUUGCGCGGAGAAAGUCGACGAGCACUGCUUCCUAUUUGGGGUCGAGCCCGGAACCGAUCCGGAUCUGCUCCGAGGUGUCGCCACUGGGGUCGAGUGGGACGGCCUUAACCGUCUCCGCUGGCUCGAAGUUGCCGGCAUGGCGCUUCACAUCUGGCACCUCUUUGGAGAGGUUCUCCAGGUCGGCGAUGAGGGCCUCGGACUCGGCGAGGGCCUCGGCGUACUCCACGCACUCCACGUCGCAUUCGAAUGCGUGUUUGUACGUGGGGCCGACGGUGAUGACCCCGUUGGGGCCCGACAUCUUUAGCUUCAGGUAGGUGUAGUUGGGGACGGCCAUGAACUUCGCGUAGCAUGGCCUUCCCAGUACCGCGUGGUAGGUUCCUCGGAACCCGACCACCUCGAACGUCAAAGUCUCCCUUCGGAAGUUGGAGGGUGUUCCGAAGCAGACGGGGAGGUCGAGUUGUCCGAGGGGCUGGACACGCUUCCCAGGGAUGAUCCCGUGGAAGGGCGCAGCGCCUGCUCGGACGGAGGACAGAUCGACGCGCAGGAGCUUGAGGGUCUCGGCGUAGAUGAUGUUGAGGCAGCUGCCCCCAUCCAUCAGGACCUUGGUGAGCCUGACGUUGCCGAUGACGGGGUCGACGACGAGCGGGUAUUUCCCCGGGCUCGGCACGUGGUCGGGGUGGUCAGCCUGGUCGAAAGUGAUGGGCUUGUCGGACCAGUCUAGGUAGACUGGCGCCGCCACCUUCACCGAGCAGACCUCCCGGCGCUCUUGCUUGCGAUGCCGAGCCGAGGCAUUCGCCGCAUGCCCACCGUAGAUCAUGAAGCAGUCGCGGACCUCGGGAUAUUCUCCUGCUUGGUGAUCUUCCUUCUUGUCGUCGUCGUGGGCCCUGCCACCCUCCGCGGGUGGCCCGGCCCUGUGGAAGUGGCGCCGAAGCAUGACGCACUCCUCGAGAGUGUGCUUGACGGGCCCCUGAUGAUAGGGGCACGGCUCCUUGAGCAUCUUGUCGAAGAGGUUUGCACCUCCGGGGAGCUUCCGAGGGUUCUUGUACUCGGCGGCGGCGACAAGGUCCGCGUCGGCGGCGUCGCGUUUCGAUUGCGACUUCUUCUUGCCCUUCUUCUUGGCGCCGCGCGGAGUAGACGCCUCGGGAGCCUCUUCCGAUGGGCGGCCCUGGGGCCGCUUGUCCUUUCGGAAGAUAGCCUCGACCGCCUCCUGGCCAGAGGCGAACUUGGUGGCGAUGUCCAUCAGCUCGCUCGCCCUGGUGGGGGUCUUGCGACCCAACUUACUCACCAGGUCGCGGCAGGUGGUGCCGGCGAGGAACGCGCCGAUGACAUCCGAGUCGGUGAUGUUGGGCAGCUCGGUGCGCUGCUUCGAGAAUCGCCGGAUGUAGUCCCGGAGCGACUCUCCCGGCUACUGCCGGCAGCUUCGAAGGUCCCAGGAAUUCCCGGGGCGCACGUAUGUGCCCUGGAAAUUGCCGGCGAAGGCUUGGACCAAGUCGUCCCAGCUGGAGAUCUGCCCCGGAGGCAGGUGCUCCAACCAGGCGCGAGCAGUGUCGGAGAGGAAUAGGGGGAGGUUUCGGAUGAUGAGGUUGUCGUCGUCCGUUCCACCCAGCUGGCAGGCCAGGCGGUAGUCCGCAAGCCACAGUUCCGGUCUCGUUUCCCCCGAGUACUUCGUGAUAGUAGUCGGGGGUCGGAACCGGGUCGGGAACGGCGCCCGUCGGAUGGCCCGACUGAAGGCCUGCGGACCAGGUGGUUCGGGCGAGGGACUCCGAUCCUCCCCGCUGUCGUAGCGCCCCCCACGUCUGGGGUGGUAGCCUCGGCGCACCCUUUCGUCGAGGUGGGCCCGACGGUCGCGUCGAUGGUGCUCGUUGCCGAGGUGGCCCGGGGCCGCAUGCGCGGUGUUGCGCGUGCGCCCGGUGUAGACCGAGGCUUCUCGCAUGAAUCGGGAAGUCGCGGCAUGAGGUUCCGAGGGGUAUCCCUGCCUUCGGGAGGCAGUGCUCUCGGCCCGUCGGGCCGCAGCGCCUUCCAGGAGAUUCUUGAGCUCUCCCUGGAUUCGCCGAUGUUGGGGACUCGUUCUCAAAUGCUAUGAAUUAAGAACAAGGCAACAUAAAGUGUUAAAUGUUAAUGCCCUUCGUCCAUGAAACAUUAUUCCCUUCAGGAUAAUGAGCCUUGGACGAAGGUAAAUGAGAAUAUAAUUACGAAGCUUAAGUCUUCGUAAUAAAAUUUCAAUAGACAUUAUAAGAUAAUAUAAAUAAAGGGUAUAUAAAGGAGUAAGUUAAUCAUAGACAAAUUAUAUGUAUUCAUUUAACGUAUUGAAUCAUUGAAUACAAUAGUACCUCUGCCUUGGCAAAGAUUGGUUUCCGGAAGAUGCGAUUGCAAUUAUCAGAAUGCCUGAACAGUAAAGGAAUACUGUUCACUAUUUAUGGGCACAGGACACAGCCUGUGAGGAAUUACAAUUAUGCCCCUCAUAAAAGUUUACAACAUUGAUUCAGACCUUUAUGGACUAAAAGGUCAUUCUAUCUUUAAGUCGGUUUGUAAUACCGAAGCUUCAAGAAAAGGAACCUUCGGCCAUCUUAUACAAACAGCUUCAGCCGAAGACCGCUUCUUCCUAUAGGACCUUCGGCGACGAAGCACAGGCCCAACAGCCGACCCUCGGUAGUUGACGGCUCCGGCAUCGCGCGGAGGAGCAUCGCUGCGGCUGCCAGGUUCUGGCCGACCCCGCUGGAUGAGGGUGGCGGCCUGACCCUGACAUCGUUGGCGACGCGGUGCUGGAGACCUUGGGGCAGGUGACGUAUUUCUCCGGCCGGGGGUUGGCCCGCCCAUACCCGUCCGACGUCCCGACGGAUUGGCUCAAGCGCUCCUGUUCCCUCGUCGAGCCUGGCCUGCGCCCCGCGGACUUGCUCGAGUUGUGGGUCGUAACCCCCCGCCGGAACGGGGACCACAGCUAGCUCCCGCGGGAUGUCAGCGCGAGGCACCGGCCUGGGAAGAUCACCGUCCUCCGGCAUGCCGAGAUGGUUGCCUUCGGAGGGAUCCCCUAGCUCGAUGUGGAAACAUUCGCGGCUUGGGCCGCAGCUCUCGUCGUUAAGGCUACGGCUUCCGUCGGAACAGUCGGAGAGGCAGUAGUUACAUGCGGUCAUGAAGUCCCGCAUGGCACUGGGGUUGCCAAGUCCAGAGAAAUCCCAACAGAUGCUGGGAUCGUCAUCUUCCUCAGACCCAGAGGGCCCGUAGGUUGAGACGUCCGUCAACCGGUCCCAAGGCGACCGCAUACGAAACCCCAGUGGGGUUGCACUCGCCUCAAUGAGAGCGCCCGCCAAAGCAAGGUUGCUAGGCGGGUUGAGGCCGAGUCGAAAUGACGUAAGAUGGGAGUUAGUCAGUACCUUUUGGUCGACGCGGAGCGACGUAGUCACAUCGGGGACUGGUUGCGCCGUCAUCUUAGGCACAAGGGCGACGUCCUGCAAGCUUUCCGUGAGCGCGCUGGCGUCGUCUUCUUGCUCGGGAUCAGCGUGUCGCGGGGGGACGGCGCUUGCCUUCGUCUCGAACGCGAGGUCGACGCCCGGCGUGCCUUCCGUCUGGGCGUCGGGGGCGUCGAUUCGCUCAACGGCCGACGAAGCGCGGCCUCCCGCUUGGCCUUGGUUGCCCCGCCUCCUCCUCCGUUGGCGGGGGAGAGGACGGAGCGAGCUCGAAUGUUGUUCUUCCACCACGCGAGGAAGAUGUCGUCGAUUCCGCCGCCGGCGGGCGGGUUGUCGACCGCCAUUGUCGUCGUCGCACGGCGGUGGAAGGAGUAUCAUGUCGUAGCUGCCGUCGAGGGACAUGAACUCAAGACUCCCGAAACGGAGCACCGUCCCGGGCCGGAGAGGUUGCUGGAGACUGCCCAUCUGGAGCUUGACGGGAAGCUGUUCGUCAGCACGCAGCAGCCCCCUACCUGGCGCGCCAACUGUCGGCGUUUCGAGACCGGGGGGUCCCUAAGCCGACGAGUGAGUGUGCUGCGUGCCCCAGCCCAGAUGGGUCGAGCGCGUGGGCGAGCGCGAAGGGGGGAGAGGCGAGGUGGCCGGAGACGGGCGUGAGAGAGGUGGAAAUCCCGCGGCCUUCGUGUUCGUCCCGCGCCCAGGUCGGGUGCGCUUGCAGUAGGGGGGUUACAAGCGUCCACGCGGGUGAGGGAAGCGAGCGGCCCCAAGAGAGCGCCUGUCCCGUCCUCGGUCCCGCGCGGCCAACCCUCUCUAAGAAGGCCCUGGUCCUUCCUUUUAUAGUCGUAAGGAGAGGAUCCAGGUGUACAAUGAGGGGUGCAGCAGAGUGCUACGUGUCUAGCGGAGGGAGAGCUAGCGCCCUAAGUACAUGCCAAUGUGGCAGCCGGAGAGAUCUUGGCACCCUGCUGGCGUGAUGUCGUGGCUGUCGGAGGAGCAACGGAGCUUGGCGGAAGGACAGCUGUCGGAGCGGUCGAGUCCUUGCUGACGUCCACCUGCUUCCGUAAGAGAGCUGAGAGUCGCCGCCGUCAUGGAGCUUGGGAGGCGCCAUCAUUGCCUAUCUGGCGGAGCUGGUCAGAUGGGACACCGGUCUUGUUCUCUGCGGCCCGAGUCGGCUCAGGGUAGAGUGGUGAUGGCGCUCCCUGUUGUCGUGGCGGGCCCGCGCCCGAGGCCGGGCGACGUGGGGGCUCCUCCGAAGCUGGGGUCGAAUCUGUCUUCCGUUGCCGAGGCCGAGUCCGAGCCCCUGGGUCGGGCGAGGCGGAAGUCGUUCGGCAGAGGCCAGGGCGGAGUCCGAGCCCUGGGGUCGGGCGAGGCGGAGUUCGUCGUCUUCCGGGGCCGAGCCCGAGUCCGAGCCCUGGGGUCGGGCGGAGCGGAGUUCACCGUCUUCCGGGUCUUAGCCCGAGUCCGAGCCCUGGGGUCGGGCGGAGCGGAGUUCGCCGUCUUCCGGGUCUUAGCCCGAGUCCGAGCCCUGGGGUCGGGCGGAGCGGAGUUCGCCGUCUUCCGGGUCUUAGCCUGAGUCCGAGCCCUGGGGUCGGGCGGAGCGGAGUUCACCGUCUUCCGGGUCUUAGCCCGAGUCCGAGCCCUGGGGUCGGGCGGAGCGGAGUUCGCCGUCUUCCGGGUCUUAGCCCGAGUCCGAGCCCUGGGGUCGGGCGGAGCGGAGUUCGCCGUCUUCCGGGUCUUAGCCUGAGUCCGAGCCCUGGGGUCGGGCGGAGCGGAGUUCACCGUCUUCCGGGUCUUAGCUCGAGUCCGAGCCCUGGGGUCGGGCGGAGCGGAGUUCCCUAUGGCGCCCCUGGCAAAGCCUGACUGCCUGUCAGACUCACUCUGUCGAGUGGCACCGCAGUCGGAAUGGCGCAGGCGGCGCUGCCCUUCUGUCAGACCGGUCAGUGGAGCAGCGGAGUGACGGCGGUCACUUCAGCUCUGCCGGGGGGCAUGCGUCAGGAUAGAGGUGUCAGGCCACCUUUGCGUUAAAUGCCCCUGCAACUCGGUCGGUCGGUGCGGCGAUUUAGUCAGGGUUGCUUCUUAGCGAAGCCAAGGCCUCAGGCGAGCCGGAGAUGUGUCCGCCGUUAAAAGGGGGGCCUCGGGCGAGACGGAAGUCCCUCGAGGUCGGCUGCCCGAGUCCGAGGCUAGGCUCGGGUGAAGCGUGAUCGAGUCACUCGUAUGGACUGAUCCCUGACUUAAUCGCACCCAUCAGGCCUCUGCAGCUUUAUGCUGAUCGGGGUUACCAGCUGAGAAUUAGGCGUCUUGAGGGUACCCCUAAUUAUGGUCCCCGACACAUACGUUCAUAGCUCAACAAGUUGUGGGGAAUAAUGUGCAUGAACUCGCUAAAGGUGGGAGCUCACGUGAAGUGUAAGGCUUACCAAAGAGGAUGGUUGAAGCUGAGCAUUGCUUUUAAAGUUGGUCAAAAUUUUAUUAGCAAUUACUAAGUAUAAGUAAAUACCAGCCCAAUUAAGUAGUAGAUCAAAAAUAACAACAUCACAUGCAAUGCAAUGCAUAUGACAAAUUGAAUUUAGUUCCAUAAAUUAAUCAUGUGAGUGUUCGAGCUGCUCAUGACCGUGAGCACGGCUAGUAUACCAGUUUUACACUCUGCAGAGGUUGCGCAUCUUUACCCACAAGUCAUGUUACCCAUCUGCUAAGAGACGACCAAUCCCAUACACCUCUAUCGAGGAGGCGAGGCAGGGUAACACUACGAGGCCUUUACAAAGUUCCACUAGCUUUAGAAAACCCGCUACAGUUUGUAGGAAGCUCCAAUGAAGGAAUCCCUCGUCUGACCGCCAUGGCAGCAAAAUCAACCCGAGGACCUCCCUACACUGACCACUCCCCUACUGCCCUUGCUCCUUUCGGGUAAGGUAGUCUUCCACUAGCUUUCCUAGUUAGUUGGCCAAGGGCGUCCCAUUAUACCCUUGUGGUAGCACUGUUUUCCUGGGUGGUUCUCCAUGUUCCAAUUAACAUAAUGAUCUUAUCAUGAACAAUAAAUAACAGCUGAUAAUGAAAGAUAAUCAUGAAUAAAAUGUAUCUCUAUACCCAAAACCACAUAAAGCAAUAGCAGGUACUACCCAAAAAUUUAGUGGUAAACAAGGUAUAAAGAUAGUCAAACUAGGGUAACCUAUUGGGUCCCAUCAAAAUUAACCUAUGCAGAUCAUUAUGAUUAAUUAGAACAUGACUGGGUAAAAAGAAGUGAUCAAGGGCACAACUUGCCUGGGACUUGAGAUUCCAGGUACCAACUUGCUCUUCAUGUGACACGUGUCCUCACGCUAGUCGUAGCAAUACAGACAAACAGUGUAUAGGCAAAAUUAACAUCACACCAAACAUAAGAGUAAAUUGUGUAAUAUUAAUCUACGUGUUGCUACGAGAUCAUGGGCUCGAGAAGCACUAUAAUCGGAGUUAUAGUUAUUUAAUUAUGAUUUUCUAAAGUCUUAUGUGAUUAAACAGGAAAACUCAAUUCUAGGUAGUUUAUAAAUCAUGUGAGAAAGAUAAUCGAAAUAAUUAACUAACUUUCUCUUGAUCAAAUUAUACUUGAUUAGAAAACAUACUCUAUCUCCCAUUAUAAACAUAGACAUAGUAAUCUUUGGUUAGUGAGGUAAAUUUACUAAAUAUAGGAUAAAUAAAUGACUAAUAUAAAAGUAUAUGAUAUGAUAUAAUUAAGGCUAACACUGUGCAGGCAAUUUUAUUGUGAAGCUAAUGCAACUUGAAUGGAUCAAAUCGGAGUUAAAAUUUAUAAGUUAUGGAAUAAACAAGUUUCUAUGUAUUUUUAACACUUAUUUUAUAAAUUUCUGGGAUUUAUGGACUGUGGGCGCAAAUACCAGAGAGCUCGAGGUUAUUUUUAUAAAUUCUAGGGCCUCGGUUGUAAGGGUUUCUCUAUAGUCAAGGACGGCGGGUUAUUUGUGGCAAAGGGCAGGGGCUCUUAAGAAAAAAUGCCAAGUGAAGGGGUAUGAACAUUUCCCAGCCACCCGAUCUGAUCUGGACGGCCCAGAUCAGUCCUAUCAUUUAAAUGAACCGGUAUACACUUGGAGCCAUUGGAUUUCUAAUGGACGCCCAGGAUUUUAAAAUACCCAGCUCAACUCAUUCCCGUCGGAUCUGAAUCGAACGACGCUGGUCAGUCCUAUGGCUAGAUCCGAUCUAAGCCACCCAUCUGUAAUCAGACGACCGACGUUCUUCUUCCCAACCACCUGGCGCACGCUGAAGAUCCGCACUGAUCGUUCUCUAUCCCUCUCUUCGCGCUAUUGUUCCAUGGCGGCGGACAGGUUCAGGCUAUGGGGUCCUUCUCCGCCCAACGACGACAACGCAAGCAUCGAAGCUCGCCGUCGACCAACGAACCGAGGCCAACCAUCACGCGCUCGUUGAGGAUCCGCACAGGCGCACGAUCUCUCUCUCUCCCUGCUGGUCCGUGGCAGAAGCGCCCUGCCCAGCAGCGACCAAGCACGCCGGAGCGCAGUGCCCACGCACAAAUCCCCACACGGACCGGUGCUACACGUAUGGCGGAGUAGGACGAGCACAAGGGAGGGGAAAUUACCAGUGGAUAGAAGGGCAGAGGUGGCUAGCCACGGAAGUGUGCGGCAACAACUGGGCAUACAGCAGCGGCAUGGUGAUGAACCUCGAGCUCUGGGAGAAGUUUGCCAAGGCUUCAGUGAAACCCAGAGCAUCUGCCUACCCCCAGCGCCGCGACCGUAGAUGGAACGUUCCCAGCGCAGUUUUACCCCGCCGACAGUGGUGGCGACGCCGCCCAGCUCCAACUUCGGUUUUAUGGGUGGAGGGUCAUCGGAUGCGGCCGUUCUUAUAGUGCCCAGGUACGAGGUCCGAGUUGGAGUCCCACAUCCCAACCACACCGCGACGAAACCCCUCCGGUUCCCAGAAUCACGCGCGUUUGUUGUGGUAGCGAGCUUUUCGCGAGGUUGGUGAUGAACCCGCCAGGUGGGACCCGUUCGUCGGCCACACAUGCGAUGGGGGCGCGAGGAAGCAGGCAGCGCCCAGGAGGAGGGUUCAAGCGCGCGCGGGCCACUUGGGCCGAGAAAGACCCGAGCUGGGCUGAGCCUGGGAGGUUUCAGCCCGAGUGCUUUUAUCCUCUUUUUCCUUUUUCUAAUUUUAUUUCCUGCUUUGUUUCUCCUUUAUAUUUUAAACCUAGAAUUUGAAUUCAAAUCUUGUGGCGAAUUUGUACUAAAAAUUUGUUUUUGAACAUGACAUUAUGGGGUAGGUUUAUUUUCUUGUAAAUUUAUUUUGUCCUUCAUAACAUCGCUCUCUUUCUUCUUUUCUAUAUUAUUUCCAAUUUCCUAAAUUGUAAUUUUGGGUUAAAUCUAAAUUCUCAAAUUAGUAUCAUAUUUUCAUUAGUAUUAUUUUAUUAUUAAAUGCACAAACAAACAAAAACCUCAACAUGAUGCAAAUUUUAUUGAGGUAUUAUUUAUUUUAAACAUGUUUCCUAACAAUGAGAAGUCAUUACACAUAAAUUUGUAUUCUUCUCUUUAUUUUCUAAAGUUGGAUAUUACAUGAUCAAAGACUAUGAGCUGGAGAUUCAUUAUCACUCAGGCAAAGUAAAUGUGGUUACAGAUGCUCUUAGCAGGAAGAAUCAAGUCAAUAUGUUGGCCGCUCGCCCGAUGCCGUAUGAGCUAGCAAAGGAAUUCGACAGAUUGAGUCUCGGAUUUCUGAACAACACCCAAGGGGUGACAAUUGAGUUGGAACCCACUCUAGAGCAAGACAUCAGGAAAGGUCAGAAGGAUGAUGAGAAGAUCAACGAGAUCCGGUAGCUGAUCAUAGAUGGGAAAGACAAGGAUUUCCAUGAAGAUGCAGAAGGAGUGGUAUGGUUCAAGGACAGACUGUGUGUUCCUGACAUCAAAUCGAUCCGGGAACUGAUUCUCAAGGAAGCUCAUGAGACAGCAUAUUCUAUACACCCUGGUAGUGAGAAAAUGUACCAAGACCUAAAUAAAAGAUUCUGGUGGUACGAUAUAAAAAGGGAGAUAGCAGAGUAUGUGGCUGUAUGUGAAAGUUGUCAGAGGAUUAAAGCAGAACAUCAAAGACCUGCAGGUUUGUUGCAACCGUUGCAGAUUCCUCAGUGGAAAUGGGAUGAGAUCAGAAUGGACUUUAUAGUUGGUUUGCCUCGCACUCGUACUGGUUAUGACUCCAUCUGGGUAGUAGUGGACCGUUUGACAAAGGCAGCCCAUUUCAUACUAGUCAAGACCACCUAUAACAGUACGGUGUUGGCCAAACUAUACAUGUCUCGGAUUGUGUGCUUGCAUGGUGUUCUGAAGAAGAUAGUAUCAGAUAGAGGCACUCAGUUCACCUCUCAUUUUUGGCAGCAGUUGCAUGAAGCUUUGGGCACACAUUUGAAGUUCAGCUCAGCUUAUCACCCGCAGAUAGAUGGUCAAACAGAGAGGACCAAUCAGAUUCUUGAGGAUAUUUUGAGGGCUUAUGCUUUGCAAGACAAGAUAGGUUGGGACAAGAGAUUACCAUAUGCAGAAUUCUCUUACAACAACAGCUAUCAAGCCAGUCUGAAAAUGUCACCAUUUGAAGCGCUGUAUGGGAGGAAUUGUAUAACUCCAUUGCAUUGGGACCAACCCGACGAAAGACAGGUAUUCGACCUAGAGAUUUUGCUUGAAGCCGAAGAGAAUAUUAGAAUGGUCCGAGAGAAUUUAAAGGCAGCACAGUAUAGACAGCGGAGCUAUGCUGACACCAGAAGAAGGGAACUCAGUUUUGAAGUGGGAGACUAUGUCUACUUGAAAGUGUCACCCAUCAGAGGAACCAAAAGGUUUGGAGUCAAAGGCAAGCUAGCACCUCGUUAUAUUGGACCGUAUCAGGUUCAAGCCAGACGUGGAGAAGUGGCUUAUCAACUCGGCUUACCAGGGAAUCUAUCCGCUGUGCACGAUGUGAUGGCAACGGGUACAAACCCGCUGGGUUUUGCUAUCCCAAACCCGUACCCGUGAAAAAUAUUUACACCCAUUAAAAAACCCGUACCCAUGACGGGUUUGAAAUUUUGCCCAAACCCGUACCCAUCGGGUUUGCGGGUACCCACGGGUUACCCACGGGUUUUUAUCUCCAAUAUGCUUAUUCUUUUUAUAAUCAAUAAAUAUCGUAAUGAUUAAUGAGAUCAUGGUCCAAAAUUUAUGUAAUGAACAACGAGUUCAUGAUUUGGUAUAAAUAAUAUUAGUAGAGAGAAUUAAAUACAAAUAAUAAGUUGUAUAAUCAAGUUACCUUCCACUAAGUUAUACAUCCACCACAUAUAUAACGCUAGUAAUAACUAUAAUAGCAAGCACGCAACACUAUCACCAACUACUUAUACAUUCACUAUUUGAUAAAAAUUAGGAAGUAAAUAGGUAGAUAACAAGUUUGUUGUUCAUUUAUAAAAUAAAAUGACAAUAUGCACUUGGUUUGGUCGGGUUUAAAAAACCCACGGGUUCACGGGUUUGGGUACUAUAGGAACAAACCCGUACCCAUGAACUCGUCGGGUAUACAAUUAUGCCCAUUAACAAACCCAUGGGUAUAAAAAUUGACCCAAACCCGUACCCUAAUGGGGUAAAAACCCAUCGGGUUUCGGGUACCCAUUGCCAUCUCUAGUUCCAUGUGUCUCAGUUGAAGAAAUGCUUGAGAGUGCCAGAGGAGCAGUUGCCAGCAAAAGAUCUUGAAGUUCAAGAGGAUCUGACCUAUAUUGAGAAGCCAACUCAAAUUCUGGAGACAGCAGAUCGGGUCACUCGGAGAAAUACCAUCAGGAUGUGCAAAGUCAAAUGGGGUCAUCACUCAGAAGAAGAAGCAACCUGGGAACGAGAAGAUGAAUUGAAAGCCAAGUACCCUGAGCUCUUUGCUAACCAGCCCUAAAUCUCGAGGGCGAGAUUCUUUUAAGGGGGAUAGGUCUGUAACACCCUGAUUUUGGGGGUAUAAAAUUUCUUUCUAAUUAUCACCCAAAAUCAUGUGUUACUCUUCCUUUUCUCACUCUAGGCUUCCUCUCUCUCUAGAUUCUUUCUCCCUUUUUCAUUUCAAUUAGAAAUAGCUUAAACUAGUGGAGGUUAAUUAUUUAUUUUUGCCAAAAUAUUGUGGGUCAUGACAUGUUGCAUCAUGCUGAGUUUAAAAUAUUCUUUGAAGUGCUGCACAUGUUUGAGUUUAUUUGAAUUUGAAACCUAAUUUGAAUUUGGAUUUGAAAACCCUAGAGAAGAGAAAUAGAAAAGGAAUUAGAAAAUCCAGGGAAAAAGAAAAAGCCAUUUCGGCCCAAACUAGCCCACCAGGCCCAACCCUACGUGCGCGCCUGCCGCCCCUGACAGGCGGACCCCGCCUGUCGGCGCCAGUCUUUCGCGCGUGCCCACUCUCUAGCUCUCUGCCCGCUGGGGCCAAUAUGUCGGUGCCAGUUUCCUUCGCUCGCACGCUCCCUCUCUCUCUCUGUCUCAUGGGCCCAGUUUGCCAGUCGUCAAGCCGUUGCCCCCACGCACCCCUUUCCUCUCUCUCUCUCUGCGUCGUGGGCUAGCCCUGUCAGCUCUGCCCCCUCCACGCUCGCCGUGGACUGGCACGUGCGCACUCGCGCACGUCGCCGGAUUUCUCGGCCACGACACCCGCCCACGCGCCCAGCUCCCUUAUUAGAGCCCCGCCAGUGCCCCGCGCUCAACCCUCGCCUCAUUUCGCACAGCUUCACCCUCCCUCGCGCUCUGCCCACGCCGCCAGCCGCUACCAGGACCCGUGCCCGCGUUCCCGGCCAUCCAGCUCGCCGGAGACUGCUCCAAGCCUCCCCAAGCUCCGCCCCGAGGCGAGACACCCGUCUCCGUGCCCAAUUCCCUUAUCUCGCCCUGUGUUCGGCCAAUUUCACCUUCUCCGGUGCUCGGCCGUGGCGGUCCGCCGUGCUCACGCGGUGGCCGGCCGAUUCAGCCCAGUCUAGUUCACCGGAGUAGGUCCCUAUGUCACCCUGCCUCUGCUGAAGCUAGCCAAGGCCUUAGAGCGCCUUAGGUUUCCUCCCCGUGGCCGGAAUGGCUCACCGGAGUUGCUCCGGCCCGCCCGAGACCUUCUCACCGCCGUUCUCCCCUCUCUGCUCGUGGAUUCAUGGCCUCUCCCCUGCCAUCGAGUUUGCCGUGGCGCCCUCUCCCUCUCUGCCCAAUUCCGGCGACCCCGGAGCCACCCUAGCUCACGCCAGCCUCAACUCCGGCGACCUCACAGGCGCGGAGAGGAGCGGUGCCGCCCGCAGCCACCUGUUCCCCCUGGUCCGAUCCAGAUCGAAUGGCUCGGACCACCGCAGCCGCCUGUUCCCCCUGGUUCGAUCCUCUCCGUCCGAUCUAGAUCGAACGACACAGACCACCACAGUCACAUGUUCCCCCUGGUCCGAUCCCCUCCAUCCGAUCUAGAUCGAACGGCUUGGACCACCGUAGCCGCCUGUUCCCCUGGUUCGAUCCCCUCCGUCCGAUCAAGAUCGAAUGGCUCAAACCCCGGAUAACGCUUCGCGCACGCGUGCCCUGAUGCCCUGGCCCUCCUGGCAGCGCCUAAGUCCCCUGGUGUUGGGCCCGCUCGGUCAGCGCGCUCUCCCCCUCUAUCGCUGAAGCACUGGCCCGCUUGUUAGCGCUCGGCCGCCCGCGCGCGCCCUCGGCUGUAGAUCUAAUCUCAGCCGUUGGUUUUAGAUCCGACGGUUAGAUUCGCUCGAUACCCCUUCGCGCGGUAGCCUUCUUAAAGAGACCCUCGGUUUAUUGAAAAUCAACCCGCCGUCCCUGGUUUUUGCGCGUAGGCCCCUGUAAUCUUGCAGAUUUAGCCCUGGACUUUUAAAUAUUCACAGAAUUAGCCCUAAUUUCAUAUUUUGAAUUCCCAAACUUUUUUAUUUCAUAACUUUUGCAUAUGAACUCCACAUUUAGUGAUUCGAAUUGCAAAAUGUUCAUAGAAUCAUUCUCUGUCUAAAUAAAAUGGUUUCAUUUACUAUCUGCACACUCUAAUUUUUAGGAUUGAAUAUGAACUAAUGUAGAUGUAUUUUUAUUGAUUUAAUAAAAUAAAUAAAAGGAGAACCUUAGAGAUUUAAUCAUGUGUAAGCUGUGAGAUUAAUAAUGUGUAUUACAUAAGUUUACCUCUGCUCUAAUUUUUUUAGGUCACAAUAAAAUGAAUUGAACUAUGAUCAUGUAUGUCAUGGAACCUCCCAAGUUAUUAGGCCCACCUACAGUUGUCCUUGUCCAACAGACAUCAGACAACCCUGUAGAUGUUCCUUAAUUACUUGACAAGUUCGGUAUCUUUAUCCUUACCUUUCCAGGAACGUUUCACCCGUCUGACAGACAAUAUGUUCAUCGGAGAUGCGGAAAUGCGGAAGUGAUUACAUAAACUUACCUUUAUUUAAAAAGUAAGAGUAAGUUAUUUAGUACAGACCAGAGAGUGCUGAAACGUAUUAUUACAAUACCUGGGAGGCAAAAACUCCUCCCAUAAAGUUCUUUACAUAAAAGUUUUUAAGGAGGACCCGGUCCUCCGGCAGCUUCACUCUUGAUUAUCUUCACUUUUCACCACCUUGGUACAAAAACAACAAAAGUUUGUUGUCUCCUCACCUAAAAACAACGGGGGGAAUAAACCCUGAGUAUGGAAUUACUCAGCAAGUCUUACCCGACUAAGGAAAAGACUCUCAAGGGGAUGCUGGAUAUAUGGGAGUCAAGGUAAGGCUUUUCAAUAUUCAAAGACUCUGUUUGCAGAAUUGCUUACUAAAGUGGAUCCUUAAAAUCCAAUUUUAUUGUCAGGUUAAGUAAAAUUACCUGCAGCUAGAGUUCUUCUACCCUAGUUCAAUCACUUGACCUGCACUAGCCAAUUUCUUAUCAACCCUUCAUCUUCACUGGAUUGCUACGUGUAAGUCAGUGGCCAAGUCUCCAUAACCGCGGAGGUACGGCGAUCCGAAUCGAUUAUACUCAGCUGAGGAUCUCCGAUCACACGACAUAUGUAGCACUUAACCCUUGCAUAUGUCAACCCGCCACCGAGUUUCUUAAGACCAGAUCAGGUUCACGCAAACCGAGAGCACAGAUACACCACCGUCCAGCCUCUUGCCACGGAGGGUACACGCUACUCUCACCACCGCUCCACGCCCAUUUCGUGUUAUCUUAUUCUGGCCUUAGUCCACUCGAGGCAAAGCUUACCCAUGACGAGGCAUGUGACCAGUUAAAGGGUCCUCGGUCAGCAGGCUUACAUCGAGACGGCCCUUAAUCGACUCAGACGGAGACACUACACCGAGACUCUCUUUCUCGUGCAAGUCAUCCGCCCGGUCUCAGCUUAAUCAUUUAACCCCAAAGGUUGAUACCUGGCAGAGGUACAUCUUUUUCGAUGUUGAAUCCAUCACGGCCGUGAUGGAUUCACCAUCAAGUUUUAUAUUUGAAAACAACCCUUCCACUUUGCCAAACAUCUUUUGUAAAACAAAUCUUUUUGUUUUGCUAGAGCAAUACUAAGCAUAAUAAAAUCUUUUGUAAAACAGGGUAUCAAGGAAAGUACUCAAUUCCAAGGAAAGUAAUGCAGGAAUUGGUUUAAGCAAUCAACACCUAUCACCUAGUGCAUCAAGCAAGUGAGAAAGAUUUUAAAAUACAAGGGGGGUGGCAAAUGCACCGGGGCUUUCCUUUGUUUAUGGGUGAGUCAGGCUCAGAUCCACAAAUAUCGAAGUAGAAACAGUUCUCAGCCUGUGUUUCCAAAGGUGGUGGUGCUUGCUCUUCAGUGGCUUCCACUUCUUCUUCGUGUUCUAAUCAUAACCAUAUAUAUGUAUAAGAAUGGAUACCAUGGGAUGCUCAUGAGGGUGCAAAGAUAAUAUAAACUUAUUAUCUAAGUCUUGAAUACAACUUUCCUUCACGGAACUUUGAGAACCUAGGGUUUCCGGAGUAGGUAAAGGAGUUCACAAGGCAGGGGGGUGUUUUGGGGUUUGGUGAUCAAACAAGGUCCAAAUCAAUUCAAACUCUACCCAAGGCUUCUAAAUAAUGUAAGGAACUCAUAUAAAAAUUGUGAGCAUUUUUGGGAUUACCAUUUAUCUUUUAAAAAUCUAGAACUACUAUCUUAAACUGUUUUAAAUGCCUUAAAAUUCCCUGUUUAAACUAAAAAUCAUGAAACUAUUUUUGUUAAAUUCUAGGGAAAAUAAGAAGCCCAGGAAAAUUGGUUUCACAAUUUUACCAUUUUUCUACAUUUUUCUACAUAUUUCUAAAGUUAUUCUGAAAAAGAAAAGGAGAAAGAAUAAAUAGUGUUGGGCUGAAUUUAGCCGAGUCGGCCCAGUCCCAGGCAGAAGCGCGCCCGCGCGCGGCCGCGCUGGUGACUUUGCAGAAAGGCCCUUGCGUUUCAGAACAACCCGAAGCAGGUCCGAAGCACUAUUCACUGAGUCGCUGACGUAUUCCAGAAAACCCCUUGUACUUCUAAGUCUUCGCAGAGGAAAGCCCUCAACGGCGUCGCGCGGAGGAUGAACUCCGGCGAGCACGCAGACCGGCCGAAUUGCUCCAAGACCAGCGCUUAGGCUAAGACUAAACCAAAUCCAUGACCAGGGGAGUAUUUUCCCCAACCUAAUUGCACUAGAGAUCAAAAGGUGUGCUCUGGCCACGGUGGCCGUGGACACCAUGGCAAUACCGUCGUGUUCCUAACGAUUAGCGGGCUCCUAGUUCAAUCCAGUGGCUCGGCAAGCAUCAUAGACUUAAGGGAAAGCUUGAACGAGGAAAAGGAGGAGAUGAAUUGACCGGGAGGAGGCUGGCCGCGGGGAGGUAAAUUCACGGUGGCGGAAAGUCGAUUUGGGGAGAACUGGAAAUUCACGCGUGCUGGUGGAUAAUCGAGGGUGGGAACGGGUGCUAUAGCUCGGCAAUUACAUGGCGCAACUGACCUAGCCCUCAAUUUAUAGGCACAUCAAAGGACGGUGAAGAAUUUGGUCGAGGGAUGUGAGCGGCCGGAGAGCUCGGUGCGGAGGAAAAAGUAACUUUCACCGUGGCAGUGGCUCCGGUGAUCGCCAGACAUGCAACUAAUGAGUCACUGCAAGAGAGUUUCGUGCUGAGACACGUGGUGUGCAACGGCGGUGGCUUAUCAGCGACGAGGUCAUCCAACCGGCGAUGAGCUGGGGGUAAAGUAUGGCGGCCUUAGCCUUAGCUCCAUCCAGUACCGGAUUUUUAUCCGGUCAAGCUUAUCGGUUAAACACGGCGCACGAAUCGCAGUAAAGGAUCAACCACCGGCGACGACUCAUCGGCGACGAGCGAACCAGCUGGCGGUCUGAUCUUCUUCAGUCGUGACACUGUACCAUGGUGAACACUCCAUCAGAGCAGCUGACAGAGCAACUUUAGGUCCUAUUUUCUCCAGAUUUUCUAUGGUACCAAGUCCAACCCUCUGCAGCAAAAGUGGAGUGCUACAAACCAGCUACAACUUUGCUAUGGCAGACCAAGGUAGAUUUUUAUUGGAUCAUGCUCAGAAUUGAGUUUGAAGUCGGUGUCAGCCCACUGUCAGUCUGAUUUUCAGACUUAAGCAGCCUGACAGCCAAAGUUUGAGCAUGAUUAUCUCCAAAUUACUCACAAGAACAUGGCUUGCCCUCUUCAGCAAAAUUGUUCUCCUAUGAUUGGGCUACAAUUUUAAUGUGGUGACCUAGGGCAAAAACCCUAGAAUUUGAAAGAUACAUGGCUCCAAAGUUGAGCCUACUAAACUGAAUUUCAGACUUAGGCUCAAUAGAGCUAAAGGGUGAUUUUUGCAAAUUAGUCUAAAACUUAGGGUUUGGCUUGUAAAUUCACAUAUGAGUGACCCAAAGGACUUAAGAUACUUAUUUAACUUGUUUUUUGCACUUUAGUCCAAAAGUGGACUAAUUUUGCACAUAGGUCCCUAGGGUUUGGUUUUAGGGUUUUCCAGGGUUCCAAUUAGGGUUUCUGGUAUUCCAGGGAUAUAAAUGUGAUUCAACUUUGUUUUUGGGGACAUUUUAUGACUCUUUCCCUAAAGCCUUUAGGUUUUCUCAUCUUGGGUUAAGUUUUGCCCCUUUGAGCCUGAUUUAGGGUUAGGUUCCCUAUCCAGGGUCCUAUUUGCAAAACACCAAAAACAAUACACUGGUUUGAAAUUUUUACCUAGUGAAUGCACUCUAGGUGUAUCAAACAUAUGCAAUGUCAAUGAUUAUGAUGCCAUGCUCAAAUUUUAGUUACAGUAACACCAUGGGUGUUACAUCCUUCCCCCCAUAAAAGAAUCUCGUCCCGAGAUUUAAAGUCCUAGGGUGAGUAAUGAAAAAGGAAAUGCUUCACAUUUGUAUUUCCUUAUUUUUGGUACAAGGCAGGGGUGGUGUGGGGGUCACUUCUUUAUUACAAUAUUAAAUAUGCUUUACAAAUUACAUGAGGCUAGAAAGCCUGGGAAAUUCUUAUCUAAAAAGUCUUGAGUUUCCCACGUAGCCUCUUCCUCAUAAUGUUGGUUCCAUUGUAUCUUAUAGAACUUGAGAGUCUUUCUCCGGGUAACCCUGUCCUUUUGAUCCAGAACUCGAAUAGGAUGUUCCGAGUAUGUUAAAUCUGGUUUCAGGACAACAUCUGUCACUUCAAUGGUUCGAUCGGGAACCCGAAGACACUUCUUCAAUUGCGAUACAUGGAACACAGUAUGUACAGCAGACAAUGUUUCAGGAAGCUGAAGUCGAUAUGCCACUGGCCCAUAUCUUUGAAGUAUAGGAAAGGGACCAAUGUACCUGGGUGCAAGCUUUCCUUUUAUCCCGAAACGCGACACUCCCUUCAUUGGGGAAACCUUUAAGUAGACAUAGUCCCCUUCAAGAAAAUACAAGGGCAUUCGUCGUUUGUCUGCAUAGCUCUUCUACCGAGCUUGGGCUUUCUUCAGAUUAUAAAUAAUUCUCUGAACCUUUUCCUCGGCCUCCUUCACUAUAUCAGGCCUAAAGAAAUACCUGUCUCCAGGUUUAGACCAAUUUAGCGGAGUUCGACACCGUCGCCCAUAUAAAGCUUCAAAAGGUGCCAUCUUGAUACUCUCUUGAUAACUAUUAUUGUAUGAAAACUCUGCCAAAGGCAAACAUUCAUCCCAUUUUGGUGAGAAAUCCAGGACACAUGCUCGCAACAUAUCUUCGAGUACUUGAUUAAUUCUCUCAGUCUGUCCACUGGUUUGUGGAUGAUAUGCCGAACUAUGGAGCAACUUAGUACCCAAGGAUUUGUGAAGUGAUUCCCAAAACUUGGCUACAAAUUGGGGUCCACGAUCCGACACAAUGGUCUUCAGAACACCAUGCAGACUAAGAAUACGAGCAAUGUACAAUUGGGCGUAGACAGUAACUGGGGAAUCUGUCUUGACCGGCAGAAAGUGAGCAAUCUUUGUAAGCCGAUCAAUUAUAACCCAGAUAGAAUCAUGCCCUUUUGCAGUCCUAGGCAAUCCCACGAUAAAGUCCAUACUUAUAUGUUCCCAUUUCCAUGUUGGGAUCGGCAAAGAUUGUAAUGGACCAACAGGUUUCAUGUGUAUGGCUUUGACACGUCUGCAAGUGUCACACUUAGCCACAUAGCGUGCAAUUUCAAUUUUCAUCUUCGUCCACCAGUAAUGCUGCUUUAGAUCGUGAUACAUCUUAGUGCUUCCCGGAUGAAUAGAAUAGCGACUAAGAUGCGCUUCAUCUAAAAUUUGCUGGCGGAGUUCUUCGUUCUUUGGCACUACUAUGCGGUUAUUGAACCAUAACACACCUUGAUCGUCUUCCUUGAAACAUUUGGCUGUUCCAGCCCUUAUUUUCUCCCGUAUGUGCUUCAUACCCACAUUAUCCUUUUGAGCAUCAACUAUUCUUUGCAAGAUGAUAGACUCAAGCUUUAGCUGAUUCAGAGUCCCUUGUUGAACCAUCCCCAGGUUUAGCUUUUCCAUCUCUUGACAUAAAGUAUUGUCAGAGGUCUUCGCCAUAAGACAGUGGCAGGAAACCUUACGGCUCAGUGCAUCUGCCACAACAUUGGCUUUGCCUGGGUGAUAGUGAAUUUCCAGUUCAUAGUCCUUAAUAAGCUCAAGCCAUCGUCUUUGCCUCAUAUUUAAUUCUGACUGGGUGAAGAUAUACUUCAAGCUUUUGUGAUCUGUAUAAAUAUGACAGAUAUUUCCCAGCAGAUAGUGACGCCAAAUUUUCAGGGCAUGAACCACAGCAGCUAGCUCCAGAUCAUGAGUUGGGUAAUGCUCCUCAUGGUGGCGCAACUGCCUUGAAGCAUAUGCAAUUACUCGACCCUCUUGCAUUAAUACACAGCCGAGUCCACUGCCUGAUGCAUCACAGUAUACAUCAAAAGGCUUAGUGAUGUCCGGUUGAGCCAAUACCGGAGCAGUGGUUAAUAAUGUCUUCAAUUGCUCAAAGGCUUCAUUACACUUAGAAGACCAAUUGAAUUUAGUGUCAUUCUUCAAUAAACUUGUGAUUGGCUUCACAAGCUUGGAAAAAUCUGGUAUGAAUCUGCGAUAAUAUCCAGCUAGUCCAAGAAAACUCCGGACUUGGUGAACAGUGGUUGGGGGUUUCCACUCCAGAAUAUCCUUGACUUUGCUAGGAUCUACCGCAAUUCCCUUGGCAGAUAACACGUGCCCCAAAAAUUGAAUUUCCUCCAGCCAGAACGCGCACUUGCUGAACUUGGCAUACAACUGAUGUUCCCUCAGGCGCGUCAAAACAAUCCGUAGAUGUUGAGCAUGCUCCUCUUCAUUUUUGGAAUAUAUUAAGAUAUCGUCGAUGAAGACCACCACGAACUUGUCCAACUCGGGCAUGAACACCGAGUUCAUCAAAUAAGUGAAGUGGGCAGGAGCAUUUGUUAGCCCAAAGGACAUUACCAAAUAUUCAAAUAAACCAUACCGCGUAGUAAACGCGGUCUUCGGUAUAUCCUCGGGCCGAAUACGGAUUUGGUGAUAGCCCGACCUGAGAUCAAUUUUGGAAAAUACCCUCGCCCCAGUCAGUUGAUCAAAUAAGAUGUCGAUCCUUGGAAGAGGGUACUUGUUCUUGAUGGUGACCUCAUUCAGGGGUCGAUAAUCCACGCACAUUCGCAAGGUUUGGUCCUUCUUCUUAACAAAAAUGGUGGGACAACCCCAUGGAGACGAGCUUGGCCGGAUGAAUCCCUUAUUCAGUAGAUCUUGUAAUUGAAUCUUCAAUUCUGCCAACUCAUUAGGAGGCAUACGGUACGAUCUUCAGGAAAUGGGAGCCGUACCGGGCUUUAGCUCAAUUACAAAUUCUACAUCUCUUUUAGGGGGCAGUCCAGGCAAAUCUUCCGAAAAUACAUCUGGAAACUCACAUACUACCGGAAUAUCCUUGAUCUCCGGUACAAUGGCUUCAUAUAUUCUACCAGAAGCUUUGGCUGGAUUGGUUACGGGGAGAGACAAAAGAAUCUCUUCUUGAUUAUAGCUCAACCUGACGGUUCUGAGUUCAGUGUUGAGAAUUGCCUUGUGUUGGGUUAACCAAUUCAUACCCAAAAUUACAUCUAUAUCCUGGCCUUUUAGAACAAUCAUGUUAGCAGGAAAGUUCCGUCCGGCCAUUGUUACUGGCACUUCAUAGGCCACUUCUCUAGUAAAAAUGUGUCCCCCAGGUGAAUGAAUUUUAAAUCCUUCUUUUGAUUCAUGGCAUGAAAUGUGAUGUUGCUCCACAAAUGUCUUGCUAAUAAAUGUAUGCGAAGCACCAGAAUCAAAAAGAAUAAUUGCAGGGUGACUGGCCACGGGAAACGUACCCAUCAUCACCGGUUCUCCUUCCGGUGUAGUGGCCACUUGAGUAUAGUAUACCCGCUCCGUCUUCUUUGCAUUCUUCCCCACAUUAUUUCCCUUGAGCUGAGCUGAUUUCCCAGAUCCUUGCGGAGCAUUUGAUUGAUUCUGCUUGGGAUAUGGGCAGUCUUUGAUGAAAUGUCCCGACUUGCCACAAUUAAAACACCCGGUUGAGGAGCUGGGCAAAGCAGGGAAUCGAGUGCCCGGGGCACCCGGCUGAUUUGGGGUAGUGGGGGCAUUGUUGGGGCGAAUAAUGAUUGGCUGCUUGAAGGGAAAUGAGGGCGGUCAAGAAAAAGAGCGAUUUUGGCUAGAAGGCCGGAUCACAAACCGUUGCCUCUUUGCCUGGCCCUGAUUAGGCUUCUCACCACCAAAUCCCGUAUUCUUCCCGGAACCUGCAUAUUUUGAUUCAACAGAUAAGGCUGUGCUAACAGCCUUUCCAUACAUGAGAUCUAUGCAGGCAGCCAUUUUUCUCUGCAAUCGAUCAUUUAGCCCUCUCAUAAAGCAGUUCUUUUUCUUUAAAUCAGUAUUCACUUGAUCGAUGGCAUACUGCGACAGGUGAUUAAACUUGUUGAGAUACUGAUUGACGGUAUCUCCUCCUUGUUUCAGCUUCAUGAACUCUUCUUGCUUCAUAUGCAGAACACCUUCGGGUAUGUAGUGCUCGCGGAAAGCCACUUUAAAUUCUUCCCAUGUGACUUGAUGGUUGGCAGGUUGAAUAGCCACAAAAUUUCCCCACCAGGUACUGGCAGGGCCGCGUAGUUGUUGCGCUGCGAACAACGGCUUCUGUGUCUCUGAACAGCGGAGAAGACCAAAUUUUUGUUCAAUAACCUGUAUCCACUCAUCAGCUUCCAACGGGUCCUCAGCCUUAACAAAUAGUGGUGGACGGGUUUCAGAGAAAUCCAGAUAUUGUAGGAUUACGGGGAGGCUACGCUAGCGCAAAACAAAAAUUUUCAUCCCCAUAAUACCAAGAACUACUGCGGUUAUAGGUCAUGGAAUUACCACUAGACGCGCAGAGCAGCGGAAGACGUCUCGAUGUAGACGAACGCGUCGAGCAGUGCCGUGCAGUCGCCGGCGUCCUUCACGUCCUCGCACGGUCCGUCCAAGUGCUCCAGAUGCAGCACCUCCGAGGUAUCCACACGUACAGGGAGGAAGCGUCGCGUACCGAACUGCUAGGUUCGCGACGGCGGCUUGGCGAGGGCGAGAGGUGGGCGGCGGCUGUUAGUUCGCUGGUGGCGAAUUAGGUUAUCCUUAACCGCGCCCCCGCCCCUCAUUAUAUAGGCGUUAUGGUGGGCUUCUGACGCCGAGGCCCAUCAUUAACCCUAAAGCCCAGUCUAAUUUCGGAUCUAAUCCGAAUUAGGCUUCCUUCCCCUUAAGUGUGUGACCCUAUAGGUUCACGUACAAAUAGACAUAGGCCGAGUACUCUUACUUGGCCCAAUAAUUGACAGCGACCUCUAGCAAGACAUGUCAACUCCUAUGUGUACGUAAAGAUCAUAUCGGACGAACCAUUGCGACAUUACGUACAUGCUGUUCCCUUUGUCUCACGAUAUUUGGUCUGGCUCUAAGCUGACCUCUCUUUCUCGAUACUGUGAAUUGGAAUCCUUUCAAUGGUUAACUCUUAACCCUAGCACGGCCAUGCAUUUCUUGAUCCAAUCACUCGAGGGGCCCAGAGAUAUCUCUCUCACAAAGAGAGGGACAAAUUCCAUCUUGACUGACCAUGCCUCAUAGCAUGCUUCCUGACAAACCCAAAACUACCUUUAUAACUACCCAGUUACGGGAUAGCGUUUGAUAGUCCCUAAGUAAGUCAAUUCACAUCUUGAGAACAUGCGACAAUCUCAGGUCUAAGGAUACAGUAUUCAUGUUGCAAGAAGAGAACUAUAUUACAAUAUCUCACGUUGGGUCGGUCCAGCCUCAUGUCAUACAUGCGCCCACAUUAUUAGUUUAACAUCUCCAUGUUCAUGACUUGUGAAAUGUAGUCAUCAACUAAUACAUGUGCUAGUCAUCGACUCUGACUAGGGACAUCAUUUAGAAUAACCAUAUAAGUAAAGAAUCUCACAAACAAUUCACAUAAUUGCUAAUCAAUACAAGGUGCCUUCCAUGGAUAUUCAAUUAAGCAAUAUAUAUAUCAUGGAUACAAAGAAAUAUGCUCAUCUCUAUGAUUAUCUCUAGGGCAUAUUUCUAACAGUCUCCCACUUGCACUAGAGUUAAUCUAGAAGAUAUCUAAUACCCAUAGAUCUCACGUGUGCCUCAUGCUUAGGUUGUGGAAGAGGUUUUGUCAAAGGAUCAGCAACAUUCAAAUCCGUAUGUAUUUUGCAUAUCUUUAUCUCACCCCGCCUAAUGAAUUCCCGUAUGAGGUGAAACUUCCGCAGUACGUGUUUGUUUUUCUGGUGGUUCCUUGGCUCCUUAGCUUGCGCAAUAGCCCCAUUGUUGUCACAGUAGAGGUUCAAUGGGCUAGAUGCAUUAGGAAACACACCAAGCUCGAUGAGGAACUUCCUUAUCCAAACACCUUCCUUCGCAGAUUCAGAAGCUGCAAUGUACUCGGCUUCUGUUGUAGAAUCAGUCACAGUCUCCUGUUUGGAACUCUUCCAACUAACAGCACCACCAUUUAUUGUGAACACAAAACCUGAUUGCGAUUUUAACUCGUCUGGGUCAGUUUGGAAGCUAGCAUCGGUGUAACCAGUUACAACGAGCUCCUCCUUACCCCCAUAUACCAGGAACAUAUCUUUAGUCCUUCUUAAGUACUUAAGAAUGCCUUUUACCGCUGUCCAGUGAUCCUCACCUGGAUCAGCCUGGUAUCUACUCGUAGCACUUAUAGCGUAUGAAACAUCUGGGCGUGUACUUAUCAUGGCAUACAUGAUUGAUCCAAUCGCUGAGGCGUAUGGUACCUUACUCAUGCGCUCCCGCUCAUUAGCCGUCGCAGGACAUUGCAUCUGGCUAAGGUGUUUACCAUGUGACAUAGGUAUGAAACCUUUCUUGGACUGUUCCAUGUUGAACCGUUUCAAAACCUUGUCAAUGUACGUAUCUUGACUUAAUCCUAUAAGCCUCUUCGACCUAUCUCUAUAGAUCCUUAUGCCCAAAAUAUAUGCUGCUUCCCCUAAGUCCUUCAUAGAAAAACUCUUUUUCAGUGAAGCCUUGACGGACUCCAGCAUAGGAAUGUCAUUCCCAAUCAAUAAUAUGUCAUCCACAUACAAGAUCAGAAAUACAACAGCGCUCCCACUUUCCUUCUUGUAAACACAAGCUUCUUCUUCAUUCUGAUGAAAACCAAGCCCUUUGAUCACUUCAUCAAAACGAAUGUUCCAACUCCGAGAUGCUUGCUUCAACCCAUAAAUGGAUUUCUGAAGUUUGCAUAUCUUUCCAGCAUUGAUCGGAUCGACAAAACCCUCGGGCUGUAUCAUAUACACGUCCUCAUCUAGGUUUCCAUUAAGGAAAGCUGUUUUGACAUCCAUCUGCCAAAUCUCAUAAUCGAAAUAUGCGGCAAUAGCUAGAAUGAUCCGAAUAGAUUUAAGCAUCGCUACCGGCGAGAAUGUCUCGUCAUAGUCAACUCCUUGAACUUGUCGAAAACCCUUUGCAACAAGUCGAGCCUUAUAGAUUUGAACAUUUCCAUCCAUGUCUUUCUUCUUCUUAUAGAUCCAUUUGCAUUCUAUAGGUCUAACACCAUCAGGCGGGUCAACCAAGUUCCAAACUUGAUUUUCUCCCAUGGAAUCUAUCUCGGAUCUCAUGGCGACAUGCCAUUUCUCGGAAUCUGGGUCCAUCAUCGCUUCUGAAUAUGUUGCAGGUUCGUCGUUGUCUAACAACAACACUUCCCCAUUGCCCAACAAUAGCACUUCUCCUCGUGCCUCGCGAAGCCUUGCUGACCUUCGUGGUUGUGGUGGUGAUUCUCUUGCCAUAGACGUCUCAACUUGUUCUGCUACAUUAGCAUCACUUGUUGAAUCUUGUCCCACUGGCUCAUCCUGAACUUCUUCAAGAUACACCUUUUGUUUACUUUUCUCUCUUUUGAGAAACUCUUUCUCUAAGAACACACCGUUCCGGGCGACAAACACUUUGCCCUCUGACCGGUGGUAAAAGUAAUAUCCUAAAGUUUCCUUUGGAUAUCCCACGAACAUGCACUUGUCCGAUUUUGGAGUGAGUUUAUCCGACUGUAGUCGCUUGACGUAAACCUCACAACCCCAAAUCUUCAGAAAAGACAAGCUGGGAGUCUUCCCAGUCCACAUCUCAUAUGGUGUCUUAACUACGGACUUAGACGGUACCCUAUUUAGUGUGAAAGCUGCUGUUUCUAGAGCGUAUCCCCAAAACGACAAAGGUAGGUCCGACUGGCUCAUCAUUGAUCGAACCAUAUCCAAUAAAGUCCGAUUACGUCGCUCAGACACGCCAUUCCUCUGAGGCGUUCCAGGCGGCGUAAGCUGUGGAACAAUUCCACAACUCUUUAGAUGAUUGCUAAACUCAUGACUCAAAUAUUCACCACCACGAUCUGAUCGCAGUGCUUUAAUUUUCUUGCCACGCUGAUUUUCUACUUCAUUCUGAAACUCUUUGAACUUUUCUAAGGAUUCAGACUUGUGUUUCAUUAAGUAGACAUACCCAUAUCUACUAAAAUCAUCAGUGAAGGUUAUGAAGUAUUGGAAUCCUCCCCUAGCUGUCGUACUCAUUGGUCCGCACACAUCAGUAUGUAUGAGUUCCAAUAAAUCUAAUGUCCUCUCCGGUAAACCCGUGAAAGGCGCUUUGGUCAUCUUACCAAGUAAGCAAGCUUCACAUGUCUCGUAUGAUUCAAAAUCAAACGAAGUUAAAAGCCCAUCAGAAUGAAGCUUCUUCAUGCGAUUCUCACUUAUAUGACCCAAACGACAGUGCCACAUGUAGGUAGGACUUAAAUCAUUAGGCCGAGGCCUUUUAGCACUAAUAUUACAGAUAGGUGCAUCAUCAAGAUUUAAAAUGAAUAACCCAUUCAUAAUGGAUGCAAAAGCCACAAACAUGCCAUUCUUAGAGAUCACACAACCAUUGUUUUCACUCGCAAAUGAAUAACCAUCCUUCAUCAAACAUGAAGGAGACAUAAUGUUUCGACUCAUACUAGGAACUAGAUAACAAUUAUUUAACUCCAAAAUAAAUCCUGAUGGGAGGUGGAGUUGCAUCGUCCCGACGGUCAACGCAGCAACUCUUGCAUUAUUGCCUACCCGGAAAUCAACUUCUCCUCUUUUCACGCUUCUACUUCUUAUCAUUCCCUGCAUCGAAUUGCAAAUAUGGGCAACCGAUCCGGUAUCAAAUACCCAAGAAUUAAUAUAAGAAUCAGCAAGAAAAAUUUCUGUAAUGUGAAUAGCAAGUGUACCUGCUGCGGCUGUACCCUUACCGCCGCGAUCCUUAAUAGAGGCCAAGUACUGCUUGCAAUUCCUUUUCCAGUGACCAAGUUCUUUGCAAUAAAAGCACUCUGCAUCUGCAGCUGGUCCAGCCUUGGGCUUUUGAUUUGGCUUGGAUACUGUAUCCUUUGCCUUGCCCUUCUUCUUUUGAGAUUUACCCUUCUUCUUAAAGUUGGGUUUGUUUUGGACCGCCAUCACAUGGCCGCUGCUGCCAGCGCUUUUCUUUAUGUCCCCUUCUGCAGUUUUCAGCAUGCCACAUAGUUCAUUGAGGCCCCUCUCCGCCCCAUGCAUAUGGUAGUUCGUGAUGAAGUUUCCAUAGCUGGGCGGAAGAGAUGCUAAAAUGAAGUCAGUGGCCAACUCUUGGCUUAUUGGGAAGCCUAGCUUCUCCAACCUCUGACUGUAACCAACCAUUUUGAUUACAUGUGGUCCAACUGCUGCGCCUUCUGCUAGCUUGCAUUCCAGAAAGGCUUUGGACACAUUGAACCUUUCAGUCCUAGCCUGAGUCUGGAACAUAUCCUUGAGCGCCACGAUCAUAUCGUACACCUCAUGGUUUGUCUCAAACUGCAUCUGCAGCUCAGGCUCCAUGCAAGCAAGCAUUAGGCAACUCACUUCAAGAUUAGUAUCCAUUGCUUUCUUGUAAGCGGUUUUAGCUGCAGCAGUUGCAUUUUCACCAGGAUCCUCUGGCAGUGGGGUGUCUAGAACGUCUUCCUUUUUUUCAGCCCUGAGAACAAUUCUCAGGUUACGGAUCCAAUCCGUAUAGUUUGUUCCAUUUAACUUAUCCUUUUCAAGAAUUGAUCGCAAAGUAAAUGUUGGUGUGCUAGGUGCCAUCUACAACAAAAUAAUGCAAAAUACUAAGACAAAAAUAUCCAUGACAGAGUAAAUCAUAUUAAACAUUUAAUAGUCUACUCCCACUAAAAUCAAUAUCCCUCGAUUGAUACUUAGUGAUUCAGAACCCACAACUAACAAGUCUACUAGUGAGCUUUAGCAUCACCGCUAGAAGACAAGGUAGAUCGGUAAGCAACUCCUUGCUAAUCAUAUCAUAUAUAUGACUCCUGUUGUUGGGUGACAUCUCUAUGUCUCGGCUCCCAACCUUAUGCCUCAAAGUCCUUAACCAUUAAGCUGACUUUGUUUAAGUUAACCAACCCUUUCUGCAGUUCGUAUCCGAUACAAACCUAUCUAGUCAAGGAAAACUGGUGGCACCCUAAUUUCAUAGACCCACCACCAAUUGUACAAGACUUAUGAUAGUGCAAGGUUUGGAGAGGCAUUAAAGCUUAAACAUUUAUGAGGGAUCGUCCUACUUAUAACAUCGCACGCAAGGAAUUAUAUGCAAUAUAAACAAGUAGAACAAUAAGAAUGGCAUUCACACAACAGUUGUGAUUCGGUAUGGCUUGUUUUCACAUGGUGAUCUCCAUCUCCAAUAAUCUGUCCAUCACGAUGAUCUCCAUCUCCAUGAUAUAGGUAUGCCAUCCUCCAGGUGAUGAGUCCUUCAAGACCUAUCUAACGUAUGCUGGUAAACAAAUUACAUAUACGCUUUGGAUCAUCACAUGUUGACACGCAGGUCAUUACAUUAAAUUUGGACAAUACAUGUGGCUCCAGCCGUAUUGCCCUGGUCACGACACGCAGGUCAUGAAUAAUUUGUUAACAUGCAUCACAUACACAUAAUAGCCAUACCGAUCACAUGUCCUGCAAAAACAGGUUAGACAAACAUGUUUCUAUACGUUCGCCACUACAGCAGAUAGUCAGCGGGCGGGGGGUCGAGGGGGGAGCCGCCCCCCGCGGGUCUCAGGGCAGCGCCCUGAAAACCUCACAGGAUUCCAUGCAUCAUAUGUAUGGAAAUUCCACUGGAAAUCUCAUGCGGUUGAUCAAAUCAACCCAAAUCCGAGACUUUCGACCCGAAGAAGAUUACACUCAUGACGUUGAUCUGUUACGUCAAUCUACUAGUUGUGUACGCAGUUAGCCCCGAUGGUGAUUCCAGCCGGUAGGGGCAAGUCGCGCACAUAACAGAGAAGGACGAACUGAUCUCUCCAGUCAUAUCCGAUGUAAUCGACUUCAACCCUUUAUAACCAAUUGAUCUAAUCAAACCGUGCAUCAAGUAGAUCCAUCUAAUGAACCUAGAUCCAGACCUAAAACUACGCAGAACCUGGCUCUGAUACCACUGUAGGAUUACGGGGAGGCUACGCUAGCGCAAAACAAAAAUUUUCAUCCCCAUAAUACCAAGAACUACUGCGGUUAUAGGUCAUGGAAUUACCACUAGACGCGCAGAGCAGCGGAAGACGUCUCGAUGUAGACGAACGCGUCGAGCAGUGCCGUGCAGUCGCCGGCGUCCUUCACGUCCUCGCACGGUCCGUCCAAGUGCUCCAGAUGCAGCACCUCCGAGGUAUCCACACGUACAGGGAGGAAGCGUCGCGUACCGAACUGCUAGGUUCGCGACGGCGGCUUGGUGAGGGCGAGAGGUGGGCGGCGGCUGUUAGUUCGCUGGUGGCGAAUUAGGUUAUCCUUAACCGCGCCCCCGCCCCUCAUUAUAUAGGCGUUAUGGUGGGCUUCUGAUGCCGAGGCCCAUCAUUAACCCUAAAGCCCAGUCUAAUUUCGGAUCUAAUCCGAAUUAGGCUUCCUUCCCCUUAAGUGUGUGACCCUAUAGGUUCACGUACAAAUAGACAUAGGCCGAGUACUCUUACUUGGCCCAAUAAUUGACAGCGGCCUCUAGCAAGACAUGUCAACUCCUAUGUGUACGUAAAGAUCAUAUCGGACGAACCAUUGCGACAUUACGUACAUGCUGUUCCCUUUGUCUCACGAUAUUUGGUCUGGCUCUAAGCUGACCUCUCUUUCUCGAUACUGUGAAUUGGAAUCCUUUCAAUGGUUAACUCUUAACCCUAGCACGGCCAUGCAUUUCUUGAUCCAAUCACUCGAGGGGCCCAGAGAUAUCUCUCUCACAAAGAGAGGGACAAAUUCCAUCUUGACUGACCAUGCCUCAUAGCAUGCUUCCUGACAAACCCAAAACUACCUUUAUAACUACCCAGUUACGGGAUAGCGUUUGAUAGUCCCUAAGUAAGUCAAUUCACAUCUUGAGAACAUGCGACAAUCUCAGGUCUAAGGAUACAGUAUUCAUGUUGCAAGAAGAGAACUAUAUUACAAUAUCUCACGUUGGGUCGGUCCAGCCUCAUGUCAUACAUGCGCCCACAUUAUUAGUUUAACAUCUCCAUGUUCAUGACUUGUGAAAUGUAGUCAUCAACUAAUACAUGUGCUAGUCAUCGACUCUGACUAGGGACAUCAUUUAGAAUAACCAUAUAAGUAAAGAAUCUCACAAACAAUUCACAUAAUUGCUAAUCAAUACAAGGUGCCUUCCAUGGAUAUUCAAUUAAGCAAUAUAUAUAUCAUGGAUACAAAGAAAUAUGCUCAUCUCUAUGAUUAUCUCUAGGGCAUAUUUCUAACAGAUAUGUGGUCUCACGGGGGCCUUGCUGAUAACCCCUUCCACCCUGCUGCUGGAAUUGUUGGCCCGCCAUUUCCCUAAGAAAGCGGGUAUUGUCUGCAGUGGCGUUCACCAAGGCGGCAAUCGCCUCGGCCAAUGUGGGAGGAACCGGAGGUGGAUUUGGGGUAACAUCCCUUCCCCCAGAAGUUCCUGCUGCAUCCUGUCCUCGGGUCCUGGUAGGCAUCUGAGGCAAGGAACAUUUGAAGUAAACAUAAUAUGCCAGAGAAACCUUCCAUUUUACAUUACUAUAAAAAGUAAUGAUACAGACUCGAUGUUAUACAACAGGAUACAUUACCCAUUAUACAAGAGUUCAACCUAUUAUACAACAUACUACUUCUACUUCUAUAACUACACUACUCCUGCUUCUGAUUGCUCUUGGCAGCUUCAUCGUCAGGUGUGGGAGACCAUACAUCGACCAACCUCAAAGAAGGAGGGGGCCUAAAAAGGUCUAACUCGCCACCAAGCGCUUCUCCCGCAUUACGCGAGGGUCCGGCUUCUAACCUGACGGGAUCCGCAGGGACAUGUGGGUGUAAUUGCGAAUACAGUACAUGAACCUCCUCAUGUAAAGUAUUGCAAUAUACCUGCAAGUUGUCAAUAGCAGCGCUAAGUUCGUUGACUCGUGCUCGAGCCUUUGCUUCCUUAGCCCAAGCUACUGAACGAGACUGUACUGCCCAAUCAAGUGCCAAAUCUCGAUCAGCUAGUUGAUCUUGCAGGGUACGGAUGUAACUUCUUAACUCAUUUAUUCGGUCACCAUCCGCAACCCAUAAAUUAGUCCUGCGUUGCAACUCUGCUUGAAGUUGAUUCACGCGAGCUUCGAGAUCACCAAUAGGAUCGUUGCUCCCGCUACUGCUAUCUUGCUCCCGUGGGGCAAGUUGGUGUCGAGGUACACCGAUAGGUCCAGUAUGUUUUCGCGCCGUUUUCCUUGUACGCGGCGGCAUUUGCUAAGGGGGAAAAUUUAUUAGUACAAUUCUUAGCAUGAUGCAUGAAUAAUUACAGAAUCAACCUUAGUUGAUUCAACCUUCUAUACAUUGCACUCUUCCUAUUUGGUCUUUAAAAUAAACUCUUCAGAGAUGCUUAGGCAAGAAGAGAAGAAUUUUUCUAGAUAAGUCUUAGAAAAUCCUUUUGAAGAUGCUACAUAGUAUCUACCAAGAAGGGCUACGCUCCGAUACCAGCUGUCAUGGAACCUCCCAAGUUAUUAGGCCCACCUACAGUUGUCCUUGUCCAACAGACAUCAGACAACCCUGUAGAUGUUCCUUAAUUACUUGACAAGUUCGGUAUCUUUAUCCUUACCUUUCCAGGAACGUUUCACCCGUCUGACAGACAAUAUGUUCAUCGGAGAUGCGGAAAUGCGGAAGUGAUUACAUAAACUUACCUUUAUUUAAAAAGUAAGAGUAAGUUAUUUAGUACAGACCAGAGAGUGCUGAAACGUAUUAUUACAAUACCUGGGAGGCAAAAACUCCUCCCAUAAAGUUCUUUACAUAAAAGUUUUUAAGGAGGACCCGGUCCUCCGGCAGCUUCACUCUUGAUUAUCUUCACUUUUCACCACCUUGGUACAAAAACAACAAAAGUUUGUUGUCUCCUCACCUAAAAACAACGGGGGAAUAAACCCUGAGUAUGGAAUUACUCAGCAAGUCUUACCCGACUAAGGAAAAGACUCUCAAGGGGAUGCUGGAUAUAUGGGAGUCAAGGUAAGGCUUUUCAAUAUUCAAAGACUCUGUUUGCAGAAUUGCUUACUAAAGUGGAUCCUUAAAAUCCAAUUUUAUUGUCAGGUUAAGUAAAAUUACCUGCAGCUAGAGUUCUUCUACCCUAGUUCAAUCACUUGACCUGCACUAGCCAAUUUCUUAUCAACCCUUCAUCUUCACUGGAUUGCUACAUGUAAGUCAGUGGCCAAGUCUCCAUUACCACGGAGGUACGGCGAUACGAAUCGAUUAUACUCAGCUGAGGAUCUUCGAUCACACGACAUAUGUAGCACUUAACCCUUGCAUAUGUCAACCCGCCACCGAGUUUCUAAAGACCAGAUCAGGUUCACGCAAACCAAGAGCACAGAUACACCACCGUCCAGCCUCUUGCCACGGAGGGUACACGCUACUCUCACCACCGCUCCACGCCCAUUUCGUGUUAUCUUAUUCUGGCCUUAGUCCACCCGAGGCAAAGCUUACCCAUGACGAGGCAUGUGACCAGUUAAAGGGUCCUCGAUCAGCAGGCUUAUAUCGAGACAGCCCUUAAUCGACUCAGACGGAGACACUACACCGAGACUCUCUUUCUCGUGCAAGUCACCCGCCCGGUCUCAGCUUAAUCAUUUAACCCCAAAGGUUGGUACCUGGCAGAGGUACAUCUUUUCCAAUGUUGAAUCCAUCACGGCCGUGAUGGAUUAACCAUCAAGUUUUAUAUUUGAAAACAACCCUUCCACUUUGCCAAAAAUCUUUUGUAAAACAAAUCUUUUUGUUUUGCUAGAGCAAUACUAAGCAUAAUAAAACCUUUUGUAAAACAGGGUAUCAAGGAAAGUACUCAAUUCCAAGGAAAGUAAUGCAGGAAUUGGUUUAAGCAAUCAACACCUAUCACCUAGUGCAUCAAGCAAGUGAGAAAGAUUUUAAAAUACAAGGGGGUGGCAAAUGCACCGGGGCUUGCCUUUGUUUAUGGGUGAGUCAGGCUCAGAUCCACAAAUAUCAAAGUAGAAACAGUUCUCAGCCUGUGUUUCCAAAGGUGGUGGUGCUUGCUCUUCAGUGGCUUCCACUUCUUCUUCGUGUUCUAAUCAUAACCAUAUAUAUGUAUAAGAUUGGAUGCCAUGGGAUGCUCAUGAGGGUGCAAAGAUAAUAUAAACUUAUUAUCUAAGUCUUGAAUACAACUUUCCUUCACGGAACUCCGAGAACUUAGGGUUUCCGGAGUAGGUAAAGGAGUUCACAGGGCAGGGGGGUGUUUUGGGGUUUGGUGAUCAAACAAGGUCCAAAUCAAUUCAAACUCUACCCAAGGCUUCUAAAUAAUGUAAGGAACUCAUAUAAAAAUUGUGAGCAUUUUUGGGAUUACCAUUUAUCUUUUAAAAAUCCAGAACUACUAUCUUAAACUAUUUUAAAUGCCUUAAAAUUCUCUGUUUAAACUAAAAAUCAUGAAACUAUUUUUAUUAAAUUCUAGGGAAAAUAAGAAGCCCAGGAAAAUUUGUUUCACAAUUUUACCAUUUUUCUACAUUUUUCUACAUAUUUCUAAAGUUAUUCUGAAAAAGAAAAGGAGAAAGAAUAAAUAGUGUUGGGCUGAAUUUAGCCCAGUCGGCCCAGUCCCAGGCAGAAGCGCGCCCGCGCGCGGCCGCGCUGGUGACUUUGCAGAAAGGCCCUUGCGUUUCAGAACAACCUGAAGCAGGUCCGAAGCACUAUUCACUGAGUCGCUGACGUAUUCCAGAAAACCCCUUGUACUUCUAAGUCUUCGCAGAGGAAAGCCCUCAACGGCGUCGCGCGGAGGAUGAACUCCGGCGAGCACGCAGACCGGUCGAAUUGCUCCAAGACCGGCGCUUAGGCUAAGACUAAACCAAAUCCAUGACCAGGGGAGUAUUUUCCCCAACCUAAUUGCACUAGAGAUCAAAAGGUGUGCUCUGGCCACGGUGGCCGUGGACACCAUGGCAAUACCGUCGUGUUCCUAACGAUUAGCGGGCUCCUAGUUCAAUCCAGUGGCUCGGCAAGCAUCGUAGACUUAAGGGAAAGCUUGAACGAGGAAGAGGAGGAGAUGAACUGACCGGGAGGAGGCUGGCCACGGGGAGGUGAAUUCACGGUGGCGGAAAGUCGAUUUGGGGAGAACUGGAAAUUCACGCGUGCUGGUGGAUAAUCGAGGGUGGGAACGGGUGCUAUAGCUCGGCAAUUACAUGGCGCAACUGACCUAGCCCUCAAUUUAUAGGCACAUCGAAGGACGGUGAAGAAUUUGGUCGAGGGAUGUGGGCGGCCGGAGAGCUCGGUGCGGAGGAAAAAGUAACUUUCACCGUGGCAGUGGCUCCGGUGAUCGCCGGACAUGCAACUAAUGAGUCACUGCAAGAGAGUUUCAUGCUGAGACACGUGGUGUGCAACGGCGGUGGCUUAUCGGUGACGAGGUCAUCCAACCGGCGAUGAGCUGGGGGUAAAGUACGGCGGCCUUAGCCUUAGCUCCAUCCAGUACCGGAUUUUUAUCCGGUCAAGCUUAUCUGUUAAACACGGCGCACGAAUCGCAGCAAAGGAUCGACCACCGGCGACGACUCAUCGGCGACGAGCGAACCAGCUGGCGGUCUGAUCUUCUUCAGUCGUGACACUAUACCAUGGUGAACACUCCAUCAGAGCAGCUGACAGAGCAACUUUAGGUCCUAUUUUCUCCAGAUUUUCUAUGGUACCAAGUCCAACCCUCUGCAGCAAAAGUGGAGUGCUACAAACCAGCUACAACUUUGCUAUGGCAGCCCAAGGUAGAUUUUCAUUGGAUCAUGCUCAGAAUUGAGUUUGAAGUCGGUGUCAGCCCACUGUCAGUCUGAUUUUCAGACUUAAGCAGCCUGACAGGCAAAGUUUGAGCAUGAUUAUCUCCAAAUUACUCACAAGAACAUGGCUUGCCCUCUUCAGCAAAAUUGUUCUCCUAUGAUUGGGCUACAAUUUUGAUGUGGUGACCUAGGGCAAAAACCCUAGAAUUUGAUAGAUAUAGGGCUCCAAAGUUGAGCCUACUAAACUGAAUUUCAGACUUAGGCUCAAUAGAGCUAAAGGGUGAUUUUUGCAAAUUAGUCUAAAACUUAGGGUUUGGCUUGUAAAUUCACAUAUGAGUGACCCAAAGGACUUAAGAUACUUAUUUAACUUGUUUUUUUGCACUUUAGUCCAAAAGUGGACUAAUUUUGCACAUAGGUCCCUAGGGUUUGGUUUUAGGGUUUUCCAGGGUUCCAAUUAGGGUUUCUAGUAUUCUAGGGGUAUAAAUGUGAUUCAACUUUAUUUUUGGGGACAUUUUAUGACUCUUUCCCUAAAGCCUUUAGGUUUUCUCAUCUUGGGUUAAGUUUUGCCCCUUUGAGCCUGAUUUAGGGUUAGGUUCCCUAUCCAGGGUCCUAUUUGCAAAACACCAAAAACAAUACACUGGUUUGAAAUUUUUACCUAGUGAAUGCACUCUAGGUGUAUCAAACAUAUGCAAUGUCAAUGCUUAUGAUGCCAUGCUCAAAUUUUAGUUACAGUAACACCAAGGGUGUUACAAUGUACUUGUAAGUAACACUUAGGGAAAUGAUAAUCUAUGUCCAAAUGAAAGUAGUUUAUGUUAUAGUUCAUGUUAUGCUUUGAUCUCAGUAAUUCCUAAUUGUGUUUUAAGAUGCAUUUCUAUGUUUGUACAUGUUUGGUGUGUUGUUCUUUUGUACUUUCCAAAUGUAUUGAAUGCAUGCUCGCUUUAUUUAGACAACGAGCAGUCCAAGGUUCCUGAGUGUGUUGUUGGAGACCUCCCUGAGCAACAACCUGGUGAAGGCAAGAGUCCUUUGACCUAAUAUGUCCUACUUACUUUAUAAUUCAUUGUCUCGCAUUACUUUAUGAAACCUAAGGAUUGACUAGCUUUUCUAUUUACCUUAACCUUGUUUACCUUUUGGGUUUUCAUGGUUAGCAUGUUGCUAUUGCUUUAACUUAAUCAAUGAACAUGAUGUGAACAUUUAUGAUAUGAUACUGUUAUCCUGAUUAGGUGGAUGAUAUUAUGAUACCUUAGGGGGCUCAGGCCUUUUCCUGAGUGCCUCUCCGUAAGGACCUGUUCGUGGAGUGACUACCCGGGAUAACAGUACAGCCAUGAGGGCGGAAUGGGACGCCCUUAGCUGAUUAAUUAGAUGAACCUGGGCGUGUAGUUGGCUUUGCCAGAGGGCCAUCAAUGGGUGCCCGGGCGUAGUGCUCGCUCUACCAAGGUUGGGGUGCAGAGGUUCAUUUGAUUUGGUUUUUGUUAGUCACCCACCUUGGGGAGGUGUACUGCGUUUGUACGACUGGCGAAACCUAACGAGCAGCUAUGCACCAGGGGAGUCUUUGUAAAGGCUACGUAGUGAGACCCUGCUAGGUCACCUUGGUAGUAAUCAAUGGGGAGUCAUGAUGCCCGGGCAAAAUGGGAAUCACGACUUAUGGGUAAAGUGUACAACCUCUGCAGAGUGUUAAAAACUGGUAUAUCAGCCGAGCUCAUGGUUAGGAGCAGCCUUGGGAUCCUCUUUGAUUAGAAGAACUUGGAUACUUUUAUGAUGAUGAUUAAGAAUGUUGGUUAUACAAUCUGAUCUCUGGUAUUUCCUCGUUUGAGGAAGUACUUUUGGGUAAUAACUGCGUUUAUUACUAAAAGUUGGCUCUACUAAUAAUAUUAAAUACUUGACUAACUUAAAAGCAACUGCUUGACCUCAACCCCACAUACAGCUAGUCCACUUUAGCCAAACGGGACAUUUGCUGAGUACGUUGAUGUGUACUCACCCUUGCUUUACAAACCACCCCACCCCAGGUUGUCCCCACUGUACCCAGUGCUCAGGAGGUGAUGCUGGCAACAUGGAGGAUUUCGAGGAGUUUCAGGACUAUGACGAGUUCUAGUUCUUUCUUAGUGGCAACCCCCAAUCAGCUGCCUGUGUAGGCUUAGCAUCUACGUUUCGUAAUUCCGCACUUUGAUAUUUAAGUUGAACAAUGGUUAUGUAUUAGACUAUGUGGAUGUCUUGGACAUCUUGAUGUAAUAAAGUACCUUUCCACUAUUUAUUUCGAGCAUUGUGUGAUGAUGUCCAAUUAUGUAAUCGCUGUGUACGUGAGUUUUCUGAUCCUGGCACGUACAUGGUUCGCAUUCGGUUUGCCUUUCGAAACCGGGCGUGACAUUUUUCAGGCCUGAUAUGGUUAAAGAGAUGGAAGAAAAGGUUCAACGAAUUAUACAUAAAUUUAAAAAAGCACAAGCUCGACAGAAGAGUUAUGCAGACAAACGACGCCAACCCUUGUACUUUCAAGUCAAGGAUUGUGUAUACCUAAUAGUAUCACCAAUGAAGUGUGUGACCCAUUUCGGUGUAAAAGGAAAGCUUGCACCCUGAUACAUUGGUCCGUUUCCUAUUCUUGAAAGAUGUGGACCAGUGGCAUACCGACUCCAACUACCCGAAACCUUGUCUGCAGUGCACAAUGUGUUCCAUGUAUCCUAAUUGAAGAAGUGUCUUCGAGUUCCAGACCGAACCAUUGAUGUGAUAGAUGUUACCUUGGAACCAGACUUAACAUAUUCAGAACAUCCCAUUCAAGUCCUGGAUCAAAAAGACAGAGUCACCCGAAGAAGAGUUCUAAAAUUCUAUAAGAUACAAUGGAACCAACAUACUGAAGAUGAAGCUACAUGGGAAACCCAAGACUUCUUAGAAAAGAAUUUCCCUGGCUUUUUAGCUUCAUGUAACUUAUAAGAUAUGUACAUUGGAUUGUAAAGAAGAAAUAAAUCCCAUACCACCCCCUGCCUUGUAAGACAAUAAAGGAAAUAAAGAUGUGACAUGUUUCCUUUUCCAUUACUUACCCUAAGACCUUAAAUCUCGGGACGAGAUUCUUUUAUGGGGGGAAGGAUGUAACACCCCUAGUGUUACUGUCACUAAAACUUGAGCAUAACAUCAUGAGCAUGGGCAUAUCAUGUGUUUGUUACACUUAGAGUGCAUUCACUAGGUAAAAAUUUCAAAUAAGUUGUACUGAUGUGACCUGAGGUGUUAUUAACCCUAGGGUAGAGUGUCUAACCCUAGAUCAUGGCUUAUAGAUAUAAGUGAAGCCCAAAUAUGUGAAAACCUCAAAAGGCAUGAGAAAUGAUCAUAAGAUAUCCUCUUUAAUGGACUUUAAUAACACCAAAACCUUGAAGUGCUAAAAACUCUGAAAAGACCCCUAGAAAACCCUAAAUUGGAACCCUAAGGGGGUAGAUGUAAAUUUUGUGCACUUUUAGACCAAAGUGAAAAUAUAAAAGUAAAAGAGAACCUCAAACCCAAUAUCUUUCAUAUUGGAGAAUUUGCAAGUUGAAUAGUGGAGUUUGGACCUAUUUGCAAAAAAGCACCCUAUGAAUCAUAUGUGGCUAAGUCUGAAUUUCAGUUGAAUGGGAUCAACUUUAGAACUCUAUAUCUCUAAAUCCAUUGGGAUUUUUCCCUAGGUUAAUAUAGCAAACUUGUAAAGCUAAGAUAGGAGUACAACUUUGCUUAAGUAAUUAAGCCUUGGUGUUGUACAAAAAUAGGAGAUAAAUAGGUUUGAAGUCUGGCUGUCAGACCACCCUGAGACUAAAUACUGACUGACAGUGAGUUCUGAUGAACUUUGGACUCGAUUCUUGCUCAAGGGAUUGAGCAAAUGAGCAAGAUCCCUAUAGCAGAAUUGUAGCUAGAUUAUAGGACUACAACUUUGUUAAAGGUGGAUUAGCAAGUUAUUACAUGGAAUUUUGAGAUUUGGGCAUUGCAAACUGCUCUGUCAGGCGUCUGAAUGGAGUUCUGAUGGUACAGUGGACUAAAAAAGAUCUCUGGUGCACUGAACCUCGCCGCCGGCGACCUUGCACUCAGAUUCGUGCCAGCGCCGCGAUUCACGCUCCAUUAAACGUAGAUAACGAUCCUGUUGGAGACUUGUUCUCAAAUGCUAUGAGAUAAGAACAAGGCAACACAAAAUGUUAAUGGUUAAAGGCCUUUGUCCUUCGAAGUAUUAUCUCCCUUAGGAUAUAAUGAUCUUCAGACGAAGGUCAUGAAGGACAUACCUUCAUCAUCUCAGUAUACAAUAAUAGAAGUAGAACCAUAUGAAACAUUGGAAAUGAAACAAAUAAUCAUAUGAUAUCUCUAAAAUAUCUUUAUUAUCUCAUCAUGAAUAAACAUAAACAAUAUUGUAUUACAUUUAUACCUUCGGCUUGAUAGAAGGCGAGAAUCCAAGUGUGACGUGCAAGUGAAUACAAGUCAGCGUGAACAGUACGGGGGUACUGUUCACCUAUUUAUAGGCACGGGACACAGCCCGCACAAAAUUACAUUUGUGUCCUUGACAACUAAUCACAAUCAUGAUACAAAAUGUCAGGGACUAGAUGGUCCUUUUCUCUUUAAGUCUAUGCUGCUCUUCGUCUCAGGCGCGCCAUUAUGCCGAAGCUCCCUUGGCAAUAGCUUUGGCAUAUCGUCUUGCUGAAGGUGUUUCUGCUCGAAGGACCUUCGGCGAAGAAGAAGGCCCCCAAUAGUAGCCCCUUCGCGGUGCUAGAUCGUUUUUCGUAACGAGCUCGAUCCGCGAAAAAUACGAAGGCUUCGGAAUGCCGAAGGUCCGAAAAACAUCUUCCCUGAGCUCGUUGCCGAGAAACGAUUUAAAUAUUCCAGGUGUCGGGUGGUCCACCGUUCAGCGAGUGGCGACAUUCUGAUGGUUCUGUUACCGAACGCUGGGUGGCCCACCGUUCAGUGAGUAGAGGCGGGUCUGGCGUUUCUCCUUCCGACCUAUAGUACUAUAUAAACAGACGGGUUGGUGCAGAGUUACCACAACAUUCAUUGCUAUUGCACUGUUGUGCUGUUAAAAAAUUUAACCAUAGCCGAAGCUUUUUCGCUGCACUCUCAAGCGGAUCAUAAUUUUGAGUUAACUUCGUCAUAAAAGAGAGCUUCAUCAAAACUGCGAAAAGACAUCAAUCUUCGUAAGAACCGCAAAAGAUCCAUCAGAUGGCCAGAGUACGCUCGACUGCAAGGGUGACUCGUGACGGACAGGAGACCGAAGCCACCGAGACAACUCCGAUUUCCGAAGUCAUGAGAUAGUCGGGUUUAGUUGUGACAGAGGGAACCAUUGAUGAAGGUACAUCUGCUGCCGAAGCUGAACGGGCUAAUAUUGAAGAAGAAAAUGCUAACGAAGAAGAAGAGGAUUAUGGCAUUUUAAUCCCAUCAAAACCCAGCCACCUAGAUUUUGAGAGAUCUACUGUGUCUGGAGCCGAUAUGCCCAUGAUGAUGAAACCGGGUUACUUUGGAGAAGCUGAAAAGAAAUUUGUUCGUUUUGCUAGAGAAGAAACCACUCCAACACCGAAGACGAUGAAGUAGUGGUUUUUAAAAGUUUUUUUAGAGCGGGAUUAUGGUUUCCUUUGAACAAGAUGAUAGGAGAAGUUUUGAAAAAUUUUGAAAUUUAUCUUCAUCAGCUGACCCCUAACGCUAUUAUUAGGCUCAGCAUCUUCAUCUGGGUCGUUCGAAGCCAGGGGAUGGACCCAGAUGCUAAAGCAUUUUGUCGAGUGCACGAGCUGCACUACCAAACGAAAGGCAAGGGCAGACGGUCUUCAUGAGAAUUUUGGUUGCUAUAAUUUCGCGUAUGGCAAGGAUACAAAGGCUCCAAUUCUCAGCUAUCGCACCAAGUGGCCAACUGGCUAGAAGAGUGAAUGGUUCUAUAUUAAGACUGAUGAAAAGAAAAGGGAGAAGCUGAUGAUGAUGGUUAUGUGCCCACUAUCUCUAAGCUUCAGAAUGACCCGGCCUCUGUGCAACAUGCAGCCAGGGUCACCAUGUCAACUGGCCGUAGCAGAAUUUAGGGUGGUGGCUGAACAGAUCAGCACCAGAGACCUGGUGCAAGGAUACCUGGCCAACAGGACAUCUCCGACGUUAAGUGACUGGAGCAUGCCGAAGCUAAAGGGGACAAAAAAAGAAGUAUGAGCUUGUUCGAUUACCUUAUCGCUUUAAGUUUGAGAAACGGUUCAAGGAGCCCUGCCAAGAAUGGCUGGAAAUGAUUGAAACUAUGUCAGCAGCCUUUGGCACCCAGCCAAAACGAAGGUUGAACCGAGUUAUGGACGCUCUGAAUUUUGAAUACCCUGAUUAUGAGCGGCUCAACAAGGGUGCCGAAGGGGCAAAAAGAAAAAGGGUUGUUAGCAUUCUGAGCAGACAAGCUGCCAGAAUGGUGAAAGAAGAUGAGAAGAUCUUAAAGAAGAGAAAAUCCAGUCCGGAGCCGAAGGUGACUAUUUCGAAGAAAAGAAAAGCUGAGUCCCCAGGGCCGAAGGUGACCGAAGUGGAAGAAGAGACUCCGUCAACACCUCCAGCUGCCGAAGUGACAGAAAUUUUAAAGGUAAUGACUGAUUCUCUUCCUAUCAAGCUGCUAAGCCCUCUAGGACCAGAACUGAUGAAGCUUUUUUAGAAGAGAGAAGAACCUUCGGCCACGAAGAAGGCAGAUAGACUGAAGAAGCGAAGAAUUGGUAGCGUAAUGCAAGCCAUUGAAAAGACACCACCACCAAUCUCGGCAACUAAGAUAGUGCCUACUACAAGCAUCGAGGCCACUGCCGAAGCAAACACAUCGGCCCAAGCUGCAGCUGCCACCGAAGCUGCCAACCAAGAGGCUACCUUAUCUGGGAUUGAUAAAUUUAUAUUGGGUAUGCCUACAGAAGAAACAUCUAUGGUCGCAGAACAGGUUAUGGCUCCAGUGCCUGACAAAGGGAAAGGAAUUGCCGAAGUUGCUUUGGAAGAAAAAGGUUUCGAUCUUCGGAACCUGGUCAGGCUAGAACUAUCUGAGGUCGAGAAGAAGGAGCUACAGGAAUAUGGUAUUUCCUGUGGCUACCAGCUAGGAGCUUUGCUAUUUGGUGGACUCGAUGAAGAGGCCUUGGGGUGUGUUCGUGACCAUACUGGGGCGAAGGUAAUCGGCACUCUAUCAAAGAGUAUCGGUUUUCCGAAGCUUGAAGCUGAUAUUAGCAGCUACCAACGACAACAUAUCGUCGGUAGUUUGUUUUAUUCCAACUUUAAGGUAAAAUUGUUAUAAUAAAGCAAAAAAAUUUAUUAUUUGUUUUAUUUUUACGACGAAGUUUUAUUGAUGAAGUUCUAUUUUCUACAGAGUAUGCUGAUGAGCAAAGCGCUGCAAAUGCAACAGGACCUCGAGGAUAAAAAGAAUGAAAUUAUAAUCGAGGGUCUACAGAGCAAAAUCAAAGAAUACGAAGCUUCUCUUGAAAAGAAAGAUUUCCUACUCCAAGCAAUGGAAGGUUCCCUUGCACAAGCGCAAGCCGAAAAUGUUAGAUUAAACAGGGAACUCCUGCAAAAAUCAGAGAGCUGAGAGCACCUAGAGGGGGGUGACUAGGUGAUCCUGUGAGACUUGAAACUUAAGCCACAAAAACUUGGUUAAGAGUUAGUACAAUAAUGCCAAGUGGCUAGAGAGGAGUCUCAACAAAACACAAUAACCACAAAGAUAUCAAUCACAGAGAUGGCACAGUGGUUAUCCCGUGGUUCGGCCAAGACCAACGCUUGCCUACUCCACGUUGUGGCGUCCCAACGGACGAGGGUUGCAAUCAACCCCUCUCAAGCGGUCCAAAGACCCACUUGAAUACCACGGUGUUUUGCUUUGCUUUUCUUAAUCCCGUUCGCGAGGAAUCUCCACAACUUGGAGCCUCUCGCCCUUACACUUGAAGUUCAUGAAGAAGCACGGAGUAAGGGAGGGAUGAGCAACGCACACAAGACACAAAAUCAGAAUGUCAACACGCACACAAAUCGCAACAAGAGCUCGCAACACAACCCGAUGAGUUCACAACUCAACAAGAGCUCUAGAUGCUAUCACGAAGAACCAAAUGCGUGGAAUCGAAGUCUUGGUGCUUAGGAAUGCAUUGAGUAUGCUUGAUAUGCUCCUCCAUCCGCCUAGGGGUCCCUUUUAUAGCCCCAAGGCAGCUAGGAGCCGUUGAGAACAUUCCUGGAAGGCAGAUCUUGCCUUCUGUCGACUGGCGCACCGGACAGUCCGGUGCACCACCGGACACUGUCCGGUGCAGAUAUCCUUCCUUAUUUGGCGAAGCCGACCGUUGGAGUCUGAGAGCCGUUGGCGCACCGGACAAUGUCCGGUGCACACCGGACAGUCCGGUGCACCAAUGUGACCGUUGGCUCGGCCACGCGUCACGCGCGGAAUCCUCGGCUGACCGUUGCUCCGACUGACCGUUGGCUCACCGGACAGUCCGGUGCACCACCGGACAGUCCGGUGAUUUAUAGUCGUACACCGCCGUCGCACUCCCGAGAGCAACAAAUUCGCCAGAGUCAGUCUGGCGCACCGGACACUGUCCGGUGCACCCAGACUGAGCAGACUUUGGCUGAACAAAGCCAUCUCUUCUCUAACUUGAUUUUUCCUGUUUCCAGCACUUAGACACAAUACAUUAGUCCAUAAAACAAUGUACUAAGUCUAGAAACAUACCUUUUGACAUGAUUUGCACUUUGUCCACCACUUUGCAUGGAUUAACACAAAAGCACUUGUGUUGGCACUCAAUCACCAAAAUACUUAGAAAUGGCCCAAGGGCACAUUUCCCUUUCAAUCUCCCCCUUUUUGGUGAUUUAUGCCAACACAACAUAAAGUGACUAGAACAAGUGCAAUACCAAUGCAAAUGAAAACCAAACGUUGUUUUGAAUCAAAUUUGGCAUAUAUGGAUCACUCUUUGCCACCACUUGGUUUGUUUUUGCAAAUCAAACUCAAAUUCCUAUCUCUAAGUCAAAUUCACUUGUAGAGACAUAAAGAGAGGUAUUUCAAAGAAAAUUGAUCAAGGAUUUCAAAAACUCCCCCUUUUUCCCAUAAUCAACACUUCUCCCAACAAGAGGCCAACUUUUGACAAAAGAGCCAAAAAAGAGUUUUGACAAACCAAAAGCUCUAAUCUACUAUUUUCAAAAUUUCUCAAGUGGUAGCUGAUCCAUCUAUUGCUUUGGCCUUUAUUUUCUCCCCCUUUGGCAUCAAGCACCAAAACGGGAUCAAUCUUGGCCCUUGAACCCCAUUGCCUCACCAAAAUCUUCAAAUAAGAAUACAAAGGCAAUAAGAGUACAUGAGAUGAACUUGGAAUAAGUUACCCUCUCAUCGGAGUGCAGUGGAAGUCUGUCAUGGUCCAAGUCCACCUUUUCCCUUUCAAACCUCCUUUGAGACUAAAACAAGCAAACUCAAGCACACGGUUAGUCUCAAAGGGUCAAGUUGUAGCACAGCUCCCCCUAAAUAUGUGCAUCACUUGCAAAAAGGACUUGUGAGGUCCAGGGAGUGUUUGUACAACUUGAGCACCACAAGUAAGCAACAAAAUGCAGAAGGAACAUGAUCAAAGGCAUAAACACAUGUGUGCUAUAAAUCAAUCCAAGUUCCGCGAAUCUAGGACAUUUAGCUCACUACGCAACCUGCAAAAGGUCUUCUCAUCUAAAGGCUUAGUGAAGAUAUCGGCUAGCUGGUUCUCGGUGCUAACAUAAAACACUUCAAUAUCUCCCUUUUGCUGGUGGUCUCUCAAAAAGUGAUGUCGGAUGUCAAUGUGCUUUGUGCGGCUGUGUUCAACAGGAUUUUCCGCUAUUCGGAUAGCACUCUCAUUAUCACAUAGGAGUGGGACUUUGCUCAGAUUGUAGCCAAAGUCCCGGAGGGUUUGCCUCAUCCAAAGUAGUUGCGCGCAACACUGUCCUGCGGCAACAUACUCGGCCUCAGCGGUGGAUAGGGCAACGGAAGUUUGUUUCUUAGAGUUCCAUGACACCAGGGACCUUCCUAAGAAUUGGCACGUCCCCGAUGUACUCUUCCUAUCGACCUUACAUCCAGCAUAGUCGGAAUCUGAAUAUCCAAUCAAGUCAAAGUUAGACCCCUUUGGAUACCAGAUCCCGAAGCAAGGCGUAGCGACUAAUUAUCUAAGAAUUCGCUUCACGGCCACUAAGUGACACUCCCUCGGAUCGGAUUGAAAUCUAGCACACAUGCAUACGCUAAGCAUAAUAUCCGGUCUACUAGCACACAAAUAAAGUAAAGACCCUAUCGUAGACCGGUAUGCCUUUUGAUCAACGGACUUACCUCCUUUGUUGAGGUCGGUGUGUCCGUCGGUUCCCAUCGGUGUCUUUGCGGGCUUGGCGUCCUUCAUCCCAAACCGCUUUAGCAAGUCUUGUGUGUACUUCGUUUGGGAGAUGAAGGUGCCAUCUUUGAGUUGCUUCACUUGGAACCCAAGGAAGUAGUUCAACUCACCCAUCAUCGACAUCUCGAAUUUCUGCGUCAUCACCCUGCUAAACUCUUCACAAGACUUUUGGUUAGUAGAACCAAAUAUUAUGUCAUCGACAUAAAUUUGGCACACAAAAAGAUCACCAUCGCAAGUCUUAGUAAAAAGAGUUGGAUCGGCUUUCCCAACCUUGAAAGCAUUAGCAAUUAGAAAGUCUCUAAGGCAUUCAUACCAUGCUCUUGGGGCUUGCUUAAGUCCAUAGAGCGCCUUAGAGAGCUUACACACAUGGUCGGGGUACCGUUCAUCCUCGAAGCCAGGGGGUUGCUCCACGUACACCUCCUCCUUGAUCGGCCCGUUGAGGAAAGCGCUCUUCACAUCCAUUUGGUACAACCUGAAAGAAUGGUGAGCGGCAUAUGCUAGCAAAAUACGAAUUGAUUCUAGCCUAGCCAUAGGAGCGAAAGUCUCCUCAAAGUCCAAACCUGCGACUUGGGCAUAACCUUUUGCCACAAGUCGAGCCUUGUUCCUUGUCACCACCCCGUGCUCGUCCUGUUUGUUGCGGAACACCCACUUGGUUCCCACAACAUUUUGCUUGGGACGAGGCACCAGUGUCCAAACUUCAUUACGCUUGAAGUUGUUGAGCUCUUCCUGCAUGGCCAAUACCUAGUCCGGAUCUAGCAAGGCCUCUUCUACCCUGAAAGGCUCAAUAGAAGAGACAAAAGAGUAAUGCUCACAAAAAUUCACCAAUCUAGAGCGAGUAGUUACUCCCUUGCUAAUAUCACCCAAAAUUUGGUCAACGGGAUGAUUCCUUUGAAUCGUCGCUCGAACUUGGGUUGGAGGUGCCUGAGGUGCUUCUUCCUCUUCAACUUGAACAUCCUGUGCUCCCCCUUGAUCACGCGCCUCCACUUGAGGUACCUAUUCGUCAUCUUGGGUUGGGGGAUGCACCAUUGUUGAGGAAGAAGGUUGAUCUUGCUCCAAUUGUUCCUGUGGUCGCACAUCGCCAAUCGCCAUGGUGCGUAUUGCGGCCGUUGGAACGUCUUCUUCAUCUACAUCAUCAAGAUCAACAACUUGCUCUCUUGGAGAGCCAUUAGUCUCAUCAAAUACAACGUCGCUAGAGACUUCAACCAAACCCGAUGAUUUGUUGAAGACCCUAUACGCCUUUGUAUUUGAAUCAUAACCUAAUAAAAACCCUUCUACAGCUUUGGGAGCAAAUUUAGAAGUUCUACCUUUCUUCACAAGAAUAUAACACUUGCUCCCAAAAACUCGAAAAUACGAAACAUUGGGUUUGUUACCAGUUAGCAGCUCAUACGAAGUUUUCUUGAGGAGGCGGUGAAGGUAGACCCAGUUGAUGGCGUGGCAAGCCGUGUUCACGGCUUCCGACCAAAAACGCUCGGGGGUCUUGAACUCUCCAAGCAUAGUCCUCGCCAUAUCGAUGAGCGUCCUGUUCUUCCUCUCUACCACACCAUUUUGUUGUGGUGUGUAGGGAGCGGAGAACUCGUGCUUGAUUCCCUCCUCAUCAAGAUACUCCUCCACUUGAAGAUUCUUGAAUUCGGACCCGUUGUCGCUUCUUAUCUUCUUCACCUUGAGCUCAAACUCAUUUUGAGCUCUCCUGAGGAAGCGCUUGAGGGUCCCUUGGGUUCCAGAUUUAUCCUGCAAAAAGAAUACCCAAGUGAAGCGGGAAAAAUCAUCAACUAUAACAAGACCAUACUUACUUCCUCCUAUACUUAGAUAGGCGACGGGUUCGAAGAGGUCCAUAUGAAGCAUCUCCGAAGGUCUUGAUGUGGUCAUCGCAUUUUUGGUGUGAUGAGAGCUUCCCACCUGUUUCCCUGCUUGACACGCUGCACAAGGUCUAUCUUUUUCGAAAUAAACAUUAGUUAGACCUAUCACGUGUUCUCCCUUUAGAAGCUUGUGGAGGUUCUUCAUCCCCACAUGUGCUAAGCGGCGGUGCCACAGCCAGCCCAUGCAAGUCUUAGCAAUUAAGCAUGCAUCUAGACCGGCCUCUUCUUUUGCAAAAUCAACCAAAUAAAGUUUGUCGUCUAGUACACCCUUAAAAGCUAGUGAACCAUCACACCUUCUAAAGACAGACACAUCUACAUUUGUGAAUAGACAAUUAUAUCCCAUAUUGCAUAAUUGACUAACAGAUAACAAAUUAUAUCCAAGCGACUCAACUAAAAACACAUUAGAAAUAGAGUGCUCGGAUGAGAUAGCAAUUUUACCUAACCCUUUUACCUUGCCUUGGUUUCCAUCACCGAAUAUUAUUGAAUCUUGGGGAUCCUUGUUCUUGACGUAGGAAGAGAACAUCCUCUUUUCCCCCGUCAUGUGGUUUGUGCAUCCGCUGUCGAUAAUCCAGCUUGUACCCCCGGAUGCAUAAACCUGCAAGGCAAAUUUAGGCUUGGGCCUUAGGUACCCAACUCUUGUUGGGUCCUACAAGGUUAGUCACAAUUGUCUUAGGGACCCAAAUGCAAGUCUUGUCUCUCUUGCAUUUGGCCCCUAACUUCCUAGCAAUCACCUUCUUAUUUUUUCUACAAAUGGCAAAUGAAGCAUUGCAAGCAUGAUAUAUUGUAGAAGGUUCAUUAACUUUCCUAGGAAUAUUAACAACAUUUCUCCUAGGCAUAUUAUGAACAACAUUUCUCCUAACAACAUUUCUAUCAUGCAUAACAUGGGAACUAGAAGCAGUCAUAGCAUGAAAAUCAAAAGCAUCAUAACUUCUAAAGGCAUUCUUAGAAUGUCUCCUAUCCUGAUACAUGAAGGCAUGGUUCUUUUGCACACUACUAGCCAUAGGGGCCUUCCCUUUCUCCUUGGCGGAGAUGGGAGCCUUAUGGCUUGUUAAGUUCUUGGCUUCCCUCUUGAAGCCAAGUCCAUCCUUAAUUGAGGGGUGUCUACCAAUCGUGUAGGCAUCCCUUGCAAAUUUUAAUUUAUCAAAUUCAGUUUUGCUAGUCUUAAGUUGGGCAUUAAGACUAGCUACUUCAUCAUUUAAUUUAGAAAUGCAAUCUAGGUGUUCACUACAAGCAUCAACAUUAAAAUCUUUACACCUAGUGCAAAUUACAACAUGUUCUACACAAGAUGUUAAUUUACUAGAUUUUUCUAACUUAGCAUUUAAAUCAUCAUUCACACCUUUUAAAGUAGAAAUGGUUUCAUGACAAGUAGAUAGUUCAUAAGAAAGCAUUUCAUUUCUUUUAACUUCUAAAGCAUGAGAUUUUUGUGCCUCUACAAAUUUAUCAUGUUCUUCAUACAACAAAUCCUCUUGCUUUUCUAGCAACCUAUUCUUGUCAUUCAAGGCAUCAAUUAACUCAUUAAUUUUGCCAAUUUUAAUUCUAUCUAAACCUUUAAAUAAACUAGAAUAGUCUAUUUCAUCGUCAUCACUAGAAUCGUCAUCACUUGAAGAAGCAUAAGUGGUAUCCCGAGUACAUACCUUCUUCUCCUUCGCCAUGAGGCAUGUGUGAUGUUCGUUGGGGAAGAGGGAUGACUUGUUGAAGGCGGUGGCGGCUAGUCCUUCAUUGUCGGAGUCGGAAGAGGAGCAAUCUGAAUCCCACUCCUUUCCGAUAUGUGCCUCGCCCUUGGCCUUCUUGUAGUUCUUCUUCUUUUCCCGUUUGUUCCCUUUUUCCUGGUCACUUUCAUUAUCGGGACAGUUAGCAAUAAAAUGACCAAUCUUACCACAUUUGAAGCAUGAGCGCUUCCCCUUUGUCUUGGUCUUGCUUGGCUGUCCCUUGCGACCCUUUAGCGACGUCUUGAAGCGCUUGAUGAUGAGGGCCAUCUCUUCAUCAUUGAGCCCGGCCGCCUCAACUUGUGCCACCUUGCUAGGUAGCGCCUCCUUGCUCCUCGUUGCCUUGAGAGCAAUGGGUUGAAGCUCAUGGAUUGGACUGUUCAAUGCAUCGUCCACGUACCUCGCCUCCUUGAUCAUCAUUCGCCCGCUUACGAACUUUCCAAGGACUUCUUCGGGCGACAUCUUGGUGUACCUAGGAUUUUCACGAAUAUUGUUCACCAAAUGUGGAUCAAGUACAGUGAAGGACCUUAGCAUUAGGCGGACGACGUCGUGGUCCGUCCAUCGCGUGCUUCUGUAGCUCCUUAUUUUGUUGAUAAGGGUCUUGAGCCGGUUGUAUGUUUGGGUUGGCUCCUCGCCCCUUAUCAUCGCGAAUCGUCCAAGCUCGCCCUCCACCAACUCCAUCUUGGUGAGCAAGGUGACGUCGUUCCCCUCAUGAGAGAUCUUGAGGGUGUCCCAGAUCUGCUUGGCAUUGUCCAAGCCGCUCACUUUAUGGUACUCGUCCCUGCACAAGGAGGCUAACAACACAGUAGUAGCUUGUGCAUUUUUAUGAAUCUAUUCAUUAAUAAAUAUAGGACUAUCCGAGCUAUCAAACUUCAUUCCAUUCUCAACAAUCUCCCAUAUGCUUGGAUGGAGAGAAAACAAGUGACUACGCAUUUUGUGGCUCCAAAAUCCGUAGUCCUCCCCAUCAAAGUGUGGAGGCUUGCCGAGAGGAAUGGAAAGUAAAUGUGAAUUUGAGCUAAGCGGAAUACGCGAAUAAUCGAAAGAAAAGUUUGAGUUAACCGUCUUUCAUUUCUCGUAGUCAUAGUCGUCCUUUUGGGAAGAAGUAGAUUCGUCGCUGUCGUCGUAGUAGACGAUCUCCUUGAUGCGCCUUGUCUUCUUCUUCUUCCCAUAUUUCCGUUUAUGGCCCGAGCCUGAGUCGGUAGGCUUGUCAUCCUUUGGCUCGUUGACAAAGGACUCCUCCUUAUCGUUGAUCACGAUUCCCUUCCCCUUAGGAUCCAUCUCUUCGGGCGAUUAGUCCCUUCGUGAAGAGAACGGCUCUGAUACCAAUUGAGAGCACCUAGAGGGGGGGUGAAUAGGUGAUCCUGUGAGACUUGAAACUUAAGCCACAAAAACUUGGUUAAGAGUUAUUACAAUAAUGCCAAGUGGCUAGAGAGGAGUCUCAACAAAACACAAUAACCACAAAGAUAUCAAUCACAGAGAUGGCACGGUGGUUAUCCCGUGGUUCGGCCAAGACCAACGCUUGCCUACUCCACGUUGUGGCAUCCGAACGGACGAGGGUUGCAAUCAACCCCUCUCAAGCGGUCCAAAGACCCACUUGAAUACCAUGGUGUUUUGCUUUGCUUUUCUUAAUCCCGUUCGCGAGGAAUCUCCACAACUUGGAGCCUCUCGCCCUUACACUUGAAGUUCACGAAGAAGCACGGAGUAAGGGAGGGAUGAGCAACGCACACAAGACACAAAAUCAGAAUGUCAACACGCACACAAAUCGCAACAAGAGCUCGCAACACAACCCGACGAGUUCACAACUCAACAAGAGCUCUAGAUGCUAUCACAAAGAACCAAAUGCGUGGAAUCGAAGUCUUGGUGCUUAGGAAUGCUUUGAGUAUGCUUGAUAUGCUCCUCCAUCCGCCUAGGGGUCCCUUUUAUAGCCCCAAGGCAGCUAGGAGCCGUUGAGAACAUUCCUGGAAGGCAGAUCUUGCCUUCUGUCGACUGGCGCACCGGACAGUCCGGUGCACCACCGGACACUGUCCGGUGCAGAUAUCCUUCCUUAUUUGGCGAAGCCGACCGUUGGAGUCUGAGAGCCGUUGGCGCACCGGACACUGUCCGGUGCCCACCGGACAGUCUGGUGCACCAAUGUGACUGUUGGCUCGGCCACGUGUCACGCGCGGAAUCCUCGGCCGACCGUUGCUCCGACUGACCGUUGGCUCACCGGACAGUCCGGUGCACCACCGGACAUACCGGUGAAUUUUAGCCGUACGCCGUUAAUCAACUCCCGAGAGCGGCGAGUUCGCCUGUGAACGGCUCACCGGAUAGUCCGGUGCACCACCGGACAGUCCGGUGAUUUAUAGCCGUACACCGCCGUCGCACUCUCGAGAGCAGCAAGUUCGCCAGAGUCAGUCUGGCGCACCGGACACUGUCCGGUGCACCCAGACUGAGCAGACUUUGGCUGAACAAAGCCAUCUCUUCUCUAACCUGAUUUUUCCUGUUUCUAGCACUUAGACACAAUACAUUAGUCCAUAAAACAAUGUACUAAGUCUAGAAACAUACCUUUUGACAUGAUUUGCACUUUGUCCACCACUUUGCUUGGAUUAACACAAAAGCACUUGUGUUGGCACUCAAUCACCAAAAUACUUAGAAAUGGCCCAAGGGCACAUUUCCCUUUCAAGAGCUUCGAACAGGAGAGAAAAGACUUGCAGGUGAAGUACGAAGCCAAAGCUACCGAGAAUACGAAGCUAAAACAAUCUUUGAAGGAUCUUCGUGACAUAUGUCUGAAUUUCGACAGCCGCUGCGUACAACGAUUAAAAAAUGUUUUCAACUCAGUCGAAGCCAGUUCUAAAAAGUUUACUCCUUCGGCCGAAAACAUAUCAAGCACCUUUGAACAUAUUGAAGGUGAAGUUGAGGCGCUUGACGAAGUAAUAGCGGGACAUGGUGACUUCUGCGCCCAGCUAGCUUCUCGCGGCACGACUGCAUCAUUUUUGAAAGCUGUCUAUACGCACGCGAAGAUAGUGAAUAGGCCUACCUUCAACCUAUCUUCGGCAGAUUUAAUUGAUAUUCCUAGUGAAGCUCGAAGCAUAGGAAGUAGAUUUAUAACACAAAUUUGGGCGAAGGGUGGUCGGGAGCUGGCUGGUGAUGAGGCCCGAAGCUUACUUAAGCCGGUACGAAAAUUAUACCUGUUGCUUACCUUUUUUUCAUGAUUACCUUUUACCUUAUAAAAUUUUGUUGUGUGUAGGAUGAUGAUGCCGAAGAUUAGUAAUCCGAAGCAGAUUCCGAAGGCCACUGAAGCUGAUCUUUAGACUUGCCUGCAUAGAUCUUUUAGAGGCAUUUGUAUUAUCUCUGUAAAAGACAUUGUAAUCCGAGAAUUGAACAUUACUGUGUAUAUUUGUCCAUACCUUGCAAUAUAUUUUUACCUUUUCUUCCAAGUGCGAAUUGCUUUGUUGUGGACGAAACUUAUAUCUUUUGAGCCAAAGGCGAAAAACACCUUCCCUUCUUUUCAUACACAACGAAGCAUAUCUUGCUUCUUCAUGCUCAUCGAAUCAUUGUUAUCAAAGCUUAAGUAUCUACUUGUGCUUUAUGUUAUGAUGAUGAUGAUCCUACGAAUGUCUAUAUGAAUAUGUAUGAAUGCAAUGAAUGAUGUAAUGUAAUGUGCAGAUGAAUGUCCAAACACACACACGAAGCCACACCCAGACUCUGCAUCCCUUUAGGAACGACUUUUGAGUCUUAAGCUCUGCAUCCCCUUAGGAACGACUUUUGAGCUUCUUCGCCUUCUAUUUUGGUGGUAUAAGUUCUGCAUCCCCUCAGGAACGACUUUUGAACUUCUUCGCCUUCUAUUUCGACGGUAUUUGGCUCUGCAUUCCCUUUGGAACGACUUUUGAGCAGAAAACUUACACUACGCUCCCUUAGGAACGACUUUUGGUAGCUUCAUCAUGCUUUGCAUCCCCUUGGGGACGACUUUUGAGCUUCUCCCUAUUUUUCCUUUUUGCACUCGAUGAUGCAUGCUUAGAUUUUAUAUAUUACAUCUUUGGGGGAUUUGGCCCUCAUGGGGCUAAAUAAGAAUGAAAAACUAUAGGCUAUGGCCCCAUUAAAAACCUUUCUCCCCUCUUGAAAGGAAAAGGGUGCUAUAGAAAAAAUGAAAAAAGAUUACAUCAAAUUACACAUAGUAUCGCCGAAGCUCAUCCGCAUUCCAAGAUCUAGGUAUGUCGUUGCUGUCCAUAUCCUUCAAUCUAUAAGAACCGGGUCUUGAUGAAGAUAUUACUAGGAAAGGACCUUCCCACUUCAGUUGCAACUUGCCCACUGUGUCUGGGUUAGCGACUCCCGAAGCACCAGAUGCCCUGGCUUGAUAUUUUUCAAUCGAACUUUUCUGUCUCGCCACCUUAUUGUUUUGGCCUGAUAUUUAUUGAUGUGCUCUAUGGCCUGAAGUCUAGUCCCUUCUAUAGUGUCUUUUGUUACUUGAUAAUCAGCUCCGUCCUCAGCUGAAGCUAUUGUUCUUAUUGACCUUGUCUUUGCUUCUUCUGGAGUUAUUGCUUCAUCACCAAGUAGGAGCUUGAAGGGUGUAAAUCAUGUUGACCUUGACGCAGUUGUGUUGUGGAUCCACACCACUUUAGUCAGCUUGUCUGGCCACUUUCCUCUGGGCUGAUUGAAUAUUAGCUUCAUUAUUCCUGUCAUUAUAAUGUCAUUCGCUCUUUCUACCAGCCCAUUUGAUUCUGGAUGCCUAACAGAUGCAAAGUUAAUCUUCGUACCAAUUUGGUUGCAAAAAUCCUUGAAUGCUUUAGCCUCAAAUUGAGUGCCAUUGUCCACGGUUAUUGCCUUUGGGACGCCGAAGCGACAAACAAUAUUUUGCCAGAAGAAUUAUUGGACGGUAGCCGAAGUUAUUGUAGCCAAGGGCUUCGCCUCAAUCCACUUGGAAAAAUAUUCCACUACCACUACAACAUACUUCAAGUUGCCUUGUGCUGGUGGGAGUGGACCCAACAAAUCUAGGCCCCAUCUUUGCAAUGGCCAGGUUGGCUGUAUUAGCUGAGUCAACGACGAAGGUUAUUUCUGAUCUCUUGCACAUUUUUGACAGUUUUUGCACUUUUGAACCAGAUCCGCUACAUCCGAAGCUGCCUUCAGCCAAUAAAAUCCUUGUCUGAAAACCUUUCCCAGCAAAGGCCUAGACCUAAUGUGAGAUCCACACAAACCUGCAUGUAUCUCUUUCAUUAACUCUAUGCCUUCGGUUCUGGAUAAACACUUGAGAAGUGGGGAACAAACUCCAAGUUUGUAUAGCUCCCCUUCUAUUAUGACGUAUGGUCUUGUCCUAGCUUCCAUCCUUUUAUUAUAGACUUCGUCAUCUGAAAGACAGUUGCCUUGGAGGAAGGAUAUAAUUUCAGUCCUCCAAUCUUUACUAUGUACAGGUGAUAUUGUAAGGACCGCUCUCUCCAUAAGUUCAACCGAAUGUGCUUUUAUAGUAUCAAAGAAUACUUCUGUAGCUAGGGGAAGCCCCCGUGCUGCUAACUUGGCCAAUAGGUCUGCAUGCUCAUUUUCCCCUCUUGGAAUAUUUUUUACAGAAAAACCUUCGAAAAAAAGCCUCUAGCCUUCGGACUGCAUCCAAAUAUUUUUCAAGCUUCGGGUCCCUUGCUUUGCUGCUUUUAUCCACAUGGCCAGAGAUGACUUGGUAGUCAGUUUUAAGAAUCGCCCUUCUUAUGCCCAUUGCCUUUAGCUUCCGAAGCCCCAACAGAAGGGCUUCGUAUUCAGCAAUGUUAUUUGUACAACUAAAGUCCAGUCUUGCUGCAUAGCAUGUUCUGACUUUAGAGGGCACUACUAGGACAGUAGCGGCUCCUGCACCGAAGGUUCCCCAAGAACCAUCACAGAAAACUGUCCAAGCUUCGGCAUCCUUUGUUACUUCUUCCUGAGCCCCUGGCGUCCAAUCAGCGAUGAAAUCUGCUAACGCCUGGGACUGAAUUGAGGACCUAUGCACAUAGUCAAUAGUGAAUUCAUUGAGCUCCGCAGCCCAUUUUCCAAUCCUUCCAGUAGCUUCUCUAUUCCUCAUUAUGUCCUUCAAAGGCUGUGAUGAAGGAACAAUUAUAUGAUAUGCUUGGAAAUAAUGUCGAAGCUUCCUGGAGGCCAUUAACACAGCAUACAACACCUUCUCCAAUUAUGUAUAGUUUUUCUUUGAUAAGCUUAGAACUUCGGAGACAAAAUAUACUGGGGCUUGCCUUUUGACUUGGCCAUCUUACUUCUCCUAUACAAGCGCUGCACUGACUGCAGAAUGAGAAGCUGCUACAUACAAGAGUAAUGGAGCCACUGGCAAAGGUGGAGUUAGAGUUGUUAGAUCUAUCAAAUACUACUUUAAUUCUUCAAAAGCCUUUUGCUGAGCCGGACCCCACUGAAAAACUUUGGCUAACUUUAAAAUUUCAAAGAAUGGCAGGUUCCUCUCUGCUGAUCUUGAUAUGAAUCUAUUCAAUGAUGCCAGCCUUCCUGCCAAUCGUUGAGCCCCCUUUUUUGAAUUUGGCGGCUCCAUCCGAAGGAUAGCUUCGAUUUUAUUUGGAUUGGCUUUGAUUCCCUUUGUCGAUACUAGACAACCAAGGAACUUGCCCUUCUUUACUCCAAAAACACACUUUUUUGGAUUUAAUUUCAGACCAGCUUGCCUGAAAUUGGCAAAUGUCUCCUGCAAGUUAGCAAUGUGAUUCUCUUGCUUCAUGCUCUUCACUAUGAUGUCAUCAACAUAAGUCAGCACAUUCUUGCCUAUUUGAGAAUGAAGGACCUUGGCUGUCAUUCUGCUGAAGCUUCCUCCAGCAUUCUUGAGCCCCUCAGGCAUCCGAAGGUAGCAAUAAGUGCCACUGGGAGUUAUGAAGCUAGUCUUUGGCUCAUCUUCUUUCUUCAUCCAUAUCUGAUGAUAUCCUGAGUAACAGUCUAAUAGACUCAUGAGCUCCGAAGAAGUUGCUGCAUCCACAAGGGAGUCUAUUCUUGGCAAUGGGAACUCGUCCUUUAGACAUGCUUUGUUGAGGUCUGUGAAAUCAAUACACAUUCUCCAUUUGCCAUUAGCCUUCUUCACCAUAAUAGUGUUGGCUAGCCAUUCUGGAUAUUUUACUUCUCUGAUAACUCUAGCACUGAGAAGUCUUUUUACUUCAUUCCGAGCACCCUCAGCCUUAUCCUCAGACAUCUUCCGAAGCCUCUGCUUCCUUGGCCUGAAAGAUGGAUCUACAUUAAGUGAAUGUUCAAUAACAUCUCUGUUGACACCACAAAGAUCAUUGGCUGUCCAAGCAAAAACAUCUUUGUUGUUGAACAAAAACCUUAUCAGUGUUUUUUCUUGCUCAUCAGAUAGCUGAGAUCCCAGCAGUACCCUUUGAUCUGCUAUAUCUUCACAUAGAAGCAUAGGCUUCGGCUGAUCUGCCGAAACAGCCUUCUCUCUUUUGUGCUUAUAUUGUUGACAAGCUUCGGCUCCAUCUAUGUUGUGGAUUGCCUUUGAAUCUGUCCAACUCCCUUUGACCCUUCUGGCAGCUUCUUGACUUCCAUGAAUAGCAAUGGGCCCUUGUGAUAGAAGACGCGGCCCGAUCUUCUGUGAGAUACGAUAACUUGAUUAAGUGGAGAUCUCGACGUUGAUGAUCCAAGGCUCCAAGCAAACGGUUCCUCGCAAUCACUACACCACGGCUCCGUUGGUUAUCACCCGUGACACACGAAUGACCUCGCCAUGAAGGCUUAUCCCUGCAAGCGCAAUCAAGAACACAAGCAAGAACAGGAAAGAAACACAACCAAAAUUGUAUUGAUUACGGGAUGGGGUCUCACAAACCGAUGACGGCGACACUGUACGAUGACAGAAUUGAUCUAAGCAAAACCCCCAAACCUAAUGUGGUGGCGGCUGCUGAAUAAAUAGAGUAUUAGGGCGUGCAUGACCCCUAGACUCGCCCCUAAUGGGCUCCGACGCGAUACACGGCCCAACAGACGGUGUCGCAGCACCAAAAUAGAAUCUGAACGCUGAAUUGUUUCGACAAUUCCUAUUGACUCCAGAUGAAUUUUAGGGUGGAACUAUUUGGGUUGGUUAGAUAAUCUCUUUAUCUUUCCAACCACAUCAAGUCUGUCACAAUCGGAGUCUGGAUGCAUCUUGGGCGUCCAUUUUAGUGUAGACUGGUCCUGGAACCCGAGAUGGAGUCGCAGCCGAGUCAGACUUGAUCUCCUUCCUAUUGUGGGCGUCCUUGCUGCUCCUCCUCAACACCUAGGCCUUUCCAAAGUCCUUGCUGGUCCUCUCCAAGGUUCCUAAUCAUCAAAACAUCCAUGGCCCCAAGCGUAAGCUCUAAAACACAAUUAACUAGGGUAGAACGUACCUGGAGAUUUAGCUGUCGUGCAUGUGAUCGUGUUAUCGAUCCAUUCAUUGUAUGUAUAGAAGUGAUGUCCUCAUCAUCCUCCUCCUCUUGAAUUGGAGUCGACCUCGACUCGAUCUCAUCUUCGUCACCCAUAUAUGGCUUCAAAUCUGAAAUGUUAAAGGUGGGACUAACCCCAAAAUCUGGCGGCAACUCAAGUGUAUAUGCAUUAUCAUUAAUUUUUGCAAGAACUUUAUAAGGACCUGCAGCUCGUGGCAUAAGUUUAGACUUUCUCAAAUCAGGAAACCUAUCCUUUCUCAAAUGAACCCACACCAAGUCACCAGGUUCCAAUUUCAUUUCCUUCCUACCUUUAUUAGUGGCAAUACGAUACUUUUCAUUCAUCUUUUCAAUUUGCAACUUAGUUGUUUCAUGUAACUUAAGAAUGAAUUCAGAACGUUGCGUAGCAUCCAAGUUUACUAUUUCAGAAGUUGGUAAAGGUAGCAAAUCAAUUGGAGCACAAGGAUUAAAACCAUAUACUACCAUAAAUGGACUAAGCUUGGUUGUGGAAUGAAUUGAUCUGUUAUAAGCAAACUCAAUAUGUGGCAAACAUUCCUCCCACAACCUCAAAUUAUCCUUCAAAAUAGCCCGCAACAUGGUAGAUAAAGUGCGAUUAACAACCUCUGUUUGCCCGUCAGUUUGGGGAUGACAAGUAGUAGAAAACAACAACUUUGUUCCUAAUUUAAACCACAAGGUUCUCCAAAAAUAACUUAAAAACUUAGCAUCCCUAUCAGAAACAAUAGUAUUUGGCACACCAUGCAAACACACAAUCUCAGUGAAGAACAAAUCAGCAACAUGUGACGCAUUAUCAGUUUUGUGACAGGGUAUAAAAUGUGCCAUCUUUGAAAAACGAUCGACAACAACAAAAACACUAUCACUCCCCCUCUUUGUUCUAGGCAAUCCCAAAACAAAAUCCAUAGAAAUAUCCUCCCAAGGUGCACGAGGAACAGGAAGAGGCAAAUAAAGACCAUGGGGGUUAAGUCGGGACUUAGCUUUGUUGCACGUGGUGCAACGAGAGAUGUAGCGCUCAACAUCACGUCGCAUCCAAGGCCCAUAGAAAUGAGUAAACAACACAUCCUCGGUCUUCUUAACACCAAAAUGUCCCAUCAAGCCACCUACAUGUGCUUCCUGCAAGAGUAGAAGACGAACGGAGCUAGCUAGAACACACAACUUGUUAGCACGGUAGAGAAGGCCUUCACGCAGCAUAAAUUUUUGCCACGUUCUUCCCUCUCUGCAAUUUUCAAAAGCUUCUUUGAAGUCCAAAUCAGUAGCAUAUAAUUCCUUUAUAGUCUCCAAACCAAAGAUUUUAUGAUUAAGUUGGGACAGCAUAGUAUAACGUCUAGAUAAAGCAUCAGCAAUCACAUUAUCCUUUCCUUUUUUAUGCUUAAUAAUGUAAGGAAAUGAUUCUAUGAAUUCAAUCCAUUUAGCAUGUCGUUUGUUUAGAUUAGAUUGUCCCUUAAGAUACUUCAAAGAUUCAUGAUCUGAAUGUAUGACAAAUUCUUUAGACCAUAGAUAAUGUUGCCAAGUUUGUAAAACUCGUACUAAAGCAUAUAAUUCUUUGUCAUAUGUAGAAUAAUUCAGAGUUGGACCAUGCAAUUUUUCACUAAAGAAAGCAACAGGUUUACCUCCUUGAAUGAGCACUCCUCCAAUCCCAAUGUCGCUCGCAUCACACUCGAGCUCGAAUGUCUUGUCAAAAUUAGGAAGUUGCAGUAGUGGUGCUUGUGUGAGCUUCGACUUGAGGGCAUCAAAUGCUUGUUGUUGUGAUGGUCCCCAACAAAACAGCUCUCCAUUCUUUGUCAACUCAUGGAGAGGUGCUGCAAUGGUGCUGAAAUCCCGCAUAAAUCACCUAUAGAAUCCUGCAAGACCAAGAAAACUUCGAACCUGCAUGACCGUGGUUGGAAGUGGCCAGCUCGUGAUGGCAACAAUUUUUGCCUCAUCCAUCUCAAUGCCCUGCGAUGUCACAACAUAUCCAAGAAAAGACACACGAUCAAUGCUGAAGGUGCACUUCUCAAGGUUACCAAAUAAACGUGCAUCACACAAAACAUCAAAAACUACACAUAAAUGUUCAAUAUGAUCAUCAUGAGACUUACUAUAGAUAAGAAUAUCAUCAAAAUAUACCACCACAAAUUUACCAAUGAAAGCACGUAAAACCUCGUUCAUCAAUCUCAUGAAAGUGUUAGGUGCAUUAGUUAACCCAAAAGGCAUGACUAACCACUCAUAAAGACUGAACUUAGUUUUAAAUGCAGUUUUCCAUUCAUCACCUAAAGACAUAUGAAUCUGGUGGUAUCCACUAUGCAAGUCAAUUUUAGAGAAAACAAUAGAACCACUUAAUUCAUCAAGCAUGUCAUCCAAUCUAGGAAUAGGAUAUCUAUACCAAAUUGUGAUGUUAUUAAUGGCUCUACAAUCAACACACAUGCGCCAAGUGCCAUCUUUCUUAGGAACCAAAAGAACAAGAAUUGAACAAGGACUAAGGCUCUCACGAAUGUACCCGCUGUCUACAAGGUCCUGGACCUGGCGCUGAAUCUCCUUAGUCUCCUCGGGGUUGGUCCUGUAGGCAGCAUGGUUGGGCAAGCUCGCCCUGGAAUUAAAUCAAUCUUGUGCUCAAUGCCUCGCACAGGUGGUAAUCCAGAGGGUAUCUCAGAGGGAAACACAUCCAUAUACUCUUGCAAAAGGUUAGUAAUAGCCGGUGGCAAAGCAAUAGACGUAUCAUCAAUGGAAUAGAAAGCAUUUUUGCACACUAAGGCAUAGCAAAGUCCAACAGAGGCAUGUAACUCAUCAAGAUCAGAUUUAGUGGCUAGCAAAGUAGGAGUUUUUAACUUAAUAGGUUGCUGAUUUUCAGAGUUCAAAACACCUUUUUGCUUAGCAUUAGUCUUUUUCUCAUGUUCAAAGUGGACAAUUUUAGUGAGAGUCAUAGGAAGCAACACAAUUUUCUUUCCCUUAUGCAUGAAAGUAUAUUUAUUAGAUCUACCAUGGUGAAUAGCAUCAGUAUCAAACUCCCAAGGACGUCCCAGUAAAAGAGAGCAAGCAUCCAUACUCACCACAUCGAAAUCAGAGAAGUCAUGGUAAGAGCCAAUAGAAAAAAUGCACCCUUGCUGUUUUUGUUACUUUAAACUUACCGUUGUUGUUAAACCAUUGAAUGUGAUAAGGGUGGGGAUGCUCUUGUGUGGUCAAGCCAAGCUUCUUGACCACCUCAACAUUCACCAAGUUGUUGCAGCUACCACCGUCAAUGAUGGUAUGUACACGGCAGUCCUUGACGAUGAGGAACAUGUUGAAGAGGUUGUGGUGCUGUCUGUUGUCAUCGUCACUAGCCGUGGCACUCAAAGCUCGUUGCACAAUCAAGGCCUUAUAGGUCUCGGUCGUUGUUGUACCAAGAACCUCUUCAUCACCAUCAUAAGUCUCUGCAAUGUUAGCUCCAAUAGUAUCUUCAUCUUCAACAUCAGAAGCACUAACAUACCCACCAUCACCAGUAGCAAUGUAUGCUCAUUUGCUGGGGCAAUCUCGCUGAAUAUGGCCAAGUCCCUGGCAGCGGUGGCACUUGAUGUCGGAGGAGCGGCCUGUGGAAGAGGUGGUCGUAGUAGGUUUUGCUGCAACACCCGAAGGCACCAAGGACUUGCUGUUGUUGUGUCCUUGUGAUGCCGAAGGUGCGGUGAUGUGGACGUCCGUACGCCCGAAGAGGAUGAUGCCGGUGGCUGGCGUGGCGCGAAAGUGCUGCUCCUCCGCUGUUGACGACCCUACAAUUCUUUUUCUGUCAACAUAGAAAGAUGGAACAAGCAUUGUAUAGAAUGAUAUUCUUUAUAAUCAACAAUAUCCUGAAUCUCCCGCCUCAAGCUCCCAUAAAACCUAACCAUUUGAUCCUCCGGAUCCUCAACUACCCCACAUUGUAGCAUACCUUUCUAAAGCUCUUGGUAGUAUUCCUGUACCGACAUGUCUCCCUGAUCUAAGAGUUGCAAUUUUUUUCGAAGAUCACGUCUAUAAGAAGGGGGAACAAAGUGAGCUCGCAUCUCCUCUUUUAACGCAUUCCAUGUUUGUGGUGCAACACGUGUGUUAACAAGUUCAAUCCACCAAAUGAUAGCAAAAUCUCUAAAUUCACUAGUGGCUUGUCUAACCCUAUGUUGCUCAGGAACAAGAUGGGAAUUAAAUUUUUGUUCUACCGUCAUCUCCCAGUCUAAGUAAGCUUCAGCAUCAUAAGAACCCAUGAACAGUGGAAUAGAGAACUUAAUCUUAGCAAAUGGAUCAUGGUCUGGUUUAGGAUUAUGAUGACGACGUCUACCAUUACCUCCCAUACCUUGUCGAUUACGUGCAAGGCGUUGUCGCAGCGGUGCAUAAACAUCGUCGUCAUCGUCAUCGUCGUCCACAGGAGAGUGAGCUAGGGCUGGAGUUGGUGGGGGGAUGAGCCUCCAGUCCGUCCAUGCGUGUAACAAGUUCAGCAACUCAUCGAUCAAGUUGCUCAUAGGAUGUCACCAUAGAGUCCUGGUAUUUUUUAAAAGCUUCAGUCAUCGCGCGUAUCAUCUCCUUCAAUUCCAUCUGAGAGCCACACUCAUCGUCGUUAAACUUAGGCCCUUGUCCUUGUCCAUUUGAUUCUUUGGUCCUAUCAUUGUGAAAGGGAAAUGUGCCCUUGGGCCAUUUCUAAGUAUUUCGGUGAUUGAGUGCCAACACAAGUGCUUAAGUGUUAAUCUAUGCCAAUUGAUGGACAAAGUGCAAAUCAAGAGUAAAGGUAUGUUUCUAAGACUCAGUAUAUUGUUUUGGAGACUAAUGUAUUGUGUCUAAGUGCUAGAAAUAGGAAAAGACCAAUUUGGAAAAGACUUGGCUAAGCAGCCAAGACUCUGCGCAGUCUGGGUGCACCGGACUGUCCGGUGGUGCACCGGACAGUGUCCGGUGCGCCAGGCUGGCAACUGUCAACUGGCUGCUCUCGGGAAGCGAUUAACGGCGUGCGGCUAUAAAUCACCGGACUGUCCGGUGGUGCACCGGACUGUCCGGUGAGCCAUUCACAGGCGAAGUCAUCGCUCUCGGGAAGCGAUUAACGGCGUACGGCUAUAAAUCACCGGACUGUCCGGUGGUGCACCGGACUGCCCGGUGAGCCAACGGUCGGCUGGGCCAACGGUCGGCCGCGUAAUCCGCGCGCGAUGCGUGGCCGAGCCAACGGUCAGAAGGGGGCACCGGACUGUCCGGUGUGCACCGGACAGUGUUUGGUGCGCCAACGGCUCUGGAUCUUCAACGGUCGGCUGCGCCACAGAUGGAAAGAAAUCCGCACCGGACAGUGUCCGGUGGUGCACCGGACUAUCCGGUGCGCCAGGCGACAGAAGGCAAAAAUUGCCUUCCUGGAAUGCUCUCAACGGCUCCUAGCUGCCUUGGGGCUAUAAAAGGGACCCCUAGGCGCAUGGAGGAGACCACCAAGUAUUCUCUAAGCAUUCCUAAGCACCAAGACUUCAAUUCCACGCAUUCGAUUCUUUGUGAUAACAACUAGAGCUCCAUUUGAGUAGUGUACUCUUCGGGUUGUGUUGAGAGCUUGUGUUGCGACCUGUGUGCGUGUUGUUGCUCUGAUUUUGUGUCUUGUGUGCGUUGCUCAUCCCAACCUUACUUCCGUGAUUCUUUGUGAACAUCUUUGUAAGGGCGAGAGGCUCCAAGUUGUGGAGAUUCCUCGCAAGCGGGAUAUAGUAAAGCAAAGCAAAACACCGUGGUAUUCAAGUGGGUCUUUGGACCGCUUGAGAGGGGUUGAUUGCAACCCUCGUCCGUUGGGACGCCACAACGUGGAGUAGGCAAGUGUUGGACUUGGCCGAACCACGGGAUAAACCACUGUGCCAUCUUUGUGUUGAUCUUCUUGUGGUUAUCGUGUCUUGCAAAAACUCCUCUCUAGCCACUUGGCUUUAUUGUGCUAACUCCUAAUCAAGUUUUGUGGCAUUAAGUUUCAAGUUUUUACAGGAUCACCUAUUCACCCCCCCCCCCUCUAGGUGCUCUCAAUUGGUAUCGGAGUCGUUCUCUUCAAGAAAGGGACUAAUCGCCCGAAGAGAUGGAUCCUAAGGGCAAGGGGAUGGUGGUCAAUGAUAAGGAGAAGGAGUCCUUCAUCAAUGAUCCAAAGGAUGACAAGCCUACUGACUCGGGGUCGGGCCACAAAAGAAAAGACGGGAAGAAGAAGAAAACGAGGCGCAUCAAGGAGAUCAUCUACUACGACGACAGCGACGAGUCCUCUUCUUCCCAAAAGGACAACGACGACAACGACUACGAGAAAAAGAAAACAGUCAAUUCAAACUUUUCUUUUGAUUACUCUCGUAUUCCGCAAAGUACCAAUGCACAUUUACUCUCCAUUCCACUUGGUAAACCUCCUCACCUUGAUGGAGAGGACUACGGAUUUUGGAGUCACAAAAUGCGUAGUCACUUGUUCUCUCUCCAUCCAAGCAUAUGGGAGAUAGUAGAGAGUGGAAUGAAAUUUGAUAGUACUGAUAGUCCCAUGCUCAUUAAUGAGCAAAUUCACAAAAAUGCACAAGCUACUACUGUUCUUCUAGCUUCAUUGUGCAGGGACGAAUACCAUAAGGUGAGCGGCUUGGAUAACGCCAAGCAGAUUUGGGACACCCUCAAGAUCUCACAUGAGGGGAACGACGUCACCAUGCUCACCAAGAUGGAGUUGGUGGAGGGCGAACUUGGGAGAUUCGCAAUGAUCAGGGGCGAGGAGCCAACCCAAAUGUACAACCGGCUCAAGACCCUCGUCAACAAAAUAAGGAGCUAUGGAAGCACGCGAUGGACGGACCACGACGUCGUCCGCCUAAUGCUAAGGUCUUUUAUCGUCCUUGAUCCACAUCUUGUGAACAAUAUUCGUGAGAAUCCUAGGUACACCAAGAUGACGCCCGAGGAGAUACUUGGAAAGUUUGUAAGCGGGCGGAUGAUGAUCAAGGAGGCAAGAUACAUUGACGAUGCGUUGAACGGCCCUAUCCACGAGCCUCAAACUGUUGCUCUCAAAGCAACGAGGAGCAAGGAAGUACUACCUAGCAAAGUGGCACAAGUUGAGGCGGCAGGACUCAAUGAGGAAGAGAUGGCCCUCAUCAUCAAGCGUUUCAAGACGGCGCUAAGGGGUCGCAAGGAGCAUCCCAACAAGACCAAGACGAAGGGGAAGCGCUCAUGCUUCAAAUGUGGUAAGAUUGGUCAUUUUAUCGCUAAUUGUCCCGAUAAUGAUAGUGACCAGGAACAAGGGAACAAGAGGGAAAAGAAAAAGGCGUACAAGAAGGCUAAGGGCGAGGCACACCUUGGCAAGGAGUGGGACUCGGAUUGUUCGUCGUCCGACUCUGACAACGAAGGACUCGCCGCCACCGCCUUCAACAAGUCAUCCCUCUUCCCCAACGAGCAUCACACUUGCCUCAUGGCAAGGGAAAAGAAGGUAAGCACUCGUAAUACUAGUACUUACACUUCCUCAAGUGAUGAAGAAUCUAGCGAUGAUGAAAUAAACUAUUCAUGUUUAUUCAAGGGCUUAGAUAGAACUAAGGUUGAUAAGAUUAAUGAAUUGAUUGAUGCUUUGAAUGAUAAGAAUAGAUUAUUAGAAAAGAAAGAGGAUAUUUUGUAUGAAGAACAUGAUAAGUUUGUAGAGGCUCAAAAAUCCCUUGCUUUAGAAAUUAAAAGGAAUGAAAUGCUUUCUUGUGAAUUGUCUACAUGCCAUGACUCUAUUUCUAGCUUAAAUAGCAUAAAUGAUGAUUUGUAUGCUAAGUUAGAAAUAGCUAAUAAAUCAACAUCUUGUGUAGAACAUGUUACAAUUUGCAAUAGGUGUAAAGAUUUCAAUAUUGAUGCUUGUAGCGAACACCUAGCUUCAAUUUUUAAAUUGAAUGAUGAAGUGGCUAGUCUUAAUGCCCAACUUAAAACUAGCAAGAGUGAAUUUGACAAAAUAAAAUUUGCAAGGGAUGCCUACACUAUUGGUAGACACCCCUCAAUUAAGGAUGGGCUUGGCUUUAAGAGAGAAGCCAAGAACUUAACAAGUCAUAAAGCUCCCAUUCCCGCCAAAGAGAAAGGGAAGGCUCCUAUGACUAAUAGUAGUCAUAAGAAUCAUGCUUUCAUUUAUGGUGAUAAGAAAUAUUCUAGAAAUGUUCAUUAUGAUAGGAGUUAUAAUGCUUAUGAUUCAAAUGCCAAGUUUGCUUCAAGUUCUUCCUAUGUGCAUGGUAGAGAUAUGCCUAGGAGAAAUGUCAUUCAUCAUAUGCCUAGGAGAAAUGUUGCUCAUGUUCCUAGGAAAAUUAAUGAACCUUCUACAAUUUAUCAUGCUUGCAAUGCUUCCUUUGCAAUUUGUAGAAAGGAUAGAAAGGUGAUUGCUAGGAAAUUAGGGGCAAAAUGCAAGGGAGACAAAACUUGCAUUUGGGUCCCUAAGGAUAUUGUCACUAACCUUGUAGGACCCAACAAGAGUUGGGUACCUAAGACCCAAGCCUAAAUUUGCCUUGCAGGUUUAUGCAUCCGGGGGAUCAAGCUGGAUUAUCGAUAGCGGAUGCACAAACCACAUGACGGGGGAGAAGAAGAUGUUCACCUCCUACGUCAAGAACAAGGAUUCCCAAGAUUCAAUCAUAUUCGGUGAUGGAAACCAAGGCAAGGUGAAAGGGUUAGGAAAGAUUGCUAUUUCAUGCGAGCACUCCAUUUCUAAUGUGUUUUUAGUUGAGUCGCUUGGAUAUAAUUUGUUAUCUGUAAGUCAACUUUGUAAUAUGGGAUAUAAUUGUUUAUUCACAAAUGUAGAUGUGUCUGUCUUUAGAAGAAGUGAUGGUUCAUUAGCUUUUAAGGGUGUACUAGACGGCAAACUUUAUUUAGUUGAUUUUGCAAAAGGGGAGGCCAUUCUAGAUGCAUGCUUAAUUGCUAAGACUAGCAUGGGCUGGCUAUGGCAUCGCCGUUUAGCACAUGUGGGAAUGAAGAACCUUCACAAGCUUCUAAAGGGAGAACACGUGAUAGGUCUAACUAAUGUAACUUUCGAAAAAGAUAGACCUUGUGCAGCUUGUCAAGCAGGUAAACAGGUGGGAAGCUCUCAUCAUACCAAAAAUGUGAUGACCACAUCAAGACCUUUGGAGUUGCUUCAUAUGGACCUCUUUGGACCCGUCGCCUAUCUAAGUGUAGGAGGAAGUAAGUAUGGUCUUGUUAUAGUUGAUGAUUUUUCCCGCUUCACUUGGGUAUUCUUCUUGCAGGAUAAAUCUGAAACCCAAGGGACCCUCAAGCGCUUCCUAAGGAGAGCUCAAAAUGAGUUUGAGCUCAAGGUGAAGAAGAUAAGGAGCGACAACGGGUCCGAGUUCAAGAACCUUCAAGUGGAGGAGUACCUUGAGGAGGAAGGGAUCAAGCACGAGUUCUCCGCUCCCUACACACCACAGCAAAAUGGUGUGGUAGAGAGGAAGAACGGGACGCUCAUAGACAUGGCGAGGACGAUGCUUGGAGAUUUUAAGACCCCCGAGCGGUUUUGGUCGGAAGCCGUGAACACGGCUUGCCACGCCAUCAACCGGGUAUACCUUCACCGCCUCCUCAAGAAGACUUCGUAUGAGCUUCUAACCGGUAACAAACCCAAUGUGUCUUACUUUUGUGUAUUUGGGAGCAAAUGCUAUAUUCUAGUGAAGAAAGGUAGAAAUUCUAAGUUUGCUCCCAAAGCUGUAGAAGGGUUUUUGUUAGGUUAUGACUCAAAUACAAAGGCGUAUAGAGUCUUCAACAAAUCAUCGGGUUUGGUUGAAAUCUCUAGCGACGUUGUAUUUGAUGAGACUAAUGGCUCUCCAAGAGAGCAAGUUGUUGAUCUUGAUGAUGUAGAUGAAGAAGACGUUCCAACGGCCGCAAUACGCACCAUGGCAAUUGGAGAUGUGCGGCCACAGGAACAAAAGGAGCAAGAUCAACCUUCUUCCUCUACAAUGGUGCAUCCCCCAACUCAAGACGAUGAACAGGUUCAUCAAAAAGAGGCGUGCGAUCAAGGGGGAGCACAAAAUGAUCAUGUGAUGGAGGAAGAAGCACAACCGGCACCUCCAACCCAAGUUCGAGCGACGAUUCAAAGGAAUCAUCCCAUCGACCAAAUUUUGGGUGAUAUUAGCAAGGGAGUAACUACUCGCUCUAGAUUAGUUAAUUUUUGUGAGCAUUACUCCUUUGUCUCUUCUAUUGAGCCUUUCAGGGUAGAAGAGGCCUUGCUAGAUCCGGACUGGGUGUUGGCCAUGCAAGAGGAGCUCAAUAAUUUCAAGAGAAAUGAAGUCUGGACACUGGUGCCUCGUCCCAAGCAAAAUGUUGUGGGAACCAAGUGGGUGUUCCGCAACAAACAAGACGAGCACGGGGUGGUGACAAGGAACAAGGCUCGACUUGUGGCAAAAGGUUAUGCCCAAGUCGCAGGUUUGGACUUUGAGGAGACUUUUGCUCCUGUGGCUAGGCUAGAGUCCAUUCAUAUUUUGCUAGCAUAUGCCGCUCACCAUUCUUUCAGGUUGUUCCAAAUGGAUGUGAAGAGCGCUUUCCUCAACGGGCCAAUCAAGGAGGAGGUGUACGUGGAGCAACCCCCUGGCUUCGAGGAUGAACGGUACCCUGACCACGUUUGUAAGCUCUCUAAGGCGCUCUAUGGACUUAAGCAAGCCCCAAGAGCAUGGUAUGAAUGCCUUAGAGACUUUUUAAUUGCUAAUGCUUUCAAGGUUGGGAAAGCCGAUCCGACUUUAUUCACUAAGACUUGUGAUGGUGAUUUAUUUGUGUGCCAAAUUUAUGUCGAUGACAUAAUAUUUGGUUCUACUAACCAAAAGUCUUGUGAAGAGUUUAGCAGGGUGAUGACUCAGAAAUUCGAGAUGUCGAUGAUGGGCGUUGAACUACUUCCUUGGGUUCCAAGUGAAGCAACUCAAGGACGGCACCUUCAUCUCCCAAACAAAGUACACGCAAGACUUGCUAAAGUGGUUUGGGAUGAAGGACGCCAAGCCCGCAAAGACUCCGAUGGGAACUGACGGACACGUCGACCUCAACAAGGGAGGUAAGUCCGUUGAUCAAAAAGCAUACCGGUCUAUGAUAGGUUCCUUGCUUUACUUAUGUGCUAGUAGACCGGAUAUUAUGCUUAGCUUAUGCAUGUGUGCUAGAUUUCAAUCCGAUCCAAGGGAGUGUCACUUAGUGGCCGUGAAGCGAAUUCUUAGAUAUUUAGUCGCUAUGCCUUGCUUCGGGAUCUGAUAUCCAAAGGGGUCUACCUUUGACUUAAUUGGAUAUUCAGACUCCGAUUAUGCUGGAUGUAAGGUUGAUAGGAAGAGUACAUCGGGGACGUGCCAAUUCUUAGGAAGGUCCCUAGUGUCAUGGAGUUCUAAGAAACAAACUUUCGUUGCCCUAUCCACCGCUGAGGCCGAGUACGUUGCCGCAGGACAGUGUUGCGUGCAACUACUUUGGAUGAGGCAAACCCUCCGGGACUUUGGCUACAAUCUGAGCAAAGUCCCACUCCUAUGUGACAAUGAGAGUGUUAUCCGCAUAGCGGACAAUCCUGUUGAGCACAGCCGCACAAAGCACAUUGACAUCCGGCAUCACUUUUUGAGAGACCACCAGCAAAAGGGAGAUAUCGAAGUGUUCUAUAUUAGCACCGAGAACCAGCUAGCCGAUAUCUUUACCAAGCCUUUAGAUGAGAAGACCUUUUGCAGGCUGCGUAGUGAGCUAAAUGUCUUAGAUUCGCAGAACCUGGAUUGAUUUAUAGCAUACAUGUGUCUUAUGCUUUGAUCAUGUUCUCUUAUGCAUUUUGUUUAUUUAUGGUGCUCAAGUUGUACAAACUCUCCCCGGACCUCAAAAGUCCAUGUGUGAGUGAUGCACAUAUUUAGGGGGAGAUGUGCUACAACUUGGCCCUUUUGAGACUAAUGAUGUGUUUGAGCUUGCUUGAUUUAGCCUCAAAGGAGGAUUGAAAGGGAAAAGGUGAACUUGGACCAUGCAAGACUUCCACUGCACUCCGAUGAGAGGGUAACUCACUCCAAGUUCAUCUCCAUAUUCUUAUUGCCUUUGUACUCUUGUUUGAAGAUUUUGGUGAGGCAAUGGGGUUUAAGGGCCAAGAUUGAUCUCGUUUUGGUGCUUGAUGCCAAAGGGGGAGAAAAUAAGGCCAAAGCAAUAAAUGGAUCAGCUACCACUUGAGAAUUUUGAAAAUAGUAGAAUAGAGCUUUUGGUUUGUCAAAACUCUCUUGUUGUCUCUUUGUCAAAAGUUGGCCUCUUGUGGGGAGAAUAGUUGAUUAUGGGAAAAAGGGGAGUUUUUGAAAUCUUUGAUCAAUUUCUCUUGGAACAACUCUCUUUAUGUCUCAACAAGUGUGUUUGACUUAGAGAUAGGAAUUCGAGGUUGAUUUGCAAAAACAAAACCAAGUGGUGGCAAAGAAUGAUCCAAAUAUGCCAAAUUUAAAUCAAAACAAAUUUGUAUUCUCAUUUGCAUUGAUGUUGCACUUCUUUAGUUGCUUUUUGUUGUGUUGGCAUAAAUCACCAAAAAGGGGGAGAUUGAAAGGGAAAUGUGCCCUUGGGCCAUUUCUAAGUAUUUCGGUGAUUGAGUGCCAACACAAGUGCUUAAGUGUUAAUCUAUGCCAAUUGAUGGACAAAGUGCAAAUCAAGAGUAAAGGUAUGUUUCUAAGACUCAGUACAUUGUUUUGGAGACUAAUGUAUUGUGUCUAAGUGCUAGAAACAGGAAUUGACCAAUUUGGAAAAGACUUGGCUAAGCAGCCAAGACUCUGCGCAGUCUGGGUGCACCGGACAGUGUCCGGUGCGCCAGGCUGGCGACUAUCAACUGGCUGCUCUCGGGAAGCGAUUAACAGCGUGUGGCUAUAAAUCACCGGACUGUCCGGUGGUGCAUCGGACUGUCCGGUGAGCCAUUCACAGGUGAAGUCAUCGCUCUCGGGAAGCGAUUAACGGCAUACAGCUAUAAAUCAUCGGACUGUCCGGUGGUGCACCGGACUGUCCGGUGAGCCAACGGUCGGCCGGGCCAACGGUCGGCCGCGUAAUCCGCGCGCGACAUGUGGCCGAGCCAACGGUCAGAAGGGGGCACCGGACUGUCCGGUGUGCACCGGACAGUGUCCGGUGUGCCAACGGCUCUGGAUCUUCAACGGUCGGCUGCGCCACAGAUGGAAAGAAAUCCGCACCGGACAGUGUCCGGUGGUGCACCGGACUGUCCGGUGCGCCAGGCGACAGAAGGCAAAAAUUGCCUUCCUGGAAUGCUCUCAACGGCUCCUAGCUGCCUUGGGGCUAUAAAAGGGACCCCUAGGCCAUGGAGGACACCACCAAGUAUUCUCUAAGCAUUCCUAAGCACCAAGACUUCAAUUCCGCGCAUUCGAUUCUUUGUGAUAGCAACUAGAGCUCCAUUUGAGUAGUGUACUCUUUGGGUUGUGUUGAGAGCUUGUGUUGCGACCUGUGUGCGUGUUGUUGCUCUGAUUUUGUGUCUUGUGUGCGUUGCUCAUCCCAACCUUACUUCCGUGAUUCUUUAUGAACAUCUUUGUAAGGGCGAGAGGCUCCAAGUUGUGGAGAUUCCUCGCAAGCGGGAUAUAGUAAAGCAAAGCAAAACAUCAUGGUAUUCAAGCGGGUCUUUGGACCGCUUGAGAGGGGUUGAUUGCAACCCUCGUCCGUUGGGACGCCACAACGUGGAAUAGGCAAGUGUUGGACUUGGCCGAACCACGGGAUAAACCACUGUGCCAUCUUUGUGUUGAUCUUCUUGUGGUUAUCGUGUCUUGCAAAAACUCCUCUCUAGCCACUUGGCUUUAUUGUGUUAACUCCUAAUCAAGUUUUGUGGCAUUAAGUUUCAAGUUUUUACAGGAUCACCUAUUCACCCCCCCCCCCUCUAGGUGCUCUCACAUUGUUAGCACAAAACAGAGACAAAAAGGCAACAAACAAUGUGAACCCUACAACUAUCUCUCAGGGUGGUGGUGGUGGAAUACAAAUUAUGAAGCGUCUUACUCCGCUCUUACAAGGUUCUUACCAGCACUGCAGGUGGCAAAUGGUGAUCGAUGUGACUGUCCAACGAGUGUGGGUGUGAUUGCAAAGGAGUACAUGUUCUGCUCGAGAGAAAGCUGGAGCUCUGGGAAGGCUGACUAUAUAUAUAUAUAUAUAUAUAUAUAUAUAUAUAUAUAUAUAUAUAUAUAUAUAUAUAUAUAUAUAUAUAUAUAUAUAUAUAUAUAUAUAUAUAUAUAUAUAUGUGUGUGUGUGUGUGUGUGUGGCACAAAAGUCAGUAACAGAUAGCAAUGCUGAAUAAGUGUUCCAAGUACUCUUCCUAGUUGCUGGCCUAGAAAAUGUAAUAGGAUAGUUGGACCAAGGCACAAGAAAGUUGGUACAAGUAUAUGGGUGUAGCAAGAAAACAUGCUUGGGGAAAAAUAAUCACAGAGGUGCACAGAACACUGACAUUUAUAGUUAUGUGCUACCUUUUUUGCAAUUUUUUUCAAAUAUUUUUUCUAUAUUUUUCUCUUUUGCAGCAACACAUAUGAAGAUAACACACCAAGUUUCAGAUUUUUUUGUGCAAUGACGCGUCCUCUGAAAUUUCUGCAAGUUUGCCCUGAAAUCGGAAUAAAUGUUUGGAAAAUGAGAAGUCCUAUUUCCAAGCCGAAUUUGGGAAUUUUAAAAACAGCGAAUCCAGAAAAGCCAGAAAGAAUCGGAUGUAAAAUUUAAUUCCGUGCGAUUUGAAAAAAAAUGGGCCCGAUUCGAGUUCCGAGGCGAAAGUUAUGGUCGUUUUAAGUUCGGAUUCCGAAUCAGGGUUUCUGGCGAGGUGUUGGAAGAGUGGGGGGGUCGGUUUUGUGGAUAGAGUCGGUUUUAGAGAUAGGAUCUAUUUUGUGGAUAGGGUCAGUUGUAGAGAUAGGAUCUAUUUUGUGGAUAGGGUCGGUUUUAGAGAUAGGAUUUGUUUUGUGGAUAUGGUCAGUUUAGAUACGGGAUCUGUUUUGUGGAUAGGGUCGGUUUUAGAGAUAGGAUCUGUUUUGUGGAUAGGGUCGGUUUUAGGGAUAGGAUCUGUUUUGUGGAUAGGGUCGGUUUUGUAGGAUGGAAGCGGAUAGACAGAAUCAAACUAAACCAAAACAAAUCUAAACCAGCAACCAAACUCAACCUAGAACACGAACUCAGAACUGCGGACUCUAAAAUUGAAUUCUGCAAAGGCUAAGGCGAUAGUUUUAGGUCGGAAUAAACUGAUCGUAAUUAUUUUUUUGGCUUUUUGUGGACUAUGGAAUGAAACAAAACUAAUCUAAAGGUAGGAUUAUACCUCACGGGCAACCUAGAAAUCUGAUACCAAUUGAUAGAAGACGCGGCCCGAUCUUCCGUGAGAUACGAUAACUUGAUUGAGUGGAGAUCUCGACGUUGAUGAUCCAAGGCUCCGAGCGAACGGUUCCUCGCAAUCACUACACCACGGCUCCAUUGAUUAUCACCCGUGACACAAGAAUGACCUCGCCACGAAGGCUUAUCCCUGCAAGUGCAAUCAAGAACACAAGCAAGAACAGGAAAGAAACGCAACCAAAAUUGUAUUGAUUACGGGAUGGGGUCUCACAAACCGAUGACGGUGACACUGUUCGAUGACAGAAUUGAUCUAAGCAAAACCCCCAAACCUAAUGUGGCGGCGGCUGCUGAAUAAAUAGAGUAUUAGGGCGUGCGUGACCCCUGGACUCGCCCCUAAUGGGCUCCGACGCGAUACAUGGCCCAACAGACGGUGUCGCGGCACCAAAACAGUAUCUGAACGCUGAAUUGUUUUGAUGAUUCCCGUUGACUCCGGAUUAAUUUUAGGGUGGAACUAGUUGGGUUGGUUAGAUAAUAUCUUUAUCUUUCCAACCAUAUCAAGUCUGUUGUAAUUGGAGUCCGGAUGCAUCUUGGGCGUUCAUUUUAGUGCAGACUGGUCCUGGAACCCGAGAUGGAGUCACAGCCGAGUCGGACUUGAUCUCCUUCCUGUUGUGGGUGCCCUUGCUGCUCCUCCUCAACACCUAGGCCUUUCCAAAGUCCUUUCUGGUCCUCUCCAAGGUUCCUAAUCAUCAAAACAUCCAUGGCCCCAAACGUAAGCUCUGAAACACAAUUGACUAGGGUAGAACGUACCUGGAGAUUUAGCUGUCGUGCACGUGAUCGUGUUAUCGGUCCAUUCAUUGUAUGUAUAGAAGUGAUGUCCUCAUCAUCUUGCUCCAAAGGUAUCUUCAUGCAUAAGUAUGUUGGAUGAAGUAUUGCUUCGAAGGCAUUAAGUGUUCCUCGACCAAUGAUUGCAUUGUACGGGUAUUCCAUGUCAACAAUGUCAUAAACAACUUGCUCAGUUCUUGUGUUGUGGACAUAACCGAAGGUAACUGACAUUGUGAUUUUGCCAAGUGCCACAAUUUGUCGUCCUCUGAAGCCACACAGAGGGUGUGUAGCAUCAUGGAUCUUAUCCUCUGGUUCUUGCAUCUGCUUGAAAGCCUUUGCAAAUAUAAUGCCCGCUGCACUACCUAUGUCAACGAGAACAUUAUGGACCAGAAAUCCCUUGAUGACACAGGAUAUGACCAUAGCAUCAUUGUGAGGAUAGUCUUUUAGCUGAAGAUCCUCCUGGGAGAAAGUGAUUGGAAUGUGAGACCACUUGGACCUAACGAAGGGUCCUUGCACCCCCAACAUGUUGCACUCUUCUCUGCGCUUCCUUCUUCUUAUUCUUGUUAGCUGGCUCUGAACUAGAACCGUCCGUGAUUGGGAGCACCAGCUUCGUAGCUGAAGGUGCCAUGACUUGUUUGUUGAAUGAAGCCAUCAGCUCAACAGUGGAAGUGAGUUCACCGGAGGUGGGCGCCAAUGUUGGAGACUUGUUCUCAAAUGCUAUGAGAUAAGAACAAGGCAACACAAAAUGUUAAUGGUUAAAGGCCUUUGUCCUUCGAAGCAUUAUCUCCCUUAGGAUAUAAUGAUCUUCAGACGAAGGUCAUGAAGGACAUACCUUCAUCAUCUCAGUAUACAAUAAUAGAAGUAGAACCAUAUGAAACAUGGGAAAUGAAACAAAUAAUCAUAUGCUAAAAUAUCUUUAUUAUCUCAUCAUGAAUAAACAUGAACAAUAUUGAAUUACAUUUAUACCUUCGGCUUGACAGAAGGCGAGAAUCCAAGUGUGACGUGCAAGUGAAUACAAGUUAGUGUGAAUAGUACGGGGAUACUGUUCACCUAUUUAUAGUCACGGGACACAGCCCAGAUAAAAUUACAUUUGUGUCCUUGACAACUAAUCACAAUCAUGAUACAAAAUGUCAGGGACUAGACGGUCCUUUUCUCUUUAAGUCGGUGCUGCUCUUCGUCUCAGGCACGCCAUUGUGCCGAAGCUCCCUUGGUAAUAGCUUCGGCAUAUCGUCUUGCCGAAGGUGUUUUUGCUCGGAGGACCUUAGGCAGAGAAGAAGGCCCCCAACAGAUCCCCGGGUAAAAAGAUCUCGCCGUGGAUGAACUUGAAGCACAGUGGACGCUCUAUCAUCGCUCAUCCGGUUACCGGCGACAUGGCCACGCGACCAUCACCGUCGUACCGUCGUUCCUCGCGGUUAUGACACGCCAUCGGCCAUCUUACCACGUCGCAAUUGAUCACAAUGCAUAGCCCAUCUAUCGCCCAAGAACUCGCCACGGUGAAAGCCACCAAUCCUUUGUGCUAGUGCUCUCCCCUCUCUCCGGCCGCCAGCACUUCCCUUCCAAAUUUGGAGCCGUCACUCAAAGACUCUAUAAAUUGAUGUCCUAGCCUGCUCCGCUAAGUAAUUGUGCACCUAGUGAACCAGCCCUCACCUCCAAUCGUCCCCCACAACUCCCCAAUUUGGGAUUUCCCCCAAAUCUGUCAAGAACACCGCAGUGUGUGAGCUCGCCAUGGUCAGCUCUCCACAGGUCUGAUCAUACCUUCCUCGCUCUCGUUUCAACAUGCCUAUAUGUUGUAGAUGCUUAGCAGCCCAGCCAAUUGAACUAGAUCACGCUAGAUUAUCGGGAAUGCCUCGGUUUGUCCGUUGAUCGCGUUGUCACCGUGGGCAGAGAGAUUAGGGGCUAGAACCUUGAAAUUGGUUGAGGGGUAAUGAUCAUUAGGGGGUCAAAUUAGGUGUCAACCGCACCAGAGCACUGGUAGUUGAGUUAUCCGGCCGGUAUGGGCUCGUCGGAGCCGCUGCUCCGCCGUCCACGGUCGUGGACCUCACCUUGCGAAGGAAUAGAAAGGGGAGGGUCUAUCUGCAUUUGUCAGUGACUCAAAGAAAUAGUGUUGCGGACUCUUUAUGGGUUUCUCAAAUACCCAGGGUCCUCUGUGUAAACCCAACACCGCGGGCACGCGCGGGCACGCUUUCGCUUGUGCGUGGGCCGACUUGGGCUAGUUUCAGCCCAUUACUGUUUAAGCUUUCUCUUUUUCUUUUUCUACCAGACUUAGAAAAUCCAUAGAAAAUUUUAGAAAAAUGAUAAAAAUAUGAAACUAAUUUUGUUGGAAUCCUAGAUUUCUCUAGUAUUUAAUAAAAAUAGUUCUAGGAUUUUUAGUCCAGACAAAGAAUUAAUCAGUAUUUAAAAGAGCUUAAACCUAUACCUCUGGAAUUUUAGGAAUUAUUUAAUAACUCCAAAUAUUACCAAACUUUUUGGAUAAGUUUAACAUGAUAUUUAGAUCCUAUGAGUGGAGUUUGACUUGCUUUGGACAUUGUUUGAUGCCUAAACCAAAAACCCUAGCUACUUAGGGUAAAAAUGUCUAACCCUACUAAGAUACUGACCUAGAAAAACCCUAGUUACCCUAGUGCACCGUGAAGGAAAGUUGUAUUCAAGAUACAACUUGAUACCUCUUUCCUAUUAUUGCUUUUUCAUAAGCAUUACAUGAGCAUUCAUGGUUAUAUAUGGUUAUAUAUAGAGAACGAGGAAGAAGUGACUGUUGAAGAGGAAGAAACUACUCCAUCAACAGAAAAUCCACCUGUCAGGAACUGUUUUUACUUUGACAUCUGUGGAAUAGAGCCCGACACUCCUACAACACAAGGCAAGCCCUGGUACAUUUGCCACCUCCUUGCUGUUUUAAAAUCUUUAUCACUUGCUUGAUGCAUUAGGUGAUAGGAGUUGUGUGCUAAACCAAUUGCUGCAUUUCUUUCCUUGGAACUGUUUACCAUUCUUUGAUUACCUAUUUUAUGAAAAGGUUUUCUAAUGCUUAGUCUUGCUUUAGAAAAACAAAAUGUUUUGUUUUUAACAAAAGAUGAUGCUUCAAGUGGAUGGGAUGUUUUCAAAAAUAAAACUUGAUGGUGGAUCCAUCAUGGCCAUGAUGGGUUCAACAUCGGAAAAGAUGUACCUCUGCCAGGUACCAAACUUUGGGUUUUAAAUAAUAAAGUUGAGACCGGGUGGGUGACUUGCACAAGAAGAGAGUCUCGGUGUAAUGUCUCCGUCUGAGUCGAUUAUGGACCGUCUUGAUGUAGGCUUGCUGAUUGAGGACCUUUUAACUGGUCACAUGCCUCAUCAUGGGUAAGCUUUGCCUCGGGCAAACUAAUACCAGAAAGGCCAACACGCAAUGGGAGUAGAGAGAUGGCGAGAGUAAUGUGUACCCUCCAUGGCAAGAGGCUGGACGGUGGUGUAUCUGUGCUCUCGAUUGGCGUGAACUCGGUCUGGUCUUAAGAAACUCGGUGGCAAGUUGGCAUAUGCAAGGGUUAAGUGCUACAUAUGUCGUGUGAUUGUACAUGAAGACUUGGUCACUGCCCUACACGUAGCAUUCCAGUAAAACAAGAAGGGGUUGAUAAAGAAUGGCUAGUAUAGGCCAAGUGCUUGAACUAGGGUAGAAAGAACUCUAGUGACAGGUAAUGACUAAACUUGCUAAUAAAACUAGAUUUUUAACGAUCCACUAUUAGUAAGCAUUUUUGCAAACAGAGUCUUGAUUCUUGAGUAAGCCUUACCUUGACUCCCUUAAGCCAGCAUAUCCUUGAGAGUCUUUUAUUUUGAUGGGUAAGACUUGCGAAAGUACACUCCGUACUCAGGGUUUUCGAACCCAUGUUGUUGUAGGUGAGGAAACAACAGACUUUUGCUGUUUUUGCACUAAGGUGGUGCCCAAGGAUGUGGUGCCCAAGGACGAACCUCAACAGUGAUGUGGUUGCGGGAGGAUGUUGGCCUCCCUUUGAAAAACAAUAUACUUUUAUGUGGGAGGGGUUUUUGCCUCCCGGGUUUGUAAUAAUAAUACUUAUGCACUCAUCUACCCUGGCUCUGUAAUAACUAUAACACUCUUUCUAUAUUUUGAUGAAUGUAAAUUAAGUUAUUGUAAUUCGCUUCCGCUUAUUCGUUCCUCCGAUGUGUUGUAAUAUCUGUGUGACGGGUGAAACGCUCUUGGGUGAGGAAAAAGGAUACAGAUACCAAACUUGUCGAGUGAUUAUGUGCAUCCAUAGGGUUGUCCAAGGUCUGUUGAACAAGGACAACUGUAGGUGGGCCUAAUGACUUGGGAGGUUCCGUCACACCAUUGGAUUAUUUGAAGUUUCUUGUGACAUUGUGUUUGAUGAGACUAAUUGCUCCCAUGUGGAGCAAGUUGAUCUUGAUGAACUAGAUGAUGAAGAGGCUCCGUGCGUCGUGCUAAGGAACAUGUCCAUUGGGGAUGUGUGUCCUAAGGAAUUCAAAGAGUCUCCACAAGCACAAGAUCAACCAUCAUCUUCCAAUCAAGCAUCUCCACCAACUCAAGAUGAGGAACAAGCUCAAGACAAUGAAGAAGAAGAUCAAGAAGAUGAGCCACCUCAAGAGGAGGACAAUGAUCAAGGGGGAGAUGACAAUGAUAUAGACAAGAAAGAUGAUCAAGAUAUUCAGGAUCAAAGACCGCCACACCCAAGAGUCCAUCAAGCGAUUCAAAGAGAUCACCCCGUGAACUCCAUCCUCGGCGAUAUUCAUAAGGGGGUAACCACUCGAUCUUGAGUCGCACAUUUUUGUGAACAUUACUCUUUUAUUUCCUCUAUUGAGCCUUACAGGGUAGAGGAUGCACUAAGAGAUUCGGAUUGGGUGUUGGCAAUGCAAGAGGAGCUCAACAAUUUCACGAGGAACGAGGUAUGGUAUUUGGUUCCACGUCCUAAUCAAAAUGUUGUAGGUACCAAGUGGGUAUUCCGCAACAAGCAAGAUGAGCAUGGUGUGGUGAUAAGGAACAAAGCCAGACUUAUCGCCAAAGGUUAUUCACAAGUCGAACGUUUGGAUUUUGGUGAAACUAAUGCACCCGUAGCUAGGCUUGAGUCAAUUCGCAUAUUACUUGCCUAUGCUACUUACCAUGGCUUCAAGCUUUAUCAAAUGGACGUGAAGAGUGCCUUCCUCAAUGGACCAAUCAAGGAAGAGGUCUAUGUUGAGCAACCUCUAGGCUUUGAAGAUAGUGAGUAUCCUAACCAUGUGUAUAAGCUCUCAAAGGCGCUUUAUGGGCUCAAGCAAGCCCCAAGAGCAUGGUAUGAAUGCCUGCGAGACUUCCUUAUCACUAAUGGCUCCAAAGUCGGCAAAGCUGAUCCUACUCUCUUUACUAAAACUAUUGCAAAUGAUUUGUUUAUAUGCCAAAUUUAUGUUGAUGAUAUCAUAUUUGGGUCUACUAACAAAUCUACUUGUGAAGUGUUUAGUAGGAUAAUGGUUCAGAAAUUCAAGAUGUCUAUGAUGGGGGAGUUAAAGUAUUUCUUAGGUUUUCAAGUCAAGCAACUUCAAGAAGGCACCUUCAUCAGCCAAACAAAAUAUAUUCAAGACAUUCUUAUGAAGUUUGGAAUGAAGGAUGCCAAACCCAUCAAGACACCCAUGGGAACCAAUGAGCAUCUCGACCUCGACACGGGAGGUAAAUCCAUAGAUCAAAAGGUAUACCGGUCAAUGAUAGGAUCUUUACUCUAUUUAUGUGCAUCUCGACCGGAUAUUAUGCUUUCUAUAUGCAUGUGUGCAAGGUUCCAAGCCAAUCCUAAGGAAGUUCACCUUAGGGUUAUGAAACGAAUCAUGAGAUAUUUAGUUUACACUCCUAAGUUUGGGCUUUGGUACCCCAGGGGAUCAACCUUUGAUUUAAUAGGAUAUUCCGAUGCUGAUUGGGCAGGGUGUAAAAUUGAUAGGAAGAGCACAUCAGGGACUUGUCAGCUUCUGGGAAGAUCCCUGGUGUCUUGGGCUUCAAAGAAACAAAAUUCAGUAGCCCUAUCAACCGCCGAAGCCGAGUACAUUGUCGUAGGCCAUUGUUGUGCGCAAUUACUCUGGAUGAGGCAAACCCUCAGGGACUAUGGCUACAAAAUGAGCAAAGUCCCUCUCCUAUGUGACAAUGAGAGUGCAAUCCGCAUGGCGGAUAAUCCCGUUGAACACAGCCGCACUAAACACAUAGACAUUCUGUCGGAGAGAAAAUCCUCCGGCCGGGUGGCGGAAUGCACCCGCCCUAAUCUUAAGAUGAGGAGGGGGCCUAAGCAUUCGCCUGUUUGGUGAAUUGUCAAUGAACACAGGAAGACUCGAGGGUUUAUAGUGGUUCAGACCGCCGGGGCAUAAUACCCUACCUCCACUGUAUGUAAGUUGUAUUGAGCGUGUCCCUUGUAACGUUGUGUCCCUUCCUUUUUAUAGUUUAAGGGAGGUACAUACAAGGAUGCUGAGCCCCGACAUGCGGGACCAGGAGCAUAAUGGUAGGAAUACAAUAUGUGAAUAGCAAAUGCUGAUAGCACACAAAGAUCCUCCGCCUGAGUAACACAUGAGUAAUUAGCGUGGGUCAUGAUGACUGCAGUCCAUGCAGCAUUGAUAGGCAGUAACCCUGUGCUAGUAAUGGUGAGUUAUUACCCUUGAUAUGGUAACGUGUGAGUAACUGCAUGGCCCAUGUAACAUGGACUGGGUACGCCGCCUGUCACUGGAAUGGACAGGCGCACGUCUUAUCCGUAAUGAAUGAAAAGACGUGCGUAGCCCAGAGGCUUCAUGCCAGGUUCCGCCCAUUGGCUUACACCGUGCGCAGUAAGCCACGCGGCAGCAUCAGGCCUUCGCCUGGGCGGGGAGUAGGAGUAUAUGCAAUUAGGUCCGGAUCCCAGCAGACCAGGUCUGGACACGUGUCGGCACCGGACCCCCGCCUGGGCCCUGAUUAAGGCCCGGGUAUGUUCUAUCCUGGAACCAGGGACCCCAUCGUGGGCGGUCCGGACCCCAUACAGGGAGGUCUGGAUCCAUUCUAGGGGUCUGGUUCGCAUACGUGGAGGUCCUGGACCAAACUUGGAGGCUCGGACCAUAUAUACAUGGGUCCGGCACCUUCCCAUGGGGGUUCGGACACGUGGUGGCACCGGACCCGCACAUGUGGGGGGGGUCAGGUGCUGUUGCUGGCCCAGAGUAGUCGCCCGAGGCUGGGGCGAGUCAUGGCCUGGUCCCACAUACAGCUCUUUUACCACGCGACUAAAAAUAGCCGCGUGGGUACUGCGUCUUUAUACAGCAGUAAGGGGUACCCUAGUUUCAGGGUACCGACAGUGGCCCCCGGGCCCACCUCAGGGGAGGAUGCGAGCCUGCAGGUGGGGCCAAAGCUUGUACCUUGCCUCAACAUGGCCUGAUUUAGUGAUUGGCGCGCCGUUUCAGCGUGUCUGCUGACACACCCACCGUCAAUCCACCAUCGGUCACGCCAACUGCCAUAUCUGUCCUCACGACUGACUUACCCACGGCCCCCCACGCCUGGUGGUUUCGUCGGGCCAUGCGCGGGGCACCUCGUUGUCACUGCCUUGGUUUAAAAAAUUACCUUUUGUCUUCUGCAUCGGCCCCAAGGAGGCGCACUACAGGCACAUGCGGCAGUUCGCUCUUUCUGCACUCAAAAUCCGGCACACAAACUGUAUGACUUGUGGACCCGGGCCCCCGUAUCACAGACUGCGCUGCCUAGGUCCUAGGUACCCGUCGAGCGGGAUUUCCUACGGCGAUUCAGGGGCGCGCGGAAGGGUUUCCCUGAACAAGGACUCAGGUUUCCUUGAAAAAGGAUUCACCCCGCGUGCAGCAGUUACCUUUUCGCAUUCUCUCCCAAUCGGUUGCGCCCUUUUGCCUUUGUGCUCCUCUGCUCUACGCUCCCACUGCCGCACUCGCCAUGGCUUCGCUUAGUCAUCCUGACCGCUUUCAGUCUGAGGAAGCGCUUAAUCUGGUGUGUGGCCUGCUUAGGUGGAGCGCGACAGGGCUCACCGGAAGAAUCCAUGCCGGCGCUGCCCCCCUUGGCGAUCUUGCCGUCGGGGAGUUCGUGCUGUUCACCUCCUAUAUUUCUUGUGGGUUAGCGCUACCAAUUUCGCCCUUCUUCCUGCUGCUGCUAGAGGAGUUUGGACUUCAGCUUCAACACCUCACGCCCCACUCCAUCCUCCAGGCAGCAAUCUUCGUCCACCUCUGCGAAAUGUUCAUAGGUGUGGCCCCCUGCACUUCCCUCUUCCGCUACUUCUUCGUGCUGGUCAGGUCUAGGAAGACUAGGGACCACAUCGGCGCCUACUACUUUCAGACAAGGCUAGAUCCGGCCAUAGUCUACAUCCCCACCUUUGGUGGAGCGAGGUGGGAGAACUGGCGUAGCGACUGGGUGAUUGCCAGCACCGAGGCCAACGACCGCCUUGUCCUGCCGUCCAAUGGGCCAACACUCGACCGCAAGCAAUGGAGGACCAAGCCGUCCCUAUCGCCGGAGUUCCUGCCCGUAUUCGACAGGAUCAAGGUAUUGGCCACGGGCAGCCUGACGUCAAUGCACGUGGUCGGUGACCUCCUGAAGCGCCGGAUCAUGCCGCUGCAGAGGAGGCCACGCCUGUGCUGCUGGUUCACUGACCCGAAUGACAUCGGUAGGAUCCAGCAUGGGCCAGGCACCGAUCUGUCCUGGGAUGAGCUAGAACUCCUGGUGGGGGAUUACUAGGGAGACUUUUGUCCCUAAAUCUAUGAUACUCCCCUAGGCCAUCCCAGCGCUAUGUGAUGACCCAGGCCUGAGAACGGCGAUCCUGGCCACGUUGCCAACCCUUGACGACAGCGGUGUGGCGGUUUGCCAGACCAGCGACUGGGACCCCCUCCGUGGGAUCUGGAUCUCUGAUGCACUGGCUGGAGGUCCCUAGCCCACCGGUGUGGCUCCCAGCGCCAAUCCCGUUGUGGCCCCCAGCUCCUUGGACAAGGGCAAAGGGGCUGCAAGCAGUGCCUUCGCCCCAGGUAGCUUCAGGGGGUCGGAGGAGGAGAGGCGACGCAGGCUGCAUCGCGCUGAUGGGUCGCUCGUUUCGGAGCCCCCAGAAGCGCUAGAGGACCGCAGGUGGGGCCGAGGAGGCCAGCUCCCAGGCCCACGGCGUGCAGAGGCGCGUCAGUCCUCCGGUCCUGCCACCACCACCACCAUCUGGGGGUGAUCACCCCAGGGGCACCAGCAGCAGCAGCAGCAACAGGAGCGGCGAUCGCCCUGCUUCCAGGGUCACUAGAAAGUCCAGGGCCCCAAGUAAGUGUAGCCCCAUUUUCCAUGAGUUUAAUCAUCAUGCCGACAAGUCUUAACCCAUUAUCUGUUCAUCAGGGCUUCUUCCUCCGUCGCUCCCAAGGCCACGCCUCCUCCGCUAGAUACCAGGCCCACCGACGGGUCUGGCUCUCAGUAGCAGGAAUCUGCUGAGUGGUGCCGACGGUCCACCCCCAGCUGCUGCCAAGGCAGCGCUAGCGGCUUCCCAUGCCCCAGCCGGGGGUCUGGCGUCAGCGGCGCUAGCGUCAGGAGGCAUCGCAGUGGCGGAGGAGAUCCCAGCUGGGGGAUCCGUGCCCACUCCUAACACUGGGGGUGACGCAAGAGGCGCGUCCAGCUCCAACACCCCGCCUGCUUCGGAGGAGAUGGAGGUGGUGUUUGGGCGGCGACUCUGUUCGGGUGCCAAGCAAGAAGCUGCGCCAGUCCCCCUCCCCUGCAUGUUAUCCCGUGCCCACCGAGUCCUUAGUGAAACUGAGGCAGCAAUUUUGCGGGAGUGGGAGGCGCUUGAGGCUGAGCACCUGAGAGCACCUAGAGGGGGGGGGGUGAAUAGGUGAUCCUGAGAAAACUUAAACUUAUAGCCACAAAAACCUUGUUAAGUGUUAGCACAAUAAUUGCCAAGUGGCUAGAGAGGAGUCUCGACAAAACACAAUACCACAAGAGAUCAAACACAGAGAUGACACAGUGGUUUAUCCCGUGGUUCGGCCAAGACCAACGCUUGCCUACUCCAUGUUGUGGUGUCCCAACGGACGAGGGUUGCAAUCAACCCCUCUCAAGCGGUCCAAAGACCAGCUUGAAUACCACGGUGUUUUGCUUUGCCUUUCAAUAUCCCGUUUGCGAGGAAUCUCCACACUUUGGAGCCUCUCGCCCUUACACUUGAGAUUCACAAAGAAAUACGGAGUAAGGGGGAAUGAGCAACGCACACAAGACUUCUAAAGAUCAGAGCAACAACACGCACACAAGUCGCAACAAGAGCUCGCAACACAACUCAAAGAGUUCACAACUCCACAAAAGCUCUAUAUGCUAUCACAAUGAAACGAAUGCGCGAGAUCGAUGUCUUGGUGCUUAGGAAUGUUGUCGGAAUACUUGGUGUUCUCCUUCAUGCGCCUAGGGGUCCCUUUUAUAGCCCCAAGGCAGCUAGGAGCCGUUGAGAACAAAUCUGGAAGGCCAUCCUUGCCUUCUGUCAUCGGGCGCACCGGACAGUCCGGUGCACACCGGACAGUGUCCGGUGCCCGAUUCCUUUCCUUAAAUGGCGAAGCCGACCGUUGCAGAUCUGGGAGCGGUUGGCGCACCGGACAUGUCCGGUGCACACCGGACAGUCCGGUGCCCCCUUCCGACCGUUGGCUUGGCCACGUGUCGCGCGCAGAAUCCGCGGCCGACCGUUGGCCCGGCCGACCGUUGGCUCACCGGACAGUCCGGUGCACACCGGACAGUCCGGUGAAUUUUAGUCGUACGCCGUCAACAAAUUCCCGAGAGCGGCCUCUUCGGCCGAGGCAGCCUGGCGCACCGGACACUGUCCGGUGCACCACCGGACAGUCCGGUGCUCCAGACCGAAGCAGCCUUCUGGCUGUACACAGCCAACUCUUUUCUUUUCUUUUUCUUCAUGUUUCCAAUACUUAGACAAGUAUAUUAGUACACAAAACCAAUGUACUAAGACUUAGAAACAUACCUUUGCUCUUGAUUUGCACUUUAUUCAUCCAUGGCAUAAAUUCACAUUUAAGCACUUGAGUUGGCACUCAAUCACCAAAAUACUUAGAAAUGGCCCAAGGGCACAUUUCCCUUUCAAUCUCCCCCUUUUUGGUGAUUUAUGCCAACACAACAUAAAGCAACUAGAACAAGUGCAAAAUCACUUCAAAUAAAACUCAAAUUGAUUUUGAUUCAAUUUUGGCAUAUAUGGAUCAUCCUUUGCCACCACUUGGUUUGUUUUUGCAAAUCAAACUCAAAAUCCUAUCUCUAAGUCAAAUCCACUUGUAGAGACAUACAGAGAGGUUUUCCAAAGGAAAUUAAUUCAAGAUUCCAAAAACUCCCCCUUUUUCCCAUGAUCAACACUUCUCCCCGCAAGAGGCCAACUUUUGACACAAGAGACAAUGCAAGAGUUUUGACAAAACAAAAAAGCUCUAUUCUAGUUUCAAUACUAUCUCAAGUGGUAGCUGAUCUAUCUCAAGUGGUAGCUGAUCCAUCUAGUGCUUUGGCCUUUAUUUUCUCCCCCUUUGGCAUCAAGCACCAAAACGGGAUCAAUCUUGGCCCUUUAACCCCAUUGCUUCACCAAAAUCUUCAAUUAAGAGCAAAUAGGCAAUAAGAGUUUAAAGAUGAACUUGGAAUAAGUUACCCCCUCAUCGGAGUGCAGUGGAAGUCUUUCACGGUCCAAGUCCACCUUUCCCUUUCAAACCUUCUUUGAGACUAAAACAAGCAAACUCAAGCAAAUGGUUAGUCUCAAAGGGUCAAGUUGUAGCACAUCUCCCCCUAAACAUGUGCAUCACUUUGCAACGGACUUGUGAGGUCCAGGGAGUGUUUGUACAACUUGAGCACCAAAAUAAGCAACAAAAUGCAGAAUGAACAUGAUCAAAGGCAUAAACACAUGUAUGCUACAAUUCAAUCCAAGUUCCGCGAAUCUAAGACAUUUAGCUCACUACGCAGCUUGCAAAAGGUCUUCUCAUCUAGAGGCUUGGUAAAGAUAUCGGCUAGCUGGUUCUCGGUGCUAACAUGAAACACUUCGAUAUCUCCCUUUUGCUGGUGGUCUCUCAAAAAGUGAUGCCGGAUGUCUAUGUGCUUUGUGCGGCUGUGUUCAACGGGAUUUUCCGCCAUGCGGAUAGCACUCUCAUUAUCGCAUAGGAGUGGGACUUUGCUCAGAUUGUAGCCAAAGUCCCUGAGGGUUUGCCUCAUCCAAAGUAGUUGCGCGCAACACUGUCCUGCGGCAACGUACUCGGCCUCAGCGGUGGAUAGGGCAACGGAGGUUUGUUUCUUAGAGUUCCACGACACCAGGGACCUUCCUAAGAAUUGGCACGUCCCUGAUGUACUCUUCCUAUCGACCUUACAUCCAGCAUAGUCGGAGUCUGAGUAUCCAACCAAGUCAAAGGUAGACCCCUUUGGAUACCAGAGCCCGAAGCAAGGCGUAGCAACCAAAUAUCUAAGAAUUCGCUUCACCGCCACUAAGUGACACUCCUUAGGAUCGGAUUGAAAUCUAGCACACAUGCAUACGCUAAGCAUAAUGUCCGGUCUACUAGCACAUAAAUAAAGUAAAGACCCUAUCAUUGACCGGUAUGCUUUUUGAUCAAUGGACUUACCUCCUUUGUUGAGGUCGGUGUGUCCGUCGGUUCCCAUCGGAGUCUUUGCGGGCUUGGCGUCCUUCAUCCCAAACCGCUUUAGCAGAUCUUGCGUGUACUUUGUUUGGGAGAUGAAGGUGCCGUCCUUGAGUUGCUUCACUUGGAACCCAAGGAAGUAGUUCAACUCGCCCAUCAUCGACAUCUCGAAUUUCUGCGUCAUCACCCUGCUAAACUCUUCACAAGACUUUUGGUUAGUAGAACCAAAUAUUAUGUCAUCGACAUAAAUUUGGCACACAAACAAAUCACCAUCACAUGUCUUAGUGAACAGAGUUGGAUCGGCUUUCCCAACCUUGAAAGCAUUAGCAAGUAAAAAGUCUCUAAGGCAUUCAUACCAUGCUCUUGGGGCUUGCUUAAGUCCAUAGAGCGCCUUAGAGAGCUUACACACGUGGUCGGGGUACCGUUCAUCCUUGAAGCCAGGGGGUUGCUCCACAUACACCUCCUCCUUGAUUGGCCCGUUGAGGAAAGUGCUCUUCACAUCCAUUUGGAACAACCUGAAAGAAUGGUGAGCGGCAUAUGCUAGCAAGAUACGAAUUGAUUCUAGCCUAGCCACAGGAGCAAACGUCUCCUCAAAGUCCAAACCUGCGACUUGGGCAUAACCUUUUGCCACAAGUCGAGCCUUGUUCCUCGUCACCACCCCGUGCUCGUCCUGUUUGUUGCGGAACACCCACUUGGUUCCCACAACAUUUUGCUUGGGACGAGGCACCAGUGUCCAAACUUCAUUGCGUUUGAAGUUGUUGAGCUCCUCCUGCAUGGCCAACACCCAGUCCGGAUCUAGCAAGGCCUCCUCUACCCUGAAAGGCUCAAUAGAAGAGACAAAGGAGUAAUGCUCACAAAAAUUAACUAAUUUAGAUCGAGUAGUUACUCCCUUACUAAUGUCACCCAAAAUUUGGUCGACAGGAUGAUCCCUUUGAAUCACCGCUCGGACUUGGGUUGGAGGUGCCGGUUGCGCAUCUUCCUCCAUCACAUGAUCAUCUUGUGCUCCCCCUUGAUCACACGCCUCCUGUUGAUGAACCUGUUCAUCGUCUUGAGUUGGGGGUUGCACCAUAGUUGAGGAAGAAGGUUGAUCUUGCUCCAAUUGUUCCUGUGGUCGCACAUCACCAAUCGCCAUGGUGCGCAUAGCGGCCGUUGGAACGUCUUCUUCAUCUACAUCAUCAAGAUCAACAACUUGCUCUCUUGGAGAGCCAUUAGUCUCAUCAAAUACAACGUCGCUAGAGACUUCAACCAAACCCGAUGAUUUGUUGAAGACUCUAUACGCCUUUGUAUUUGAGUCAUAACCUAACAAAAACCCUUCUACUGCUUUGGGAGCAAAUUUAGAAUUUCUACCCUUCUUCACUAGAAUGUAGCACUUGCUCCCAAAUACACGAAAGUACGAUACAUUGGGUUUGUUACCGGUUAGAAGCUCAUAUGACGUCUUCUUGAGGAGGCGGUGAAGGUAGACCCUGUUGAUGGCGUGGCAAGCCGUGUUCACGGCUUCCGACCAAAAACGCUCGGGGGUCUUGAAUUCUCCAAGCAUAGUCCUCGCCAUGUCGAUUAGCGUCCUGUUCUUCCUCUCUACCACACCAUUUUGUUGUGGUGUGUAGGGAGCGGAGAACUCGUGCUUGAUCCCUUCCUCCUCAAGGAACUCCUCCACUUGCAAGUUCUUGAACUCCGACCCGUUGUCGCUCCUUAUCUUCUUCACCUUGAGCUCAAACUCAUUUUGAGCUCUCCUGAGGAAGCGCUUGAGGGUCCCUUGGGUUUUAGACUUAUCCUGCAAAAAGAACACCCAAGUGAAGCGGGAAAAGUCAUCAACAAUAACUAGACCAUACUUACUUCCUCCUAUGCUCAGAUAGGCGACGGUCCGAAGAGGUCCAUGUGUAGCAGCUCCAGGGGUCUUGAUGUGGUCAUCACAUUCUUGCUGUGAUGUGCUCCUCCCACUUGUUUACCUGCUUGACAAGCUGCACAAGGUCUAUCUUUUUCGAAAUGAACAUUGGUUAGCCCUAUCACGUGGUCUCCCUUUAGAAGCUUGUGGAGGUUCUUCAUCCCCACAUGUGCUAAGCUGCGAUGCCACAACCAGCCCAUGCAAGUCUUAGCCAUUAAGCAUGCAUCUAGACCGGCCUCUUCUCUUGCAAAAUCAACUAAAUAAAGUUUGCCGUCUAAUACACCCUUAAAAGCUAGUGAACCAUCACUUCUUCUAAAGACAGACACAUCUACAUUUGUAAAUAGACAGUUAUAUCCCAUAUUGCAUAAUUGACUAACCGAUAGCAAAUUAUAUCCAAGAGACUCUACUAAAAACACAUUAGAGAUAGAGUGCUCAUUAGAAAUUGCAAUUUUACCUAACCCUUUUACCUUGCCUUGAUUCCCAUCACCGAAUAUAAUUGAAUCUUGGGAAUCCUUGUUCUUGACGUAGGAGGUGAACAUCUUCUUCUCCCCCGUCAUAUGGUUUGUGCAUCCGCUGUCGAUAAUCCAGCUUGAACCCCCGGAUGCAUAAACCUGCAAGGCAAAUUUAGGCUUGGGACUUAGGUACCCAACUCUUGUUGGGUCCUACAAGGUUAGUGCAAAUAUCCUUAGGGACCCAAAUGCAAGUUUUGUCUCCCUUGCAUUUUGCCCCUAACUUCCUGGCAACAAUUUUCCUAUCCUUUCUACAAAUAGCAAAGGAAGCAUUUAAAGCACAAUAAAUUGUAGAGGGUUCAUUCACUACUUUCCUAGGAGUAUGGAUAAUAUUCUUUCUAGGCACAUGAUGAAUAGCAUUUCUCCUAGACAUAUUUCUACCAUGCAUGUAGGAAGAACUAGAAGCAAACAUGGCAUGAGAGUCAAAAUCAUCAUAAGCAUUAUAACUCCUAUAAGCAUUUCUAGUUUGUCUCCUAUCAUGAUACAUAAAAAGCAUGGUUCCUUUUAGUACUACUAGCCAUAGGAGCCUUCCCUUUCUCCUUGGCGGAGAUAGGAGCCUUAUGGCUUGUUAAGUUCUUGGCUUCCCUUUUGUAGCCAAGUCCAUCCUUAAUUGAGGGGUGUCUACCGAUCGUGUAGGCAUCCCUUGCAAAUUUUAGCUUGUCAAAUUCAUUCUUGCUAGUCUUAAGUUGAGCAUUAAGACUAGCCAAUUCAUCAUUAAGCUUGGAAAUUGAAACUAGGUGUUCACUACAAGCAUCAAUGUCAAUAUCUUUACACCUAGUACAAAUUACAACAUGUUCUACAUAAGAAUUAGAUUUAUUUGCUACUUCUAAUUUAGCAUUUAAAUCAUUGUUGACACCUUCUAGAGUAGAAAUGGUUUUAUGACAAGUAGAUAAUUCACCAGAGAGUAUUUCAUUUCUUUUAAUUUCUAGAGCAAGAGAAUUUUGUGCACUAACAAAUUUAUCAUGCUCCUCAUAUAAAAGAUCUUCUUGUUUUUCUAGUAAUCUAUUCUUGUCAUUCAAAGCAUCAAUCAACUCAUUAAUCUUAUCUAUUUUAGAUCUAUCUAAGCCCUUGAAUAAGCAUGAAUAGUCUAUGUCAUCAUCAUCACUAGACUCAUUAUCACUAGAAGAAGCAUAAGUGGAGUCUCGAGUACUCACCUUCUUCUCCCUUGCCAUAAGGCAUGUGUGACGCUCGUUGGGGAAGAGGGAUGAUUUGUUGAAGGCGGUGGCGGCGAGUCCUUCAUUGUCGGAGUCGGAAGAGGAGCAGUCCGAGUCCCACUCCUUGCCUAGAUGCGCCUCGCCCUUUGCCUUCUUAUAGUUCUUCUUCUUCUCCCUCUUGUUCCCUUGAUCCUGAUCACUAUCAUUGUCGGGACAGUUAGCAAUAAAAUGACCAAGCUUACCGCAUUUGAAGCAUGAUUGCUUUCCCUUGGUCUUAGUCUUGCUUGGCUGUCCCUUUCGACCUUUUAGCGCCGUCUUGAAUCUUUUGAUGAUGAGGGCCAUCUCUUCAUCAUUAAGACCGGCAGCCUCAAUUUGUGCCACCUUGCUGGGUAGCGCCUCCUUGCUCCUUGUUGCCUUGAGAGCAAUGGGUUGAGGCUCGUUGAUCGGACCAUUCAAGGCGUCGUCGACGUAUCUCGCCUCCUUGAUCAUCAUCCGCCCGCUUACGAAUUUUCCGAGUACCUCCUCGGGCGUCAUCAUCGUGUACCUGGGAUUCUCACGAAUAUUGUUUACGAGAUGAGGAUCAAGAACAGUAAAGGACCUUAGCAUUAGGCGGACGACGUCGUGGUCCGUCCAUCGCAUGCUUCCAUAGCUCCUUAUUUUGUUGAUAAGGGUCUUGAGCCGGUUGUAAGUUUGGGUUGGCUCCUCUCCCCUUAUCAUUGCGAAUCGUCCAAGCUCGCCCUCCACCAACUCCAUUUUAGUGAGCAUGGUGAUGUCGUUCCCCUCGUGAGAGAUCUUGAGGGUGUCCCAUAUUUGCUUGGCGUUGUCCAAGCCGCUCACCUUAUUGUACUCUUCCCUGCACAAAGAUGCUAAUAGAACAGUAGUAGCUUGUGCAUUUCUAUGGAUUUGUUCAUUUAUAAGCAUAGGGCUAUCCGAGCUAUCAAAUUUCAUUCCAUUCUCUACAAUCUCCCAUAUGCUUGGAUGGAGAGAGAAUAAGUGACUACGCAUUUUGUGACUCCAAAAUCCGUAGUCUUCCCCAUCGAAGUGUGGAGGUUUGCCAAGAGGAAUGGAGAGCAAAUGCGAAUUCGAACUAUGUGGAAUACAAGAAUAAUCAAAUGAAAAGUUCGAAUUGACCGUCUUCCUGUAGUCGUUGUCGUCGUCCUUUUGGGAAGAAGUAGACUCAUCGCUAUCGUCGUAGUAGACGAUCUCCUUGAUGCGCCUUGUCUUCUUCUUCUUCCCAUCUUUACGCUUGUGGCCCGAGCCCGAGUCAGUAGGCUUGUCAUCCUUAGGCUCGUUGACGAAGGACUCCUUCUCCUUGUCGUUGAUCACGAUUCCCUUUCCCUUAGGAUCCAUCUCUUCGGGCGAUUAGUCCCUUCUUGAAGAGAACGGCUCCAAUACCAAUUGAGAGCACCUAGAGGGGGGGUGAAUAGGUGAUCCUGAGAAAACUUAAACUUAUAGCCACAAAAACCUUGUUAAGUGUUAGCACAAUAAUUGCCAAGUGGCUAGAGAGGAGUCUCGACAAAACACAAUACCACAAGAGAUCAAACACAGAGAUGACACAGUGGUUUAUCCCGUGGUUCGGCCAAGACCAACGCUUGCCUACUCCACGUUGUGGCGUCCCAACGGACGAGGGUUGCAAUCAACCCCUCUCAAGCGGUCCAAAGACCAGCUUGAAUACCACGGUGUUUUGCUUUGCCUUUCAAUAUCCCGUUUGCGAGGAAUCUCCACACUUUGGAGCCUCUCGCCCUUACACUUGAGAUUCACAAAGAAAUACGGAGUAAGGGGGAAUGAGCAACGCACACAAGACUUCUAAAGAUCAGAGCAACAACACGCACACAAGUCGCAACAAGAGCUCGCAACACAACUCAAAGAGUUCACAACUCCACAAAAGCUCUAUAUGCUACCACAAUGAAACGAAUGCGCGAGAUCGAUGUCUUGGUGCUUAGGAAUGUUGUCGGAAUACUUGGUGUUCUCCUUCAUGCGCCUAGGGGUCCCUUUUAUAGCCCCAAGGCAGCUAGGAGCCGUUGAGAACAAAUCUGGAAGGCCAUCCUUGCCUUCUGUCAUCGGGCGCACCGGACAGUCCGGUGCACACCGGACAGUGUCCGGUGCCCGAUUCCUUUCCUUAAAUGGCGAAGCCGACCGUUGCAGAUCUGGGAGCGGUUGGCGCACCGGACAUGUCCGGUGCACACCGGACAGUCCGGUGCCCCCUUCCGACCGUUGGCUUGGCCACGUGUCGCGCGCAGAAUCCGCGGCCGACCGUUGGCCCGGCCGACCGUUGGCUCACCGGACAGUCUGGUGCACACCGGACAGUCCGGUGAAUUUUAGCCGUACGCCGUCAGCAAAUUCCCGAGAGCGGCCUCUUUGGCCGAGGCAGCCUGGCGCACCGGACACUGUCCGGUGCACCACCGGAGAGUCCGGUGCUCCAGACCGAAGCAGCCUUCUGGCUGUACACAGCCAACUCUUUUCUUUUCUUUUUCUUCCUGUUUCCAAUACUUAGACAAGUAUAUUAGUACACAAAACCAAUGUACUAAGACUUAGAAACAUACCUUUGCUCUUGAUUUGCACUUUAUUCAUCCAUGGCAUAAAUUCACAUUUAAGCACUUGAGUUGGCACUCAAUCACCAAAAUACUUAGAAAUGGCCCAAGGGCACAUUUCCCUUUCAGCACCAGCGCCUCAGUGACUGGCGCACCCAACUGGAGGAGCGCACCAAGUCGGCGUCCCGACAGUUCACCUUCGAGCGGUCCCAACUCGAGCGGGACCGCAAGGAGUACAAGAAGGACCUCCAGAAGCUGUGCACUAGGGAGCUAGCAUUGCUGAGUGGGCCGACGAGGCGAGCACGGCACUGGUGCCACUAGGGAUGAGCCCCAUCCCAGUGUCGGAGCUGCCGGUGUCGAUCUCCGAUGCCCUCCUGGUGUUGGACUCUGCCGUUGAUCGCCUCCGGCGCCUGGAUCAGAUCCUCGGUGCCCACCUGGAGGCAGAGGGCAGCAAGCUCUAUCGGGCGGUAGUUAAAUAUGUCCUGACGUGCUUCCGGAGCCACGACCCUGCCAUAUCCUUGGCACUGAUGAUCGCUGGUCCGGUGGCCACCACAGAAGAUGCCGCCCGGGAGAGUGUACAAGACGCUAUGGAGAUGGUGGCCGAGCGCUUCCAGCGUGAUCCUGCCGACGCCGAGUAGCUGAACCUAUAGGGACAAGGCAAGGGUUCCGCUGGGGAGCGGCUGUAAUAACUUUUUGUCAUGAAACAUACUUUAAGAACCGUUAAUCAAACAGCAGUGGAACUUAUCUGUAUGUUAUUCGCCCUUGUUAUGUGUAGCGUCAUCAACUUUCACCUGGUACUUGGCCCCCAUGGGAGGUAGGCUCGACGUGUCGAGGCUAGAUACCAGUAUACCAAAGAAAAAUUUGAUGACCCGGCCCCUAGGAGGUAGUCUCUACAGUUUGAGACUACCUACCUCUGGACUGGGACCUGGACCUGCACACAGCUUCGGCUUUGAAGUGUUAGGAGCACACCCAUAGGACCCAUCGUCUGGUACCUGUCAUCCUUUGAUUCAUGCAACAGGACCUGCGGGAUUUAGCCUGGGAAGCCAAGUCGUAUGCCCGGACCCACAGGAUCACAGUUCCAAAUACUAGGGUACCCGUUGCACAGUGGUGGAGCGUGCAGGCUUAGGGUACGGAACCAGGCUAAGCGGCUACACAGCUCCGGACCACUCCAGGAGACGAGCGCCCAUUCUCUAGAACUGGUCCGCAGGUUGACGGGCCCCCUGUAGCAGUAGAGGGGUCCUGAACUGCAAGCCUGGCUACUCAAUUCAGAUGUCAUCAUACCAGCAAGGGUGGGAAACUAUAUGGGUGGGUUAGAUAAAAAAUAAUGCUCGUAAACUAAAGUAGAAUAGAACCAUCACAAAAGCACAUCUAGGGGGUAAAUCUUUUCUUUAUAACUUGACAUAUAUGGGUGCAGACCAACAGGCUGGGCUUACGACGGCGGACCUCACCGGAUUGACAUACACAUAUGUGCAACCUAGUUACAAAGGAAGAAAACUCAACCUCCUAGUUUUGCUUUUAUGGAUAGAACUUACGGAGAUGCUCUAUAUUCCAGGGAUUGGGAAGAGGUACUCCUUCUGUUGUGGCAAGGCAGACACACCCGGGUCGGCAUAUUUCCGUCACCUUGAAGGGUCCUUCCCAACUGGGGGAGAGUUUGUGGAGCCCUUCUCGGUUCAGUACUCGCCUUAGGACUAGGUCCCCGACCCUGAGCUCCCUAGUAUGCACAAACUGUUGGUGGUAGCGCCUGAGCGCUUGGUUGUACCGUGCAUUUUGGAUCAUCGCUUGCCAUCUACGUUUGUUGAUGAAGUCCACGUCCUCACGCCGUAGCUGUUCCUGCAUAGACUCAUCGAAAGACUAGACCCGUGGUGAGCCCAUAAUGAUUUUCGGGGGAAGACAGGCUUCAGCCCCAUAGACCAGGAAGAACAGGGUCUCCCCAGUAGCUCGGCUGGGUGUGGUCCAGUUCCCCAUAGUACGCUCGGAAGCUUGUUGACCCAAUUUGCACCAUGCUUUUUUAAGCAGUCAUAGGUGCGUGUCUUGAGUCCCCUGAGGAUUUCUGUGUUUGCCCUCUCAGCCUGGUCGUUGCUCAUGGGAUGAGCCACAGACGCAAAGCAGAGCUACGUGUCGAUGCCCUCGCAAUACUCUUAGAAGAGCCGACUUUUGAACUAGGUCUCUUUGUCCGUACUGAUACGGCUUGGGACCCCAAAUCUGCAGAUAAUCGACUUGAGGAAGGCAACAGCAGCACCCUGGGUGAUACUGACCACAGGGGUGGCCUCUGGCCACUUUGUGAAUUUGUCGAUAGCAACAAAGAGGAAAUGGUACCCGCCAACAGCCCUAGGGAAUGGUCCCUGGAUAUCCACCCCCCAUACGGCGAAUGGCCAAGAGGGUGGAAUCAUUUGUAGAGCCUAAGCUGGUGUGUGUAUCUGCUUUGCAUGGAACUGACAUGCUUUACAGUACUUUACCAACUCAGCUGCAUCCUGGAGAGCGGUUGGCUAAUAGAAGCCGUGCUGGAAGGCCUUACCAACCAGUGUGCGGGAUGACAAAUGACUUCCGCACUCACCUCCAUGGAUCUCCGCGAGCAACUCACGGCCCUCCUCCUGGGUGACGCACCGCAUGAGAAUGCCAUUGGUGCCACGGCGGUAUAGAUCCCCUUCUACCACCGUGUAUCGUUUAGCCAACCGCACUAUGCACUCUGUGGACACAUGAUCUUCAGGAAGGAUAUUUUCUUUUAGGUAGUCCCGGAUCUCGGAGAUCCAUGCAUCAGGACCACUCUGAGAUACUGGCUGUGGCGCUAAGAGGUUGGCAGGACCCUCUGUAUCACACACAAUCCUUGGUGGGUUCUACAGAUGUAACACCACCGGGACCGCUAGCUUCGAGGUACUAGUCUCUCCCCCUUUGCCCGGUUCGGCAAGCUAGGCGGUAGGUCUCAGCAGCCAUCUUUCGAAGACGCCCUCGGGCACGGGUGCCCAAGUGGAUGCUCUCGUGGAGAGUUCAUCUGCCGCUGAGUUGUUAGCCUGAGGAACAUGUUGCAGUUCCAGGGCAAUGAAGUCCUUUUCUAGCUUCCUUACGUGGAGGAGGUAAGCUGCGAGCCUGGGCUCAUUGCAGCUACAUUCUCCGCGGACCUGCUUGAUAAUCAGUUGGGAGUCCCCCUUCACGAGGAGCUGGCGGAUCCCUAGGGAAAGGGCCAUAGACAAGCCGAAGAUCAGUGCUUCUUACUCUGCCAUGUUGUUGGUGGCCUUGAACUCAAGGUGCACCAUGUACUUCACUUGAUCUCCGCUUGGGUCAAUGAGGACCACUCCAGCACCGCCACCCUGCUGGCGGGCGGACCCAUCGAAGAAGAGCGUCCAGUGGGGCUCGGUGAAGACCGGAGCCCUGGACUCCACAGGUGUGGGGUCCGAAUCGGGAUCCGGACCCCCAGGAGUGCUCGAGGGAGGGGUCCAUUCCACGAUGAAGUCGGCCAGAACCUGGCUCUUGACUAGGGAUGUUCCUAAAACAUCCGACUUGUAUCACAAAUCUAAUAUUUUAGCAUAGAUAUACAUAUAAUUUAAAGCUAAUUUUUGGCAAUGUUAUGAAGAAUAUUAUUAAGUAUUUAAAUAAAUUUUUGUAUACUUUUUUAUGUACAUUAUUUUCUCCCUACAACAAAAAAGGUGAAAAAACAUCUGAAUCCGUAUUCGGAUAGACAUCCGAAUUUUAUAUCAAUUAUUUAAAAAUAUCUAGAAUGAAUUUAAUGUUUCUUUUUUGUGAAGAUUAAUAGCCUCAAUGCUAAAAACAAGAAUAUAAAUUUACAUAGCAAAUUCUAUAUGUUAUUUGUUCACAGUCGAAGAAAGAGGACCAAAAAAUUGACAUCCGAAUAAAUAUCCGGAUCCAUCCCUACUCUUGACAAUGUGGCGAGGCUAGAAAUCCAGUUGGAACUCAGCAAGCUCCGCAGCCCACUUGGCGAUGUUGCCUGUGGCGUUAGAGUUGUGGAGGAUGGCCCUUAACGGGAAUGAGGUCACCACCACGACCCUGUGUGCCUGGCCUUCGCCUCAUGGAGGCCUUCGCUAACGUAGUAGACUGGCUUCUGGAUGGUUUGGACCCCUGCGGUUGGUCCUGAGUCCUCAAACUCUUGACCUUCCAUCAGCACCAUGGUGGUCGGACCACCACCUUCUCCUAGGGGAACUUUUUGGCUCCCCUGGGGAUGUUGUGUCGUCCUUUCGACGACCAGCACCAUGCUCAACACCUCUAUAGCCGUUGUAAUGUAUAAGUACAUCGUUUUGGAGCUAUCAAUAUUGGUAGGGACACAAGGUGCUGCUUCAACUCUUGAAAGGCACGUUCUGCCUCCUCGGUCCAAGAGAAUGGGCCGGACUUCCGUAAUAGCUUGAAGAAGGGUAGCGCCCUUUCAGCUAGUCUUGAGAUGAAGCAGCUAAGGGCGGCCAGUGACCCCGUAAGCUUCUGGACAUCCUUGAUUCGGGCCAGAGGCCUCAUUGCCUCGAUUGGUUUGAUCUUCUUCGGGUUUGCUUCAAUGCCCCGGUGCGAAACUAAGAAUCCUAGCAACUUCUCUGUGGAGACACCAAAGACGCACUUUUUCGGGUUCAGCUUCGUGCGCGUUGCCUGCAGCUUGUCAAAGACCAAGGUUAAGUCUUCCACUAGGGUCGACCCUCUCUUAGUCUUGAUCACGAUGUCAUCGACAUAUAUCUCUAUCCUGUCCCUAAUCAGGUAACCAAAGGUCUUACUCAUCACCCGUACAAAUGUUGGCAAGGCGUUUUUCAGACCGUAAGGCAUUACAACAUAACAGUAAAGCCCAUCCACAGUUACAAAAGCGGUAUGUUUCCUAUCUUGCCUAGACAUUUGGAUCUGAUGGAAACCAGAGUAGAAUCCACGAUUUGAUCUAUUCGUGGAAGUGGAUACGGGUCCUUGGGACAAGCCUUAUUGAGGUUGGUGUAGUCGAUGCACAUCCGAAGCUUCCCGUUUGCCUUGGGAAUGAUGACUGGAUUGGCUAGCCAUACUGGGUGAUGGACCUCUUCGAUGAAGCCAGCAUGUAGCAGCUCUGGACCUCCUCACGGAUGAAAUCCUGCCGCUCAACGAACAGUCUCCGAGGCUUCUGACUCACCGGUUUGGCGUCAGGGUGGAACUUCAGAUGGUACUCAAUCACCUCCCUAGGGAUCCUAGGCAUUUGCGACGGUUCCCAUGCGAAUACGUUGGCAUUUGUCUGGAGGAAGGCGACGAGCGCGAUUUCCUAUUUAUCCUCCAUAUUGCCCGUGAUGCGGGUCGUCUAGGAGGAAUCCACGCCAACCUGGAUGGUUUUGACGGGACCGUCGUCUGCUCCGGAUGGCUGCACCUUUGGCACCUUGGUACAGGAAGUCGAGGGGUCCCUCCCCCUAUCAUCUGGGCGAGCAGUUUCUGCCAUCAGGGCAUGCAACUUUUCGACAGCUGCAAGCGCAGCGGCGCGGUCGCCCUGCACGGUGAGGACCCCAGCAGGGGACGGCAUCUUGGGGACCAAGUACCCAUAAUGGGCAAUGGCCAUGAACCGGUACAGGGCCGGCCUGCCAAUGAUGGCAUGGAAAGGGAGGUUAACCUCCGCGACGUCGAACUGGACGUUCUCUGUGCAGAAGUUCUCUUCAGUCCCGAAUGUAACCGGGAGUGUGAUGCUCCUAAGGAGAUACACCGGUUGUGGGCCCACUCCGGAGAAUGUGCGAGAGGGUCCCAGCUAGGAUCCUGGGAUCUGCAGCUGCUUGAACGCAGCGUGACUGAUGACGUUGAGCCCAGCCCCACCAUCAAUCAGGACAUGAUGCAGCUUCAUGUUGGCGAUGACAGGGGCAGUGAUGAGUGGUAGUAUACCGGCCCCUGCCAUGUUUUCGGGGCAGUCGGAUGCCCUGAAGGAGAUAGUGGUGCUCCUCCACCGCUAAUGUGGAGCAGCCUUCGGGACCCCUAGGGUCACCGAAAGGACCUCUCGGCGCAGGGACUUCACGUUCCUAUGGGAGGUGAGCUCCCAGCUCCCGCCGUACAUCACGUACAGCUUUUUGCGGCGGUCAUUAUCGUCACCGGAGUCCAGUGAAUAUGUCCUUAAGGACCUACUCGGGGGACUGAUACCCGAGGUCCCGUUCUCCCGCGGUCGCGUCACCUUCGUUAGCCUUCUCCUUGCCAGGUCGGCAACGAGGCGGCGAGCCAUCCUUGGAUGCCUGCUCUCGCUGCUCGCUGACAUGCUUCGCGAGCUUGAGGAUCUCUUGACACUUCGAGGCACUAUGGUGACUGUUGGGAUGGACAGGGCAUGACCCGCUGUUACUUCCCUGUUGUCGUGGGCGCUUGCCGCGCUCGUUCCGGCCCCUAGUCGCAGCUGCGAUGACCGGAGUAGCAGACUGCGGCCUAUCAUGACCGUGGUUCUUCUUCUUGUUGUUGUUGCUGCCCUGGGUGGCGGCACCUGAGCCACCUGUCUGGGUAACUCCGGUUUGUGGUGCCGAGUGCCAUGCACGGCCCUCGGCAGCUCUGGCACAUUUGUCGACCAGAGCGAAGAGCAUAGUGACGGUUUCCACGUGAUGCGUCGCCAAUUUCUCCAACAUCUUCUCAUCACGUACCCCCUAUCGGAAAGCAGUGAUAAUGGAAGCAUCAGAGAAACAAGGUAUAGUCCCUCGUACCUUGGUGAAGCGGGAGAUGAAAGACCGGAGAGUCUCCCCAGGUUCUUGCCUUACGGUAUGGAGAUGAGCCUCCACACCAUGCUGCUGAUAAGCACUAGCGAAGUUCGCUGUGAACCAUGCACAGAGCUCUUCCCAGGAGUAGAUGGACCCCAGGGUAAGGUUCAUGAGCCAGGUCCGGGCCAGCCCAGUCAAGGCUACAUGGAAGUAGCUCGACAUUACUGCGGUGUUUCCACCAGCUGCCGUAAUGGCAGUGACGUAGACCUGCAAGAAUUCCGACGGGUUUGACGUACCGUCGUACUUCUCUGGCAGGUGUGGCCGAAACUUGGAUGGCCAAGUCGCCGCGCGAAGGUGAUCCGCUAGUGCGGCACAGCCCACGCCGACCAAUGGGACACCCGCCUGGAUUCGGGCGCCCCUUGGAGUUUGUGGCGCAACUGGAGCGAAAUCUUGGUCGAGGUCGCGACCCUCAAAGUUUUGCCAGCGCUCACGCGCCCUCUCCAGAGAGACUUGAGCAUCCUCGCCCGCACGCCUACGGUUGAGCUCUGCCCGCAGGUCGUCAGCCCUCUCUAGAGAGAUUUGGGCAUCCUCGCCCGCAUGCCUACGGUUGAGCUCUGCCCGUAGGUCGUCAGUCCGUGCACCCUCACUGAGGGCGAGCGCAUAGAUGCCGACGCUUCAUGUUGACACCGGAAUGACCGAGGCCUAGGCCUGGCCGAGCCAGAAUGUGCCAUGCCGAGGAGACGGACAACAUCUUCACGCCACUGCCUCAUGGCCCCUGGCGAAGCCGUGGAACUUGGGGGGUUGCGUAGCAACUCCCUGGCUGCAGACAAUGCCCCACCAGGGGCAGCCCUCGAUGGAGCCCUAGAUGUCUGUGUAGGCGUGUGCUGCUGCGCAGGCGUGCAUAGCUGCAGCACCAGGCGCAGGGCGGUUAGAGCCCCGUGGCAUGGAAGAUGCUGCCCCUUCCUCCAUUAGGAAGCCCUCGGGAGACAAGUCGCGGUGCUCGACGAUCUGAACCAUCGUGUCGAGCAAGGAAACAGGCGAAAAACUCAAGGCCAAAGCCCCCUACCUGGCGCGCCAAAUAUCGGAGAGAAAAUCUUCCGGCCGGGUGGCGGAAUGCACCCGCCCUAAUCCUAAGAUGAGGAGGAGGCCUAAGCGUUCGCCUGUUUGGUGAAUUGUCGACGAACACAGGAAGACUCGAGGGUUUAUAGUGGUUCAGGCCGCCGGAGCGUAAUAUCCUACCUCCACUGUAUGUAAGUUGUAUUGAGCGUGUCCCUUGUAACGUUGUGUCCCUUCCCUUUUAUAGUUUAAGGGAGGUACAUACAAGAAUGUUGAGCCCCGACAUGUGGGCCCAGGAGCAUAAUGGUAGGAAUACAUUAUGUGAAUAGUAAAUACUGACAGCACACAAAGAUCCUCCGCCUGAGUAACGCAUGAGUAAUUAGCGGGGGUCAUGAUGACUGUAGUCCAUGCAGCAUUGAUAGGCAGUAACCCUGCGCUAGUAAUGGUGAGUUAUUACCCAUGAUAUGGUAACGUGUGAGUAACUGCAUAGCCCAUGUAACAUGGACUGGGUACGUCGCCUGUCACUGGAAUGGACAGGCGCACGUCUUAUCUGUAAUGAAUGAAAAGACGCGCGUAGCCCAGAGGCUUCAUGCCAGGUUCCGCCCGUUGGCUUACGCCGUGCGCAGUAAGCCAUGCGGCAGCAUCGGGCCUCCGCCUGGGCGGGCAGUAGGAGUAUAUGCGAUUAGGUCCGGAUCCCAGCAGACUAGGUCUGGACACGUGUCGGCACCGGACCCCCGCAUGGGCCCUGAUUAAGGCUCGGGUAUGUUCUGUCCUGGAACCGGGGACCCCACCGUGGGCGGCCUGGACCCCAUACAGGGAGGUCCGAAUCCAUUCCAGGGGUCCGGUUCGCAUACGUGGAGGUCCUGGACCAAACUUGGAGACCCAGACCAUAUAUACAGGGGUCCGGCACCUUCCCAUGGGGUCCGAACACGUGGCGGCACCGGACCCGCCCAUGUGGUGGGGUUAGGUGUUGUUGCUGGCCCAGAGUAGUCGCCCGAGGCUGGGGCGAGUCAUGGCCUGGUCCCACAUACAGCUCUUUUACCAUGCAACUAAAAAUAGUCGUGUGGGUACUGCGUCUUUAUACAGCAGUAAGGGGUACCCUAGUUUUAGGGUACCGACACAUUCGAUAUCACUUUUUGAGAGAUCACCAACAAAGGGGGUGUCGGGGACCAUAAUUAGGGGUACCCUCAAGACGCCUAAUUCUCAGCUGGUAACCCCCAUCAGCAUAAAGCUGCAGAGGCCUGAUGGGUGCGAUUAAGUCAGGGAUCAGUCCAUACGAGCGACUCGAUCACGCCUCGCCCGAGCCUAGCCUCGGGCAAGGGCAGCCGACCUCGAGGGGUUUCUGUCUCGCCCGAGGCCCCCCUUUUAACGGCAGACACAUCUCCGGCUCGCCCGAGGCCUUGUCUUCGCUAAGAAGCAACCCUGACUAAAUCGCCGCACCGACCGACCGAGUCGCAGGAGCAUUUAACGCAAAGGUAGCCUGACACCUUUAUCCUGACGCUCGCCCCCCGGCAGAGCCGAAGUGACCGUCGUCACUUCACCGCCCCACUGACCGGCCUGACAGAAGGACAGCGCCGCCUGCGCCACUCCGACUGCAGUGCCACUUGACAGAGUGAGACUGACAGGCAGUUAGGCCUUGCCAAAGGCGCCAUAGGAAGCUCCGCCCGACCCAGGGCUCGGACUCGGGCUCAGCCCCGGAAGACGGCGAACUCCGCUCCGCCCGACCCAGGGCUCGGACUCGGGCUAAGCCCCGGAAGACGGCGAACUCCGCUCCGCCCGACCCAGGGCUCGGACUCGGGCUAGGCCCCGGAAGACGGCGAACUCCGCUCCGCCUGACCCAGGGCUCGGACUCGGGCUAAGCCCCGGAAGACGGCGAACUCCGCUCCGCCCGACCCAGGGCUCGGACUCGGGCAAGGCCCCAGAAGACGGCGAACUCCGCUCCGCCCGACCCAGGGCUCGGACUCGGGCUAGGCCCCGGAAGACGGCGAACUCCGCUCCGCCUGACCCCAGGGCUUGGACUCCGCCCUGGCCUCUGCCGAACGACCUCCGCCUCGCCCGAACCGGGAGCUCGGGCUCGGCCUCGGCCAUGGAAGACAGACUCGACCCCGGCUUCGGAGGAGCCUCCACGUCGCCCGACCUAGGACACAGGCCAGCCACGUCAACAGGAAGCGCCAUCAUCACCCUACCCCGAGCCGACUCGGGCCGCAGAGAGCAAGACCGGUGUCCCAUCUGGCUAGCUCCGCCAGAUAGGCAAUGAUGGCGCCCCGCUAGCCCCGUGACGACGGCGGCUCUCAGCUCCCUUACGGAAGCAGGGGGACGUCAGCAAGGACCCAACCGCUCCGACAGCUGUCCCUCCGCCAGGCUCCGUUGCUCCUCCGACAGCCACGACACCACACCAGCUGGGUGCCAAGAUCUCUCCGGCUGCCACAUUGGCAUGUACUCAGGGCACUAGUUCUCCCUUGCUAGACACGUAGCACUCUGCUACACCCCCAUUGUACACCUGGAUCCUCUCCUUAUGCCUAUAAAAGGAAGGACCAGGGCCUUCUUAGAGAAGGUUGGCCGCGCGGGGACGAGGAGGGGACAGGCGCUCUCUUGGGGCCGCUCGCUUCCCUCACCCGCGUGGACGCUUGUAACCCCCUACUGCAAGCGCACCCGACCUGGGCGCGGGACGAACACGAAGGCCGCAGGAUUUCCACCUCUCUCACGCCCGUCUCCGGCCACCUCGCUUCCCCCCUUCGCGCUCGUCCACGCGCUCGACCCAUCUGGGCUGGGGCACGCGGCACACUCACUCGUCGACUUAGGGACCCCCCGGUCUCGAAACGCUGACAGUUGGCGCGCCAGGUAGGGGCCUGCUGCGUGUUGACGAGUAGUUUCCCGUCGAGCUCCAGAUGGGCAGUCUCCAACAACCUCUCCAACCCGAGACGGUGCUCCGUUUCGGGAGUCUUGAGUUCAUGUCCCUCGACGACAGCUACGACAUGAUACUCCUUCCACCGCCGUGCGACAACGACAAUGGCGGCCGACAACCCGCCCGCCGGCGGCGGAAUCGACGACAUCUUCCCCGCGUGGUGGAAGAAUGACAUUCGAGCUCGCCUUGUCCUCUCCCCCGCCAACGGAGGAGGAGGCGGGGCAAUCGAGGCCAAGCAGGAGGCCCCGCUUCGUCGGCUGUCGAGCGAAUCGACAUCCCCAGCGCACCAACGGGGGGCGCGUCGGGCGUCGACCUCGCGUUUGAGACGAAGGCAAGCGCCGUCCCCCCGCGACACGCCAAUCCCGAGCAAGUGGACGACGCCAGCACGCUCGCGGAGGGCCUACAGGACGUCGCCCUCGUACCUAAGACGACGGCGCGAUCAGCCCCCGGCGUGACUAUGUCGCUCCUCGUCGAUCAAAAGGUACUGACUGAUUCCCAUCCUACGUUAUUUCGACUCGGCCUCAAUCCGCCUAGCGACCUCGCUUUGGCGGGCGCUCUCAUUGAGGCGAGUGCAACCCCACUGGGGUUUCGUAUGCGGUCGCCUUGGGACCGAUUGACGGAUGUCUCGACCUACGGGCCCUCUGGGUCCGAGGAAGAUGACGAUCCCAGCAUCUGCUGGGAUUUCUCUGGAUUUGGCAACCCCAGUGCCAUGCAGGACUUUAUGACCGCAUGUGACUACUGCCUCUCCGACUGUUCCGACGGUAGCCGCAGCCUUGACGACAAGGACUGCGGCCCAAGCCGCGAAUGUUUCCACGUCAAGCUAGGGGAUCCCUCCGAAGGCAACCAUCUCGGCAUGCCGGAGGACGGUGAUCUCCCAAGGCCGGUGCCUCGCGCCGACAUCCCGCGGGAGCUAGCUGUGGUCCCCGUUCCGGCGGGGGGUCAUGACCCACAGCUCGAGCAAGUCCGCGGGGCGCAGGCCAGGCUCGACGAGGGAGCAGGAGCGCUCGAGUCGAUCCGCCGGGACGUCGGGCAGGUAUGGGCGGGCCAACCCCCGGCCGGAGAAAUACGUCACCUGCCCCAGGGUUCCCAGCACCGCGUCGCCAACGACGUCAGGGUCAGGCCGCCGCCCGCAUCCAGCGGGGUCAGUCAGAACCUGGCAGCCGCAGCGAUGCUCCUCCGCGCGAUGCCGGAGCCAUCAACCACCGAGGGUCGGCGAAUCCAGGGAGAGCUCAAGAAUCUUCUGGAAGGCGCUGCGGCCCGACGGGCCGAGAGCUCUGCCUCCCGAAGGCAGGGAUACCCCUCGGAACCUCAUGUCGCGACUUCCCGAUUCAUGCGGGAAGCCUCGGUCUACACCGGGCGCACGCGCAACACCGUGCCUGCGGCCCCGGGCCACCUCGGCAACGAGCACCAUCGUCGCGACCGUCGGGCCCACCUCGACGAAAGGGUGCGCCGAGGCUACCACCCCAGGAGUGGGGGAUGCUACGACAGCGGGGAAGAUCGGAGUCCCUCACCCGAACCACCCGGUCCGCAGGCCUUCAGUCGGGCCAUCCUACGGGCGCUGUUCCCGGCCCGGUUCCGACCCCCGACUACUAUCACAAAGUACUCGGGGGAAACGAGACCGGAACUGUGGCUCGCAGACUACCGCCUAGCCUGCCAACUGGGUGGAACGGACGACGACAACCUCAUCAUCCGCAACCUCCCCCUGUUCCUCUCCGACACUGCUCGCGCCUGGUUGGAGCACCUGCCUCCGGGGCAGAUCUCCAACUGGGAUCACCUGGUCCAAGCCUUCGCCGGAAAUUUCCAGGGCACGUAUGUGCGCCCUGGGAAUUCCUGGGACCUCCGAAGCAGCCAACAGCAGCCGGGAGAGUCUCUUCGGGACUACAUCCGGCGAUUCUCGAAGCAGCGCACCGAGCUGCCCAACAUCACCGACGCAGAUGUCAUCGGCGCGUUCCUUGCCGGCACCACCUGCCGCGACCUGGUGAGCAAGUUGGGUCGCAAGACCCCCACCAGGGCGAGUGAGCUGAUGGACAUCGCCACCAAGUUCGCCUCUGGCCAGGAGGCGGUUGAGGCUAUCUUCCAAAAGGACAAGCAGCCCCAGGGCCGCCCGUCGGAAGAUGCUCCCGAGGCGUCUACUCCGUGCGGCGCCAAGAAGAAAGGCAAGAAGAAGUCGCAAGCGAAACGCGACGCCGCCGACGCGGACCUUGUCGCCGCCGCCGAGUACAAGAACCCUCGGAAGCCCCCUGGAGGUGCCAACCUCUUCGACAAGAUGCUCAAGGAGCCGUGCCCCUACCAUCAGGGGCCUGUCAAGCACACCCUCGAGGAGUGCGUCAUGCUUCGGCGCCACUUCCCUAAGGCCGGGCCACCCGCAGAGGGUGGCUGGGCCCGCGACGACGACAAAAAGGAAGACCACCAAGCAAGAGAGUUCCCCGAGGUCCGCGACUGCUUCAUGAUCUACGAAGGGCAUGCGGCGAAUGCCUCGGCUCGGCAUCGCAAGCAAGAGCGCCGGGAGGUCUGCUCGGUGAAGGUGGCGGCGCUAGUCUACCUAGACUGGUCCGACAAGCCCAUCACCUUCGACCAAGCUGACCACCCCGACCACGUGCCGAGCCCGGGGAAAUACCCGCUCGUCGUCGACCCCAUCGUCGGCGACGUCAGGCUCACCAAGGUCCUGAUGGAUGGGGGAGCUGCCUCAACAUCAUCUACGCCGAGACCCUCAGGCUCCUGCGCGUCGAUCUGUCCUCCGUCCGUGCAGGCGCUGCGCCCUUCCACGGGAUCAUUCCUGGGAAGCGCGUCCAGCCCCUCGGACGGCUCGACCUUCCCGUCUGCUUCAGAACGCCCUCCAACUUCCGAAGGGAGAUUUUGACGUUCGAGGUGGUCGGGUUCCGAGGAACCUACCACGCGGUAUUGGGGAGGCCAUGCUACGCGAAGUUCAUGGCCAUCCCCAACUACACCUACCUGAAGCUCAAGAUGCCGGGCCCCAACGGGGUCAUCACCGUCGGCCCCACGUACAAACACGCGUUCGAAUGCGACGUGGAGUGCGUGGAGUACGCCGAGGCCCUCGCCGAGUCCGAGGCCCUCAUCGCUGACCUGGAGAACCUCUCCAAAGAGGUGCCAGACGUGAAGCGACAUGCCGGCAACUUCGAGCCAGCGGAGACGGUUAAGGCCGUCCCUCUCGACCCCAGUGGCGACACCUCCAAGCAGAUCCGGAUCGGUUCCGGGCUCGACCCCAAAUAGGAAGCAGUGCUCGUCGACUUUCUCUGUGCAAACGCCGACGUCUUUGCGUGGAGUCCCUCGGACAUGCCCGGCAUACCGAGGGAUGUCGCCGAGCACUCGCUGGAUAUUCGGGCCGGAGCCCGACCUGUCAGGCAGCCUCUGCGCCGAUUCGACGAGGAGAAGCGCAGAGUGAUAGGCGAAGAGAUCCACAAGCUAAUGGUGGCAGGGUUCAUCAAAGAGGUAUUCCAUCCCGAAUGGCUUGCCAACCCUGUGCUUGUGAGAAAGAAAGGGGGGAAAUGGCGGAUGUGUGUAGACUACACUGGUCUCAACAAAGCAUGUCCGAAGGUUCCCUACCCUCUACCUCGCAUCGAUCAAAUCGUGGAUUCCACUGCUGGGUGCGAAACCCUAUCCUUCCUCGAUGCCUACUCAGGGUAUCACCAAAUCCGGAUGAAAGAGUCCGACCAGCUCGCGACUUCUUUCAUCACGCCCUUCGGCAUGUACUGCUAUGUCACCAUGCCGUUCGGUUUGAGGAAUGCGGGCGCGACGUACCAACGGUGCAUGAACCAUGUGUUCGGCGAACACAUCGGUCGCACAGUCGAGGCCUACGUCGAUGACAUUGUAGUCAAGACAAGGAAGGCUUCCGACCUCCUCUCCGACCUUGAAGUGACAUUCCGAUGUCUCAAGGCAAAGGGCGUCAAGCUCAAUCCCGAGAAGUGUGUCUUCGGGGUGCCCCGGGGCAUGCUCUUGGGGUUCAUCGUCUCCGAGCGGGGCAUCGAAGCCAACCCGGAGAAGAUCGCAGCCAUCACCAGCAUGGGGCCCAUCAAGGACUUAAAAGGCGUACAGAGGGUCAUGGGAUGUCUCGCGGCCCUGAGCCGUUUCAUCUCACGCCUCGGCGAAAGAGGUCUGCCUCUGUACCGCCUCUUAAGGAAGGCCGAGUGCUUCACUUGGACCCCUGAGGCCGAGGAAGCUCUCGGGAACCUGAAGGCGCUCCUCACCAAGGCGCCUAUCUUGGUGCCCCCAGCCGAUGGAGAAGCCCUCUUGGUCUACGUCGCCGCGACCACUCAGGUGGUUAGCGCCGCGAUUGUGGUCGAGAGGCAAGAAGAGGGGCAUGCAUUGCCCGUUCAGAGGCCAGUUUACUUCGUCAGCGAGGUACUGUCCAAAACCAAGAUCCGCUACCCACAAGUUCAGAAGCUGUUGUACGCAGUGAUCCUGACGAGGCAGAAGUUGCGACACUACUUCGAGUCUCACCCGGUAACUGUGGUGUCAUCCUUCCCCCUGGGGGAGAUCAUCCAGCGCCGAGAGGCCUCGGGCAGGAUUGCGAAGUGGGCGGUGGAACUCAUGGGCGAGACCAUCUCGUUCGCGCCUCGGAAGGCCAUCAAGUCCCAAGUCUUGGCGGACUUCGUAGCCGAAUGGGUCGACACCCAGCUGCCGACGGCUCCGAUCCAACCGGAGCUCUGGACCAUGUUUUUCGACGGGUCGCUGAUGAAGACGGGAGCCGGCGCGGGCCUGCUCUUCAUCUCGCCCCUCGGGAAACACCUACGCUACGUGCUGCGCCUCCAUUUCCCGGCGUCCAACAAUGUGGCUGAGUACGAAGCUCUGAUCAACGGAUUGCGAAUCGCCAUCGAGCUAGGGGUCCGACGCCUCGACGCUCGCGGCGACUCGCAGCUCGUCAUCGGCCAAGUCAUGAAGAACUCUCACUGCCGCGACCCGAAGAUGGAGGCCUACUGCGAUGAGGUUCGGCGCCUGGAAGACAAGUUCUACGGGCUCGAGCUUAACCACAUCGCUCGGCGCUACAACGAGACUGCGGACGAGCUGGCAAAAAUAGCCUCGGGGCGAACGACGGUUCCCCCGGACGUCUUCUCCCGGGAUCUGCACCAACCCUCCGUCAAGAUCAACGACACGCCCGAGCUCGAGGCACCCUCGGUCCAGCCCGAGGUACCCUCGGCCCAGCCCGAGGCGUCCUCGGUUCAGCCCGAGGUACCCUCAGCCCCCGAGGGCGAGGCGCUGCGCAUCGAGGAGGAGUGGAGCGGGGCCACGCCUGAUCGAGAUUGGCAGACCCCGUACCUGCAAUAUCUCCGCCAAGGAGAGCUACCCCUCGACCAAGCCGAGGCUCGGCGGGUAGCGUGACGCGCCAAGUCGUUCGUCUUGCUGGGCGAUGAGAAGGAGCUCUACCACCACAGCCCCUCGGGCAUCCUCCAGCGAUGCAUCUCCAUCGCCGAAGGGCAGGAACUCCUGCAAGAGAUACACUCGGGGGCUUGCGGCCAUCACGCAGCGCCUCGAGCCCUCGUCGGGAAUGCUUUCCGGCAAGGCUUCUACUGGCCAACGGCGGUGGCUGAUGCCACUAGAAUUGUCCGCACCUGCGAAGGGUGUCAAUUCUAUGCGAAGCAGACCCACCUGCCCGCUCAGGCUCUGCAGACGAUACCCAUCACCUGGCCCUUUGCUGUGUGGGGUCUGGACCUCGUCGGUCCCUUGCAGAAGGCACCCGGGGGCUACACGCACCUGCUGGACGCCGUCGACAAAUUCUCCAAGUGGAUCGAGGUCCGACCCCUGAACAGCAUCAGGUCCGAGCAGGCGGUGGCGUUCUUCACCAACAUCAUCCAUCGCUUCGGGGUCCCAAACUCCAUCAUCACCGACAACGGCACCCAGUUCACCGGCAGAAAUUUCUUGGAUUUUUGCGAGGAUCACCACAUCCGGGUGGACUGGGCCGCCGUAGCUCAUCCCAUGUCGAAUGGGCAAGUAGAGCGUGCCAACGGCAUGAUUCUACAAGGGCUCAAGCCUCAGAUUUACAACGACCUCAACAAGUUCGGCAAGCGAUGGAUGAAGGAACUCCCCUCGGUGGUCUGGAGCCUGAGGACAACGCCGAGCCGGGCCACGGGUUUCACGCCGUUCUUCCUGGUCUACGGGGCCGAGGCCGUCUUGCCCACUGACCUGGAAUACGGCUCCCCGAGGACGAGGGCCUACGACGAUCAAAGCAACCAAGCUAGCCGAGAAGACUCGCUGGACCAGCUGGAAGAGGCUCGGGACAGGGCCUUACUACACUCGGUGCGGUAUCAGCAGUCCCUGCGACGCUACCACGCCCGAGGGGUCCGACCCCGAGACCUCCAGGUGGGCGACCUGGUGCUUCGGCUGCGGCAAGACGCCCGAGGGAGGCACAAGCUCACGCCCCCCUGGGAGGGGCCAUUCGUCAUCACCAAAGUUCUGAAGCCCGGAACGUACAAGCUGGCCAACAGCCAAGGCGAGGUCUACGGCAACGCUUGGAACAACCAACAGCUACGUCGCUUCUACCCUUAAGAUGUUUCCAAGUUGUUCAUAUACCUCGCACCCACGCAAAGUUUAGUCAACAAGGAAGGGUCGGCCUCGCCUCGGCAAAGCCCGACCCUCCCUCGGGGGCUAAAAGGGGGGAGACCCCCUCUGCGUCAAAAUUUUCCUCGAAAAAAGAUCUCUUUUACCAGAAUAUCUUUCGUGCUUUUUGACUACUUCGAAAAGUGGGUCCUGGAAACGACGGAGUACACGUAAGCAGCCAAGGCUGACCGAGCCGAGGGACUCCUACGCCUCCGGGAUACGGAUACCUCACUCAUCACCUUCUGCGAUAAGUAACUCGCGUUCGGAUAAAGUGGCUCCGCGGAUCGAACAAGUCUUUACGUUCGGAAGCCCUUCUGCCGAAGCGAUCCUUCGAGCCUUCUCGACUGAGUCGGUGACAGGGCCUCACGGACGGGUGAAAGUACGCGUAAGCGGCAAGGCCGACCGAGCCGAGGAACUCCCACGCCUCCGGGAUACGGAUACCUCACUCAUCACCUUCCGCGAGAAGCAACUCCCACUCAUACAAACAUCCCUGCUACCGACAAAAAGUCCAGAUACUCGAAACAAGAGGAAAAGAGACGCAGCUUUACAACGCAGCGAGGGUGUGUGUUCUGGCCUCGGCGGCCGCACAAGGCACACGCUACAAGACAAUCUGAUCCUGCAGGCUCGGGUCUUGACGCUGGAAGGGGGCAGCAACACCCUCGGCAUCGACGGCACCUUCGGCGAGGCCCGACCUAGCCUCGGACGGCGACGCGGUCCGAGGUUCUCCGCUCCGAAGGACGACGUCGUCACCACGCCCGGGCAAUCGCUCCUAGGGACUUCUCCGGGAAUCCGGCCUGAGCAGGCGGCUCGGACGGUUACCCCUGGGGCCUCAGCCAACCAUCUUCCAAGGGUGCCAGCCCGGUCCGAGGCCUCGGCUGAUCAACUCCGGCAUCGGUCCUGCUGACGGACAACCCGGCUAGGCUCCGGCCAACCAGGUUUCAUUCUCGAGCCGACUCCGCCUCUGUUCAUACUGAUAUCGCUACCCCUGGCCUCGGCUCGUCGAAGAGCGGCCGAGGGGUCUCUUUAACUAAGCUAGAGGAGCCUCGGACAGCAAGGUCGACCGAGCCGAGGGACUCCUACGCCUCCGGGAUACGGAUACCUCACUCAUCACCUUGACACGGGGCGACUCAUGCUUGGUGAAGCGGUUCAGAUAAUCAACAUACGAGUCUUAGCGCUCAAAAAUGAGAAGAAAACACGGCUUCGUGCCGUAAUUACAUACAUGUUCAGGCCCCGAAAGCCGAAAUGAACAAAAAACACCGGCAUUCGAAGUGCCAUUACAAACGGAACUCCGGUUCCCCCCUCCGCAGGUACGAACAACCCCACUCGACAGGGGUGGGCCUGCGGAGCAACAGAAGACCGACGAACGACUUGUCAUCGCCCACCCCAGCAGCGGCGACGAUGAAGACUUCUGUCCCGGGGGGCCGAACAGCAGCAGCGAUGACCUCAGGGCGGAUGCUGCUGCCAGGAGGCCCCCGCCCAUGCCCAAACUCGAGAGGCAAGGACGGGCAGAAUGCCGUAGAGUUGGAGGUCGGUCCGUGGCCAGCCUUGGCUAUCACGUCGGCGGAAGAACCUCUUCCAGCUGCCGUGGCAGACGCCGGCGCCGCGAGCGGCUCCGAAGCCACUCGCGCCUGAAAGCCAGGCACGCUGCAGAUGCCAGCGCCAUGGACGACAACCGCUCCUCCCUCCGAUCACUGAGUGAAGGAGCGGGCCGCCGCCCACGCGGGGGCCGACCUCAACUCGGCACACUCCCCUCCCCAGCCCUGGUGAUGAAAAUCCUUGAGGCUGAGGGAGGGGCAGAGGCCGCAGCCCAGCUCGCUUUCCCCCACCAUCAAGCUGGAGGUCACUGUCUUGGGUGACCGCCGGCGGAGGGGUGCAGCCGGGCUGCAUGAUGAAAAUCCUUGAAGCCGAACGAUGGCUAAAAGGUACCAACUCCCACGGAGUUGCGUUCCUCCAACGAUGAGGCAAAAAGACGGCGGGUUUCCCCCCAUCCGGGGGCUUGGAAGGGGGAAAGACGCGACUCAUAAGGGAGGAAGAAGACAUGGUCGCCUUCCGAAAGGGGUCGCUCUCCUUUUAAAGGCGACUCUCCCUGCUUGCACCCCCAACCGUCACAGGCUGAGUCUUCUCCAACACGCUCCAAAGCCCUCCCCUGCGGCGCGGGGGCUGGGUCCCGCAUAUCAUGCAGACCGGCUCCGAGCAGAAGAAGCCAAACCGCCGCGCGUGGUGCACGCAACCGCCCAGCGGUUACAAGUGACCCUCCACUUUUGCCCAGACCAACGGGCGAAAGGGGCCGGCAGCCAUGCAGGCGGCAUGCAACCGCGCCAAGUGGACGCGCUUCUCCGACUCCCGACAUGCCAGCACGGAGGCCCAGGCCCACGCAUCGCGCAACCGGUGCGCCGGAUGCUGCAUGCAAGCAACUGUACCGCCUGUGCCACCACCGCUCCUCCUCGAUUGCGGAACCAAUACCGCGACUCGAGGCAACCCAGCGCGCGACCCAGCAGCGCCAGCCUGACGCGGCGGCCAACGCGGCCAAAGGUGGGCUGGCAGUAAUGACGGUGGCAGGCGCGCGGGAGCAGCGGUCAUGUCGUCAGCCAAGCUCAUGUCCCAUCCGGGGGCAGCAAGAGAACCCCCUCUCACGGCGCGAAGACAACGCGCCCGUGAUCCGUUCCUCGAACGGCUCGCACACGCGCAACGGCCGCCCCGCCAACUACUCGCCCCAUCGCAUUAACUCCGCGGCUGGACAGGCGGCGCUUCUGGCAGGAGCAGCGGGCGACGCUUCGCCUUCGCCGAAACAACCGCGCCAAAAAAGGUACGUCGCGUCGUUCGGUUUCGUAUCCUUUUUCCUUUUUUCCUCUUUCUCUAUCUCUUGCGAUAGGGACCGGGAAAGGGGGAUACCCCGAAAGGGGUCCUUCCCCGUGAAGGAACCAGGCUCCGAGCCUCCUUACUGAUCAGGGGUUCGAAGGCUGGCCCCCCGAAGGGUUCAACAGCCGCCUCAGAUCACGUGGGCCCUACACCCACUACUGGUCAGAGGUUCGAAGGCCGGCCCCCCGAAGGGUAACACGGCCGCCUCAGGCUACUCGGGCUCCGCGCCCAUUACUGAUCAGGGGUUCGAAGGCUGGCCCCCGAAGGGUUCACAGUCGCCUCAGACACCGAGCGAGGGAUGACCAGGGGUACGUUCGAUACAUAACCAAGGCUCAGGCUGCGCUCCCGAGGUACCCUAGGACAUUUCCGAGACCAGCGGGAGCGAUCUUGUAACGGAAUCCCAUCGGAGGGAGGCAUCGAGCCCUCGGACCCCGUCGCCAGGGGACCGGGUCCGGCAGAUCACCCGCAGGUACUUUUGGGCGUGCCUCUGGGCCCCUAGCCGACCCCCAACGAACGGGGCACGGACGUCCACUCGGAUUACCCGCUUGCAGCUCACCGGAGACACCAUGUUCGGUGCCCAUCGAGGGUAACAUGGCGCUCUCCCCCCCUCCUCCUUGCGGAAAGGCGACGUAGGGGCGUAUGUAAAAAAGCCGAGUCUGUACCUGAUCGCCCUCUCGCCCUGUGCGAAGGCUCGGGGGCUGCUCUCGCAAACCCGGCUCCGGCCGAACCGUUGAUAGCGUCAACAUACCAGCCCGAGAACUUGGGCCCCGACCGUGCACCCGGGCUACGGCCAGUUCGCAUGAGGGAACCACCAGACCAGCCGAAGCAUUACGCGAGGCAUUAAGACCUCGAAGGAGUGAAACCACUCCUGCGAGGCCUCGGGGGCUACACCCGGCGGGUGCGCUCGCGCGCACCCACCGGAACAAAAUGCAACCGAGAAAGGCUGGUCCCCUUGCAAAAAAGUGCGACGAAAGCCUCCAAGCGAGUGCUAACACUCCCUUCGAGGCUCAGGGGCUACUGUCGGGGACCAUAAUUAGGGGUACCCUCAAGACGCCUAAUUCUCAGCUGGUAACCCCCAUCAGCAUAAAGCUGCAGAGGCCUGAUGGGUGCGAUUAAGUCAGGGAUCAGUCCAUACGAGCGACUCGAUCACGCCUCGCCCGAGCCUAGCCUCGGGCAAGGGCAGCCGACCUCGAGGGGUUUCUGUCUCGCCCGAGGCCCCCCUUUUAACGGCGGACACAUCUCCGGCUCGCCCGAGGCCUUGUCUUCGCUAAGAAGCAACCCUGACUAAAUCGCCGCACCGACCGACCGAGUCGCAGGAGCAUUUAACGCAAAGGUAGCCUGACACCUUUAUCCUGACGCUCGCCCCCCGGCAGAGCCGAAGUGAUCGUCGUCACUUCACCGCCCCACUGACCGGCCUGACAGAAGGACAGCGCCGCCUGCGCCACUCCGACUGCAGUGCCACUUGACAGAGUGAGACUGACAGGCAGUCAGGCCUUGCCAAAGGCGCCAUAGGAAGCUCCGCCCGACCCAGGGCUCGGACUCAGGCUCAGCCCCGGAAGACGGCGAACUCCGCUCCGCCCGACCCAGGGCUCGGACUCGGGCUAAGCCCCGGAAGACGGCGAACUCCGCUCCGCCUGACCCAGGGCUCGGACUCAGGCUAGGCCCCGGAAGACGGCGAAUUCCGCUCCGCCCGACCCAGGGCUCGGACUCGGGCUAGGCCCCGGAAGACGGCGAACUCCGCUCCGCCCGACCCAGGGCUCGGACUCGGGCUAAGCCCCGGAAGACGGCGAACUCCGCUCCGCCCGACCCAGGGCUCGGACUCGGGCAAGGCCCCGGAAGACGGCGAACUCCGCUCCGCCCGACCCAGGGCUCGGACUCGGGCUAGGCCCCGGAAGACGGCGAACUCCGCUCCGCCCGACCCCAGGGCUCGGACUCCGCCCUGGCCUCUGCCGAACGACCUCCGCCUCGCCCGAACCGGGAGCUCGGGCUCGGCCUCGGCCAUGGAAGACAGACUCGACCCCGGCUUCGGAGGAGCCUCCACGUCGCCCGACCUAGGGCACAGGCCAGCCACGUCAACAGAAAGCGCCAUCAUCACCCUACCCCGAGCCGACUCGGGCCGCAGAGAACAAGACCGGUGUCCCAUCUGGCUAGCUCCGUCAGAUAGGCAAUGAUGGCGCCCCGCUAGCCCCGUGACGACGGCGGCUCUCAGCUCCCUUACGGAAGCAGGGGGACGUCAGCAAGGACCCAACCGCUCCGACAGCUGUCCCUCCGCCAGGCUCCGUUGCUCCUCCGACAGCCACGACACCACACCAGCUGGGUGCCAAGAUCUCUCCGGCUGCCACAUUGGCAUGUACUCAGGGCACUAGUUCUCCCUUGCUAGACACGUAGCACUCUGCUACACCCCCAUUGUACACCUGGAUCCUCUCCUUACGCCUAUAAAAGGAAGGACCAGGGCCUUCUUAGAGAAGGUUGGCCGCACGGGGACGAGGAGGGGACAGGCGCUCUCUUGGGGCCGCUCGCUUCCCUCACCCGCGUGGACGCUUGUAACCCCCUACUGCAAGCGCACCCGACCUGGGCGCGGGACGAACACGAAGGCCGCGGGAUUUCCACCUCUCUCACGCCCGUCUACGGCCACCUCGCUUCCCCCCUUCGUGCUCGCCCACGCGCUCGACCCAUCUGGGCUGGGGCACGCGGCACACUCACUCGUCGGCUUAGGGACCCCCCGGUCUCGAAACGCCGACAGGGGGAUAUCAAAAUAGCUUAUGUAAAUACCAAAGAACAAUUAGCCGAUAUCUUUACCAAGCCAUUAGAUGAGAAAACCUUUAGCAAACUUAGGAAUGAGCUAAAUAUACUUGAUUCUCGGAAUUUUGAUUGAAACAUUGCACACAUAGCUCAUUUAUAUACUUUUGAUCAUAUCUCUUUCAUUUGCUACGACUAAUGUGUUUCCAAGUGUCUUUUUAAUGCUAAGUUGUAGAUUGAAAGGGAAAUGGAGUACUCGACGAAGCCAAGGCUUCCACUCCACUCUACCGGUAUCAUGUACCCUUCAUCAUUACUCCACCACACUUCACAUUGGUAUAAUCUUUUCACUCAUAUUUACUUGUACCAAUGGGGGAGAUAGUUUUGGGCUCCAACGUUCUCCGUUUUUGGUGAUUAAUGCCAAAGGGGGAGAGAAUAUAGCCCAAAGCAAAAGACCGCACCACACCACCAAUUUCAAAAUUUUCAAAGAAUUUUUCAAAAUAGUUUGAUCCUUUUCAAAUUGGUAUUUACAAAAAUUGGUAAAACCCUCUUGAACACUAAGAGGAAAAUUUCAUUCAGGGGGAGUUUUGUUUAGUCAAAGGAACAACAUUUGAAAUAGGGGGAGAAAAUCUCAAAUCUUGAAAAUGCUUCUUGCAAUCUUAUUCAUAUAUCUUUGACUAUUUGCAAAAGGAUUUUGAAAAGACUUUACAAAGGAAUUUGCAAAAACAAAACCGUGGUGCAAGCAUGGUCCAAAAUGUUAAAUAAAAAGAAAGCAAUCCAUGCAUAUCUAGUGAAAUUAUAAAUUGGUUUAAUUCUAAGUAACCUAUGCACUUACAUUAUGCAAACUAGUUCAAAUUCUACACUUAUAUAUUUGCUUUGGUUUGUGUUGGCAUCAAUCACCAAAAAGGGGGAGAUUGAAAGAGAAAUAGGGUUUAACCUUUUCCUAUAAAUAAUUUUGGUGGUUGAAUGCCCAACACAAAUAUUGGACUAACUAGUUUGCUCUAGAUUAUAUUCUAUAGGUGCAUAGAGAUUCAACACAAACCAAUAAAAAGAUUAAAGAAAGGAGAAAAGAAACCCAAGUGUGCCCUGGUCUGGCGCACCGGACUGUCCGGUGUGCCACCGGACAGUGUCCGGUGCACCAGGACCGUACAACUCCAAACUCGCAAGUCUCGGUUUUCUCCAGCGCCACUCUGCUAUAAUUCACCGGACUGGCCGAUGUGCCACCGGACUGUCCGGUGCACCAGCGAAGCAAUGGCUCUCCAGCGCAACGGUCGACUGCACAGUGCCCCUGACAGGCGCUAUAGUUCGCGGCAGAAGUCAGAGCAGAGGUCAGUGGCGCACCGGACACUAAACAGUGUCUGUCCGGUGCGGCACCGGACUGUCCGGUGCCACUAGAGUCAGCGCUCCAACGGUUGACUGCGUCAAAACCCUAAUGGUUGGGUGACGUGGCUGGCGCACCGGACAGUGUCUGGUGGUGCACCGAACUGUCCAUAGCGCCCAUCGACAGCAGCCAUCCCCAACAGCUGUUUUGGUGGUUGAGGGCUAUAAAUACCCCCCCAACCACCACCACUCCAGGCAUCCAAGUUUCUAGCACUCCACAUUCAAUACAAGAGCUAGUGCAUUCAAUAUUAGACACAAUUCAAAAGAAUCAAAGCUUCUCCAAGUCUCAAGUUCACUCCAUACACCUAGUGACUAGAGAGAGAGUUUUGCUCGUGUUCUUUGAGCUCUUGUUCUUGGAUCGCUUUCUUCUUCCUCAUUCUUGUUCUCUAAGUGACUUGUAAUCAAAGCAAGAGACACUAAGUUUGUAGUGAUCCUUGCGGGGUCUAAGUGACCCUUUUGAUUAAGGAGAAAGCUCACUCGGUCUAGGUGACCAUUUGAGAGAGGGAAAGGGUUGAAAGAGACCUGGUCUUUGUGACCACCUCAAUGGGGAUUAGGUUCUCAAGAAUCGAACCUCGGUAAAACAAAUCACUGUGCCAUCCGCUUUAUUUCUUGGUUGAUUUGUUUUCGCCCUCUCUCUCGGACUCGAUUUUAAUUCUAACGCUAACCCCGGCUUGUAGUGUGUGCUUAAGUUUGUAAAUUUCAGAUUCUGCCUAUUCACCCCCUCUAGGCGACUUUCAAAAACAAACAAGCUCAGCAAUGAUAAGCACAAACAAAUUAAAUGUUUUGAAUAGGGGAAGAGUAGAGUUUUCCAAAUCACGAACUACUCGGAUUCGGGGGCUAAGCAUAACACUAUUGCUCGGCUCCUGAACUGAGAACUAUGCUAAAUGUGACUUAUGAGAACUAACAUUAAAGCAUCACAUAUGCACUCAAAAGGGGAUAAAACAUCAAGCAAAAAUCAUUUUGAAAUGCCCUAGGGGCACACAAUUAGAGUUUUGCAAAACACGAGGUUACACGGUUACCUCUCAUACAUGCAGGGCUCUAGCCAAAGUGAAGAAAGACUUCACUACCCAAUGCAUGCAGAGGACUGGGCACAACUAACUUCAGACCAGGCAGCUUCUCUUCUGGCAAGGCUGGCGCACAACUUCAAUCUGAGACAUCUCCUGGAUGGGUCAAGAGGGAGCUGAUGUUGAUGACUUCUUCUGGCAGCGACUGAGAUGGCAGGACGGGGUCGAACUCUUCUUCACGCGGGACUGGCUCUUGUAGCUCCUCAGAGGGCGGCGGUGCUGGUGGGGUGCUUGCGGCUUCUUCCUUGACCUCAAGGGAUGGUGCUGGAAUCUUCUUCAUGGUGAGGGGCUCAAACAACCCUGAUGGGGGAUCUUGGGAGGAUUCGGGGUGCUCUUGCUUAUCCAUAGCCUUAGGGGAGACUGGCAUUCCUUCCAAGACUAUGGCUCCUUCCGGGAGUUCCCAAUCCUUCUUGUCUCCUCUGAUAGAGACCGGGUGACCUUCAAGAAUAUGGGGAUCUUCAGCUUUCAUGGGUUGAACUGGGUUGUAUGAAGCGGCCUCUUAGAUCCGUAGGGCUCUUUGUUGGUUGUGGGUUACCAAGUAGGACUCCAUCAACUUCUGGACGUGCUCAUCCUUGGCUUGCUUCAGGGCUUCAACAGCAAUGACUUCAUGACUUUCCAAAGCAGUUGCACGGGCUUGAGCUGUGGUGAGAUCCACAUGGAGCUUACGGUUGUGCUUCUCUGCAUCUUCUGCUCGGGCAAUCAUCUAACGGUGGUGCUGAGCCAAGAAAUCAUACUGUGCAUCCAGGGUGAGCAGGUAGGCAGUGAGGUACACGACUGUGGGGUUGUCCUCAAGCAGCUGCUGCCCUUCCAAUGCACGCAUCAUGGACAUCCAAACUGGACGGUCUCUUUGAAAGGGCGGAAAGAAUCUGAGCGGGGUAUCGGCCACCUCUUCUUCAUAGAUUUGUCACAAAGCCCUCAAUGCCUUGCGAGCGACGACUUGGCAGGUGUCUUUGAAUCUGUGCCCCGCAGCAGUUACACUCCAUUCCACAUGGUGCGGACUGGAUCCAAUGUAUACAGCCACGACACACUUCUCUGUGCCAUGCUCGACGAAUUCAUGACUAUCAUACUCUAGCUGGCUCCUGAUUCCGAGGCGAACUGUGCAUGCUCUCAACAACUUGGGGAAACCAUCUUCAUUCUGGCAAAAGCUGGUUUGGCAGCGAACCUCCAUCUGACUUUUGAGAGAAGGAAAGGGGAAAACAUUUUUGAAAUAAAGGGAUGAGAGCAAGAAUUUUUUUAAGAAAAUAGUUUUGACUCAAAAACUUUUGGAUCAAGGCUAAGGGUUACGUCCUGCGGCCAACCUAACAACUCUGAUACCACCUGAAGCGCCUCAAUCCUCUAGGACUCAAAUGUGAUACAAUUACUAGUCCCAGGAGGCUAGUAAACAUAUUUAUACAUCAGAUGAUUCCAGAUCUACUUAAACGAGACAAACCUAUAAAGGUGGCGAUCAACUUUAAGAGUUGGUCCACAACUUGGGACAUAUCAUCAGAGUGGGGCUAAAGCAGCCCGAUAUAUGCAGCGAAGCAAAUCAGCGGUCCAACAGCCACAGGCAAGGUUGGGAACAGGCGUAACUCUUACCCGAUCAGGGAUCUCCUUCUCUGAAAAACAACAAAUAAGCAAGGGUGAGUACUUACGUACUCAGGAGCCCACCUUCACCCGCGGAAUGGGGAAAUCAGAUAUAAUGCAUGGAAUAUGUGGAGCUCAGGAUAUUUUGCAGAAAUAGCAAUAUUUGAUGUAGGGUUAUUUUGUAAAACAUUUUAUAUUUUUCAAAGCGCAUCCCCUCCCAAGGAAGCAGGAAGUUUUUCAAUAUAGAACAAAAUCCCCUAGACUAAAUAAUCCAGGUAUCUCAGCAGUUUCCCACUGGUUUUUAUUUUCAAAAACAGCUACUGGACUUCCCGUCCACCAUAGCUCACGGCUCAACCGCCGGACCUUUUAAAAACCACUUUUCAAAAGCAUUUUUUGGAAAACAAAACACUAAUUGUCAAAUCCAUGCCAUGACUCAUCCAUAUCUGUGGACGCGGACUAUUCGAAUAGGUUUUCAAACUCUGCGCAGAGGUAUACAUUUUACCCGCUAGUCCGGUUUCUGCAAUCUCACUGUCGUGAGAUCCGAAUGCUGAAUCUCUCUUUCCUUGCACGUCCUUAACUUAACGAUUAUACCAGAAGGAGUCAGGCCACCACCAUGCCCAAACCGGACAAAACAUUCCCAUCCUUAUCCUCCCGGUGCUCCCCAGCCAUCAUAACCCUAGGGUUCGGACCAUACAAGUUUAGAUUGAGUGACUGCCCAUACAGUCUCGAAUGGUUGUACUUGAUAAGAGUAUAGGUAAGGAGUGAUGACAAACCGGUCCUUAGGCAAGAGGGACAAUCCUUCAUGCUCACACCUAAACCAGCUGAGCCAUCACCUUAGGCCCUCCCCUAAACCAGGGAGUCCCUGAUUGUCGGUGUUUCGACCCUGGGGGGUCCCUGGACCGACGAGUAAAUUGUCGCUGCGUGUCCCAACCCAGAUGGGUCGGCGCGAGACGGAGCACAAGGGGGGGAAACCAGCGAGGGGAAACCGCGGCCUCGUGUUGUCCUGCGCCCAGGGCGGAUGCGCUUGCAGUAGGGGGUUGCAAGCGUUCGCGAGGGAGAGAGAGAGGGGGGUGAGACUGCACGUCAACCCAUUCUCCCGUGCGGCCACCUUUCGUACGAGGGCCCUGGACCUUCCUUUUAUAGACGUAAGGAGACGGUCUAGGUGUACAACGGGGGGUGUAGCAGUGUGCUAAAGUGUCUAGCAGAGAGGAGCCAGAGCCCUAUGUACAUGCCGACGUGGCUGUCGGAGAGGUGUUGGAGCCCUGUUCAUGUGGCGUCGUGGCCAUCGGAGGAGCGCUUGAGCCCUGUAGAAGCACAGCUGUCAGGGCUGUCGGAUCCUUGCUGACGUCUCCUUGCUUCCAUAAGGGGCUAAGAACCGCCGUUGUCAUGGAGCACGCGGGGUGCCAUCAUUACUUGUUUCACCGGGGCGAGCCAGAUGGGACGCCGGUCUUGUCCCCGUAGCCUGGGCUAGCUAGGGGUAGGGUAAUGAUGCCCCCCCUUGUGGCGUGGUCGGCCCGAGCGAGGUGGUGACUCCUUCGAGGUCGAGGUUGAGUCCGAGCCCGGGGGUCGUGCGAGGCGGAGACCGUCGUCCGGAGGUCGAGGUUGAGUCCGAGCCCGAGGGUCGGGCGAGGCGGAGACCGUCGUCCGAGGUCGAGGUCGAGUCCGAGCCCUGGGGUCGGGCGAGGCGGAGACCGUCGUCCGAGGUCGAGGUUGAGUCUGAGCCCUGGGGUCGGGCGAGGCGGAGACCGUCUUCUGGAGUCGAGGUUGAGUCUGAGCCCGGGGGUCGGGCGAGGCGGAGACCGUCGUCCGAGAUCGAGGUCGAGUCUGAGCCCUGGGGUCGGGCGAGGCGGAGACCGUCGUCCGAGGUCAAGGUUGAGUCCGAGCCCUGGGGUCGGGCGAGGCGGAGACCGUCUUCCAGAGUCGAGGUUGAGUCCGAGCCCUGGGGUCGGGCGAGGCGGAGACCGUCUUCCGGAGUCGAGGUUGAGUCCGAGCCCUGGGGUCGGGCGAGGCGGAGAUUCCUAUGGCGCCCGAGGCUGGACUUGGCUGCUGUCAGCCUCACCCUGGCGGGUGGCACAGCAGUCGGGGCAGCGCAGGCGGCGCUGUUUUCCUGUCAGGUCAGUCAGUGGAGGGGUGAAGUGACUGCGGUCACUUCGGCCUUGUCAACUGGAGAGCACGCGUCAGGAUAAGGUGUCAGGCGAUCCUUGCAUUAAGGGCCUGUUUGGUUCAUGGCUAACUGCGCCACACUUUGCCUAAGGUUAGACGUUCGAAUUGAAGAACUAACUUUAGGCAGAAAAGUUAGGCAAAGUGUGGCAAGUUGGGCAGUGAACCAAACAGGCCUUAAAUGCUCCUGCGAUCCGGUCGGCUAGCGAGGCGAUCUGGCCGAGGUUGCUUCUCCGCGAAGCCUGCCCGAACUGGGCCUCGGGCGAGUCGAAGGUGUGUCCGUUGCUUGAGGAGACCCUCGGGCGAGGCGCGAAUCUGCCUUGGUCUACCGUUCCUGCCCGAGGCUGGGCUCGAGCGAGGCGAGAUCGUGUCCCUUGAGUGUACGGAGCCUUGACUGGAAUUGCGCCCAUCAGGCCUUUGCAGCUUUGUGCUGAUGGGGGAUACCAGCUGAGAUUAGGAGCCUUGGGUGUACCCCUAAUUACGGUCCCCGACACUGAUCAUCUCACUCAAAGGUGAUAAGGGUGACAACCCUUCAUCAUACCUAUUUUGAAAAGUAUUUUCUUUCGAAAACUCACACCUUUUCUCAAAUCAUUUGUAACAAAUAUGUCAAGGAGUAUAAAGAUUGAUUGUGGCAAGUGGUUGGGUGGCCAUAAUAACUUGUCUCAAAAUCAUAUCAUGCAUAAAAUAACAGGUUGAGGGUUGUGGUUGAAAAAGCAUAGGUAGUUUAUGCAUCAAAGGGAUCCAGUGAGCUUGCCGUGCUUAUUCGGCGAAAGGGGUGAGAGCUCGUGGAACUGGCUUCUGGCUCCACUGCCUGUCGUAGACUUGCAGAUCUGGCCUUCACGAAACGGCACGAACGCUCUGAUAACUAUGCAACAUGAACAAGAAAACAUACACACCAACAAGUAUAUCAACAAAUAUUUAGUAUAGUGGUCAGAAUAGCGAUAUAUGGAUGGGUAGAGUCUUAAGAAGAAUAUAUGUGUCAUGUGGUGUUGUGAUAUGGGACAUUUACAUUUCACCCACUAGUCUGGACGCGUGUCACACCCGGUUUUGGAAGGCAAACCGAAUGCGAACUAUGUACGUGCCAGGAUCAGAACUCACGUACACAGCGAUUACAUAAAUGAACAUCAUCACACAAUGCUCGAAUAAUAACAUAAAAGAGUACUUAUUACAUCAUAGAGUCAUAGACAUCCACAUAGUCAUUGUCUUAACAAGUAAAUCAAAGUACUAGCGAAACGCAGUAAAGAUAAGGCCUUCACAGGCAGCUGACUGGGGGUUUGCCGCCAACCCACACCUAGAAUUCAUCGUAGUCUUGGAACUCCUGGAAGUCUCCUUCCACGGCUUCGCCUUCUCCUGAGCAGUGGUUACAAUGCGGGCAACCUGGUGUUUUGUGGUAAAGCAAGGAUGAGUACACAUCAACGUACUCAGCAAAUGUCCUGUUUGGCUGAAGUGGACUAGCUUUAUGUGGGGUUAGGCUCAAGCAGUUGCUUUUAGUUGGUCAGGUAUUUAUCAUUAGUAGAAGCCAGAUUUUAGCAUUAUCCAACCCGUAAACCAUUUCCUCAUCGAGGAACAACAUCAUCAUAGUCGAACCAAAACCAUAACAUAAUCCUUGUAUCUCGAACCAUCUGUAUCUCUAAUCAAAGAGGAUCCCAAGGCUGCUCUUAACCGUGAGCACGGCUGAUAUACCAGUUUCACUACCCUCUGCAGAGGUUGCACACUUUACCCAUGAGUCAUGAUUCCCUUUCUACCCGGGGAGAGCUAAUCCCCAUUGACCACUACCUAGGUGGUCCGGCAGGGCAUCACUACGUAGCUUUUACAAAGAUUCCCUAGAGAUCAUAGCUGCCCGUUAGGUUUCUCCAGUUUGAUAAACACAGUACCCCUCCCCGCAGGAGAGUGACUAACAAAGAGCAAAACGAAAGAACCUCGGCACUCAGCCUCGGCAGAGCAAGCACUGUGCCUGGACCCCAUUGACGGCACGACAGCUAAGCAACUACACCUCUAGUUCAUCUAAUUAAUCAGCUAAGGGCAUCCCAUUUCACCCUCAUGGUUGCACUGUUAUCCCGGGUGGUCUCUCAACGAACCAGUCCUUACGGAGAGGUACUCAGGAAACAGCCUGAGCCCCCUAGAGUAUCACAAGAUCAUCAACAUCAUCAGGAUAACAGUAUCAUAAAUAGUCACAUCAUGUUCAUUGAUUAUGUUAAAGCAAUAGCAAAGUGCUAACCAUAAUAGCCCAUAAGGUCAUCAAGGAUAAAGUAAAAUGUAAAGCUAGUCAAUCCUUAGGUUUCAAGUAAGUAGUGCGGGGUAGUAAGUUAUAAAUGAAUAGGACAUAAUGGGACAGACGACACUUGCCUUCACCAAACUGCUGAUCAGGGACUUCCUCUGCAACUUCCUCGGGACACACAGACUGCUCGUUGUCUACGUAAAGUAAUCAUUCACACUAUGCACUUGGGAAGAUAACAAACAAAAGCAACAUACAAGACAUAUGCAGCAAAGAGAUCACAAGUUCAUAGCAGAAAAGGGAUAGGCACUCUGGUGUUCCCUAGGUCUGGGGUAGAGGACUAUACAAAGUGAUUCAUUAUCCACUAGUCAAGUUUAAGUCAGUGAUGGGAUUAAAUCAUUACCUGGUUUUAAGUUCCUAAACUUAGGUGUUUAAGUCCCUAAUCUUAAGUACUCCAACUUUUAUUAAAGUCUACCAAUUUCUAAUUGUCUCAAAUGGGGUUCCAAUAGCCUUAAUCCUAUCCUGGUGAUUAACUAUUAAUUGGUACAUGGAAACAGCAGGAAAACAUUGGUUAAAUAGAUAGACAAAAACAUCAUGAGCAUUUUGCAAUUUGAAGCACCUAAUUUGGAGUUCUUAUGACAAAGUUAUGAAUUUUACAAGUUUGGGGAUUAAAAAUAUACCCUAAAUACCUAUUUUGAAUUAAUUAAAAGGUCCAGGGACCUAACUACGAGAAACCAGGGACGGCGGGUUCAAAUUCCAGAAAACCGGGGGUCUCUUUAAGAAAAUGCGCGGGCGAAGGGGUAUCGGGCUACUACGGCCGUCAGAUCUAAAGCGAACGGCCAGGAUUAGAUCCUGCGGGCGGGCGCGCGGGCGCGCGGCGGCCUGGGCAACUGACAGGCGGGACCAGGCGGGCAGCGCGGGGCGCGGGCAGGCUGACAGGCGAGGCCGGCGGGCAGAGCGUGCGCGGGCAGGCUGACAGGCGGGGCCAGCGGGCAGAGCGGGCGCGGGGUGUGAGGGAAGCGGCCCUGGGCCGUUGGAUCUCUGGUAGGCGGCCAGGAUUGGGCCCGGGCUAAUUGAAUCAGGGCCGUCCGAUCUGGGAUGAACGGCGGGGGUCGGGUGGCCGGCCUGGGCUUCUCCUACGGCUAGCUGGGGCGGCGGCGCUCGUCCCCGCGGCGGAGGGCUCGCCGGAGACGAGGGGCGCGGGCGUUUGGCGGGCCUCUGGGGCGACCUGAGUGGCCGGGAAGGUUGGGGAGGGCACGGGGAGUCCUCUGGUGGGGUCUGGGUCGGGGCAGGGGCACCGGAGGGGGGCGGUUCACGGCGGAGCGGCUCGGCGGCGGGGUUACUCUACUCCGGCGAGGAAUUAAACGCGGCAGAAGGCAAUACACGGGUCGAUAGGGGCGGGAGAGGUCCCUUACCUCAAGGCGGGCUCCGGGGACUCCUCGGCAAAGGGAAUGGCGCGACGGUGGCCUGGGGCGAUGGUGGCGGACCUCCGCGGCUGCACGGGGAGCGGCGGGUGAGCGUGGGCAGAGAGAAAUAGGGAGGGGGAAAGGGAAUUGAGGCGCGUCCCGGGUUGCGGACACCGGGGCGAAGCUCACCGUGGCAACGGACACGGCGGAGCUCCAACGGCGGCCGAGAAACGGGCUCGGGACGGCGGGGAUUCGUGGCGGCGGCGCUCUGGCGUGCGCGCAGCGAGGGAGAGGUGGAAGAGGGGUCCGCUAGAGCGCAAAUGGGGGAGGGGGCGAGGGCGAGUGGGGUUCGGGGCUCAAGUGGCCAGGGGCUGGUCAGUUGCGAGCUCCACGCGCGACGUGGACGCGGAGAAAGCGGGCGCGCGCAGCUCGGGCGGCGGUUACGCGAGGAAGACGGGGCUGACAGCCCGGGCCCGCGAGCAGAGAGAGAGAGGAGAGCGGAGGCGGGCGCGCGAGAGGCGGCUGCGCUGACAGGCGGGCCCGCCAGGGCAGAGAGAGCGGGGGGGAGAGGCGCGCGGGCGGGAUGGGCCGGCUGGGCCGAAAGGCCGAGGGGGCGGCGGGGUUGGGCCUCUUUCUCUUUUCUUUUUAUUCUGGAAUUGUUUCCUCUUUUUUCUUUUUAUUUUCUCUAUUUGAUUCAAAUUCAAAUGAGCCACAAAUUCAAAUCAAACUUUCCAAGAAUUAUGCACCAAGCAAAAGUGAAACCUAGAGUUCAACAUGAUGCAACAAUUCAUACUCCCUUAGGGUUUAACAUAUUAAACUAUUAUUACAAAUAAAAUAAGCACUUUUCUCCUAUAGAAAUGAGAAAGAAAAGAAUGAGGAAUGAUGAGAAAAGGGAAGUAACACCUGAAUUUGUGAAUAUGAGCAAAGAAAUUUUAUACCCCCAAAUUCAGGGUGUUACAAACCUAUCCCCCUUAAAAGAAUCUCGCCCCGAGAUUCAAGGUUUGUCAGCAAAGAGUUCAGGGUAUUUGGCCUUCAGAUCAUCUUCUCGUUCCCAGGUUGCUUCUUCUUCGGAGUGGUGACCCCAUUUGACUUUGCACAUUCUGAUGGUAUUCCUCCGGGUGACUCUGUCUGCAAACUCCAGAAUCUGCGUUGGCUUCUCUAUGUAUGUCAGAUCCUUCUGGACCUCCAAACCCUCCACUGGCAACUGUUCUUCUGGUACUCGCAGACACUUCUUCAAUUGCGACACAUGGAACACAUGGUGCACUGCUGACAAGCUCUCUGGUAGGUCUAGCUGGUAGGCCACUUCUCCACGCUUUGCUUGAAUCUGAUAUGGUCCAACGUACCGAGGUGCUAACUUGCCUUUAACUCCGAACCUUCUGACUCCCCUGAUAGGUGACACCUUCAGAUAGACGUAGUCUCCCACUUCAAAGCUCAGUUCCCUUCUCCUUCUGUCAGCAUAGCUUCGCUGUCUUGACUGGGCUGUCUUCAGGUUCUCCCGAACCAUUUUGAUAUUCUCUUCGGCUUCAAGCAAGAUGUCGGGGCCAAACACCUGUCUCUCUCCAGGCUGGUCCCAAUGCAACGGAGUCCUACAACUCCGCCCAUAGAGUGCCUAAAACGGUGACAUCUUCAAGCUAGCUUGAUAACUAUUGUUGUAGGAGAAUUCUGCAUAAGGUAACCUUUUGUCCCAUCCUGACUUGUCUUGCAACGCACAGGCUCUCAACAUAUCUUCAAGGAUCUGGUUAGUUCUUUCAGUCUGGCCGUCUGUCUGCGGGUGAUAAGCUGAGCUGAAGUUCAAAUGGGUGCCCAAAGCUUCUUGUAGCUGCUGCCAAAAAUGAGAGGUGAACUGCGUUCCUCGAUCUGAAACUAUCUUCUUCGGCACACCAUGAAGGCAGACUAUUCGUGACAUGUAUAACUCAGCUAACGUUGCUCCGGUGUAUGUUGUCUUCACGGGUAUGAAAUGGGCCACCUUUGUUAAGCGGUCCACAACCACCCACAUGGAAUCAUAACCGGCCCGGGUACGAGGUAGGCCAACUAUAAAAUCCAUCCCGAUCUCAUCCCACUUCCACUGAGGAAUCCGCAAUGGCUGCAACAAUCCGGCAGGCCUCUGAUGCUCUGCUUUGGUUCUCUGACAGCUAUCGCAGAUGGCGACAUAUUCUGCGAUCUCUCUUUUCAUGCCAUACCACCAAAACCUUCUUUUUAAGUCCUGGUACAUCUUCUCACUCCCAGGGUGUAUGGAGUAGGCUGUCUCAUGAGCUUCCUUGAGGAUCAGUUCCCGAAUAGGUUUGAGGUCGGGAACACACAAUCGGUCCUUGAACCAUAUUACUCCCUCUUCAUCCUCUCGAAAGUCUUUGCCUCUUCCUUCUAAGAUCAGCUGCCGGAUCUUGUUGAUGUUUUCAUCAUCCUUCUGCCCUUCUUUGAUCUCCCGCUCUAGGGUGGGCUCUAAUUCCACGGUUACUCCUUGCGUACUGUUCAGGAAACCGAGGCUCAGUCUGUCGAACUCUUUGGCUAACUCAUACGGCAUCGGGUACGAGGCCAACAUAUUGACUUGACUCUUCCUGCUCAGAGCAUCUGCAACAACAUUGGCUUUGCCUGGAUGGUAAUGUAUCUCCAGCUCAUAGUCUUUGAUCAAUUCCAACCAUCUUCGCUGCCUCAUGUUUAGCUCUGACUGAGUGAAUAUGUACUUCAGACUUUUAUGAUCCGUGUAGAUGUCGCACUUCUGCCCAUACAGGUAAUGUCUCCAGGUCUUUAAGGCAUGAACCACUGCUGCCAACUCCAGGUCAUGUGUGGGGUAAUUUUUCUCAUGGAUCUUCAGGUGUCGAGAUGAGUAUGCUACCACUCUUCCUUCUUGCAUUAGCACACAUCCCAAUCCGGUGUACGAAGCAUCGCAAUACACUGAGAAUGACUUGUGAACAUCAGGCAGGACUAACACAGGAGCUGUAGUCAAUCUAUUCUUCAGUUCUUCAAAUGCUUCCUGACACUUUUGAGUCCAUUUAAACUCAACUUUCUUCGCUAGUAACGCUGUCAUUGGUCGAGCAAUCUUUGAGAAGCCUUCAAUGAAACGCCUAUAAUAUCCAGCCAUUCCAAUGAAGCUCUUGAUCCCACGAACAUCCUUCGGUGCUUUCCAGUUCAGGAUAUCUGCUACUUUCUUUGGAUCCACUGCUAACCCAUCUUGGUUUAUGAUGUGACCCAGAAAUAAGACUUCAUGAAUCCAGAACUCGCAUUUGCCCAGCUUGGCAUACAACUGAUGCUCUCGAAGUCUUUGCAAUACCAUCUUCAAAUGCUCUACAUGAUCUUCCUCACUUUGAGAGUAUAUGAGAAUGUCAUCGAUGAAUACUACCACAAACUUGUCCAGAUAAUCCAUGAACACACUGUUCAUCAGGUACAUAAAGAAGGCUGGCGCAUUUGUCAAACCAAAGGACAUAACUGUGAACUCAUAUAACCCGUACUUGGUGAUGAAUGCCGUCUUCGGUAUAUCCGAGGGUCGGAUUCUGAGCUGAUGGUAACCUGAUCUCAGAUCUAUCUUCGAGAAUACGCUGGCACCUCUGAGCUGGUCGAACAAAUCUUCUAUCCUUGGCAGGGGGUACUUGUUCUUGACAGUGACUUCAUUCAAGGCUCUGUAGUCUAUGCACAUCCUUUUGGUACCAUCUUUCUUCUCUACAAACAACACUGGAGCGGCCCAAGGCGAGGUACUUGGCCUUAUGUACCCCUUCUCUAACAUCUCAUCUAUCUGCUUCUUGAGUUCCACCAAUUCUGGUCCAGACACUCGAUAGGCUCUUUUGGAAAUGGGGGCGGUACCAGGGAUAAGCUCUAUGGCAAAUUCAACCUUUCUCUCGGGUGGCAUGCCCGUUAGCUCCUCGGGAAACACAUCCGGAAAGUCUGACACAACCUUGAUAGCCUCGAGCGGGUUGGGUUCCUUACUAUCAACUGAAAUCUGAUGGCAAACUCCCUCUUCUGACUUAGGCAUCCUUAGCUCGGCCACUACCUCUUCUCCUGACGGGGACUUCAAUGUUACGGUCCUCUUGUCACAACUAACAUUUGCUUCAUACUUCAUUAACCAGUUCAUCCCUAGAAUAACAUCUAUCCCAGGGGUGUCUAUUACUAUUAAGUCACUGGGGAAUCCUAUCCCCCUUAUUUCCACCAUUAUAUUUGAGCAUAUUUUAUCUGUUUGCACCUUGCCACCAACCGAAUUAAUCGUCAUGAGCGGCAUCAUUGCCUCUACUGAGAUGUUAUGCAAUUCUACCCAGGUUGCAGUGACAAAUGAAUGAGUUGCACCAGUAUCAAAUAGCACUUUUGCGGGAUGAGAUUCGACUGAGAACAUACCUACUGCCACAUCUGGUGCAUCCUGGAUCGCCUCGGCCUCCAAGUGGUUCACCUUCCCACGGUGGUACGCUUGGUUACGAUUGCCUGCUGCCGGCUGCAGUACACCUUGCCUUGUUGGCGCAUUGGGGUUGGUCUGCUGCUGAGCCAUCUUCUUUGGGCACUGCAUCGCCCAGUGGCCUUGAUCUCCACAGUGGAAACAUCCUCUGCCUCCUCCUUGUGCUGGGGCUGCUUGGUUGCUCUGAUUUGCUGCUGGGGCAGGAAGGCGAGGUGCCUGGUUGUUCUGCUUCUGAUACUGAUUACUUCCCUGCUGGCUGUGCUGACGAUACUGCUGCUGCUGCUGUGGGUACUGCCUCUGAAACUGCUGCUGAUGCGGACGCUGAUUCUGAUUCUGAUAUCCCUGUGGGUGACCAGGUCUGCCUUGCUGAGAUGAACUGCCUGAGAAACGUGGACGGCUGAUGCCUCCGGACUGGGGUCCACUCAUCUUGCGCUUCCGAUCUUCCAUAUCCUUACGCUUCUUCUCAGUCAUCACUGCCCUAUCGAUCAGAUGCUGGAAGGUGGGGAAGGUGUGAUUCAUCAGCUGGUAAUGCAGGGGAUCCACCAAACCCCUCAUGAACCUGUACUGCCUCUUGGCAUCAGUGUCGACAUCCUCGGGUGCAUAGCGAGACAGCUGCAGAAACUUGUCUCUGUACUCACUAACAGACAGGGGACCCUGCUUCAGAGCCAGAAACUCCUCCUUCUUCACGAUCAUCAGUCCCUCUGGCACAUGGUACCUGCGGAAACUCUCACUGAAUUCUUCCCAAGUGAUGGCUUCGGGGUCAGCAUGGGUGGCGAGGUAGGACUCCCACCAGGACUGGGCUGCUCCCCUCAGCUGACGGGGGCCAUACAGAACCUUCUCCCUGUCGUCACAUUGGGCGGUGCGCAGCUCCCUUUCCACUGCGCGCAGCCAGUCUUCUGCAUCCAUGGGGUCAGCAGAAUGGGCGAAGGUAGGAGGGUGCCCUCUCAUGAACUCGCCACGCUUAUCCCGUGGCAUCUGGGGCAUCUGCACUUGCAAUUGGGGUUGGGGUUGCUGUUGAGCCUGCUACAUGGCUGCCAGAGUCUGCCCAAUGGCCUGCACUGCCUGAGUCUGCAUCAAGAACAUCUGCUCCACUGACAUCGGGGGUGGUGGGGGAGGCUGCCUCUGUUGUUCCUCCUGCUGGUCAUGCUGCUCUUGCUGGGCACGCCUGUUGCAUCGGCGCCUGUUGUCAGACAUCUGUGGAAGACAUUCAUACAUCAGCAUUGAUCUUACAACCCUUCAGCAUAAGAAAAGAGAAUACAGAAUUCUUCAUGACACUGAGUGAACAACGAGCUUCACUGAUCCUCAUUCAUGAUUCAACACAGCUCCUCAGAUAGGAAAGGAAAGUAGAAGUAAAGGGUUUCCCAACUAAACAACUGACUUUAUUAACAUUACUAGCUAAGCCAAACUGCAGGGGAAACCCACAUGUUGGCUACAGUCAUUACAAAGAUUCAAAUCAAGCACAAGUUCAUCAUAACAAACAUGAAAGCAACUGAUAAGCAAACUAAACUAAAUGGAAGCAACUGGUAAGCAAACUAAACUGACUACCUAAGACUGAGACAUCUGACUUAAGAAUCAUUACAAACUCCGACGCUAACGAUCUAAGGAUCCAGAUCUAUCCUGGUCUUACAGACGGGGGAACCAUAAGUGUGGUGACCACGUGGCGGUGAGCGGUAUGGGUGCUGAGUCCCGACAGGAGCGGAGGAACCACCCUCCUGGUGAUGGCGCUCUGCCAACUCAGCACGCAACUCCGCAAUCUCCGUUCGAGCCCUGCUUAGCUCGUCCAGAGAGUGAUCCAGCUCGGUGUUAAGCACUGCGACUAGGUUGACUGUGCUGCUCAACCUAGGGUUAGCCUCACCAACAGGUGAGACAACCACACUCUCCGUGCUGCCAGUAGGGCGGCGGGGGUAGUACCGAAGGUUAAGACCGUCGGCCACGCCACCGAACAAAGAACAGUACUGAGAGAGUGCAUGUCGUGCUGCAUCCUGCAUAGCCGCCUCUGCAGCGUCCCUCUCGGAGAUGGAGUAGUGCUCCGAAACGGCCUCCGCACCCCGGAGGUCAUCCUCCGGACGGCGAACUAGGCAGGUAGCCUCCCAGCGGUCCGGGUACCUCCCGCGACUGUGCUGGUAGACUACACAACGAUACUCGAUCGACCAGGUGUGCCGGUCGAAAGCCUGGCGCAGCAAGGUGUCGAGUGCGUCGUGGAAGUGACAACCGCGAGCGGCGUCACGGGUGAUGGGUCGGGCGACCCAUCCUUCCGCCUCCUGCGGCUCAGAAGACUCCGUGCUGUGGUCUGAGUCGUCGUCGUCGGGGUCUCCUCCAGAACCUCCUCCAGUAGCUCCUCCAACAGCCGGGACGUCCCGCGGUGGUGCAGGGGGCGCCUCCAGCUGGGCAACAGAGGAACGGGGCCUCACGGACUCCACCUCUCGCUGGGGUGGGGAGGAAGAGCCCUGCUGCUCUCUGUGCUGGCGCUGGCGUUCCUGCUCCUCACGCAGGCGGUGGUGCAAUCUCUCCAGGUGACUCGACUGACCGGACACGGUGCGGUGCAGAGGACGCUCCGCAAGUCGAGACGGCAGGAAAGGAAUCACCGACUUACGUGCAGUGUGUCUAAGACGAGCCAUCUACAAAAGAUACCGUAAGCACAAGAGUAAGAACAGAACUAAUAUGACCAGUGAAUGAACCAUAAAUAGAACCAGAUAAAAAAAAUUUAACAAGGUAUAGUAUAGUAUAUAUAUGUAGUAAAACAUAGGGUUGGUCGAGGUGACCGACUUUUGAAGUAACAUCAGAGGUCAAGGUGAGGGGGAGGGUCAAUAGUCCUUAGUACGACCAGUGCUACUCUAGGUCAGCGGUCCUACAGUCAGCAUGGGCUUUGAUACCACUUAUGUCACACCCGGUUUUGGAAGGCAAACCGAAUGCGAACUAUGUACGUGCCAGGAUCAGAACUCACGUACACAGCGAUUACAUAAAUGAACAUCAUCACACAAUGCUCGAAUAAUAACAUAAAAGAGUACUUAUUACAUCAUAGAGUCAUAGACAUCCACAUAGUCAUUGUCUUAACAAGUAAAUCAAAGUACUGCGAAACGCAGUAAAGAUAAGGCCUUCACAGGCAGCUGACUAGGGGUUUGCCGCCAACCCACACCUAGAAUUCAUCGUAGUCUUGGAACUCCUGGAAGUCUCCUUCCACGGCUUCGCCUUCUCCUGAGCAGUGGUUACAAUGCGGGCAACCUGGUGUUUUGUGGUAAAGCAAGGAUGAGUACACAUCAACGUACUCAGCAAAUGUCCCGUUUGGCUGAAGUGGACUAGCUUUAUGUGGGGUUAGGCUCAAGUAGUUGCUUUUAGUUGGUCAGGUAUUUAUCAUUAGUAGAAGCCAGAUUUUAGCAUUAUCCAACCCGUAAACCAUUUCCUCAUCGAGGAACAACAUCAUCAUAGUCGAACCAAAACCAUAACAUAAUCCUUGUAUCUCGAACCAUCUGUAUCUCUAAUCAAAGAGGAUCCCAAGGCUGCUCUUAACCGUGAGCACGGCUGAUAUACCAGUUUCACUACCCUCUGCAGAGGUUGCACACUUUACCCAUGAGUCAUGAUUCCCUUUCUACCCGGGGAGAGCUAAUCCCCAUUGACCACUACCUAGGUGGUCCGGCAGGGCAUCACUACGUAGCUUUUACAAAGAUUCCCUAGAGAUCAUAGCUGCCCGUUAGGUUUCUCCAGUUUGAUAAACACAGUACCCCUCCCCGCAGGAGAGUGACUAACAAAGAGCAAAACGAAAGAACCUCGGCACUCAGCCUCGGCAGAGCAAGCACUGUGCCUGGACCCCAUUGACGGCACGACAGCUAAGCAACUACACCUCUAGUUCAUCUAAUUAAUCAGCUAAGGGCAUCCCAUUUCACCCUCAUGGUUGCACUGUUAUCCCGGGUGGUCUCUCAACGAACCAGUCCUUACAGAGAGGUACUCAGGAAACAGCCUGAGCCCCCUAGAGUAUCACAAGAUCAUCAACAUCAUCAGGAUAACAGUAUCAUAAAUAGUCACAUCAUGUUCAUUGAUUAUGUUAAAGCAAUAGCAAAGUGCUAACCAUAAUAGCCCAUAAGGUCAUCAAGGAUAAAGUAAAAUGUAAAGCUAGUCAAUCCUUAGGUUUCAAGUAAGUAGUGCGGGGUAGUAAGUUAUAAAUGAAUAGGACAUAAUGGGACAGAGGACACUUGCCUUCACCAAACUGCUGAUCAGGGACUUCCUCUGCAACUUCCUCGGGACACACAGACUGCUCGUUGUCUACGUAAAGUAAUCAUUCACACUAUGCACUUGGGAAGAUAACAAACAAAAGCAACAUACAAGACAUAUGCAGCAAAGAGAUCACAAGUUCAUAGCAGAAAAGGGAUAGGCACUCUGGUGUUCCCUAGGUCUGGGGUAGAGGACUAUACAAAGUGAUUCAUUAUCCACUAGUCAAGUUUAAGUCAGUGGUGGGAUUAAAUCAUUACCUGGUUUUAAGUUCCUAAACUUAGGUGUUUAAGUCCCUAAUCUUAAGUACUCCAACUUUUAUUAAAGUCUACCAAUUUCUAAUUGUCUCAAAUGGGGUUCCAAUAGCCUUAAUCCUAUCCUGGUGAUUAACUAUUAAUUGGUACAUGGAAACAGCAGGAAAACAUUGGUUAAAUAGAUAGACAAAAACAUCAUGAGCAUUUUGCAAUUUGAAGCACCUAAUUUGGAGUUAUUAUGACAAAGUUAUGAAUUUUACAAGUUUGGGGAUUAAAAAUAUACCCUAAAUACCUAUUUUGAAUUAAUUAAAAGGUCCAGGGACCUAACUGCGAGAAACCAGGGACGGCGGGUUCAAAUUCCAGAAAACCGGGGGUCUCUUUAAGAAAAUGCGCGGGCGAAGGGGUAUCGGGCUACUACGGCCGUCAGAUCUAAAGCGAACGGCCAGGAUUAGAUACUGCGGGCGGGCGCGCGAGCGCGCGGCGGCCUGGGCGACUGACAGGCGGGACCAGGCGGGCAGCGCGGGGCGCGGGCAGGCUGACAGGCGGGGCCGGCGGGCAGAGCGUGCGCGGGCAGGCUGACAGGCGGGGCCAGCGGGCAGAGCGGGCGCGGGGUGUGAGGGAAGCGGCCCUGGGCCGUUGGAUCUCUGGUAGGCGGCCAGGAUUGGGCCCGGGCUAAUUGAAUCAGGGUCGUCCGAUCUGGGAUGAACGGCGGGGGUCGGGUGGCCGGCCUGGGCUUCUCCUACGGCUAGCUGGGGCGGCGGCGCUCGUCCCCGCGGCGGAGGGCUCGCCGGAGACGAGGGGCGCGGGCGUUUGGCGGGCCUCUGGGGCGACCUGAGUGGCCGGGAAGGUUGGGGAGGGCACGGGGAGUCCUCUGGUGGGGUCUGGGUCGGGGCAGGGGCACCGGAGGGGGGCGGUUCACGGCGGAGCGGCUCGGCGGCGGGGUUACUCUACUCCGGCGAGGAAUUAAACGCGGCAGAAGGCAAUACACGGGUCGAUAGGGGCGGGAGAGGUCCCUUACCUCAAGGCGGGCUCCGGGGACUCCUCGGCGGCGGGAAUGGCGCGACGGUGGCCCGGGGCGACGGUGGCGGACCUCCGCGGUUGCACGGGGAGCGGCGGGUGAGCGUGGGCAGAGAGAAAUAGGGAGGGGGAAAGGGAAUUGAGGCGCGUCCCGGGUUGCGGACACCGGGGCGAAGCUCACCGUGGCAACGGACACGGCGGAGCUCCAACGGCGGCCGAGAAACGGGCUCGGGACGGCGGGGAUUCGUGGCGGCGGCGCUCUGGCGUGCGCGCAGCGAGGGAGAGGUGGAAGAGGGGUCCGCUAGAGCGCAAAUGGGGGAGGGGGCGAGGGCGAGUGGGGUUCGGGGCUCAAGUGGCCAGGGGCUGGUCAGUUGCGAGCUCCACGCGCGACGUGGGCGCGGAGAAAGCGGGCGCGCGCAGCUCGGGCGGCGGUUACGCGAGGAAGACGGGGAUGACAGCCCGGGCCCGCGAGCAGAGAGAGAGAGGAGAGCGGAGGCGGGCGCGCGAGAGGCGGCUGCGCUGACAGGCGGGCCCGCCAGGGCAGAGAGAGCGGGGGGGAGAGGCGCGCGCGCGGGAUGGGCUGGCUGGGCCGAAAGGCCGAGGGGGCGGCGGGGUUGGGCCUCUUUCUCUUUUCUUUUUAUUCUGGAAUUGUUUCCUCUUUUUUCUUCUUAUUUUCUCUAUUUGAUUCAAAUUCAAAUGAGCCACAAAUUCAAAUCAAACUUUCCAAGAAUUAUGCACCAAGCAAAAGUGAAACCUAGAGUUCAACAUGAUGCAACAAUUCAUACUCCCUUAGGGUUUAACAUAUUAAACUAUUAUUACAAAUAAAAUAAGCACUUUUCUCCUAUAGAAAUGAGAAAGAAAAGAAUGAGGAAUGAUGAGAAAAGGGAAGUAACACCUGAAUUUGUGAAUAUGAGCAAAGAAAUUUUAUACCCCCAAAUUCAGGGUGUUACAACGCGCUACUCAAAUCUACCCACGCACAAAUUCUCUACUCAGUUUUCUCCUCCCACCUCCACACUUUGCUCAGAAAUCACCUCACGGCGGUAUAUUCUCCCGUCAAAGGCUCUUACAGGUGGACCUGACACCUUACCAGUGGGACCCGCUCCCCUUUCCCCUGCUUCUCUUCCCAAAUUCAAUCGCACGCGAGCACGCUCCUAGGUUCGCUGGCAGCGGCUGGUCCAUCGCUCUUCACCGCUCCCUUCUCCGGCGUGCGGCAGCCCCAGUGGCCUUCACUAGCGUGCGGUGGGGGCGGGCCCUUCUCCGGCGCGUGGCACGGCACGGGUGUCCAGGCGGCAUGGCACGGCGCGGGUCCCAGGCAGCGCGGGCGGGUCUCCGGUGUGCGUUGCGCGGCAGAUCCUAGGCGUGCGCGGGCAAGUCCCCGGCGAGCAUGACGCGCAUGGAUCUCAAUGUGCGGACCUCAGCGCGUGUGUCACGCGCGGGUCCUAGGCGUGCGCGGCGCAGGCGGAUCUCUGGCAGCGCGGCCUGCUUGUUCUCCGGCGCGGCACACUCCCUAGCCCUCUCCUCCGGCGGCGGCGUGCACGGGCUCCGAUGGCCAGCGGGCGCAGGCGGAUCCUCCUCCAGCUCGUCCCUGUCUCCGGCGCGUGCUCUGCUCAGCUAUGGCGAGCUCUGUACAGUGAGCUCUCCUGUCAAUGGCAGGGGCUAGGGCGUGCUCUGCUCAACUACGUUGAACAGGGAAGACAAAGAGCAGGGGAACAUUUGCUUUUUGUAUCUAAACAUUUGCUGGUUGAACUACUAAUUGAAACUGAACAUUUGCUGCUAGUUGAAACUGAACAUUUAUUGUUGCAUGUGCUGCUGAAUUUGCUAGUUGAAACUGAGACUGUUGUUCGUAUCUUGGACAGAACAUGUGUUGUUGGACAUUUGUCGUUGCAUGCCUGUGUCUAGAAAACUGAAUUGCUGAACAUGCACAGGAUCUGAAUUGCUGUUGCAUGCCUAAAUUUCUGUUGGACUAAACAUGCACAGGCAUUUGUACUUGGACUGAACAUGUGGUGCUGAAUAUUAAUAAAACCGAUACUUAAUUGCUCAAAUAGAGCCGCUUUGUCUCUAUGAUAUUAAUAUGCACAUGGUGUAGUGGUUUGUCUUAGCUUGCAGGUACUUCAAGAUGUGGGUUUGAAUCCCUUCUAUCUAGCUUUUUUUCUUUUUUUAUUUUGUUGCUAACAGGAGAUGUGCCCAUGGUUUUGCAUUGCUAUAUUCACACUUUUGCAUAACCUUAUGAUCUAUUUACCCCAAGCAACUAGGACCAAAUUAUGACUCCAUACCAAGUUUCACUAUUUCUGGUCAUAUUUGAUAUUUAUUUAUUUAUUUUUAGCUUGAAAAGGCAUUUAAAGCAUAUAAAUUAGUAGAUAAUAAAAAAGUGGCAUAUUUACAUGAAGUAAGUUUGUAACUGUUAGAUGACCUAAUGGUGCACUUUUGAAGCAAAAACAAUGACAAACGUAAGAAAUAUAGCUCAAGCACUGAUGUUAUAGUUGAAUGUCAUGAAAACUUAGAGAUAGAUGUGUCCAUUUGUGAAGCACCUAUAUUGACACUUUUGCAUAACCUCAUGAUCUAUUUAUCUCAAGUAGCUAGGACCAAGUUAUGACUCCAUGCCAAGUUUCACUAUUUUCUGACAACAUUUGGUAUUUAUUUAUUUAUUUUCGGCUUGAAAAGGCAUUUAAAGCAUAUAAAUUAGUAAACAAUAAAAAAAGUGGCAUCUUUACAUGAAGUAAGUUUGUAACUAUUAGAUGAACUACUGGUGCACUUUUGAAGCAAAAACAAUGACAAACGUAAGAAAUAUAGCUCAAGCACUGAUGUUAUAGUUGAAUGUCAUGAAAACUUAGAGAUAGAUGUGUCCAUUUGUGAAGCACCUAUAUUGACACUUUUGCAUAACCUCAUGAUCUAUUUAUAUCAAGUAGCUAGGACCAAGUUAUGACUCCAUGCCAAGUUUCACUAUUUUCUGACAACAUUUGGUAUUUAUUUAUUUAUUUUCGGCUUGAAAAGGCAUUUAAAGCAUAUAAAUUAGUAAACAAUAAAAAAAAGUGGCAUCUUUACAUGAAGUAAGUUUGUAACUGUUAGAUGAACUAUUGGUGCACUUUUGAAGCAAAAACAAUGACAAAUGUAAGAAAUAUAGCUCAAGCACUGAUGUUAUAGUUGAAUGUCAUGAAACUUAGAGAUAGAUGUGUCCAUUUGUGAAGCACAUAUAUUGACACUUUGCAUAACCUCAUGAUCUAUUUAUCUCAAGUAGCUAGGACCAAAUUAUGACUCCGUGCCAAGUUUUACUAUUUUCUGACAACAUUUGGUAUUUAUUUAUUUAUUUUCGGCUUGAAAAGGCAUUUAAAGCAUAUAAAUUAGUAAACAAUAAAAAAGUGGCAUAUUUACAUGAAGUAAGUUUGUAACUGUUAGAUGAACUAAUGGUGCACUUUUGAAGCAAAAACAAAGAAAAAGUAAGAAAUAUAGCUCAAGCACUGAUGUUAUAGUUGAAUGUUAUGAACAUAGUGAGAGAUGUGUCCAUUUGUGAAGCACCUAUAUUCAUACUUUUUCAUAACCUCAUGAUCUAUUUACCACAAGCAACUAGGACCAAAUUAUGACUCCAUGCCAAGUUUCACUAUUUUCUGACCAUAUUUGGUAUUUAUUUAUUUAUUUUCGGCAUGAAAAGGCAUCUAAAGCAUGUAAAUUAGUAGAUAAUAAAAAAAGUGGCAUAUUUACAUGAAGUAAGUUUGUAACUGUUAGAUGACCUAAUGGUGCACUUUUGAAGCAAAGACAAUGAUAAACGUAAGAAAUAUAGCUCAAGCACUAAUGUUACAGUUGAAUGUUAUGAAACAUAGUGAGAGAUGUGUCCAUUUGUGAAGCACCUAUAUUGACACUUUUGUAUAACCUCAUGCUCUAUUUAUCUCAAGUAGGUAGGACCAAAUUAUGACUCCAUGCCAAGUUUCACUAUUUUCUGACAACAUUUGGUAUUUAUUUAUUUAUUUAUUUUCAGCUUGAAAAGAUAUUUAAAGCAUAUAAGUUAGUAAACAAUAAAAAAGUGGCAUCUUUACACGAAGUAAGUUUGUAACUGUUAGAUGAACAUGUUAUACACUUUUGAAGCAACAAAAUAAACAAAAGUACGAAAUAUAGCUCAAAUUGCGUAGUUAUGGUUGAAUGUUACGAAACUUAACGAGAGACGUGUCCAUUUGUGAAGCACAUAUAUUCAUAUUUUUGUAUAGUUCUCUAAUUUUUUAUCUCAAGUAACUAGGACCAAAUUAUGACUCCAUGCCAAGUUUCACUUUUUUUACUAUAUUUGGUAUUUUUUAUUUUUUUAAAAUGACCAACAAACGCAAGAAUAAAAUAAUGCACCAUAAACAUUAUAUAUAUUUUUUAAAAAUAUGUAUAUGAAGUAAGUUUCUAUUUGUAACUCUAAAUAUAUAUUUUUAUGUUUUGGCCAACUUUAUUUGAGGUAGCUUUAGUUCAAAUUAGCUACGUUUUAGAAAUUUUGGUAUGGUUUAUACUAGUAUGUACACGUUAUAAAGUCGUUUUUGCAUGACACACACGAAUUCUGUAUCUGUCCCAUUGGUUAUUGCAUUCUGUUGUGAGGCUCUGUGUGGGUAAGGGGAAUGGGUUCAAAUCUUGGCCCAUGCGGCAUUUUUUGCCCUCUUUUUUCUGCGUCUUUUUCCUCGCUAUGAAGCUAUGUGGGUCUCACUUGUAAGCUGGUCCACCUGUAAGAGGCUUUUGACGGAAGGAAUAGUGUCGUGAGGGGAUUUUUGUGUGGGUUGUGAAGGUGGGAGGGCAAAACUGAGUAGAGAAUUUGGACAGGGUAGAUCUGAGCAAGACGUCUAGUGGUGGGGGUAUGCUUCGUAGCCGAAGAUCCUAAAGAAAGAGAACACCUUCGGCCGAUCGUCUCAGAAGCAGCGCCGAAGCUAUCACCUAUAAAGCUUCGGCACAAUGGCAAAUCUCAAGUCGAAGGAGUGAACCGACUCAAAGAUGAAAUGACUUAAAGACUCAUGAUGUUUUGUGUCAUUAUUGUAGUCGACUACGAAGGGCAUAAAUGUAAUUUUACAUGGGCUGCGUCCCGUGCCUAUAAAUAGAUGAACAGUGCUCCCGUACUGUUCACGCGGACUUGGUAUUUUACUUUUUGCGUCACGCUUGUACUUUCACCUUCUUUCAAUCCGAAGGUACAUUUGUAAUUUGAUAUCAUUCCCAAUUUCCAUAAUAAUAAAAUAGAGAUGAAAUAGAAGUGAAUUGAUAAUAAUACAUGAUUGUUUAUGUUAUUUUAUAAUUUCAUGUGAUUUCUUCUUCAUCAUUUUAUCUUAUGCUGAAGGUUUGUCCUUCAUAACCUUCGUUCGAAGGCCAUUAUAUCCCAAGGGAAAUAAUGUUUCGAAGGACGAAGGACUUUAACGUUUAACAUUUUCUGUGUUGCCUUGUUCUUAAUUCAUACCACUUGAGAACAAGUCCCCAACAUCUAGACUAGUGGGUAAAAUGUAAAUGUUUCUUGUGAUAUUACUGGUGGUGUAGCGGAGGUGAUUACCAGGAGGGUGGAUUGGAGGCGAAGCAACACUAUACGCGUAGCCAGCGAGCGGAGUAACUGAGUGCCUUGGCUGAGGGUGUUGAGUGUGCGGGGAGGGAGAGAGUAGCCGGAUGUAUUUAUAACGGGGUGUAUGUGGUGUAGUACAGUAGAGUUCACUGUUGGUGAGAAUAGUGACGAGUGAAUCGACUGACUUAGUCUGAACAGGGAAAUUAUAGGUAGAAUAUGAGACAAGAGUAUUUUGGGAGUUUUCUGGAAUAUGAACCAUGUUUAAGGUAUGACAUGGUUGGAUAGAGAAUAAUUUGAUAAGAAUUCAGAAACCAGAAUUAUUGGAAUCUAAGUUUGGAAGCCUGGUUCGAAAGAAUCUCAAAGUUAAGUGUGCUCAACUUGGAGAAAUUGGAAUGGGUGACCAGAUGGGAAGUUUUUACUAGAAGGAAAAUCACAGUUACCGGAGUUUCUAUGACUGGAAUAUUGGUCUGGUAGGUCUUAGGUAAGCUAAACAACAUGAUGGAUGAGUAGUUGAAAUUUGGGAUGAUUGGAUGAUCGAUGAAUAGUAACGAUAAAUGGUAACGAUGAAUAGUGAUGACGAAAAAGUAAUGAUAGAUAUCAUCGAUGAAUAGUAACGAUGAUGAAUAGUCCAACUCCAAUAUCCAAUCCAUGCGCUGGUGGUGUUGCGUUGCAGGUUUGAUGCUGCUGGCGAGGGAGCGUGCCUCAAGAGAUACACUGACCCCUCCUUCUUCAGCGCUCACUCUGCCAAGGUUGAUGAGCAAGGCAUGCUGAAGCAGCAUCGUCGGCAAGCAGAAGCAGCAGCAGCCAACAGGUGCCGCCCUAUCUAUGUUCCUGCUGAUGCAGCAAACAGCUGCUCACAGGGUCGAACCUUCACCUCAACAGCCCAACAUGGAACAGAAGCUGCAAGAAGGUAGCACAGCGCAACCCAGCCCAAGUGAGCUCGAGAGAACGAGCUCUUUCAAGGCAUGGCUCUCUCCACAAGCUCGCCGCUUUCCUACUGCUACUGCUGCUACUACUCAUCACCAUCUUCAGGAACCACCUGAUGAUGGUGGUGGUAGUAGUGGUGGUGCUACUACCUUUUUUAGAUAAUGGAAAUAAUCAUCCAGCCUUGGCUUCAAAGAAGCUACAGCCCCUUAUUACAAUACUCAACACGCCAUAUUGACCAAGUUAAUGCAGAAAACAAAGUUUGGAUAAAAGCACCUAACUACAAAUCCUAUUGGUGAACCUCCAUCCAUACUUGCUGAAAAUCUCCAUGACGACAUUCUCCAUCUUCAGACACGCUGUCUUUAUCAACUCUUUAUCAUCUUCAGCCUUCUGCAUUUGACUCCAGAAGCGGAACCAAUAAGUUCCCCUGUAAAUUACCUGCAUAAAUGUUUUCAUUGGAGAUUUAUCAAAAACCACAUCAUUUCUACUAAGCCAUAUUGCCCAACAAAUCGCUGAUGCACCCACUAGUAGAAGUUGUUUCAAUCUACCCCCAAUCCCAUUAAGCCAGGAACUGAACAUAUGCAUUGUGUUAUGUGGUGGUUUCAACCCAAAACAUCUUUCGACUAAACCCCAUAUAAAACGUGCAUUUUUGCACUGAAAAAACAAAUGUUGAAUUGACUCAUUAGCUAGGCACCAAACACAGUGCGUGUUUCCAUUCCAAUUUCGUUUAGCAAGAUUAUCUUUAGUUAGAGUUACUCCCUUAUACAUAUACCACAUGAAAAUCUUAAUCUUUAAGGGCAUCUUAAGCUUCCAAAUCAUUGUGUUUCUUUCAACCACCCCAUUAUUAAUAACAGCAAGAUACAUAGAAUGAACUGUAAAGAUUCUAUUAGCUUUCAAAUUCCAUUUAAAUGUAUCCUUAUUAUCAUUGAGCUGAAUAUUCAUUAUACUCAUAACCAGCUCAUUCCAAUUUCGAAGAUCAUUAUCUUGCAAUGACCUUCUAAAAGAUACAUUUAACGGGACAGAACUGAGAACAGAAGCUACAAUAUCAGUCUUCUUCCUCACUAUAUUAUAUAAUGACGAGUAUUUUUGCUGAAAAGAAACAGUACCAAUCCAAACAUCUUCCCAAAACCGGAUUUGUUGACCAUUGUUUAGUCGAAAGGAUCCGAAUCUCAUGAAUUGGUCUUUGACUUUCAUAAGUCCUGACCAAAAAUGAGAGUCACCCGGCUUCCUUUCAAUUAUUCCAAUUAGGUAAUUUUUGCAAUACUUAUUCCUAAGUAUUUGUUGCCAUAGCCCUUCCUCAUUAAUUAAUUUCCAUAACCAUUUGGCUAACAAACAUUUAUUCUUAAUCUCAAUGUUUUGAAUUUGUAGCCCUCCUUGGUCUUUCGGUUGACAAAUAAUGUUCCAUUUUAUCAACCUAUAUUUCUUCUUUUGAUUAUCGCUCUGUCAAAAGAACCUAGAUCUAUAAUACUCUAUUUUUUGUAGUACUCCUUUUGGAACUUAAAAAAAGAGAGCAUGAACAUAGUUAGGCUUGCUAAGACAGAGUUUAUUAAGACCAAUCUACCACCAAAGGAUAGGUAUUUUCCUUUCCAACUGCUAAGCUUCUUCUCUAUUCUCUCCUCUACUGUUUUCCACUCCACAUUUCUCAAUUUUCUAACGUGCAUAGGGAUACCAAGGUAUCUAAAAGGAAAAGAACCAUGUCGACAACCAAAUAGUUGUACAUAUUGAGUUUCUGAGUCUGUAGCCUGACCAAAACAAAAUAUUUCACUUUUAUGGAAAUUUAUCUUGAGGCCAGAAAGCUUCUCAAAAGCACAUAACAGCAGUUUUAAAUUCCUGGCUUGGUCCAAGUUAUGGUCCAUAAUAAUAGUAUCAUCUGCAUAUUGUAAAAUGGAUAAACCAUCUUCUACUAAAUUAGGAAUGACACCUGAAAUUUGGUUGGCUAAUUUUGCUCUCUUUACUAAGAUAGCUAACAUAUCAACUACAAUAUUAAACAGAAUUAGUGAUAAUGGAUCUCCCUGUCUGACACCUUUCUUUGUUUGAAAAUUGGAGCCAAUUUGGUUAUUAGUGGAUCCAUCAGUAGUCACGUUGUUACCACAUCGAAUGCUGCGGCUCUUAGCAGCAGUGCCACGGUGAAGGCGGUCAGGCUGAACUCAGCAUCAGAGGUGAAAGGUUGUGAGAGUAAUACGACGAGGUCGAGGUACAAAGGCAAGAUCGCCUCAAGAGUCAGCAGCUUGCCGAGGAAGCUCUUCAUGAACACCACCAAGCAUCACAACGACCGCUCGCGCUCUUAUCGUGCAGGUAGUAGCAGCCUCCGGGUGACCCAAGCCACUGGCAUCGGGGAUUGCAGCCCUGAACUUGAAGCCAUCGCCAUCCCCGCCCCAGGUAUACGUAGCCUUCCGUCCUAUCUGGAGAACCAUGAAAGCAUUUUCUCUUGUACUAAUGUAUCGGUAGUAGAUGCAGAUCGAUGCAGUAACAGUAACAGCAGCACUCCUGAAACAUGUACAGCAGCUGACUCCAAGAACCUGCUGCUGCUGCUGCCAGGAAGUGGUCCUGUUCUGGAGCCACCUGACAAUUCUUCUUCUUCUGCUGCUGAAGACGCCAAAGUAGAUACGCCACUUGCGCCUAUUCCACCGAUGCAGUGGCUGUCAGAGAAAGGGACUCCACCUGCAUCUCCUAAACACAGAACACCAUGUUUCCAGCAACAAUUUGGUAGCAGUGGGCAAUCUGAUGAGAAGCCAAGCCAAGAGCACGAGGCUUCAGACGACAACAGCAAUCUGCUGCAGGAGAGCGUGUUCUUCUCUGCGGCACAAGAGCUAGCGAAGAUGUCCCCUCCUCCUCCUUGGGUGCCAAGGCCCAAAUAUCCACUGCUUGAUGUUAAGGCAGUUAAGGCAGGUCAUCCUGACAUGAACAUCCGUCUUUUUUUCUGUGGCGUUUAAUUAACAAAAGAUGCCUGUCAUUUGCAGCUACGGAAUGGUCCAAGCCCGAUCCAUCCUUCAAGAAACAUUUUGUACAGCAGGAGCGCACAGAUACAGCAGAUAAAAGACAUUGCAAUUGUCAGUACAUUCUUAUUUCCUCCAUGAAACUCAACCGCCACCAUGGUUUUGGUUGUACUUAUAUAUAUAUAUAUAUAUAUAUAUAUAUAUAUAUAUAUAUAUAUAUUACUGGCUGGUGCAUGCAGUCUUCCAAGCUGAAACCAGCUUCUGGAGCGAGCUCUCAUGUGACUGGGACUGGGAGUCCUACCAACGCCACCAUUCUGAACAGAGCAGAUGGCAUUCGGCAGGUAAUAACGAUUAUUUCAACAACAUUGUCCUCGUAAACCGUACAUGGCUUUAGUAUAAUCUGACUGGCACAAGAAAAAUGAGGCAGGUGCAUGAUGAUGAAACUGAUCAAAUCUGAAGCGAUAACACUUAAUGAAUGAACCAUGUAAUAGCUAAUGGAACUAGAGUCAUUCAAGUUGAGAUGGCCGAGUUGGUCUAAGGCGCCAGAUUAAGGUUCUGGUCCGAAAGGGCAUGGGUUCAAAUCCCACUCUCAACAAAUAUUUUUUUUCUUUUUCCUGUUUUAAACUACUCUUCUAAUUGUAAUUGUUUGUAGAGAAUUCAUUAGUUUUUUUUUUCAAAUCCCACUCUCAACAAACAUGUUUUUCAUUGUAUUGUUUCCCUGUUUUAAACUACUCUUCUAAUUGUAAUUGUUUGUAGAGAAUUCAUUAGCUUUUUUUUCAAAUCCCACUCUCAACAAACAUGUUUUUCAUUGUAUUGUUUCCCUGUUUUAAACUACUCUUCUAAUUGUAAUUGUUUGUAGAAAAUUCAUUAGUUUUUUUUACUUUAUCAUGCGGUUCUUGUUUUUGGAUAGUUUUUCUUCUUCCUGUGUUAAGCUAAUCUGGUUCUUCUAACUAUUUGUAGAAGAUUCAUUAUUUUUGUUACUUUACCAUGCAGUUCUUGCAUUGUCUCUACAAAUUUGUUGAGGCUAAUAGUUUUUUAACCACAGGAUCAAAUCUUUGGUGUGUGUGUGUGUGAGACUUAAUGUACUCUGAUUCUUAUAUUACCUUUUAUCCUGUCUUAAUAUAUUCAUGUUCAUGUGUUGUUUGUAGAUUUAGAGAACUAUUGAGGUUUAUACAUUUGAACACACAUGUUCUGUUUUUUCUGUUUUAAGCUAUUCUUCUUAUAUUGUUUGUAGAGAAUCGCUGAGGCUCAGAGAUUUCAAACACAGGAUUUUAAAACAUUUUUAGACCGCACAAGCAUGGACGUUCACAUAUCAGUUAUAAUCUUAUCAGGGCAUGUUAAGUUAGAGGUCUUUCUAUUUAAUUUUGAAUAGGAAAAAAUUUAAUCUCAUCAAUCUCCCGUGCAACCGAACAAUCUCUCAAGUGGGUCAGAUUGCACUUCUAACCUUCUAAUCGAAGCGAAUAUAUAUAUAUAUAUAUAUAUAUAUAUAUAUAUAUAUAUAUAUAUAUAUAUAUAUAUAUAUAUAUAUAUAUAUAUAUAUAUUACUGGCUGGUGCAUGCAGUCUUCCAAGCUGAAACCAGCUUCUGGAGCGAGCUCUCAUGUGACUGGGACUGGGAGUCCUACCAACGCCACCAUUCUGAACAGAGCAGAUGGCAUUCGGCAGGUAAUAACGAUUAUUUCAACAACAUUGUCCUCGUAAACCGUACAUGGCUUUAGUAUAAUCUGACUGGCACAAGAAAAAUGAGGCAGGUGCAUGAUGAUGAAACUGAUCAAAUCUGAAGCGAUAACACUUAAUGAAUGAACCAUGUAUUAGCUAAUGGAACUAGAGUCAUUCAAGUUGAGAUGGCCGAGUUGGUCUAAGGCGCCAGAUUAAGGUUCUGGUCCGAAAGGGCGUGGGUUCAAAUCCCACUCUCAACAAAUAUUUUUUUUCUUUUUCCUGUUUUAAACUACUCUUCUAAUUGUAAUUGUUUGUAGAGAAUUCAUUAGUUUUUUUUUUCAAAUCCCACUCUCAACAAACAUGUUUUUCAUUGUAUUGUUUCCCUGUUUUAAACUACUCUUCUAAUUGUAAUUGUUUGUAGAGAAUUCAUUAGCUUUUUUUUCAAAUCCCACUCUCAACAAACAUGUUUUUCAUUGUAUUGUUUCCCUGUUUUAAACUACUCUUCUAAUUGUAAUUGUUUGUAGAAAAUUCAUUAGUUUUUUUUACUUUAUCAUGCGGUUCUUGUUUUUGGAUAGUUUUUCUUCUUCCUGUGUUAAGCUAAUCUGGUUCUUCUAACUAUUUGUAGAAGAUUCAUUAUUUUUGUUACUUUACCAUGCAGUUCUUGCAUUGUCUCUACAAAUUUGUUGAGGCUAAUAGUUUUUUAACCACAGGAUCAAAUCUUUGGUGUGUGUGUGUGUGAGACUUAAUGUACUCUGAUUCUUAUAUUACCUUUUAUCCUGUCUUAAUAUAUUCAUGUUCAUGUGUUGUUUGUAGAUUUAGAGAACUAUUGAGGUUUAUACAUUUGAACACACAUGUUCUGUUUUUUCUGUUUUAAGCUAUUCUUCUUAUAUUGUUUGUAGAGAAUCGCUGAGGCUCAGAGAUUUCAAACACAGGAUUUUAAAACAUUUUUAGACCGCACAAGCAUGGACGUUCACAUAUCAGUUAUAAUCUUAUCAGGGCAUGUUAAGUUAGAGGUCUUUCUAUUUAAUUUUGAAUAGGAAAAAAUUUAAUCUCAUCAAUCUCCCGUGCAACCGAACAAUCUCUCAAGUGGGUCAGAUUGCACUUCUAACCUUCUAAUCGAAGCGAAUAUAUAUAUAUAUAUAUAUAUAUAUAUAUAUAUAUAUAUAUAUAUAUUACUGGCUGGUGCAUGCAGUCUUCCAAGCUGAAACCAGCUUCUGGAGCGAGCUCUCAUGUGACUGGGACUGGGAGUCCUACCAACGCCACCAUUCUGAACAGAGCAGAUGGCAUUCGGCAGGUAAUAACGAUUAUUUCAACAACAUUGUCCUCGUAAACCGUACAUGGCUUUAGUAUAAUCUGACUGGCACAAGAAAAAUGAGGCAGGUGCAUGAUGAUGAAACUGAUCAAAUCUGAAGCGAUAACACUUAAUGAAUGAACCAUGUAUUAGCUAAUGGAACUAGAGUCAUUCAAGUUGAGAUGGCCGAGUUGGUCUAAGGCGCCAGAUUAAGGUUCUGGUCCGAAAGGGCGUGGGUUCAAAUCCCACUCUCAACAAAUAUUUUUUUUCUUUUUCCUGUUUUAAACUACUCUUCUAAUUGUAAUUGUUUGUAGAGAAUUCAUUAGUUUUUUUUUUCAAAUCCCACUCUCAACAAACAUGUUUUUCAUUGUAUUGUUUCCCUGUUUUAAACUACUCUUCUAAUUGUAAUUGUUUGUAGAGAAUUCAUUAGCUUUUUUUUCAAAUCCCACUCUCAACAAACAUGUUUUUCAUUGUAUUGUUUCCCUGUUUUAAACUACUCUUCUAAUUGUAAUUGUUUGUAGAAAAUUCAUUAGUUUUUUUUACUUUAUCAUGCGGUUCUUGUUUUUGGAUAGUUUUUCUUCUUCCUGUGUUAAGCUAAUCUGGUUCUUCUAACUAUUUGUAGAAGAUUCAUUAUUUUUGUUACUUUACCAUGCAGUUCUUGCAUUGUCUCUACAAAUUUGUUGAGGCUAAUAGUUUUUUAACCACAGGAUCAAAUCUUUGGUGUGUGUGUGUGUGAGACUUAAUGUACUCUGAUUCUUAUAUUACCUUUUAUCCUGUCUUAAUAUAUUCAUGUUCAUGUGUUGUUUGUAGAUUUAGAGAACUAUUGAGGUUUAUACAUUUGAACACACAUGUUCUGUUUUUUCUGUUUUAAGCUAUUCUUCUUAUAUUGUUUGUAGAGAAUCGCUGAGGCUCAGAGAUUUCAAACACAGGAUUUUAAAACAUUUUUAGACCACACAAGCAUGGACGUUCACAUAUCAGUUAUAAUCUUAUCAGGGCAUGUUAAGUUAGAGGUCUUUCUAUUUAAUUUUGAAUAGGAAGAAAUUUAAUCUCAUCAAUCUCCCGUGCAACCGAACAAUCUCUCAAGUGGGUCAGAUUGCACUUCUAACCUUCUAAUCGAAGCGAAUAUAUAUAUAUAUAUAUAUAUAUAUAUAUAUAUAUAUAUAUAUAUAUAUAUAUAUAUAUAUAUAUAUAUAUAUAUAUAUAUAUAUAUUCAAUUAUGAUAUUCUGCAAAAAUCAUGUUGUUGCAGAAUAUAUCACAAUUUACUACUAUAUGUAGAAGACUCAAAACUGAAACUGGUGCAAUAAUUUUGCAACUUACCUUACCUUGAGAUCUUCCUUCACCACAUACCUCUUGGCCUCACCCUUUAUUUGCAUAGAAAACUCAUUGAAAAUAUAUAUAUUCUGCAACAACAUGAUUUUUGAACCCUAAAAAUUUUGGAUCGUUGGUCCUAAUGGAAAUCUGUUCGAGUUUUAUUGACAUCAGAAAUCCUAUCUCCUGUAGUCCUGUUAUUCAGCGUCUGAGUGGAGCUAUAAAAUUGAUCUUAUCAUU
RNAcentral lists this long non-coding RNA (253120 nucleotides) under Zea mays. RNAcentral's name for it is "long non-coding RNA (ZMAY_LNC002903)". The stretch from base 250460 to 250540 matches the Rfam family "tRNA". Lineage: Eukaryota; Viridiplantae; Streptophyta; Magnoliopsida; Poales; Poaceae. The record is from RNAcentral.